This 180724-nucleotide long non-coding RNA is filed under the name Fragaria vesca (wild strawberry). Its description in RNAcentral is "long non-coding RNA (FVES_LNC001569)". The stretch from base 7639 to 7833 matches the Rfam family "U2 spliceosomal RNA". The record is from RNAcentral. Lineage: Eukaryota; Viridiplantae; Streptophyta; Magnoliopsida; Rosales; Rosaceae.
AAAUAUACCCCAUAGAUUCACACGAGUGUUUUGUUUUGUGUUGUGCAUUUGCCCUCCCGUUUGAAUAGAAACUACGAACUUGCCAUUAACGUUUUUAUAUCAAUUUGCAACGUUUUUCUUGUUUCUGCUAAUUAAGAAAGCAGUUUUUUUUUUUUUUUUAAAGUAAUCAAUUAAGAAAGCAGUUAUGUUCACCACAUUAAUUACCUGAACAUGAAAUUAAGAACCAAUAUUUAUUAUAAUUUCUUUUUCUUUUUUUUGGGGUAAAAAUUGAAAUGCGUGAUGAGACGUUUUGGUGUGUUCUAGUUUAGAAUCGAUUGUCAACAAAGGAAUGAUGUUUUUUCUAUUUUUAGAAGAGCAAAUAAAUUAUGUUAGAGAAGAUAAUCCUACCUGAUUGGUGUUGGAAGGGAAAAGGUGAUCUCAAGAACUAUUGUAGGGCAACUAAUCUCAUCACCGUAACGAGGACACAAACAAAUAUCAACAUUGUCUAGAUAACAAUAACACCAUUCUACUUAGAUACAAGAUUUUAUCCUAAAAGACGACAAGUAGUGAUAUACUGAUAAGUAGCGUUCAUUUAUAUAUAUUAAUUGUUGAGUUUAACUUAGGGGCUGUUGUUGAAUUUUAUUUUAUUUUUGUUGAUUUAUUUUCUUUAAAAGUAUGAGUAGUAGUAAUGAUCUUAACUAUUAGUGAUGAGGUACUUUUACGUAUUACCGUUGUUGGCAAAUGCGGUUGCAAACUAUCUAUUCCCAUUGCUCAAAGUAAGCAUGGAUGAUUGAAUGAGGAUUAUUGCCAUUUCUUAUGUUGGUGUGUGUUUCAUUUUCUGUUGAUCGGGACUUGCUCCCCUGCCAACCCUCUACGUGACUUGCAAUUAUUAUACAGUCAAUCCGGUUUAAACAUUUCAUUUUUGAUCGGUCAUAGCACUAUUGGUUUCUUGAGCCAACCCACUCAUUCGAAAGUAGAGAAAUGAAGACUUGCCAAACACCCCCAACUUUGGUACUCCACAUUACACCUAUAUCUCCAAGCUUACUCUCUAGUCUUAACACAUGUCGGUUUGUAUCAUGUUUUAAUUUCUAUUUAUUCUAACAUUUGGACAUAGUAUAUUCAAGAAUCAAGAUAAAUAGAUAAUCUUUGUUUUCGGGUCAUGAAAGGUAGUCAACUUUCAGCUCCUACAAUAUUUCAGCUCUGUCAAGACGAUUAUACAACUGCCAAUCAGGCAUAUAUAUAUCCUUUCUCUAAUUAUACAACUCAUACUAUCAAUAUGCUAGUGGACGCCGUGACGUCUAUUCGUUUUGACUUUGAAGUUUUAACACUAGAUUACAUUAGCUACUCUAUCAAAUUCUUACACUCAAUCACGAGAGAUAUAAAAAAAUAAAAAGUUCUCCGUUUUGUAAGUUAAAAAGUUCUUAAAUAUUACUGCAGUCGAUAACUAGUUAUUAUGUAUUCAUAAUAAAACAAUAAAUUAUGACAGAGACACAAAAUGUAUUUUUAAUGUUAGAAAAAGCUAAGAAAAUGACAUAUUCGUCCUAAAUUCGGCUAAACUAGCUAUUAUGCGUCCAUAAUAUAGAAACAUAUAAAUGUGACAAGAAAAUAUUUUAAAAAUAUUAAAUAAAAAUGUCAUAUUAUUCAAAAGCAUGUGAAAUUGACAAGUUCUUAUCAAAAAUUAAAACAUAAAACAUACGACAAUGACCAUUCUCUUUUGUAAAAUGCACAAUUAAUCCAUAAAUUUCCCACAUAUUAGAAAUUGUAACGGUCCUAUGAAUCAUCAAUUUUAAAGUGAAAGGUAUGUUUGUAAUAUCCUUCAAAACAUUGAACUUCUCUUCCAUUAUGUAAUUUAUGAUCAAUGAGACUUUCAUCUUCUGACAUCGCGUUCUUAUUAGGUUUGAGUCCAACAAGCUAAAUCGUAAGCAUUUUCAUUUAGCUAGUGGCCUAGUAAACAAAUUAAUAUGCCUAAAAGCUAGAACUCGAUAGAUAAAUCUACAGAGACUCAAAUAUCUACUUAGAACUUAUAAUAGAGAAAGAUAAAUCUAUAUAAAUAACAAAAAUGAACAAACGAAAAACUUUCUACUCACGAUAUCAUUUGGUUUAGUGGCAUUAGUCUCUUUCUAUAAGUGGGAAGUUAUGAGUUCGACUCACGAUAAACUCGUUGUAGCAUUUUAGUUGUUUGUAUAAUUAAAAAAAAAACAACUUUCUACUCAAAUCGAUGAACAAGCUAAUUUUUGUAGUAAGAUAGUAGAAAUAGAUAAUGGAGUAACUUCUCGGUAAUUAUUGAUUCAGAACUCAAAAUCGCACAUACCUACGAUAAAUCUGGAUAGAAGUGAGAUCAUCACUCAUGGAAAUUCUACUACUCAUACAUUGUGAGACUUUACAUAUGUUUAUUGUACGUGCAUAUAUACAAAUUAACUAGACAAUCGAUUACUCUAUUUCUCUGGUUCAUCUCAAAAUCUAAAAGUCAGCCUUGUUCAAAACUUUGGCCAUGAGAUAACCAAAGCUUUCACAAAUGAUAUAUACAUUAAUUAUACACAUUUCUUGCUCGUCUUUGCAUAGAUAUUUACGUCAUAGCCAACCAUGUCACACUAGGUCUCCCACUCAUUUAUACCACUAAAUAAGUAAGAAUGACAAUUUUGACUCGAUCCAAGUAUGCCUAGCUAGCACGUAUGUGGUUGAUAUAUAUCCCUCUACUUGUUUUUCAUGAAUUGAAUUCCCAAUUGGUGUUCCCUCGAUCAUUUAGUCGACCCUCUCUUGAAUUUUAUAUAUUUCAACUAGUGUAGUUCACAUCUACAUAUGUUUGUUUUGUUUUCUUGUUUAUACAAACACUACUAUAUAGCUAGUGUGAUAUUAUACUAUUUGCAGCCCCUCAGGAUUGACCAGACUUGUAUACACAUGGAGUUUGGACUCAUGUCAUUUCCUCACCGAUCAUCUGUAAAGCAUUUCAAUUUCAAUAAUCAACAAUAUAUAUUUGAGAAAAGAAAAAGGUUUACUUGAUCUUUGCUAGGGUACAAAAAUCACUAAUCGACAACCGCCAGAGUAUAUUAUACGCUAUUUGCUAAUUUUCUAAUGCAUCAAUAUAUAUAUAUAUAUAUAUAUAUAUAUAUAUAUUAAGCCUGUAGUCAUGUUAAAAAAAAAAAAAAAAAGUCUGCAGUCAUCAUAAUUAGUUAUUGACCAAUAGAUCCAUAAUCAACCACCGUUAGAUAUAAAUAAAAAAGUUAAAAACAAAACAACUUAAUUUUAAAAUAAUACUUCUCAUAAUUGUAUUUACAUCCAAAUGGUGAUUGACUAUGAUUCUCUUAAUCAGGUGAAUGAUAACGUUUAAGCCUGACAGUCUUUAAUAGCGUCUAUAUUGUUAAAGGAUGGUUGGUAUUAUAAUUUUGUUUGUAUUAUUAUUUAUCUUUUCCCCAGAUCUUUAACAUUGUUUUCCUCACAACACCAACGGACAUGCCACAUAUACAAAUUGUAUAUAAUUGACCGACCAUAUUAUCUGAGAGAAUUACUAUAAUAGUAAUCUUCUUUGUACUGAUUUUAUUCAUAUUAGUACGAUACAACAAAUCGAGCAGAAUUAAUAGUAAUCCUCUUUGUCAAUCACGAUCUAAUCAUUUUAAUGCGCAAUAUAACAGAUACUGACAUACUAUAUACAAAGAUGGCGUGCUCAAAAUGGCCUAAAUGCAAAUCGACCCUACAUUAUAGUCUGUAUAUCACUGAAAUUGUAACUCGUAACGACAAUAGGAAAUUGUCAACACCAUUAGAUAUGUAUAUAUAGUGGGAGACCAAAACAUACCCGAUCACUUCCUUUUGCUUUUGUUUUUGUUUUCCAAGAGCAACAUGCAUGGUUGGCCACCUUUUCGAUCAGUUCACUUCCUCUGCGAUUCUAGCAGGCCCGGACCUGAGAUUUUCAGGUCUGAGUCGAAAUUUCAAAAUUGGGCCUUUAAAUUGUAGUUUAAUUCUAGAUUAUAUAUAUAUAAAUAUAUUUCAGAAAUUAAAACUAUGAAUUCAUAUUCUAAUUAUAAAACAUCCAAAAUGUUCUGCUGAUUAUAUUUUAGGAAUUCUAUUUACAUUAUGAAACUUAUUUUAAACUCUUACCUUUUCUUUUCUUUUCUAUUUUUUCAAAAAACUUACCUUAUUUUGUUUUGGGUACAAUUUCGAGUAGAAAUUAAAUUAAAUGUUAACACUAAUUUCGAGAAGAACAUAUUUGUUCCCCUUGUUUUGGCCCCUUAAUUACAGUCAGUAUCAUUCUCUUCCUGUGUUUAAAAGUGGAGCUGUGACAUUAAUUGUCCAUUUCAUUAAUUAUUUAAUUGUAUUUGAUCAUAGAAUAAGCUUUAUUUUUUUCUUUUUUUCUAGGCCCCAAGAUCUUUGAGCCCUGAGUCAAUGGGCUCUUAGGACUCCUAUCAAGUUCGGGUUUGGAUUCUAGCUAGGGAUAACAAAGGAAAAAGAAAUCAGAUCCCAUUCCAAAACGUUCAAGAACUGAAAACCAUUUCCUCCUAGAACUAGGACUCUUUCUGUUCAGACUUCAAACCAAGCUAUGGAGUAGAACAGCCAAACCCCUGGGCAAAGGUCCUAUGGGACUGAGCAUGAAGGAUUAUCUAUGGUAGUUUCAUUUUUUUGUUUUGUUUUGUUUUUUUUUUCAUCUGUUGCUUAUGUUUUCUUCUUUGAAUGUUGGCACAAAAGGAAGUUUAGAAAAUUCGUUGAUUAUUAUUUAUCUAGUAAAGGUCAUAUGGAGUUGAUCAUAACGAUAUAGUAGGGGAUAAAUCAGAUGAUUAUAUUGAAGUAGUUUGAAGAAGUAGAUAUUAUGGUUUAAUGCUGCCGAAGUGAUAGGCGCAAUGCAUCCCACAUCAAUAUUGAGAGCAAGAGCUGUCAAGUGUGGGUGACAUAAAAUAAACUAACCAGGUAUUGUUUUAAACACGGAGUCAUGCGUUAAGCACAUAACGAACUAUUCUUUCGCCUUUUACUAAAGAAUACCGUGUGCAUGAUGUUUUAAGUAACAUGCGCCUAUUUUUGAAAGGGAGUACCUCUGUGGGUGCCCCUCAAAUUAGUUUCUUAAAUUUUAAUUACUACCAACUUUUUAAAAAAGAAGUAAAUAGUCUAAAAAUAUUACAAACGAUGAUACUCUAGUCUCUACGUUGUUUAGCUUUGUGGUGGAAAUUGAAAUGAUUUUCUUUAAUUAGUAAACUUUCAUGUUUUUUUUAUCUCUAUUUUGUGGCUGGGUGGUUGGUUAGAUAGGCUAAUCAACGACGUUGAAGUCAUGAGUUCAAAUCUCACUUAUUUAAUAAAAAGUUUUUUAGCAAAAUGAUUUUUUUUGACUGAAUUAAAUUGUUGUAAUAUAUUUUUCGUUUUCAAAAAGAAACUUUCUUGGUUUUUGUUUUUUGGUCUAUGAAUAUUAAUGAUGUAUGCUUGUUUAAUGAUGUUUGUUUGUUGUGUUUUUUUUUUAAGGAAGAAUGAUGUUUGUUGUUUGAGGUUAAGAAAAAAAUAAAAUAAAAUAUUAAUCUUGUCCCACAUCGCUAACUUGACAUAAGAAUGAGAAGGGAGUUGGUAUAAAAAAAGGCGAACCAAAAAUGAUAAAAUCAUAUCUUUCUCGGCCUUUUGGCUAAGAUCAAGUGUAGUAUUUGUUCUUAUGAGUUUAAUAUCUGAUAUGUGAGCUAUCGGUUUAUAUGAUAUUAAAUUAAUUUUUUAAAAGAUGAGUCUACCACAAUAACUUGUUAUUAGGGCUCACACGUGUGUGUUGCACUAUUGCAAGGUUUGGGGCACCCUACCAAAUGCAGUGAAAUUUUACUUAUGUAAUCCGAUUGUAAUAAUAGGAACAAGUAUUUGAGUUGGCUGAAGAAGUAACCACCGGUUAUUUUGAUGGUUUACAUGAAUGAUAUUCGCUACCUUCCCUAUAAGAAGCCAUCGUUCAAGACAUGAUUGUUCUAACAAUGUACAAUCGAUGGGUUUGGUGAAGCUAUACUGUCCGAUGGGAGAUCCCCUUUGCUUGGUAGUAGUUUGAGCUCUGAAGGACCAGAAACUAUGUGAGAUUGGCAAGAUCACCGGUGGCUUUUGCUCAGGAUUCCUCCAAAGAAUGGAGUUGUGAAGGUAGAUUCGUUCUUUUUAUCUAUAUCUAGUCUCAAAGGAGGGUUAUGAAAAGCCAGUUAUAACGCUGUUCAUGGUCGUACGUAAAUUACGGCUAAGACUCCUAAGUCCUAAGACCAGGUUCGCUGCCAGUCCCACAUCAGAGAAGAGCAACAUAUAUCUAUCUCGAGGGUUACAAAAGAGAGAAACUCAAGUCUGUAAAACUCACGGAGCCAUGUGUUGAGCACAAAGCGAACUAUUCUUUCGCCUUUUACUAAAGAAUACCGUGUGCGCGGCGCUUUAAAUGGCAUACGCCUAUUUUUGAAAGGGCGCACCUCUGUGGGUGCCCCUCAAAUUUUAGUUUACAAAUUUUUGUUAACAGGUUCUCCAUAAUAAUCUAUAAUCUUCCAUUUUCCAGUUGUUUCAUUAUGUUCUUAAUCGCACCAGGUUCUUCUGUUGCAUUAAAUCUUACAACCACUAUGCGCACCUUGCUGCAGCACAAGUGGGCAGUACAUGAAGUUUGAAGAUCUCUGAGAAACUUCCAUCAGCCGAAGGUAGUGUCACAACAUCAGAGACAAUCCCAGUUCAAGAGCUCCAUAAUAAGGUCCAGGGCUCCAUGUUCUUCGGCUAAGGUCCUGCUGCUACCACUCUUGGUGGAUAUGGCUGAUGUUUUUAACUAAUUGACUCUCGUAGACGUAGGACAACAACCCCAGCUUUCAUGUGAAAUAGAGCGGUUUAGACAUUUAGGGGUAUUUGUGAAAUAGAGCUGCUUAUGAGAAGCAAAUAGUUUUCUUUUGUAUCAUGCAUACAGCAGGUUGCAGAAUCAAAACCCAGUUUAAAGUAUGGAUCAUGUAAAGUAUGAAAACCUCUAGGCCAUAAUCGAUAGAGGUUUUUGAAUGUGUAGAGUAUGAAGUUGAAGGCUUGAAGCACAGGAAGUUUGUUCCAGAAUGUCCAAGUGCAAACAAUAGAAUUUAACUGGGAACUGAUAGGAUUCUUCUGUAUAUACACCCACCUUGUAAAUAAAAUGGCCUAGGUGGAAACUCAACUCCUCCCGAGUGAUGAAAGAAUUGAAGUUGAAUGAAACUGCCGUGACGUCUUUCACUAUUCGUCGACGAGCUGAAAACCUUCAACACCCAUGAGAUUUGCUAAUGACAUAUCAACUCCUCCCACGUGAAGUAAGAAUUGAAGUUGAAUGAAACUGCCGUGACGGCUUUCACUAUUUGUAGACCAGCUGCCAACUUUCAACACCCAUGAAAUUUGCUAAUGUUCUUUAACUAUGACAUGCUAACGUUCCUGCAUAUAUAAAACCUGCACUACAGCAUCUUUCAUUAGUUCAGGGCCACUCGUAAGAAACUUGUGUUAGUGAAGUCCUUUACAAAUCCAAUAGACCUGGCUAAGAAGGGCAAUACUACUGGUUGAUUCAAUGCUAUGACUUGGGUUAGUUUGGAGUUAAUACAAAUCACAAAUACAUUUUAGAAAGGUGUUCCAAGUUCAGCACUCCUAGACUUUGCUGUUUGUGUAAUGUGAACAGUACCACAUCGGUUAUUGGCAGAAGCAGGAAUUUGAAUGGUUCUAUAAAAAGAGAAGAGUUUGGUUGAACAAAUCAUACCUUUCUCGGCCUUUUGGCUAAGAUCAAGUGUAGUAUCUGUUCUUAUCAGUUUAAUAUCUGAUAUGUGAACCAAGUGUUCACACGAUAUUAAAUUAAUUUUUUAAAAGGGUGAGUCCACCACAAUAGCUUGCUAUUGGGGCUCACACGAGUCAUCCUUGUGUUGCACUACAACAAGGUUUGGCGCACCCUACCAAAUAUAUGUACAAUGUUCAUGGUUGAAUCCUAAUACCAAAAAGGUUUGGCGCACCCUACCAAAUAUAUGUACAAUGUUCAUGGUUGAAUCCUAAUACCAAAUGCAAAAGCUUUUUUGGCGGUUUGUUGAAAAAUCCUGUUCAUAAUCUAAAAGUAUGUUAAUGAAACAGUUGCAUACCUGGUUUUUGAAGAUAGUUCUACUUGUAUUAUCUAGAACGACUGGUAACAUUUGAGUUUUCCAACUAAAGCUAGGGCCUCUCUAAGCGCCUGAAGGAGAUGCUCUGGAUAAUCCUCAAUCCCAGUAAUGCCGUGCUGUGAUUGCAUUGAACUCAGGAUUCUUCCAACAAUCUGAAUAUAUAUACAAACCAAUUUACGCCUAAGCCUUCAAACAUGAGUGAAAGACACAUUGUAUGAUGCUAAUAAAGGGGAAUGACCUUUCGUGCAUAGCCACCAUAAGCAACACCACCAAUCAUAGCUGUUGAGUUUUCAUCCCUCGAGUUCUCUAUCAGAAGUUAAGAAGAUAUGAGGAAUAUAAGACCAAUGGUGAAGAAUGAGUACUUGAACCUAAAAAGUGGGAGAAUGUUACUUGUAAAGGAUGUCGCUUGAAAAAGUCCAACUUUCCUCAACCCAUCAACUGUGUGAGCAUUGGUGCCACCGGCCAGUUGAAGAAAACCUGCCAUAUUAAUCACCAGUGGAUUAACAAAAAGAAAAAAGAAAACCUUGUGUGUCCGAGGCUGGAAAACAACAAUGAUAUUCUCAAAAAAGCAUGGAGAAUCGUCUGCACAAACCAUGAGGCCUUUCUUUUAUAGCAGCUAAACGAAGAGCAAAAGCGAUUGAUUCUCUUGUGGCACCUCGACCAAUAUCUCCGCUCAUGGGGCGCCCAUCCAACUUCAGAUUCAUAAAGGUAGAAUGCCAGAAAAGAGAAAAUCAAUUUAUGUUGAUGAUAUCGUGUGAUAAUACUUGGAGCAUUCAUAUUUACAUGUAAGUACAGUGAUAGGAAGCACACCUGCCAUAAAUUGAAGCAAGAUAAAUCCGGUUCCAUAAUGGAGUACAUAGCCUUCAUUGUUGAUACAGUUGACUCUCCAUGAUCAGGUAAACUAACCUGAAAAUGAUAACAACUAUAUCAGAUCUCCCAAGAUAUUCUACUAGGUUCCCAUUUAGUUGUGCACAUCAGCACAUGACAAUCAUAGUGACUUAGUAAACAGCAGAGAUGGAUAAAACACCUACUGCUGCUAGUUUAAGAUGUUUGAUUGAACCUCCCAAACCAUCCCAAAGUUCUUUAAAUGGAGCAAUCUGCCUACAGAAACUGAGGCUUAGUACAGACUACAGAGUGAUAGCCAAACAUUUGUAUUCUCCAAUGAAAAUUGUAAAAGUUCUUCGAUAUUAUUACUUUAAUGAUCAAGGUACUGUACCUUCCACUUGUAUGAAUCUCUAUAGCAUGAACAUCAUUUCUUUUGAGAAGUUCAGAGGUUGCCGCAGUAUCUCUUAUGUAUGUGCUCACACCUACAUCAAUUUUGUAGUUUUGUUAAAAGGGACCAAUCUAGACAUGAUAAAGGCCAGCUACAAUGUAUAUAUUAGACAUAUGUAUAUACUUAUUUUAUCGUAUGGGCAAACUGGAAGGCAGCGGCCACAGCCAUAGCAGCGUUCAGUUAAUACUCCAGCCUGCAUGUUUAACUAACAGUUUCAGAAAGGGAUCUUUGAUAAAAAAAAAGUCAACACUACCUAUAGAAGUUUCACAUCAAAAAUAUGCUCCAAAAAGAAAAACAAAACCUUUACUGAGGUCGGUGUUUUGUUGCCAUACGAGAAUUUUGUUGUUGACCAUCCAGACUCAAAAGAUAUUGCAUCAGCAGGACAUACUCUCUCACAAGGCCUUGAACAGUCAAGUGGACACUCCUCUGGAUCAAAUUCUGUUCACAAUUAUGAUGUUACUCAAUUCAGUUAUAGUUAGCCAUCACCAAAUAUUGGUAACUGAAAAGAACCAAAGAAAUCAUUGUUUUCAAGCUGAAUUACUGAAGCACCUAACCUUGAGAUAUCAGAUCACAACCUUAUGUUGACAAUAAUGUUAAAACAUGAGCCACAUAAAGCUGAUGCAAAUUUCACCUAGAGAAAUGGAAUAAUGCAACUCAUUUCAAUGCUUAUCAUGCUAUACAAAGUAAACAAGGAGGUACUUAAUCACCAGCUUUUCGAAAGUGAAGAUCCUCAUCAUCAUUUACACUGAUCAUCACCCAAGGCCUUCGAAAAGGGAAAAUCUCCAAUGCUGCAUCAAUCCCCUCAUUUACCGCGCUCACCACCGAUACAUCUGCCGCACAGUCUAUGCAAUCCACUGCAACAACACCAUUCAAUAAAUUCAGUUUCUCACUCAACCAAAAGUGACUAGUUCAAUAAACAAAGUUUCUAAAUUAAGAGUUCUCAAUUACCUCCAGCAAGAGUGUAAACCAAAGAAAGAUUCCGUAUAUCAACCACAUCCUAGAGAAGAACAUAUAGCAGAGUUAGUGUCAGGGAGUUGGCAACUUGGCAUAUAAGCUUAAGGGUCAUUGUUGUUGUUACCAAUUACCUCGAAGCUUGCGCCGCAUAUGAGCUUGACCCAGUUGCCAUUCUGAAGAGAUUUUACUGGAGAGGACACAACUGAUGGAACCCCAACAGUUUUGAUGAGGCUCUUCACAUCUUCAAGGGCUUUGUUGCCUCUAAGGUUCAGUUUUGCUGACAGAAGAUGAAGAAUGGGAAUUUGAAGUAGUUAAAGGUAAAGCUUUUUGAUCAGACAGAAGGCAGAGAGAGAAGUGAGGAGAAAAAGAAGAAACCUUGAUGCUGUUGAGGAGCAAUUGAAGCACAACAGGAGAAGAAGCUCAGUGCCAUCUCAAACUGAGAUUCUGAGUGAACCUGGCUCAGUGAUAUCCAUUAACAACAGAAUUUGGCGGUUCUGUAAAUUAUCCACUAUUACUUCCAGCAAGUAAUAACUGGGGUUUUCCUGAUAAUGAACCGCAAACUAAAUACAAAGGGUCCAAAAUCUAGUAAUCUACCCGGUCCAAUAAACGAGAGUGAGACACAUUUUUUUCUUUUUCUAUUUCAUAUCAAACGACGCCUCAUAAUUGAUAACUUACCUGAGUUACCUCGCUUUUUCUUCAGCGCUCUCUCAGCUUUUCUAAUAUACGGUACAUGUGUCUCCUUUCCAUCGUUUAUCUUCACGGAAAAUAGGAUUUUUGUUUAAAAUUGUUUGGAGAUUCUAAACCGAUGCUCCACAAAUCCCACAUUUGCUUGUGCAGGAAGAUAUUGUCGCAUUCAUGUACAUAUGUACCCUAUAAACAUCCUAGCCUGUACGUACGUACAUCACAGGGAUUAUUGGGCAUGAAUGACUACAGGAAACAAUAUGGAUUUACUAUGCCAAAAAUAGCAUCAGACGACAGUUGAGCACUAUCGUCUGAAGAAAAAACAUAUGUCGUCUGAGGUUCUGCCGUCUGAUAGGCUAUCAGACGACAGUUCUCCACUGUCAUGUAAGUGCAAGUCAGACGACAUAUAAUAUGUCGUCUGAAAUUUGACAAGUCUGGAAUGUUUCCGAACUUUAUGUCGUCUCGAUAAAAGACCAACAACAUUUAAAUGUCGAGUGAAAGAAGAAAAAAUGAAAGAUUUGUCGAAAUAGAUGUAGUGUGAUACAACCUUAUACUACAUAUAAUCGUCGACCUACAUAACCUACAACGACAAAUACAUUCACAUGAUGUGGUUAGAUGAGGUUUCUAAUGACAAUUUAAUGUCGUCUGAUGUUAUCAAAUUUAGAAAAUUAUUAGACUUUAUAUCGUCUGAAUGGAAAACCAACAACAUAUAUAUGUCGUCUGAUGAGGCACUUUAUAUCAUUUAUAUCACAUGAUAAUUCGUUUAACUUCACUUUUAUGUUGUUUGAUUGUUUAUUGGACUUCAUAUUUUUGUUGCUUAUUUAUUAGAAGGGCUUAUGUCGUUUGAUUGUCUAUUAAACUACACAUUCUUGUUGCUUGUUAUACGCACUUAUGUCGUUUGAUUGUGAAUUAAACUUCAGAUAUAACAAGAAAAGUAACUCUUCAUUAAAUGUCAAUAAUCCACAUCAAUUACAAAAUCAAUUUAAGUGUAAGAAUAAAAAUAUAUAAUAACAAUACAUAUUACUCCUAAUCUACAUAUAGAACUACUACUACAUUCUCAUUUCUCCUUUACCAUGAGCGCAGAGUUCUCGAAACUUCAACAAGAUGAGAAUCAUGUCAUGUACAUCCUCUAAUCUUUUCCAUGCUAUGUGCAGCCGCAACAAACCUUAUUGCAUUCAGAAAUUAUAAAGAGAAUAACUACAACAUUGUUAAAUCAGUUACAACAGAGAUAGAAAGAUGGACAUUGAAUUAUUUACAAAUUCAGCAGUCAGCAGCUAAAGAUGCCAAGUGCAAACAAAUGUGUAUGCAGAGUAUAUCACCACAUGUGUAUGCAUAUAUGCAUGUAUAUAUAUAGCUAUAGAGUAUAUAACAAUCGAUUGUGAGAAUACUAGAAGCAAUUGCUACUAAGAUCAAAAUCAAAUUUGUGUUGCCUCCCUUAAAUUUCUUCAAGUUAAAUAUUGAUGGUACUAGAGCUACUGCUUCUGGGAAGAUUGGUGCAAAUGGAGUGAUUAGAAAUCAUGCUGGUACUUGGAUUAUUGGUUUUCAGAUUAAUUUGGGAGUUGGUGAAAUCCUUACUGUUGAAGCUUGGGGCUUAUUUUAUGGUUUGAAGCUUGUUGUUAAGUUGCAGAUUUCAAACUUAGAAGUUGAAUCAGAUUCUGCAAUUUUGGUUAAUUUGAUGCACAGUUCAAAUCUGGCUCUCCAUCCUUUAGGCUCCCUCCUUGAUGGUUGUUGCAAGCUCAUGUCUAGAAUGGAAAAUGCUAAGCUCAGCCAUAUUUUUCGUGAAUCUAAUGACUGCUGAUGCUUUGGCAAAGAGUAGUAUCUCCCAUGAUUUGGGCUUCAUAAGCUUUGAAGACCCCCCUGUGCAUGCUGCACAAGCCUUUCUUGAUGAUUUGAGUUCUACUGUUAGAGCUAGAAGAUCUGCUUCAUGCUUUAAUAUUUAGUUGUUUUUUGUUUGAGCUCGUUUGAGCUCCGUUUGUAAACCAAAAAAAAAAAAAAAAUCAAAUUUGUGUUCACAUGUCACUAGUCAUCAACUUGUCAUCCAGUAAAGACAAUGUAUAAUAAAUUCAACAAGGCAUCAAUGCACUGACGAGUUUGUAAUAUCUUAAUUCCCUAACAAGAGACUCUGAAACAAUCAUCGCCUCUAGAGCCUCAGCUGCAGCUGUGGCAGCAAGUGUCUUCCUUUGAAAUAGGUGUCAUCAAUAAUGUAAGAAAUGAGAGACUAUAACUUUUAUAAAUGAUACUAAUCUAGUAAAAACAAAAGGUUCAAGCAGUUGACAUGAUACAACAAGGAAUAAACCUUAAGGGAAAGGAGAUAUGCUACAGAAAAACAUGAAAAGCUUUUUAGAAAACCAUUAACCAGUGAAGACCCCUAUUGGAUUAAAAACAUAAUUCCAAUACAUGUAUAUCCAACAAGUUUAUAAUAUGAAUGUUGUAUGCAUAUUUAUUUGAUACAGAUUAACACAUAAGAGGGUGGUUUCUAUAUAAUUUUGCAGCUGAUACACAUCUAUAUUUAAUCAAUCACCAUAUAAACUACCAAACUAGCAAUAGACAAACAAGAACAAACAGUAGCUAUGCAACUUAACAGAAUCAAUAGAAAUCAUCAUCUAUCAUGCUCAUCAACUCAAAACACCACAGGCAUACCACAUACAACCAUAAAACAUCGAACAUAAUCAACCCUCUUAGUCUUAGAGCUUAGACCUCAACUGAAAAUAUUUCACAGCAAUCAAUAUCGAACUCUUAAACUUGAAGACCAAUAUUUACGAGAAAACAAAACAAAGUUAGCACAUAAACACAAACCAUAAUGCACAUAGUAUUCUAUUCAAAUUCUAAAUAUUCCCUGAAUCAUCAAGGCCAAUGCAUAUUCAGCUUACCUAACAAGCUCUCUAAAGGAACACCUCCUUUUUGCUAUAGAGUCUGUGCACUAUCAAAUCCAUUAGCCGACUGACCUGUAAUAAGUUCAAAGUCCUAAAUUUUCAAUUCACAAACCAAAACCCAAUUCUGAAAAUGAAAACCACAAACACUCCAAAGCUACUAACAAAGUAAAAGCCCGUAACUCAGAAACCCAAAAACACAAAUCAUAUAAUAGCCUUGACAUUUAAGAUCAAAAAGACUAUAAACAAACCCAACUAUGACUAAAUCCCCACACUUUAAACAACCCAGUCAUGGUGAAGAUGUAGAAGCAAAUACGACAUCGUUCGAUUAUGGAUCAAAAUAAGGGUUUUAAGAUUCAAGAGAGAUAGAGAUGGAUGUUUACCUUGAAAAACCCUAAGGCUCUCCUCCGACCGGCCACUCUUGACAGUCUAAUUAGCUGGAAUGGACGCCCUCCUCGACUCAAUCAACAUUCAAGAGCUCCUCUCGACGCAGGACCUGAGCGACCCCACCACAUCGCUCUCAGCAUAGGAUCUCCACCUCCUCAUCCAACGCCUCGACUCCCACUCCCUCAAAAUCAAGUCCAAAAUCCAAUCCUACCUCCUCUCUCACCACCACUACUUCGCCGACCUCUUCUCCCUCUGCAGUGAAGCCGUUUCCCACUCCCACACGCUCUCCGACAACGUCACUCAUCUUCUCGCCUCGCUCUCCGAUCGCCCCAUCAAGGCCGAGAUCGGCGUAGAUGAGCGCCGCGACCAAGGAGGCCAGGGAGAAGCAGGAGCUGCUGGAGCUAGUGAGGGCGAUUCUAGAAAUCAGCGAGAAAUUGAAGGCAACCAUGGAGGCAGUGAGGAACGGGCGGAGCAAGUGAGAGGGCUGAAGGAGGAGCUUAGGGUCUCUCUUUCCCUCUUGAACCGAAAUGGAGAGGCUAGGGUUUCUUAUCCUGUUAAGGGUUGAACCAACGGUUUAGAAGAGAAAAGAAAAGAUGGACGGUUUGGAUUAAUUGGUGUUUUUAAAAAUCAUAAAUAGUUGACCAGCACCCUUCCUAUACCUUAACCCCUAAUUAACACCUAAACCUAGCUUUUCUAUCAUUUAUUUUAGGUCAAUCGUUUUGACUUUUUAAAUUGUUCAUUAGACAAUAUAUAUAUAUAGUCUAAGUUUAUUAGAAAAAAAAAGUUUAUUGAAAAAUGACCGAUUUAACGUUGACCACAUCGACUGAGACCUGAACAUUAUCGAAAACGUCUGAAUUUUGUACCAUAGCUAUAUUUCACUACCAUGAUCAUAUCCAAUACUCAAACUUCAAUUAUUCUUUAAAUUUAGUCAUUUGAAUCACAACGUGCCUACUAUGUGCUACAACAUGUUUACAAGGUUAUAUCUAAGCGUAUAUCUUUAUAAACCAACUAUAUGAAGGAAAUAAAAUUUACAAAAUUUGACUGCACGAUAUAAUCACAAUAGUUGAAUAUGAAUACGGUAGAAAAAUUCGCUAUUUUUGAUAACGUAUGGGUCUCGAUCGCAUGGAACAACUAUAUUUAUGCUUAUGCUUCCCUAUGAGGAACUACAUGAUCGGGAGAUAAACGUGCCCGACUUUUCACAUUGAUUCAUUGUGCUAGUCUUUAUGAGAGUGUGAGUGUUUACGAAUCAAAAAAAUAAGUUCAAAUGGAGUAGAUAAAAGCGUUUUCGUUUUAUAAUUAAUAAAUCAUAUUUUCAAUUUAGAGACAAUUGACCUUGUAGACAACAUAUUUAUGUGGUCUGAAUAUACAAACAAAAUUCGCGCCAAGUUUUCAAUUUUUGACAAGUGUGGGAAAACUCUCGGGCUAGCUAGCUAGGUUAGUAAAGGGUCAAAAUUUAAGUUUUGUUAUAUGACGUAAAUCUGUUGACUGAAAAAUGCAAAAUAUAAGCUUCAUCAAAUGACAUAAAUAUGUCUUAUGAAGAAUGGAAAUCAGACGACAUAAACUUGUCGUCUGAAAAUAAAAAUUUUAGCUUUCUCAGAAUGAUUAGACGACAUAAACCUAUUGUUUGGAACCUUAUAUAUUUCACAAAUUCAGCCGGAUGAGAUAAGAGCGUUUCCGUAUGGAUAAUAGGCAUAUCGUUUGUUGACCAAUUUCAGACCUCUUACAACAACAUAGUUAUGUCGUUUGAGUCACACAAAGAAGUGACACCCUAUUUUGUAAAGAGCGAGAAAAUUUCACUAAGGGUGGGAAAACUUCCGUGUGCCAAUUGAAAAUUUAAGGUUCUUGUUGGACAACAUAAAUAUGUCGUCUGAAAGAUAAGCACAUUAAAACUCAUACAGGGAAGUUCGAAUUGAAAAUUUCAGUUUCUUUCAAACGACAUAUAUUUGUCGUCUCUAGAAGUACAUUGAAAAAGCUGAAAACCCGAUUUGGAUAGCCUUUCUCACAUAACAUAUAUAUGAGGUCUCAAUUUUCAGCUGAAAAUGAGAAUUUCUAGGUUUGUUGACACCACACAUAUAUGUCGUAUGAUUUUUCCAAACCUAGAAAAAAUGAAGGAGCAUCUAAAAGUAUUGAAAUAACAUGUCAUUGAGAUGACUUUUACAUUUUAUAUGUCGUCUAAAAAACCAUAAAAACCAUCAGACGACACUGUUUUGAAAUACAGUUUUAUAUGUCGUGCCUCUUGUGUCGUCUGAUGAUGUUAUUAGCAUAGUAAUUAACUGACCUUGAUGAUUUAUAGUGAUCGUUUCGUUGUUUCGUAGUGAAUUUGUUUUCUUCCUUUUUAAGUAUAAGUUUAUAUUUGCCGACGACAUAUAUGGUUCAUGUUAGCAUUCUAGUGCUGAAACGACAUCAAGAUCUUUGUCGGUAAUUUCAUGUUGCCAACAUCGGAAAAAAAAAGAAGCCUUGGUGACGGCACCUAAGGUGAAGACGACUAUGGUUGCAAACAUCAUCGUUGAAUUAUUAUUGAUUAUUUCCUCAUAAAAAUAAAAUAUUAUUGUGUGUUCACGUUUAUAUAUAUAUAUAUAUAUAUAUAUACNNNNNNNNNNNNNNNNNNNNUUCGUGCGGACGUCCGCACCUGAGAAUUCCUGUAUAUAUAUAUAUAUAUAUAUAAAUCUUUUCCCCACUGGUUAUUAUUCUUCAAGGUCGGAGUCUAUCAUGAAGCUGCUAAUUAAGGUUUAUAGAGAUGACAGUGGGGAAAAGAUUAUCAAUUUGGUUGAUAAUCGGUACAAUGAACGGUUAAGAUUAUCGUUAAGCUGAUAAUCGUUAAACUGGCAGUGAUUGGAUAUUUUGUUGGCUUUACAUCGAUUAGGAGUCUUUAGGGCUAGUUUGGUAUUGCUGUGACUUUUAAAAAAAAACAAUUGCUGCUGUAUUGUGAAAAUAAUCAGCUAUGAAUUAAAACAGUUUUGUGUUUGGUAAAUAUUAGUUUUAAAAGUGCUGCCAAGAUAAAAUUUAUUAAUUUCUAGUGUUUUUAGUGAUAGCUGCUUUUAAAAGUAACGUACCUUGAGGUUGCUUCUAUAAAGCUGCAGCCAGUGAUCUGUAAUUUUUUUUAAAAACUGUUUUUCUUUCAUAUACCAAACACUAUAAAAUCUAAAAGUUCGGAUAGAAACUGAUAUUUUUAAAAGGGAAGCUGUACCAAACUAGGCCUAAAAAGGGGAAGACUAAUAGUUAAUUCAAUGUUAUGGCUUGGGUUAGUUUGGAGUUAAUACAAAUCACAAAUACAUUUUAGAAAGGUGUUCCAAGUUCAGCACUCCUAGACUUUGCUGUUUGUAUAAUGUGAACAGUACCACAUCGGUUAUUGGCAGAAGCAGGAAUUUGAAUGGUUCUAUAAAAAGAGAAGAGCUUGGUUGAACAAAUCAUACCUUUCUCGGCCUUUUGGCUAAGAUCAAGUGUAGUAUUUGUUCUUAUCAGUUUAAUAUUAAAUUAAUUUUUUAAAAUGGUGAGUCCACCACAAUAGCUUGCUAUUGGGGCUCACACGAGUCAUCUUUGUGUUGCACUACAACAAGGUUUGGCGCACCCUCCCAAAUAUGUGUACAAUGUUUAUGGUUGAGCCAUCCUUAUGUUAAGCAUUUGUGGUUGUUUGGUCUUCAUUUGUCUCCAGGUUUGUGAAGAUUUAUAUUAUACUCCAUAAUUAUCUAAAACGACCGGUAACAUUCGAGUUUUCCAACUAAAGCUAGGGCCUCUCUAAGUGCCUGAAGGAGAUGCUCUGGAUAAUCCUCAAUCCCAGUAAUGCCGUGUUGCGAUUGCAUAGAACGCAUAGAACUCAGGAUUCUUCCAACAAUCUGAAUAAAUAUACGAACAAGCAUGCUGUUCCUCUUAGUCAAACAAAUUUACCCCUAAGCCUUCAAACAUAAGUGAGAGAGACAUUGUACGAUGCUAAUAAAGUAGAUAGUUGGAGAAUGACCUUUCGACGCUUUCGUGCAUAGCCACCACAAGCAACACCACCAAUCAUAGCUGAGGUUUCAUCCCUUGAGUUCUCUAUCAGAAUUCAAGAUCAGUCUCCUGUCUAUGUGAAUUCAAGAGAUUCAAGAGUCCGGACAUCAUGUUAUUUCGAAAUGAAGAGGAUAAAAGGGAAGAGAGGGGGAGAGGUUAUCAUGUGUAUAUAUUAAUUACUAGCUAUUUGAAUCGUUCAUUAGUCGAACACAACAUCCCGGUUAUAAAUGAAAGACUAAGAGCAUCUUUAGGAAUGCUGGCAAUUUUUGUGUUAAAUUUUAGUCAAAUUAGUUAAAAUGUCAUUUUGACUAACCACUUUAGAAAUGCAGCUGCAUUGCUCUCUAUUUUAGCUAACAUUACAUCAACAUUAUUCUUCAAAUAAAGAUUAAAUAGUUAAAAUAUAUUUAUAUAUCACGUAAAAUAUCUUGCAAGGAAUGUAUUAAAUUAUAGCUAGCCUCAUCUGAGUCAUCUUGCUCUCUAUAUUUAGCUAGUGAGAUAGCUAAAAGUUAUAAUAACGAAACUUUAGUUAGCCUGAUGGAGCUCUAAAAAAAUAUAUAUAUAUAUAUAUAUAUAUAUAUAUAAUAAACUAAAACACGCUCUCUAAAAUAGCUAAAAGGUAAAAUAGAGAGUCUGUUAAAGUUACUCUAAUAUAAGUAGACUAGAUAAAAAUGAGUAUAUGAGUAUAUCCUUCCAAAAAAAAUGAGUAUAUAGAAAAAUAAUAUUAAUGUUUCCAAUGUAUAUAACUAGUGAUUACUGAUUAGUUACCGGCUACAAAGACUGGUUCUUCACUAGAGCUUCAAUGGAUUGCCUGAAGAUACGCCGAGCCAGAAAGCAUUUACCUUUUUUUUCUCUAUCUUGCCGUUUUUCUCUAACUAAACAGUAACUACCUCCUGUCCUAACGGUCUUCCUGAACAAAGAAAAACACUCAUGAAAACAUAGCAUGAUUUGGCUUCUGAUUCCUUUCACCAUUUAGUUCCUAUACAAAAAUCCUGGAAAUCAAGUUUUACCACCUUCACUAUUUUUCAAAGCACAACACUAUGUACUGAUUCAUUGAUUUGCAAGUCUCAUUUUUUCUAGCUUCUUUCCCUAGCCUGCUUAGGGUUUCUGUCUUCAACUAUGAUCUCCAGAAAGAUCUUAUGUAUUCUGAUUCUGUUAUCGUUGUCACUAAACACCAUCCAUGUUCUUGCCGAUGACUCAGACGACAAGGACUCUAAGAAGGACUCAAACUCAGACAAAAAAGACUCGGGCUCGGACGAGCCUGAAUCCUUUUUAGUAUCUUGUGGCUCCGAAAAUGAGGUAGAAGAUUCCUCAGGCCGGAAAUGGUCCCCCGAUUCCAAGUUCCUAAACUCUUCCGACUUCUCAUCGACGGAACAGCUCAACAAAACUGACCCGACUCUCCCCUCCGAAGAUCCCUACAAGUCGGCACGAAUCUUCAACGCCACAUCCUCUUACAUUUUCUCAGUCACGACCACAAAACGCCUCUGGAUCAGACUCCACUUUUAUCCAUUCGAAUACUCCAAGAUCGAUCCAGCCAAGGCCUAUUUCUCCGUCGCCGCAAACGAGUUCACUCUCCUCAAAAACUACAGCGCUUUCACAAAUGCCGCAGCUCUCACCAUGGCCUACAUUGUCAAAGAGUUCUCACUCACUCCUAGCACAUGCGGGAACCUCAACAUCACAAUCACACCGUCUCCGCAACCGGAGGGCGCAAUCGGUUUCCUCAACGGCAUCGAGGUGAUUCCGAUGCCGGAUGUUUUCAAGACAACUCCCUUGGUCGGCUUCCAUGACCAGACUAUCGAGGUCCAAAACUCCUCCGUACAAACCAUGUACAGAGUCAACGUCGGCGGAGAUUAUGUUCCGCCAACGGAGGACGCUGGUGGGAACCGAACAUGGUACGAAGACGGUGGCUACUUAAUCGGUUCCCCCAACACUAAAUACGGCGUCAUCAGCGACGCCGAUAGCAACAACGUCACCAUUAAGUACGACGGAGAUGAAUACAUGGCCCCAGAAGCUGUUUACAAUACCGCGAGAUCAAUGGGGCCGAGUCCAAACGUGAACCUCAAUACCAACCUGACGUGGGUUUUCGACGUCGAUGCCAACUUCACGUACGUCGUGAGAUUGCAUUUCUGCGACUUUGAGCUGGAACUGACGAACCAGAGAGCGUUUGAUAUCUAUCUCAACAACCACACGGCGCAGGAAGGCGCCGACGUGAUAGCGUGGGCCGGCGGGGGCGGCUCCUCCGGGAAAGGGAUCACUGUUUUUAAGGACUACGCGAUUUAUUUGAAUGAUCGCAAUAAUGGGAAUGAGCAGAUUUGGGUGGCGUUGCACCCUAAUGAGAAAUCAAAGCCUGAAUACUAUGAUGCGUUGCUUAAUGGAUUAGAGGUCUUCAAGAUCAACGACACAUGUGGGAAUUUUGGAAGCGAAUAUCCGGUGCCGGUAAGACAUUACAGCUACAGCGAGGAGUUUCUGGAGAAGACAAAAGAUGAAUGCAAGCUGAUAGGAGAUCAAGACACUGACGAUAACUGAAGUAAGAAAAUCAAGGCCUAGCUAAUACUUGUAUUUUGUGCAUGCUUUUUGACAAACCAAGUGUAUUUGAGUAUUAUUACAUUAAAAAAUGUAGGGAAAAUGUUCAUUUAGUACUAAUUUAAACCUCUCAUUCCCCAUUCCAAUGACAAUCUUUUUCAUUAGCCAAUAUGCCCAAAUGCACAAAUCUUUACUAAAGUCUUAAUAAACCAUAUUAUUUUAAGACUAUUUUGCCCUCACCCUUUAAACAUGCAUAGAGAGAGAAAAUGGAAGAGAUAAUACUUGGCCGGAAUCUCACCGGACUCCGGUAACCGGUCGUCGGAUUUCUCUGGUCGCCAGAUUCCGGUCACCGGUGAUUCAGUUACUGACCCCUAAUAAUUAGUUACUGACCCCCAACAAUCGGGUACUGACCCCCAAUAAUCGGGUACUGACCCUAAUAACUUGGUUACUGACCCCCAAUAAUCAGUUAUUGACCCCUAAUAAGUGGGUUCCUAACCCCAAUAAUCGAGUUUCUGACCCCCAAUAACUUGGUUACUGAUCCCCAAUAAUCAGUUACUGACCCCAAUAAUUUGGUUACUGACACCUAAUAAUCAGUUACUGACCCCCAAUAAUCAGUUACUGAUCUCUAGUAACUUAGUUACUGACCUCCAGUGACUCAAUUACGAGACAACAAUUUAACAAUAUAACCACUUUACAUGCAUUUUAAACCAAAACAUAACAUAUGCAUCAUCCUCUCCAUCCUAUCAUUUUGAUUACAUUAACAUAAAGCCUUUCGAUUCCAAAUGCCAUUCCCCAUUACUCUAGCUUAAAGCCUUGCUCUUAACAAUAACGAUAAUAAACCGAGAACACAAAAUAGAUAUGUAACUAAAAUGCUGACCAACUUUGACAAGAAACCACAAAGUUUACGAUCAUUUACUCCUCAGCCUUCUCAAUCGGAUCUUCUUCUAUACAGGUACAAACUGAACGGUAGAGAUGUGAUUUAGUGAUCCGGAAGUUUGUCAAAUACUGUAUCCCUAGAAAUGAACAAAAAAAGGGAUCCCUCAUGAACUUGAACCGUUCAUGUUUAUAACAGAAAAACGCAGUUUUGAGUGCCUUAAUGAUAACCAAAUUGGUUGAAAUUUUGCAAAGAUGAUCUAUACAUUAGUAUCUAAAUACUAGACGGUGGAGAUAUGAAAAUUCGAUUGAAAAGUGAGUGUAAAGUGGAAAUCCGCACUGUAAAAAUAAAUGCGGACAUCGGCACCUGAGAAAAUCUAUAUAUAUAUAUAUAUAUAUAUAUAUAUAUAUAUAUACUAUAUAUNNNNNNNNNNNNNNNNNNNNUCUUACUCUUUCUGUUUUGAUCGUAUUGGAGACUCAUGCUCUUUGUUACUAGCUUUUCAGCCUUGCGUUGUAGGGUUUGUAAUUCGGGCUUGCCCAUUAAUUAAUGAAUUAUUCAUUUACUACACAAAAAAAAAAAAAAACAUAAGACACUAGUUAUGUCAAUUCGUAAUCCGAGUGAGGAACCGAUCCCUGCACCCAAGGACACAAUAAUGUGAUCUUUUUCUUUUCCUGAUUGUAAUUAAAUCCCGGCCACAUCGAAAUUACUAACCAUCCGUUUAACUGAUGAAAAUCAAUUUGCAGCGAAACAGCUUUCAAAUUUUAAUUCGUUGGUACUAAUGAAUGUAGGCCCUGUCAAAUAACUGAAAUAAGUCUUAAGGAUUUGAAAGUCGACAUUUUGAUUCUCUUGUAGACCAAGUUUGAAAAUCUGAGAUACUAAACGCACGCAGCACAUAAGCUUUGCAAGUUAACAAGAAAAAAUUGAUUAACAGAAGAUUCUUAUUAUUAUAGUUGAAAAUAAACACAACAAUCAAUUCAUAUAUAUUCCAAGUGGAAUAAGAUGAUGAUGGAAUGAAGUUGGAAGAUCAUGAAAAACUGAACAGCAAGCUGAGGACAUGCAAUUAAGUUUAACAGUAUUCAUUAGGAUUGGCCAGGAGGUAGUCUUCAACAAGCUUGAAGAGGUGGGAUGCCUUCUCUUUGCCAGCCUUAACAUGCUCCUCUUUGAUCUCCACAUCACCUUUGGUGUGGUAGUUGCUUGUGCUCUUGAUGACGGAGCCUCCAUCGGAAGAUGCCACCAAUUUGGUCUCGUAUGAGAUCUUCUCAAUCUUGUCCGACAAGGCAUCUCCUUCGACCAAACUGUAGCUGUACGCAAAGUUGUCUUUGUCAAUCCCAUCGAUCUUGUGGGUCACUGAGCCGAACUGGCUGCCCUCACCGAAGGUGAUCUUCUUGAUGGUUCCUACGCCUCCAUCUCCUUCAAUGAUUUCAGCACACUUCACUGCUUGUGGAGCAAUCUUUGGGAUGAGGUUAUCGGCAUCAAGGAUAAAAGCCUUGAACAAUCUAGGUGGUGGGAUGACUGAGGUGAACUCGGUUUCAUAUGUGAAGACACCCAUUAUCAGUUUAUGGAAGUGACACAAGAAAAGAAGAGCUAUAAGAGAAUUGGUGUUUGGGUUGUGAGAGAAGAGAAUGAUAUGGGUGGUAUUUAUAGAAUAGUACUCGACCAUGAGUUGAGAUAGUAGCUGGUUGAGUGUCCCUGCUGCAUGUGGAUGCUAGUAUAAUUCUCUUGGAUGGUCAAAGAAAGCACCCCAGCCCCAAUUAAUUGGCUUGAUUGAAUCGGUCGGUGUGCUAGUACUAGACGACCAAAAACUACAGAAAGAGAAUGGGGCUGUGUUCUAGAUGUUCUUAUUUCAACUUAGCUUUGAGUUUUCAAUAGUUUCCUUAAGUGUCCGCACAAAUUAAUGUAGGGCAGUCAACAUUGGCUAUCCCAUAUUAUUUUUUCUUUGGUUCAAGACUUUACAAUCAAAUGAAUGCUCAUUUUUCUUUCACAUCAGACUUACACAACAUUGCAAUGAAAAGUCUAUUUUCACGUUCUUUGUAAAUUCCAUAGCCUAAAGCUCAAACUUUGAUCUACAGGGUGAGCUAUUUCACCCCUUUAACCUAUAAAUACCACCUUCAGGGCUUACACUUUCUCACACCAAUACCAAUACUCUCUUUGCUUCCUCCACAUUUCAGUCUUCUCAUCUUAAGCUUGCAAACGAUUAUCAUGGGCGUGUUCACUUAUGAAACCGAGUUCACCUCUGUCAUCCCACCCCCAAGACUCUACAAGGCCUUUGUUCUUGAUACUGAUAACCUCAUCCCCAAGAUUGCCCCACAGGCUGUGAAGAGCACAGAACUCGUUCAAGGUGAUGGAGGUGUUGGAACCAUCAAGAAGAUCCACCUUGGUGAAGGAAGCGAAUACAGCUAUGUGAAGCAUCAGAUUGAUGGACUUGACAAAGACAACUUUGUUUACAACUACAGCAUCAUUGAAGGUGAUGCUAUCGGAGACAAGGUCGAGAAGAUCUCGUACGAGAUUAAGUUGGUGGCGUCUCCAAGUGGAGGUUCCAUCAUCAAGAGCACAAGCCACUACCAUUGCAAAGGAGAGGUUGAGAUCAAGGAAGAGCAUGUCAAGGCCGGAAAAGAAAGAGCUGCUGGUUUGUUCAAGAUCAUUGAAAACUACCUUUUGGGAAACCCUGAUGCAUACAACUAAAUCGAACCAUGAUAGCGCUACUGCAUUAUAGUCUCCUUUUGUCAUUGGUGUGGCUUUGAUAUCACUUUCCUUUCUUUUCAACCAAGACGUUUGUUUUGGCUUUGCAUUUUGGUUUAUGGCGAAUUGUAAUAAUAUUGGAUUUGAUUUAGCCAAAUAAAGAAUAGAAUUGAAACUUGUUUAGUCCUUGUGGUUUAAAGUCGACAUCUGUUUAGCCCUUGUGGUUUUAUUUUAAUCUGAAUAGUCUUUAAAGUCACAAUUUUUCAUCUAAAUAGUCCUUAUGGUUUUAUUUUAAUCUGAAUAGUUCUUAAAGUCAUGAUUUUUCAUCCAAAUAGUCAUUUCAACAAUUUCUCAGUUAAAGGCCAUAAGGACUAUUUGGAUGAAAAAAUUAUGACUUUAAAGACUAUUCAGAUUAAAAUAAAACCAUAAAGACUAUUUAGAUGAAAAAUCGUGACUUUAAGGACUAUUUAGAUUAAAAUAAAACCAUAAAGACUAUUUAAAUGAAAAAUCAUGACUUUAAAGACUAUUUAGAUUAAAAUAAAACCAUAAGGACUAAACAAAUGUCGACUUCAAACCACAAGAACUAUACAAUAUUUUACCUAAAGAAUAAAUUGAUGGUACUCUGAACUUUGGCGAGUGAUUAUGUACUGUUCUUAAUCACAUCUGCAAAAUAUACCUGUCACUUCAACUUCAAUUCGGAUUUAUGAUUUAUAAGGGCAUUCGCAAAAUAUACCUAUCACUUCAACUUCAAUUCGGAUUUAUGAUUUAUAAGGGCAUUCGCAAAAUAUACCUGUCACUUCAACUUCAAUUCGGAUUUAUGAUUUAUAAGGGCAUUCGGAUUUAUGAUUUAUAAGAACGCAAACCCCUUGGCAACAAAUUAUGACAUAGGCUAUCCCCUCUUGAGGAGACCUUAAGCAAGCACCCCUCCAAAGUGCAAUGGAGGUCACUAGCCUAGGCCAUGAGUCUUCUUAUCGCCCAUUGACCCCAUCCAGGUAAGUAUGUUCCACCGUUGUUACUCCUUUUCGUUUAUACCUCUUACCCUUGUCUCUUUUCUCUUGUUCUCGAUGUGGGAUGCAUGCGGAACCGUAUCUACCAGUUGCUACAACUCUGAUAAUGAAUAAAAAUCUCACACGGCCACAUCUCUGAUAUAUGAAUAAUGAUUCAAACCUCGAGUCCCUAUCUACCCAUAAAACUAAGAGUUUGAAUUUACAUAACAAGCUCAACCCGUUUGUUUUAUGUCCAAUCAUCAUUACUAGUUACAAAUGGCUCUUCUCCAAUGUGUUAUACAUAUGCCUCCAUUUUGCAGCUUGAUGAUCAACUCGAAACAUCAAUACAUACUAGUUAAUAAUGGCUCUUCUCUAAGUGUGUUACAUAUCCCUCCAUUUUGCGGCUUGAUGAUCAACUCAUCUGUCUUUUAAAGAUGAUCAGUGUGAUUGUCACAUGAAGCAAAAGAAUUGGUAUUUGUUCAUCUCAUCUGUCUUUUAAAGAUGAUCAGUGUGAUUGUCACAUGAAGCAAAAGAAUUGGUAUUUGUUUUGGUAGGAUGCGCCAAGCUUUGCUGUAAUGCAACGUUUACAGCAACGCUAAGAUGACACGUGUGAAUCCUAAUAGUAAGCUAUUGUGAUAGAUUCACCUCUUACAAAAAGUAAUUUAAUAUCAUGUGAACACUUAGUCCACAUAUCAGAUAUUAAACUGAUAAAAACAGAUACUUCACUUGAUCUUAACCAAAAGGACGAGAAAAAUAUGAUUUUGUAGGUCUUCGACCGUCUUUUUUAUACCCAACACUAGUCUCCUACUGCUUUCAAGUAACCGAUGUGGGAUUGUGAGUGCUUUUUUAUUUUAUUUUAAUUUUUUUUUUCUUUUUGAUGUACGUGCUUCUGCAGUUUGUACUUCUCCACAACCUCAUAACAACCACAAAUCAAUGAAUAGUACAUCAAAUGUAGAAGUGCUUUGGUUAGAAUCUUCUGGUCCUUCUUAUCGCUGCAUACAUAGUUUUGGUACUUUUUUUAUUUUCCAUAGCUUAGUUCGACCAGAAAGACUCCUAGUAAGACAAGGAUUGCUCUCUUAAUCUCUUAACCGGGAAUUUAAAAGGCAAAGCAAAUCAAUCAACCAUGCUGCUCACCAAAAAACAACUCAAACAACAAGAAUAAUCAGCAGGUAAUGGUACUUCAUUAGGUGCAUCGCAUUAGUAAUUCUUGUUUUGGUCGAGCUUUCAGAGUCAACUAUUUGAUGUAAGAUGAAUCAUAUUACUGAUACAAGUAUGACGUCUACCUACCUCUAACAAGGCGAUGAAGUUGCUCAAAUAAUGCAGCUUUUCUGUUGAACCUCAAAGUUGGUCUGAUAUGAGUGAUUUAGGAGGGUAUAUUGUAUAUGAAAUUAGUGAAACUUUAUAAAAAAGUCUAUGGAAUUUAAAUUAACUCUUAUUAUUUAUUAAUACAAUUAUACAAAACUGACGUCUACCCGACCUCCCAAAAAAGAAAAUUAAAUUAAAUUGAAGAAGAAGAUGAAUGUUACAAUAAUUUGGAAAGGUAAGGUAAAUGUAGGACCACUCCCUUGCAUGAAACCUAAAGAAACGCCAAGGCACUCGAUUCUGAUCUUUAAAAGAGCAUUGUGGCGUUUCUCUCUCUCUGAAUUACUCCAUCGAGUAACUACCUCCUAUCCUAACGUUAGUCCAUGUCGAACCAAAAACGCAGGCACAAGAAAACCAAACCAGAAAGAAAGAAAAAUGUUACACAGAAAAUGAGAAACAAACCACCGUCUAGUUUGUGAUCUUGAAUCACUUCCUACAUUUUAAUUUCCAGGUAAAUCUUUAAUCUAUUACUUCCUAUGAAACCAAACUACGUACUUUGUUUUUGAUUCAGAGCCAUUGUGAUCAAACUUCACCAAGUACAGGAAAACAUACUUUGUUCUUGUUCCUCCUUGUUUUCCUGUACUCUGUUUCAUAUCCUCUCUAUUUUUCAAUUCCAUCACAAAAGGGUUUCUCAUUUCAGCUAUGAUCUCCAACACCCGGGUCUUAUUUUCUCUGAUCUUAUUAUCUCUAAGCACAAUUCAAGUUCUUAGCGCAGACUCAAAUUCUUCCAAUCCUUACAUUCUUUCUUGUGGCUCUUCAAAAGGUGGCACCGAUUCCGAUGGCCGGAAAUGGUCAUCGGAUUCCCAGUUUAUUUCCGGGAAUUCCACAACGGCAAAGGCCCAAUACCAAGACCCUUCUCUUCCUUCCGAAAUCCCCUACAUGUCUGCAAGAAUCUUCAGCUCUUCUUGCUCAUUCAAAUUCUCUGUUUCACCAAAGCAACGCCAUUGGCUCAGACUCCAUUUCUACCCUUCUUCCUAUAACAACCUCGACAAAUCCAACUCGUAUUUUGAUGUAACUGCAAAUGGAUUUACUCUCCUCAAGAACUUCAGCGCCUCCAUCACAGCUCAGGCUCUCACGCAGGCCUACAUUGUCAAAGAAUUCUCACUCAUUCCUAUUGAGUCCGGGAAUCUCAACAUCACCUUCACCCCCUCUUCAUCUCAUAAUAACUCAUAUGCUUUCGUCAACGGUAUUGAGGUCAUACCUAUGCCGGAGUUAUUCCAAACCGCCAACUUGGUUGGAUUCAAUGACAAAACAAUCGAUGUACAAAGCUCUACCCUUCAAACCAUGUUUCGGCUCAAUGUGGGUGGACAGUAUGUUGGGCCAGCAAACGACUCUGCUGGGCUUAGCCGGACAUGGUAUGACGAUUCGCCUUACUUGUUUGGUGCUGCAUUUGGUGUCACAUCUCAGGCUGAGAAGAAUGUCACGAUUCAAUACUCUAAAAAUGUGUCAGAUUCUUUUGCACCUGUUGAUGUUUACAAAACAGCUAGAUCAAUGGGACCUGACUCGAAGGUGAAUUCGAAUUACAAUCUCACAUGGGUUUUCCAAGUGGAUGCUAAUUUCACCUAUGUUGUGAGGUUUCAUUUCUGUGAGCUUUAUCUCACCAAGGUCAAUCAGAGAGUGUUUGAUAUAUAUGUGAACAACCAAACUGCCCAGCAGGAUGCAGAUGUUAUCAUAUGGGCCGGGAAGAUUGGAGUUCCUGUUUAUAAAGAUUAUGCAGCUUAUGUGAAAGAUCAAACUGGUGAUGAUGAACUGUGGGUGGCAUUGCACCCAACUGUGUCAAUGAAGCCUCAGUACUAUGAUGCAAUACUUAAUGGAUUGGAGAUAUUUAAGAUCAAUGAUACUCGUGGCAACUUGGGUGGCCUCAACCCUGUGCCGUCUCAGAUGCUUCAGGAUGCUGAGGCAGCCGCGGCUGGGGCCAAUGAUCCCACCCCACGGGCAGCAGGAUCAAAGAAUAAGGGUUUGGUAAUUGGUGGAGUCACUGGUGGGGCUGCUGGUGUUGUUGUAGCUGCUGCGGUCUGCUUUUUUGUAUACCAUAGGAAGAAGAAAUCACAUGAGUCCGGAGCUGGGGCUUGGUUGCCGCUGUAUGGUACCUCUACCACAAUAACUUCUCGAAAGAGUGGUACUAAUAGCGGUAGUACUAGCCAUGUUUCGAGUCUGGCUGCUGGUCUGUGUAGGCAUUUCUCAUUAUCCGAGAUCAAACAUGGUACCAAGAACUUUGAUGAGUCUGAAGUUAUUGGGGUUGGAGGGUUUGGGAAGGUUUACAAAGGGUUGAUUGAUGGCUCAACGAAAGUGGCUAUAAAGAGAUCCAAUCCAUCUUCUGAACAAGGAGUUAAUGAGUUCCAAACUGAAAUCGAGAUGCUUUCAAAGCUUAGGCACAGGCAUUUGGUUUCAUUGAUUGGUUAUUGUGAAGAAGAUGGCGAGAUGAUUUUGGUUUACGAUUACAUGGCUAAUGGGACUCUUAGGGAGCACCUUUACGAGCAUGACAAGCCUCCCUUGUCGUGGAAGCAAAGGUUGGAAAUUUGUAUAGGAGCUGCAAGGGGACUGCAUUAUCUUCAUACUGGUGCAAGGUACACAAUUAUUCACAGAGAUGUUAAAACCACAAAUAUUCUCUUGGAUGAGAAUUGGGUUGCUAAAGUGUCUGAUUUCGGGUUAUCCAAAACGGGGCCUAAUCUCCAGCAAACCCAUGUUAGUACAAUGGUGAAGGGUAGCUUUGGAUACUUGGACCCUGAAUACUUCCGCAGGCAACAACUGACUGAAAAAUCAGAUGUUUACUCAUUUGGGGUAGUUCUAUUCGAAGUCUUGUGUGCAAGGCCAGCACUCAAUGCUACAUUGCCUAAGGAGCAAGUUAGUCUUGCAGAUUGGGCGUUACACUGUCGAAAACGGGGAACUCUUCAUGAAAUCAUUGAUCCACGUCUUAAGGAGACACUAAUGAAUCCUGAAUGUCUUAAAAAGUUCACAGAGACAGCUGAGAAGUGUUUAUCUGAUCAUGGACUAGAACGUCCUUCCAUGGGUGAUGUGCUUUGGAACCUCGAGUUUGCUCUUCAAUUGCUUGGACAUCCUGGUGAGGAAAGUGUUGUAACUGAAGUUAAAGCAAAUGAUGCUUAUGCUGUGCAAAAUGCCGCUGUCGCCAUUGAAGAAGAGAGCAGUACUGCAGGUGUGCCUGUCGAUGGGUUGACCAAUAGUACUGUUGUUUUUUCACAGUUUAUGAAUCAACAAGGAAGAUGAUGAGCAGGACAAUAAUCAAUCAUGUGAUUAGUGUUAUGCCUGAGUUUAUUUACUUUUUUUGUAUGCUUAGGAGUUUUGUCUUGUAGAUUGUGUAUACAGACAACUGAAGCUAUUAGAAAAGCUUUGGGGGAUACACAUGCCAUUGUGUAUACAUACAACUGAAACUAUUAGAGGUUGAAGAACUAACUUGUCGCUUUUUCGUUCAUUUCGCUUUCUUUCUUUCAGCUUUCAUUUGAUACAUUGAUAUAUGUACCAUAUGGACACUAUCAUUUUUGGGAGCUGAUCCAUCUGUAUGGAUAUAUGUUAACUGCACCGGAGCAUAUUUCCUUUUCUUUUUAGUUUUUCAUGUUUUCCUUAAAGAAAAAAAAAAAACUAUGAUGGAGCAUAGAUUGCAGCUUUUGUUUUCAAAACACAGCAAUGUAAGUAGGCUACAUACUAAGCUAAGCUUUGAAAAGACUUAUAAGUACUCUAUUUUCUGGACUAUUAAUAAUCAGAAGUUUGGCUUUUCAAUUAGCAAAACUUGGCAGAUUUGAAAGAAAGGGGGUACAUGAAGGAGUUAGAAUAAGUGAAACUGAUGCUCUGGCUGGUCUUCAAAGGCUUGCCUCCAUUGACCAAGCAAUCAUCAAAUGAGAGCCUCUUGAACAUGGUCGGGUUUAUGACUUUUGUCGAGGCAAACCAACCACAGUGGAGAUGAAUAUUUGAAGGAGCACAUGACACAGGAUUAACACAGGUGUUCACAAUCUGUACUAUGUACCUUGGAAUCCCAGAUGUGGUGUCUAUGCUUUGUAAGAUGCUUAUGUCUCUAUUUGCACAGCUUCCUGUUCACAAAAAUUAGUUAGCUCUAAACGAGAUCGAGGAAAGUACACAAAUUUUUGAGGAUAAGUACUAAUCAGAUCAUGGGUACGUAUGUGUUAUAGGAAAAUGAAAAAGAUGGGAUCUUCACCAUGAUACAAAAGCUUUCUGUGACUUGAUGAGUCACCCUUUUCUGAACAAUUCAUUCUUGCUGAGUGGUUGCAAGAAUCUCCAUGAAAUGAAAACAAGAGCUUGUUUAAAGGACCUGUAGAAAGGAAAUGUAUUCAUGUCGAUUACACAUAAUGUGCAUAUGUACUAGGAACUUUGUAUGAGAAUUUAUAUACAUGGAAUUAUGGAUAAAGAUUAAUUGGGAGGUACCAGAAUGUGUUCCAAGAUUGCAGAACAUAAUGAUGGAAAUGAGGAGCAAGUAGAUGAGGAAAAACACAUGAAAAGAGCGCAUGAUGAUGGCCUAUUGGCCUAGCCUCUUUGGUUACAACUUACAAGGUCCAACUGCAGUGUGUUUUGUGGCUGGAUCCCCUACUUAUUAGUGUUGGAUAGAAUCUGAUUUGUAAUUAUGCAGUGGAGGUCAAAUUAAGUAAGAAAUGAGAGGAUAGGGUACGCAGAAAAGAUUUUGUAGGGUGGCUGACUCUACUUGUCUUCUGGGUUUGAACAGUUGAGUACAGUAGUACACUACUAUUAAGUCUGCAGGUUAAGCACCAAAGAAGAGUGAAUGAGUAUUUCACAUUUCACUUUUUCAUUUGCGAAGACAAGGAAAGGUAGCAGCAAGUUUUUAUAUACAGAAUGACAAAUUUCUAUUUCCCAGUUAUUUUUACUAUGCCGUUGUUUUUGUGUCAGAUGACUCAGAUCAAUGCCUUUUAGUAAUUAAAUUUUAGUAAGAAAGAAUACAAAUACUACUCAAAUAGUGACAAGAACUAAUCUAGUUACUGUUAACCUCAUAUAUAAUUGGCAGGAAUAUAAUGCACAAGCGGCUUCAAAGGAAAAGGAAUUUCAAUCCAGCAAUGCUUUGGACAAAACACCAUGGAAAUUAAUGGUGUGUGUCUAUAUAUAUAUAUAUAUAUAUAUAUAUAUAUAUAUAUAUAUAUANNNNNNNNNNNNNNNNNNNNGGUGGAGGCGCGCCGUCGUUGGCGCUGGACGGUGGAGAACGGAGGGACGUCCGCACUAACGUUCACCUCUGAUCCGGACUAUAUAUAUAUAUAUACACACACACUUUCUUGGCUAAGUAUGUCCUUAUUUAUUCUUACGGUGUGGAUUUCCACUUUAGACUCAUUUUUCAAUCGAAUUUUCACAUCUCCACCAUCUAGUCUUUAGAUACUAAUGUAUAGAUUAUCUCUGUAAAAUUUCAGCCAAUUUGGUUAUCAUUAAGGCACUCAAAACUGUAUUUUCUGUUAUAAACAUGAACGGUUCAAGUUCGACAAAAUUAUAUUCAUUUAUUAGUUUAAUCGAAUUUGAGUGCCUUAAUGAUAACAAUUGACUGAAAUUUUGUAGAGAUAAUCUAUAUAUUAGUAUCUAAAGACUAGACGGUAGAGAUGUGAAAAUUCGAUUGAAAAGUGAGUCUAAAGUGGAAAUCUGCACCGUAAGAAUAAAUAAGGACAUCAUUAGCCAAGAAAGCCUAUAUAUAUAUAUAUAUAUAUAUAUAUAUAUAUAUAUAUAUAUAUAUAUAUAUACUAGUAGUANNNNNNNNNNNNNNNNNNNNUGUCCGGUUGUGUUCAUACCAGAAAAACUCGAGUUUGAGGGCCUUCACGAUCACCAAAUUGGCUGAAAUUUUGUAGAGAUGAUCUACACAAUAUUAUCUAGAUAUUAGACAGUGGAGAUGAGGAAAUUCGAUCGGAAAGUAGUGCAAAAAUGGAAAUCUGCACCGAAACUUUCGGUGCGGACGUCCGCAGCCAAGAAGAGCCGUGUAUAUAUAUAUAUAUAUAUAUUGUUUUUCCAUUGUUUUGAGUCUUUCAACUACUUAUUGGUCACCUUCAGUUUUGGUUCUGAUGUGCCUUCAUCAAAUUUGUGGAGUCUCAAUCAAUAAGAAGGUAUUAUAUAGGCUUCAUCAUCAACCUUGUUAUUAAGAAUAGUAGACUCCUCUUUUUCAAAGAGCAAUAUUACACAUUGUCAUAACAUUAUCAUACACGUACUGUUUCUGUAAGUGCAUCUGAUUUUGAAGUGAAAAUGUGUGAGAAGGUGAGGAAAGCACUACCCUGAAUAUAUUCAGUAUACAGUUCUUCUUCAUCUUCAAUUUUUAUUUUUUUUAUUUUUAAAUUUUUUAAAUUUAAACUGAAUUCAGUAGGACAGUUGCGCCAUACAGUUGCAUGUAUAAGAUGUUUUGACCCCUUUUGGGGCAUGUGUGUUGCAUCAUAUCAAAGCCUGUUUCUGCAUGCACCUCAGCUCCUGCGCUAAUGUCGCCACUUCAUUAGUCAAAAAAAGCAGAUCCUUCUCUCUUCAUUCCACAGUAUUUCAUCUUUGUUUUUACCCCAUUGCAAAUCUUAAUAAAUAUAUUAUAUAUCAUUCUCUUUUGUUUUGUUUAAGCAUGCGGCAUCUUUCUUAUUCCUGUCUUGAGAUGACCUCUGUGACUGUCUGAAGCAUCAGUAUGUACAGAAAAGACAAAACUAAGGCUUGCUUAUAUCUAGAAAAGUUGCACAAUAUUCCAGUGGCAUGGCCAGAAAAAGCAGUAACCUAAAAUAGGAACUUGCAGGAACAGCUAGGUUUUCACAUGGCAGCUAAGGUGGUAUGUCUACUGAUAAAUUAGUUUGAGGUUCACAUAUAAAAUUAAUUAGCAAUGGCUGAUGUGGUAUGCCUACUAAUAAUUUAGUUUGAGAUUCAUAUCCAAAAUCAAUUGGUAAUAGCUAGAGUGACACAAACUCUUAUUAACCCACAUGCUCUUAUUAACCCACAUGCAAGGUCUCAUAUUCCCGAUGUGGGAUUGAUAUCUCAACACGCCCCCGCACGUGUAUCGAAUUUUCAAGCCUAACACGUGGACAACAUUUGGGGUUGACGUGGAGUUCGUGCGGCCAUUGGGCUUCACACGUGGACGUGGGUAACCCGCUCUGAUACCAUGAUAAAGUAGUCUGAGGUUCACAUCCAAAACUAAUUGGCAAUGGGUGGAGUGACACAAACCCUUAUUAACCCACAGACAAAGUCUUAUAUUCCCAAUGUGGGAUUGAUAUCUCAACAUCUAUAUCAUCAAUUAUGUGUCAUUUCUAGUAUUUUUUAAUUUUUUAAUUAAUUACUAAAUUUCUUUUCAUUUGUACUUUCUUAUUUUAUUUUUUAAACCAUAUCUUUUAUCUUUUUAAUCGUUAAUACACAACAAUAUGUCUUCAACAGACGUAGUUCUGCCCUAAUUCCAAUCCUCCUCUUAUCUCACCCCUCCUCCCAUCUCCUCGUUAAUUUAAUUGAUUAAGGAAUUCUUAGUUUGAUUUCGACCUCUUCUAAAAUGCAGCAGGGCUGAUGGUAGAAUUAAGACAACAAGUGUCGAAGAUGAUACAUUGAAAAAUAAACUUUGCCGUCGAUUGGAAUUAGUAGAUGCAUGGUGAAAUUGCCAAUGGAGUAGUCUCUGUCUCAAAUAAGUGGUCUUAUCAUCUUUCUGAUGACUUCAUUGAGAUGUUGGUGAAGUAGUUAUCACUGUUAUCACUCAUUGGUUCACUAAAGUUCUCUGCUGUGUGUACAUCUUGGAGAGGAACAUCGUCAAAAUGGUGUCAACAAUCAACCAUUUUCCAUGGAUCUUGAGAAUUCCUUAAUCGACUAAAUUGAAGAGGGAUGUGGGAGCGGAUGAGUGAGACGAGAGAAGGCUAGGGUUUAUAUCAGAAAGAUUUUUUUAAGGAUUAAUAAGAUAAAGGAUAGGGUUUAAAAAAUAAAUAUAAGAAAGCAAAAAUGAAAAGAAAAUUUCGUAAUUAACAACAAAAAACUGAAAUUUAAAAAUAUUAGAAAUGACACAUAUUUGAUGAUGUAGACAUACCACGUCUGUAAGGUGAUCUCUUGAUGGUUCACCUAGCAUUACUCUUUUUAUAUAUCAAUAGCUUGUGAAAGUUCCCAGUUUCACUAAGGUUUUCUAUAUAUACUUAGCUAUUGCUCGCAUAUGAGGCUUGAAAUCAUGAAUGAAAUACCCUCCAUUGUUUCAUGUCCCACGUUAAGAAAGUAACAAAAAAAACACUACAAUUUCCAAUCCCACAUCGUCGACUGCUCAUGCAUUCGUCGUUAAGUUGUGGGAAGUUCACUUCUACUUUAAAGACCUCUUCGAUGUGGUCGCACAUGUAACAAAUUUUCACAUCGAUCAAAAACUUGGUGUUCAAGCUAGCAUGAAUACUUCUAAUUAGUUUCAUGCAUAUGCAAAUGAUAUUACCCUCCGUUUUAUUUUGACAUAUUGUGAUCUAGCUACUGUUUUUUUUAUCAAAUUAACAUUUUAGUUUGAACUUUGAACUUGGACUAAUAUCCUACAAGCAUCUCUACUGUGCAAAAUAUCAUAGCACACACAAUCAAAACUAAAAACUACAUUCGUGUUGAUAAACUCUCCUACGUGCUCAUGUGAUUCUUUUGGCCAGCACGUUGGGGAUUCACCUUUCACAUGCACAUUGCAUUUUGCGGCUACUUCCACCUUGACAUAUAUGAUAUAGCAUUUCGUGGCAGAUCUUUACGAUCUAUGGCAGACUUAGGAUUUUAGGUUAGGGUGGGCUAAAAAAAUUUCUUAAAGUUCUUUAAUUUUUGUUUCUAUAUUUUAUAUAUCACAUAUUAGAUUAAAAACAUAUCAAAUAAUCAUGUAGUUAACUGAUAGUAAGAAUUCAAUAUUAUACAUUUUAUAUUUUAUAGAAAUUCGAUAACAAAAGUUAAAGACAAAAAAAUAUACUUAAUCAAAUUGAACCAUACGCUCUUGAAUAGAAGCAAAAUCUAAUAACUAAGUUGUCUAACCACACAAAUGCCGCUCUAAUAAUACAGUAAACGAGUGUAUAAUAUUAAAACCUAAUUGGACGGAAAAACACAAUCUAAUAACUAUGAAUCAAGCGUUGAUACUAUUACAACUACACACACACAUCAUUAGCAUUAGUCAUCUACAAUAAAGUACACAAGUAAUUGAAAUUAGAAUUAAAAUAUUAAUAGAAAUACAGUGCGAUGGGAUGAUAAGAUAUUGAGAUUAUCAAGGCAUUAAUCAAUUGAGAUUUGAGAUGAUGGGAUAUUGAGACUAAAUUUGAUCAAGACAUUAAUCAACUGAGAUUUGAGAACUGAGUCAUAUGACACGUAUAAGACUCCAAGAGGAUGAUCGAUAUAGCUAAGAAUCAUUCUUAAAGAUUAAAGAGAGAAAACUUGGCACUUAGCUUAGCUGCUUCGGCAGAAAAGAAUGGAGACGUAUACAAUGACAAAGAAAAAGAAAUAAAGAAAUGAAAGUUGACCUAAGAUAUACUAAAUGAGCAACUAUUUUUAAUAAAAUAAACAAUAUAUAUGUAAUUCGAAAAAAAGAAGAAAAAAGAGUCAUAUGGACUAAGUUCAAUUACAUAUAAGCUAAGUAUAGAAAUUUGGGGUGGGCUGGUUUUCAUAAUUUAACUUUUUUUUUAACUAUAAUUAUGCAACAAAGCAAUGUUUUUUCAAAAUCUGGAGUGUGUUGUAGCCCAUUGUAGCCUGUGUGUAGGUACACAUUUGUUUACGACAAGCUGGUUUGUGUUAAUUAAUUAAUCGAACUAGGUAAUAUUCACACACACAAAAAACACAUAAAAAUACUAGCACUCUCUUAGUAUGAUAAGUAUUGUCAUUCCUAUACAAAACAAAUAAACGUUGAUUGAGAAAGAUUAUUAGAAUUUAUUGUUGCCUAGUUUGAAUAGGAUUUAAUUGAUUAGGUUUCCUUCCUUUCACGUGUCAAUCUAGUUUAAUAAGCAAAUCAGAUAUCAAAGGAAUUAAAUCCUAUUCAAACUAGGCAACAAUAAAUUCCAAUAAUCUUUCUCAAUCAACGUUUAUUUGUUUUGUAUAGGAAUGUCUAUUGGUGCGUGGAAGGAAUGAAACUUAAUAUGAUUAGUUUUUCUAUGCCUUUAAUUAUCAGAUUUGGUAUUAUUUGAUAUAUGAGAUAUAUUUGAUUGAUUUGGUGAUUGUGCAGUUUAAAAGAUUUAUUUUUAAGAAACCAAAUGGGUAUAUGACAUUGAUGAUGAGAAGAUGUCUUGCAUAAGAGUUUUGGACGUCUAUAAAAGAGACGUAGCAGCUUGUUUGAAGACUACCUUUUGCACGUAUUCUUUGGAAACUAUCUUUGCACGUUUGAAAGACAGCUUUUUAUUUCGUUGCUCAUAUGAGUGCACAAGUUCAACUGUUCCUUGUUGUGUGUGUGAUUGUGAUUCUCUUGUGUGUUGAGAGAAGAUCAUUGAAGAAAGAAGAAGAAGAAGAUCGACGUUCUGCCUAGAGAUAGGAAUUUGUAAUAGUAUAGGGUUUAUAAAGAAGUUGUAAGACUCUACACAAAUUCAUCUAGUUGAGUUCGUUUUCUAAGCUUGUGCUCCGUUGUGAUUUUUCCUCUAUUUUGAGAUUUUUACACAUCGUCAAAAAUUUGGUGUUCUUGUUAACUUUCUGUCAGUUCGUUGAAGUUGUUUCAAUCCUUGCUUCACGUUUCAGUACCUUUAAGUGGUAUCAGAGCGGGUGCUGGAAGAGUCUAGUAGAUCCAAGGGAAGAUGGAACGUGACUCACAUAGCUCGGCAGUUAACACCCCUCAUUGGUUUGAUGGUGAAAAUUAUUUGGAUUGGAAGAUUAUGAUGCAAUCAUUCUUGUAUGCUCAAGAUGAUCUCUGUUGGUAUGUUAUUGAAGUGGGAUGGACUCACCCCACAAAAGAAACAAAAGGCAAGGAAUCAGAAGGAUCAUAAUCAAAGACAGGAAUCGUGAUGAAAGCUCAUGAGCAUUUUGAAAAGUUUGAGGAAAGUUCUGACAAAGUAUCAAAAAUGAUUAGCUUUGGAAAAAGUCAUAACAACAAAGAGGGGCUAGGUUUUGGCGGAAAAUCAAGCAAGCAGACAAUCUUUGUAAAAGAAAUUAAGUAGUACGAAGGAUUGCAAUGAAGUUUCAAUCCCGAAAAGAGAUCCAAACAGAAGUCAAACAUCUGCAGAGGUAGUUCCUCAAAGGUUAAUCUCAUUCCACCCUCAGGCUGCUCAGGUAAGAUCUGAUGACCUUAUACUAAAACAUCAGCCCAGGUAUGGCUACAACUCCUCAAACUUUGUUCCUACUUGUUAUCAAUGUGGGAAAGUGGGUCAUAUUCGGCCAAGGUGUAAUAUGUAUUGGAAGGAAAAAAAUAUGUUUAUUGACAAAUGAACUCUUAAAUGUAAAAAUGGAUCAACAAAUGAAUUUGAUGAACAUGAUUGCAGAAAUGAUUUCAAUCCCAGAAAAACUGGAAAGAAAAUCAAAACUUACUUGGGUUGAAAAGGACAAAAAUUGUCACAUUCCGAUCCUUAAUUUUUACCCUAAUUAUUUACGUUGUAUUACCCUGAGCUUUUACCGCCUUUGUUAGGGGUCUCAUAGUUCAAAGGACCAGAGACGACUUUUAUAUGACGACUAUUACGGGGUUUGUUCCUUAAAGGAAAGUCGUUAAGGACGAUAAAAUGAAGUAGCAGACAUGAGUUACUUGUGUUUUGGAAAGUAGGUAAAAAGCUGAAAAUUAAAAGGGGGUAAUUUUAUUUUGUGGUUGGGUUUAAAAUGGGAAACUUCCAUUUUAGAAGCUUCCAGAUCAGGAAACUGGUUGGGAAAAAGAAAAAGGUCCAAACUCUCUCUUUUCUCUACUCUCCCCCGAGCUUCUCUCUCCCUCUCCCUCUGCCCAGUGACUUGCCGCCUCCGAGCUCCACCGUUCGACCAACUCAGACCGCUGCACCGGUCCCGAACGAUCCACCGUCGUUCCUUCUCCUUUUUUGGGUUGGUAAUCGGGUCUCCAACUCGAUCAUGUGAGAGAAAUCCUCUCUAGAAGCUCAACUACCCUCUCACCGAAACUCCCUCUUCCGGCCGCCAUAAUCGGAGAUUCUUGUCUCAUCUUCAAGCUCUCAUCUUGUAUAGCAAAACCCCAAAAGGAUUCGAUCCAAUUCAGCUUGGGACCUGAGGAGGCUCGAGCUAAAGAGACCUUGGAUCAACAUCAAGCUUAGGCCUAAAUCUAUGAGUGGACAUUUGUUUUGAAUUAAAUGCAUGCAGUGAUUUUAUAUUAAAUGAAUGAUGUUAUUUUACUGAAUCUAAAUUUGUGGAAUUGGUUUCAUUUUCAUGAGUUAUUUCCGCGAAGUUAUUUUCAGAAGUAAAUGCUCUUAUUUUUAAUUGUUAACUUCACUAUUUAGAAAUUUACCGAAAAUGAGAUUUUCGGUGGAGUCGUAUGCAUAAUGCUUUCUUUUAUAUUUGGCAAUUUUCUUUAAUUUGGAGAGUUACCGAAAAUGGGAUUUUCGGUGGACAUAUAUAUGUAUAUUUAUGAGAAAAGUAUAUGUAUAUAAAUGCUAGCUAGCCAUACGUGUCUGUCCACCAUAAUGGUGUAGCAAUUAGCCGCCAUUAUGGUGUGAUGUGAGCGUGGGACGCACGCGUCGUAGCUCUAUAUGGAUGUUCAUAUAAAGGGUAUGAGCACGUAUAUACACCCGUCUAUCCACCUUAAUGGUGCAGCGAAUAACCGCCACCAUUAUGGUAUGACGUGAGCGUGGGACGCUAACGUCGUAGCACUAUAUUAAUUCUUAAAUUCAUAAAAAAUUCAUAUAGAGGGUAUAGACGUGUGCAAAUACAUACUUUUAUACUAGAGCCUAGGAGGCUCAAUAUCAUAAAGUUUUGGAGACUAGCGGGGCUAGUCGCGUAUUUCAGUGUUUGCCAAUUUCUGAGUUAAGAGUUUUAUUAUUUAUUACAUGCAGCGUAGUUAUCCUAAAGAGAUUAAUUUAGGAAAGCAUAAAGACUUUUUAAUUAUUAGUUUCUUUUAAACUUUAUUUUUGUCCACCCACUCUAACGUUUUCAAAUGUUUCUCCCCUGGGCCCUUCGGUUUUAAAUGUCUAGUUUGCAGGUUAGCAUAGUUGAGGUCGAGCGUACAUGAAGUCGAGGCAUAGUCCAUGAUAUAACUUCCGUUUAUUUGUAUAUUAUGUUUCCUUUCUUCCCUAUUAGAGUUGCUCUGAACCUAUGAAUUAUUGGUUGUGGGAGUAUUUUUUAGAUUAGUGAAUAAAUUGGGAGGUGUUGUGACUUUGGAGAGCACGAAGGCUCAAGGAGUAUAAGGUUAGAUUUAGAUUUUUAAAAGUGUUUGCAGGUGUUUUAUAAGAAAGGGUUGUCCAUUUUCAGGGGAGGUUAUAUAUGCCGAAUUUUCGGUAAAUUUUCCUUGGAAGUGGUCCUCACAGGAUUUACUUUGGGUUUCAGGGUGAAAUUCAAGGUGGGUCCUGACAAAAAUAAAUGUGCUUCUGAAAAUUCUAGUAAUUGUUGAGAUAUCAAUCCCACAUCGGGAAUAUGAGACUUUGCAUGUGGGUUUAUAAGGGUUUGGGCCACUCCAUUCAUUACCAAUUGGUUUUUGAUGUGAACCUCAGACUACUUUAUCAGUAAUAUCAGUAAUGAAUUACUGGAGACUAUUGACGAAAUUUGCUUGUUUUCAACUUACAAGAUCUUUGAAGAUGAUGAUUUAUCAGAAAAACCUAUGUGUGAUCCUCCACUAAUCAUGAGAACCGGGUUUAAACAAGUUCAGAAAUACCACUCAAUUGAAGACAUCAUUGGUGAAGUAAAUACGGGUAUUAGAACUCGACGUCAGGUUUCAUCCAAAGUUAGUAAUGAUUCAGCUCUUAUGUGCCUUGUUGUUGAAAAUGUGUUGAACAAAAGCAUAGUUUGUCAUUGUGAUUCUGUGUCACUUAUUGAGCCACAAACUGUUAAAGAAACUUUGUUUGAUGAUAAAUGGAUACAUGUCAUGCAUGUUGAUGAAUCACUUAGAAGCAUCAUUGGUGUGUGCUCUAAGUAUUAAUGGUCUCCCUUAGUUUGAUAUAUUUUGCGUGCAUUCAUACUGUAUGAUAUCAUGAUAGUUUUAGGUUCAUUUGUUUCUUUUUUUUAUUUUUCUGCAUUAAAAAAAUAAUAAUAAUAAAAAUAAUGGAACAAAUAAAUUCCAUAUUUCGUGAGGAUUGUAUACUGGGUUUCAAUCCUGAACUAUCUGAAAGAGUGAGUUGAACUGAGAUUACCAAGUUAGUUGUCAUGGCUUUAUCUAUAUAAGAUUGAUAAACUUGUUUGCAGGUUUUGAUAUUGGUUGACAUCUUGUAAUCUUGAGCAUGCUAGAAUAAUCAUUGUUGCUUUGAAAAACUUCACAUACACAGUCUCUUUUUUGCUGUGGUGGUACGAGAAUUUCUUGAUGUGUUUGUGUGAUAUAUUGCUUGAUUGCUCCAAGAAACGAAUAAUUGUUGUGAUUAUAUGGAGCUAGUUAAGACUAUUUCCAAAAAUAAACAUGUCUUGGUCGUGACGAACGAUAUAAGGUAAUGAGAGAGAAACGGGAAUGGUUUGAAGAUAGGCCAGCUAUUUCCAAAGUAAACAUGUCUUGGUCAUGAUGAACGAUAUAAGGUUAUGGGAGAGAAAUAGGAAUGGCUUGGUCAACAUGGUGGUUCAUAGAAUUUGACUCGAGUACAUGUCCUUAAGGGUGUCCUUGUUACACCUAGUACCCCAAAGCCAACUGGCUUAGGAGCUAAUGAUAUUGUACUUGCUACAUGGGUUAAAAAUUUACAAAUUAAAGAUUGUGUGAAAGAUCAAAAAGUAAAAUGAAAUAUGUGGAGUGCCCACACAAGAGUUAUAAGGGGGUUGUGUAACAAUGUUUCUUAUGGUAAGUUGUUGACAUCUCAAGGUAUUUCUCACCCCAUAACAAAGACUGUUCAUUUUUCACUCAAGGUACAUGAUUGAUCAACAUAUGCUUCUUGCUUACAGGUUUGUGUCGAUUAAGUCAAGCAUGAAAAUUGAGUUUGUCUAUUUUAUGUGUAAAGUUAUGAUUUGUAUCUUGGUUGAAUGCUUUGUUUCUCCUCUUCAGAUUUUUUAUGGAAGACAACCCAGUUCAUUAUGCAUGUUUGCAUUUCAUUCUUGCAUUCUUCAUAUCAUGAUUAUUCUUAGGGGGAGUAUUAAUACUUGGAGUAUAUUCAAAUGCAUGGUCGAUCAAGAUAUUGCAACAGUUGUUGUUCUUCAAACAUUUGGCUAUCGAUCGAUUGAGCUAACUCUUAAAUUCAGAUAUCUAUAUGAAAUCAAGCAUGGGACAUUCUUAAUAAGAACUCGAUCCUAGGCUGCUCUAAUCGUCUUUCGCUUGAGUUUCAACUAGCCAAUAAAUCAAUAUAUAGCUCAUUUAAGAUGCACUGUCAACAUGAAAUCUGUUGUAAAGAAAAUGAAGUCAUUUGCAGAAUAAAGUAGUUUACUCACUUAUGAACAUCAAACUUUAUCAUCUUAGUUUCCAUAAUGCACAUUCCAGUACAUGUGUUUUAUGAGUGUUUUAUUUAUCUAAACACUAUAAAGAGAAAACAUAGAGAUUCAUUCAUGGAGUCAUUAAGAUCAAAGUUAAUUUCCAUCCUUCAUCAAAUUCCUCAACUACCUUCAAGUUAAACAAAUGGCCUCCCUGUUGGAGGCAUUGUUAGACUUGUGUUCGAGAUGUCGAGGACGGGAACGUUAACAAGACUCGGGGGACGGCACCAGUGAGGAACCUGUUACCAUUGAGACGCAGAAUCCGAAGUGAUUUCAAAUUCUCCAAUGAAGAAGGUAAGAACCCCGAGAGGAUGUUUUCAAACAAGUCCAAGCCUAUGAGGUUCGUCAGCUUACCAAGCUCUUCUGGAAUAACUCCUUCAAUGUUGUUUCUAUACAUCACUAGAAAUUGAAGCUGCGUUAGGUUUCCAAGUUUGGGUACCAGUUUGCUAGCGAGGUUCGCUAUGGCUAGGUCCACUCGGAUAACGUGGCUCUAAUCGUUGCAGAUGAUGUGAGACCAAGUGCAAGGGUCAUCGACAAAUUCUGGAACCCACGACUUGAGCUCAUUGUCUGGAUCAGAUAAGCUACUCUUCAGUGCGGACAAAGCGGCUAUUUCAGGGUUAGUGUAGACCAUGGUAGGCUUAAGGUUUAGGGCAGUCAGGAGGUCAAAACUCAGGCAUAGGGUUCAGGCGAACAAUAAGAAAGUGCUUGGUAUCACCAUGGUUGAAGUGAAAGCUUCAGAUCUUAAAAGAGAGCGGAAAUGGAGAAGAAUGUGUGUAUGUGAUUUGCCUAAUUUGGGAAAAAAGUCCAAACAGUGUCCGACCUUUUAGAGAAGCAAAGUUUUAGUAUCUCAACUUUCGAAAACUUUAUAACGGUAUCUCACGUUUUUAACCCAACCUAAAAUUCGUAUCUGGAGCCAUUAGCUCCGUUAGAAAAACUGACAUAUGAAGGCUACUUUUGUCUUUUUAUAUGUAAACAUAUUUUUNNNNNNNNNNNNNNNNNNNNCUCUCUCUCUCUCUCUCUCUCUUCCCAUUGAAACUCAUAUUCAAUCCCGUCAAAGAGAAAGAGAGAAUAUAGGCAAAAUUAUCACGUUUUUAAUAUUUAUCCUUUUUUUUUUUCAAACUUAAAACAGUAUUUUUUUUUUGCUUUCUUAUUAUAUAUAAAAAAAUAAAGAUUAUUUUGGUCAUUUUAUGACAAAAAUAUGACUUCAGAUACGUAUCUUAAAUUAGGUUAAAAACGUGAGAUACCGUUUUGAAGUUUUUCAAAGUUGAGAUACCAAACCUUUGUUUUUCUAAAAGGUCGGACACUGUUUAGACAUUUUUUCCGCCUAAUUAAGGUGGCAGAGCACCAAAUUUAUAGCUGCGCACAGAGAUUGCACUACAAUUGAAUACAUUAAAUCAGCGUUGUUGAUGAUGAUCGAGUCAUGCAAAAAGGAUUUCAUCUAGUUCUAACACAUGUUUUGGUGAAAUUGUGAUUUAUGAGUCAACAUUAUGGGUACGUGGGGAUUAUGUUGAGAGAAAAGUUGGUCAGAUUAGGUUGUUAUAAGAGGGAGUUUACGGGAAGAGAAGCAGCAAGGCAAGUUUUCUCGGCCCUUUUGGUGAGUUUGAUGUGAGAACGAUUCUUAUAAUCAUGCAUGAAAGGAAUAAAGUUGGCUAAUCAUAGUCAUUGACUCAGCCAGUUUGGUGGGAUGUGCCUCAUUUUAUUUUGUAAUAUUGUAAUUGUGAUUCUUUUGGGUUUCCUCAAUUUCGACUUUCUUAGUUUUAUCUCAUUGUUAAUUUGCUUGGAGAGAUUCACUUUGAUCAUUUUUUUGUCGUUCAUUUUUCUUUAUUAAUCCAACGGAAUGUUAGGGAUGGUACUCUUCUCUUUCCCUCAUCUUUUCGCCAAAAUAAAACAAAUAAUGGCUCGAUCGUUUUGAUUUAUUUAUUUUUAAUAAAAAGCUGGUGCGGCUACCCUCAAGCAUUCAUUAAUAAAACUGUCGAAUACAAAAAGAGGGGGAGGGGGGAGGGGGAGGGGAAGAAGCCUAAAUAUUACAAUAAGCAUCUGGAAGUUCUAAAAUAAUAACUAGAAUUUCUACAAACUACAUGUAUUCUAACAAGCACCAAACUAGCAAAUAGUACUACUCUAAUGACAACUAUAUUGCUUUGUCACAAAGGUGACAUAAUGGAAAGAUUAGUAGACAUGUAACCCGAUUACAUAUCCUAGUAUCCAAUAAUGCAGCUUCACUACUAUGUUGCCGCAGCAGAAUAAGCCCGAUGUCAUAUAGUUUCAUCCUACCACUAAGAGGUUACAACCAUUUGACCAAAUAAAAGACAUGCCGCCUACCUAGAGCAGAUGAGACACACAAGACGUAUCGACCGACACAAGGUCCUUCGCGCCCUAUCGUAUUGUGAUAAAGAAUUAUUUGUGACAUAAAGCCACUUAGAACUAGAAUUAAAAAAAAAUAAUUACAUAAUAAUAAAAUAGAAUGGACCCAGAGUAAAAACCCAGGCCCAUGACACACUUGGACUAGAACAAGCUCAUAACUAGACUGAGGCCCAUCAAGUCAAGCCCUUGGUCCCUUGGUCUCAGCCUAAGCCAGCUUUUGGCCAGGCAGCCCAAUCGUCUCCAGCAAGCAAGCCUCCAAUCUAGUCACAUCACCGCUGCCGUUGCCUCUUUCGGGUCUCGACCACUGUCCCUAGCUUGGAUUCGUCGUAAUAUCACCACCACCGCAACCCCCAACCACCACCCGUUUCGCAUCCGGGUGGCUAAACUGGGGAGAAUAUCAGCAUUUUUUGACCCGUGUGUGUGGGACUCGUGCGGGCCGUCGGCUGUUUCCGCAUAACAAAUGGUAUCAGAGCCUAGGUGACACUCGGGACUUGGUGUCUCAUGCGAUCGAGUUGCAAUUUGGUGAAGCUCCCGUUUGGAUUGGGAUCACAAGAUUUGGAAUUGGAUGCUUGUGGUUAGGGUUGAGCUAUUGAGACUUGGAUCUUAAGAUUUAAAGAUGGUUCAAAUCACGCCAGGUGGAGAUUGUUAAAAAAAUGUGGCUUAGAUUAGAGCCAUUUGGAAUCUCACUUCAGAAAUGUGAAGAGUUAUCCUUGGGUUAUAAGGAAUUGUACCACACACACUAAUGCCGAGGUCUUUUGUCGUUAAACCCCCCCCCCCCCCCCCCCCCCUAACCUAUUUGUUUCACAUCCGGGUGGUUAAAUUAGGGAGAAUAUCGACAUCUUUUGACCCGUGUGUGUGGGACUCGUGGGGCCCGUCGUCCACUUCCGCAUAACAACCAGAAGUUCUUUGGCUACUCAAGUUGACGAUGACGAUGAAAAGGUAACUUUCUACUUUAAUGGGUUUUUUUGUCUUCUUCCUCGCGAUUUACUCUUUUACCAAAACUUUUUCUCAAACUUAGUUCAUAUUAAUGUCAUAAUUUUAAUUAUUGAAAUAUACAAUAAUCCUACUCGCAUUCGGAGAUUAACGGUUUAUCUCAACUACAUCACACACCAUGUACAGAAAACUCAUAUCCUAGCACACGACCCCGCAUGUUACAUUUCUCUAUUAUUAUGUGAUUCUUUUGUUUACUUUCAGUAACUUUCUGCUUUGAGGCUUAGGUUUUGAAGUUUUUUGGGGAAUUUAUGUAUCUAUGUAUGUUUACUUUGUACUUUAGAUGCAUUUGGUAAAUUUUAGACACCUUGGAUCACUAGGUGGUCAUAUGUUGUUAUUUGAUGUAAACGUGUUGAAUUUUCAUAAAGAUACAUCUUAGCCUCCCCCGAGUAAUCUAGAAUUAGUACCUUUUGUGGUUAACCCAUCACUUGCACCCCCACGACCAGUAAUCGCCGGUUGUACACUCCCGUGAUGGAAGAGAGGAGAACAACCCCAACCUUUCUCCAUCAACCACCAAAAUCCAGUUCCUCGGCUUGUUUUUGUGGGAACCUAAUACACUUGAGCAUGAAACUAAUGAUGAUAAUGAGGACUAUAUGAUCGAGGACUUAUUUAUCCACUCUAGUUAGAGUUUCACUGCAAUGGUUUCGUAUCACCAAGGUUGAGCGACUAUGUUUAAGAGUUUUAGGAAUCCUUGCCGUUUUAGUGUUUUUUUCUUCUUCUUUCUUUUUUUUUUUUGUUUUUUUUAGUAAGGUGUUUCUUUCAACUUUAGGGAUUUCAGUAAUUUAUUUUAUGUUGCAUAUCAUAAGGAUAGUUAUGAGAAAUGUUGGUAUUAAUGUGGAUGUGAAUGUUAAUCUCAUGACUAAUACUAGGUGAACUUCUUGAGGAGCCACCUAGAACCCACAUCUUAUGUGGCAUAACCACAUCAUCAAAUCAUAAUUUCAUAUUUUUCUUACUUUCGUUUUCUCUUAAUUAUAAAAAUUCCUUUUUGAAAUUUCACGUUCAAUAAAUUUUAGAAGUUCAUCGUCUUUGAACAAGGUACAAUCAUGUGUAUCUUUUUUUCUUCCUUCUGAUAGAAUAUUUUAUCCACCACUGAUCGUUAUUUCAUCAAUUUUUCAUCAAGAGAUCCAGGGUAGAACUUGACUCCUAACAUGUGUUCAAAUUUCUCCUCCAGAUAUCACACCUUUAGUAUUAAUCUUACAGCCCCUAGACAAGAUCACACAUACAUGAUUUUCUUAUGUACUUUCUUGAUUUUAUAUGUUAAACCCUAUUCCACCAAUUGCUAUAAGAAAGGAGCACACCUUCCAGCAAAUUAAGAAACAUGUAAAAUAGACAUGACAGUAUGCAUAAGGAUGUCGUAACUCGAAAUCGAAUGCCUUCACGAGUCCCCCAUCUUUGCCACGAUAACGAUGAAACCAGGGUCAGAUAUACAAUACAAGGCAAGCCUCAUACAUGAUUCACAUACUUCACUCACAAACCACCAAGGCUACCAAAGCAGACCACUUUAUCCCCAACUCUGCCACCAGACUGUAUGAAGGGUGUGGACCGUGUGGUAAGCUUGAAUUCUAUAUACGACUCAGACUCGAAUGCUGUACUGUUAUCUAUACUGGAGCACUCUAAAGCUAGCUCCAUCCCCUUUAACAUUACAGAUUUCCAUCACCAAAUCAUUAUAAGACUUUCUCUCUAGAUCUCUUUACUGGUGGAGGCGGUGAGAAUUCCAUCUGAACUUGUAGCUUAGAUGGAUCCAAAGAUAGUCUUUCUAUACAGAAAGCAUCUACAUCAAAGCCAGUGUCACUUUCCAUGUCAUUGCUAACUGACUCUUCAUCAACGUUCUUUCCACUUUCUCCUUCUAGUAUUGUUCUGAGAGAAUCUAGUCGACUUUGUUGCGAGGCCUGAUCCAACUUCAAGACACUCCUGAUUCUGUCAAGUGCUGGAUCUAUGAUGUCUAACAAUCCCAUAACCCAUGAAGCAUCAUCCACAACUUCAGUGCGCUAUUGCAAGAAACCAAAAACGGUACACUAUUAGCUUCCAAAAGUUGCAUUUGCAAUAUCAUUACUAAUAUUACUCAUAUGUAUAUAUAAGAUGCAGUAGCUAUGCUAAUUACUAACCUGCUGGAAAUAGAGAUCGCGAAUUUCCUCUGCACGGACAGAGUUCCCUUGAUUUUCUUCCAAUGAUGCCCAUGUCAUCCAUGUGACAUAACUCUGAGAAUUUAUAUUGAGAGAGGACCUGAAUAAUCUUCGGGCUGCGGAUAGGUUACCAUUUCUCUGUUCUAGAACUCCCCAAGCCUGCAAAACAUGGUCACUCGAAUGAAACCUUGACAAGAUGUAGUUCAUGUUGCUAACGCUAUGUGUUCAUUAAUACUUCCAUUGUCUUUUUAAUAAAAGACUUAACUGUUAGAAGUUUCAUGUUCGCAUAACACUAAGAGAAAAUGAGAUACUAUCUGGCUACUAUCGUUACCUGUAGGCAGCGAGCAGCAGUUUCACUAGUUGAGUUAAUAGACAAUGCCUUUUGGUAUAAUUUCCUUGCUGUGGCAAUGUUUCCUUCUUUCCAUUCCAUCCACCCCCAAGCCUAAAAACUCCAACAUUUUGGUAUCAACCAAUUAGUUUUCUGUUCAAUUAACAGUGAUGCAUGUAUGAAUAAUUAAGUCAUGUAAUCAAGGCCAUAAAUCUUAAGCUUAUUAAGGCCAAGAAUCAUUUUACCUAAAAAUUAAAUGACAUGAUUUAUUAAAUUGAUGAUGUGUCUAUGUGACAUGACAUGCCACAUAGGAUUAAGGCCAUAAAUCUUAGGCCUUAUUAAGGCCCUCUAGCACUAUCCAUCAAAAGAUAUAUCUAUCAGCUUAAUAUUGUCAACAGGCCAAUGCAUAAAUGAUGGAAAAUUCUGUUCCUUUUCAGUGAGAAACAAUGACUUGGCAGGAGAAAACCGUAGACAAAACGAUUAUCAAGGGUAGCCAGGGUAACAAAGGAAUGUAAUAGUUUGUAAUCCAUCCGAAGGAUCAAAUCCCCUCACCAUGGUGGACUAUUAUUUCUGAAAAAGCAAAAUAAUUCAUACGGGACUUAAACCAAUGAUCAUUGGGCAGUAGGAUAGUCACAGAUCAGAUUUGCAUCAUUCUCACAAUUAAUGAGGUAGUAAUCCCAAACAAAUAAGAUGUGCAUCAAUUUAUCUCAGCACUGAGAAGACUUCCUUACCGUCCACACUGGUUGAUGCCUCGGAUCCAACUCAGAUGCUCGCCUGAACAACUGUCGAGCAAGAUUUGCAGUAGAGUGUUCGUAUUCCAAUAAAGCAAGAGACUGAAGGAGGACUGGAUCCCUUGGAUUGAGCGCGUGGCCAAUCUUUAAUAAUUUUCUCCCCUUCUCAACAUUUCCCAUUUUAGCUUCAAAAAGUCCCCAAAUAUGCCAUGCAAACCUAUUCUUUGGGCUUGCCUGUAUUGAUUUCUGCAAAAAGAGGAGAACACCAAGUUGCCAUGUAGAAAGAAUCAAAAAACUGAGCUAGAGCUAAACAGAACACAACUUGGUUAUUGAAGCAUUCUAAGGAAAAGAUUGGUGAGAAUGUCUAAUGGAUUCAGAACACAUGCUGAUGCAUGACCAUAUAUUGUUAUGACCAAUCACCUCAAAAAGUUGCCUAGCAGCACGAUUAUUUUCCUGUUGCAUCUCCAUCUGAGCCCACGCCUGCAUCAUGAUUAUUCGACAAAUACAAUAAGAAAAGCAUCUCAACAUACCACAAACCACAAAAGACAUGGAAACUAACAUAACAGAGAGGCCUACAUGCAGGAAACUGAUGACUUACAAGCCAACUGGCACAGCUUUUAGGAUUGCAUCUAGUGGCCUGCCUGAACAAGUACCGAGCCUGCUCAUAGCGACUUGCUUUAGCUUCCAAUCGUGCCAAUGUCUGGUAUAUGUACUCAUUCCCACCACAAAAUUUCAAACCUUUAGCAAGCAGAUGCCUCGCCUUACUAAUAUUCCCUUGCUUCAGCUCUAAAACUCCCCAUCCAUGCCAGGCAGCAAUGUGCUUCUUAUCAGCAACCGUCGCCGCAUCAAAUAACUCCCUUGCUCUCCUUGUAUUCCCCAUCUUAUCUUCCAAAACAGCCCAACACUAUAACCAAAACACAACCACCUCAAUCUAUCAAUCCUACCAAAAGCAAAUUGCACAAAGAUCAAAAUCUCGAAAGCAAAGAGAACCACCGAACCUGCCAAAUGUAUGGAUUCUCUCCCUGCGUGGCUUGGCAACCUUUCUCAUACACAGCCCUCGCUUCGCCCCAUUUCGACUGCUUGCUUAACGCCUUCCCCAAUGCCACAUAACCUCUCCCAUCUUCCGGCCAGUAAUAUAUACACUUAAACCAACAAAUUAACCAAUUUCAGUUUCAGCUACUCACAACAAAUUAGCAAGUAAAAUGGUAAGUAUACCUUUUCGAGUAACUGCUGAGCUUCAGCAUAGCGGUAAUUUCUGGUCAAGAUCUUAGCUCUGUACAAGGCCAAGUCCAGGUUGACCUUCAACGGCUUCUCUUUGGGCUCCGACGCGGCGUCGCCGUCGUCGGGCUCGAAAAUCGCAAUCUUCUUGGCGAACUCGGCGAGGCCGACGUCGAGAGGGGAAGGGGCGGCAUCGGCGUCGGUCUCGGCGUCCAUGGAGGGGCGGCGAACGACGAGGACUGGUUUGGUGUCCGGCACGGCGGCAUUGGUUCGAGCGCGGUCGUCGGAGAGGGAGUCGUGGUCGAGGAGCUGGGUGGAGGAGGAGUCGAGGGAGGAGCAGCGGGGAGGGGAGGGGAGGGGUAGAACGGGGAUUUUGAAGGAGAAUUUGGAGAGGUGGUUAGGGUUUGAGAAGAGAGUGAAGUUGGGGUUUGAGGAUGAAGAAGAAGAAGAGAGGAGUUGCUGCAUUUCUCUCUUAACGGAUUAAACUGUGUUUGUAUGAUCUAAAAGUUGAAUCAAAUGUGAGGCGGGUAGGAGAAGAACGAUGCGGGUACAAUUACCGUUAUAGCCUUGUGCACUCUCUUUUCAAUCAUUUUCACCAAAACGUCUCGGACGUGUACACUUUUGCACCUACAAUGUUUCUUUUUAUUUUCUUCUAACAUCAUAGAGAGGGAAUCCAACAUCUGAUCUAGCCUAGUUUCAAUACGAGAUAUUUAAUCACAUAGUGCGGUGAGGUUGGCUGAGCAGCAUAGAUGGAACGUCAUGUUUAUUGUUCAAAGUCUCAUCUCUCACUAUUUUGUGGUUAGUAUGUUUGAUUUGUAUUUGAUUUCGUGUAUUUACGGUGAGAAAUUAGAUAAAAUUUAUUUGUCUACCAUGUCGUGAACCUUAAUUUAAAUAUUAGUAAGUAUGUUACUAACUUGAUAACGCAUAAAAAGUAAUUUCUUACCGAACAUCAAGUUACUAGAGAUCGUUUCUUUAAACAUAUACACAAGGGUACGUAUUUUUUUUUUUUUUCGAUUUCGUUGAGACACAAGGGAUGAUGAACGGGGGAUUACUUGUAUUUGUGAGAAUGGAACGGGUUUUGUGUAGGGUUAUUUUAGUCAAUCGGGAAAGACCGCGCGCAUUACCAACGGUUGCUGGUGGGCAUUUUGCCACGUUUUCACUUUCUGGUAUGGUUCUGGAAAAAGCAGAUUUUUACGACACGUGGGCGACUAUUAUUGGGCAAUUCCAGAAAGAUCAGAUUGUGUGUCGUCAAACUAUUUAAUAUAAAAUAAAAAGACAAAGAGGAUCGAAAGGAAGUAUGGGCUCGUAUCUACUGUGAUGCAUUUUUGCUCCAUUCAUCACUCUAAACUCUAAAUACAAUGAGUGAAUGACUUCAGUUGGACCGUGGAAAAUAAACUUGUAAACUACAAGCAAUCUUUCUGAUAAAUAGUUCAUCCGCAAUAAGAUCACAUUCUAAUUUUCUCUCUUAAGUGAUGAGGAUAGUUUUACCGACUAUUUAUUUCGUAGGCGAAAGUCAUCACUUUUUAGUGUACACUUUCGGCUACAAUCAGUCAUCACAAAUGUCGUAUUUCGUUUGUGGAACAGCGACUUCCUCGUACCGUGUUAAAUUUCAAAGAAAUAACUCAAAUAAGAUGACAGAUUAUUGAGUAAAUAAAGCAUGUGAAUGUACAAGUGAUUAUUAGAAAUGGGGUUAUAAACCCAGCAAAGAUUAAUGUACAGAUUAUCAAAACUGAAUUUUGGAUUGGAGAAAUUUCGACCUCCAAAUACCAAGUAUUGAACAACAAAUGUCUCUCCAAUUUCUCUGACAAAAAGAAUGAAACUGUAACCGGAUUCCUUUAUCUGAAAUGCUGAGCUAUGCUGUAAUUUGUUUACCUGCUUCAACUAGGAGAAUGACGCUGAGGAACUUUCAGGCUGAGGCUGGGAAAGUUUCAGCCCCGACACCACAAAAGAAAAAUAUAUAUGGCAUUUAUACAUAGCAGCCUGCCUCAAUUGGCAGUACAUACUUGGAAUUAACUUUAUUGAUCUCAGCAAGUCAGCUGACAGUUUCCAAUGAACAGGUCAAAAGAUGCUUUUCAGAACCUAGCUUUCAAUGGAAUCCCCAACGUUAGAGAGUCAUUCUUUGAGAACCUACCACCCCACUGCCUCUUUCGAGCUGGCCUGUGUUGCUUUUCAUCAGCUGUUUCAACCGUGGGAUCAACCUCAGGCAUCAACUGCUUGUCUGGCUCCUUUUUCAAGGUGAUUGGCUCCUUAAAGCGCUCCCCACGUUGCUCCAUUUUUGCCAUUGUUUGCAGAAUCCUUUGCUUGUCAUAUCCUUCUACAACUUUAUUCCCUUUAGAGGCAUUACGACUAUCAAACACUCCCUUUAUCAAGCUGUCGGCUGGUUCUGUAUAAUCAGAAGCAUGUUUUCUCUGCAAAGGAUGUGUGGUAUUCUGUUCUUGUGUUACAAUCUGGCCCUCCUCUAUAUCCAAAUCAGCAUUUUGAGCCGUAACUGGAAAAAUAUCAUGCCCUUUCUUGUUGUUUUGGUUCCAUAUAAUAUUUUGGGUGAUUUUGACUGCCCUCGCCUUCUCAGAUUCACAAGCUUGCGAAAUCCCUGAAGUCAUCCACUCUCCACCAAUCUCUGCACCCAUAUUUUCUGGCCUGCCAUUGUGCAUCAAAUUUCUGGCUUUAGAGCAUCUUGUAAGGAUCUGCAGUGUAUCACAAGGAAAUGUCACAAGCAUGUAAUAUAUCAGUAAUUGCAUAGGUAAAAGAGAUGAUUGAUAUCAGCAGCAGCAGCAGCAGAAUGCAUGAUAAAUAAAAUUCAAAAACCACCCCCACCCUCUCCGGGUCUUAUAAUUGUCCCUGACUUCUAUUCCCAUCCUUCCAAAACUGAUUUAUAAACUGUGACUGUUAUUACAAAAUUCAAGAUAAAUUCAAGUUAAAUGAUUAGAAGAUGACCAUCAACAUCUCAAGAUAUCUGUAUGCAUGGGUAAGCUUAAUUAACAGUAGGCACUGUGUUAUAACAUCAAACAAUGGAGUUAUAUGUUCAUAAAGAAUGCGGGUACUGAUAAUGUAAGCAAUAAGUUCUAAGCUCCAACUCCUAGUCUUUAAACAGCUAAAAAUAAUCUAUUUUGUGGUCAGCAGUUGCCUAGCUGCCAAUCCCUCCACAAGAAAACAACAGUUACUUCCUAGUCCAAGAUAACAUCUAUAGCGCUGAUCACUGAGUCUUUGGUAGACAACUAGAUAUCACUUGGCAACAGUUUCAGAUUUAAACUAAAAGCAUAAAAUGCUUCAGACAUAUAGGCUGAUAUAUUUUGCAGCAAGGCAGAGAAAACUUCAAUCAUGAAGGAUGAAAGAUAAUAAUCAAAUGUCUUCCCAAAGUAUUCAAUCAUUAAUCUGUGUUCCCAAACGAGUCUGACAACUAUGGACGAGGAUAAUCAAUAUAAUUUGUAGUAACUUUCAAUAAUAUGAAUUCAAAAGAAGAUAGUUUCUAGUACCUAAAAAAAUGAAAAGAAGACGCAUGCUUUAGAUCAGAUGAACCCAAAAGUAGAACACAGAAACAGAUACAGAAUAAAGAACAUGAAGAGGAAAAGCACAAAAGAAAAUAGAUUGUCUUCUUUAUAAUCUAUAGAAAAGUCAUUCAUAUGAGAAUAAAAAAAAACCAAAAACAAAAGGGAUGUCGGAUUCAUGCAAUUUGCAACCUUAAAUAGUAUAUAUAUUUGCCAACUUGAAGAGUGAGAUUCAAGCAACAUCUAAACGCCUCUCUUACUUAAAUAUUAGCAUAUAUUAACCCCAUCAUUUGAUUUGCAAUUUCUGGAAGAAGCUUCUUGCAUGAAAUCAACAUGCAUGGCAAAGCCUACUUUACAUUGAAAUGCCUGAGUAAUACUGAUCAGCACCAAAAUGAAAAAAAAAAAAACAAAAACAAAAAAAACAUUGAAAAUGAAUGAACUAACUACACAACUGGAAGGUCCUGCUACAAGUCAUUGCCUUGAUGAUUGCGGGAACCUUUUUCCCUCUCAUUUCCAGUUAUCAAGAACAAAUCAAAAAAGUAGAAGUCAUUAAAAGGUUCAUAAAACACAUUACUUGGCCAAGGGAAACUAAACACAUGACAUAGGAAACCAAAAAAAAUAAAACAAGAAAGAUGCAACGUGAUAUCAUUGACCAGAAUAAGUAAGGCUUGCUCAACUGAAUUGGAGCACUCAUAUAUACAAGUAAAGCCCUUGGUUUCUCCAACUUUACCUUUCGUUCCCUAACAGCCAAGUCCAUCGAAUUCCUGCACCUCACUGACUGCUCAUGCUUACCUCUAUACAUCUUAACGCUUCUAUUAACAAAGUUAGCACCAAUUUCUUUUCUGGGCAUUUUCAAUCUACGCUGCUCUGGCUGCAUAUUAUCAUAACGCAUUCCAUCACUUAAAGGACCAUAUUUAGCAUGAAAUUUUUCAUGCCGCACAUAUUUUCGAUAAGAACAGGAUGCUUUCUCAGAAUACAAUUUGUCAGCAUGAUGUCUGACAGUAAACUGAUCUUCAGUCCAGUGCAUAACUUCAGAACCCCAGUUCGAUCUUCUCCACCUUAAAUGAUCAUUAGCAUACACGUUAUCUUCAAUUUCAUAACCAUCAUAGUGAUCAUCAAACCAAUCAAUCUCAUUGGCUUCUUCAACAUCUAUUUUUCUCACAUGUCUCCAAUAUCUUUCGUCUGUUGUUCUUGGGCAAAAAACAUCAAUUCUUGGUGAUAUGGAGUGUUUCCAGCUUCCAUCAUCAGCUUUAUCUCUGUAAGACUGAUGGCGCAAGUGUCGAUUUUCUUUGGGUUUGCAAUGUACAUCUUCAAAAUUCUCAGAGUGUAAAUCAUCCAAAUACAUGGGACUGCCCACAUAUCCACCCCUUCGUCCCCAGUUAUUCAGUUGUCUCCUGACUGGUGGGAACUUCCUUUCAUCAAAAUCAUCAAAAUUAUUCCUUUUUCGACUAGUGAAUGAUGUGCAUCUCCCAGCUUUUUCUCCCAGAAAAUCGUCUUCAUGCCACUUAGAAUUGGGUAUUUUCUUAAACAGCAAUUUGUUGCUGUUCCUUCUCCACUGAGCAUCCCUUUUUCCAACAGUGUAGGAAUACCUAGCAUGCAACCCCCUGGACUCCCUGCUGGUAAGAGGACUCCUCUCCUCAGUGAACCGAGUAAUUCCAAAGUGGUUCCAAUCUGUAUCCGUAUCUUCACAACAAUUCUGCCUCUCAUUAAAAGUUCUAUUCACAUAUCGAUCUAGUUUCCGUUGGAGCUGGUGACUACCUUUUCUACUCGAAUACUUUCUCUGUUUUCUUUUAUUCUGAUCAUGGUUAUCAGCAUUUCUAAUGCCAUAAUGGCAGGAAAAUUUUGGUUCUUUAUAUUCUGAAAUAUCUGCUCUAUUAAUAUCACCAGAACCUCGCAGCCUCUCCUCCUGUCCGCGAGGAUUCUCUGAGCCAUUCCAGUCAUUUGGGUCCUCAGUAUCUGAGGUGAGAGACAUAUCAUUGUCAUUGUUUCUGUGAUUACUUGGUCCAUCAAUACUGUUGAGCCUCCCACCCUGAUGAUUAUGCUUCUUUUGAGAAGAACUUCUACACAUAGAAUAAUCUUGGAUAUCAACUCUUUUUCUCUUGAUGCAAUUGCCUUUUGAGUUCUUAAAAGAAGAUGUGGCAGACUUGCUUGGUUCAGUUUGUGAAUUCACCACAGACCUUACAGGAGUAUGAAUAUCUUCUGGAUCAAAAUGAGCACUGUUCCUGGAAGCUUCAGAAUCAGAUUCAAAACAUGAUGAAAUGAGACUAACUUCAUCAUCAUCAUCACUCAGCGAUAAUUGUGUUUCCAUCAUGUAUUGAUCAGCAGAGGAAGUAUUCCUGUCAGGACUUUCUGUCACUUUAUUAGCAAGUUCAAUAGCCUCCAAUGAGAUACCAUUCACCUCCUUAUGCCUAUUCCCAUCCACAUCAAUGACCUUGUUAUUUCUGUGAUCAUCAGAGUCUAUCGUCAUUGGAUGGGACACACUGAUCUUCUGGGAACACCUGAUGACAUACCAGGAAAAAUUACUACAUGUACAUACAGUAUCUGCAUAUAUAUUGUGUAUAUAUAUAAUAAUAAUUGAACCCACUAACACAGUAACAGUAGUUGUCACAUAACCAUACUGGCAUCAGACAGAAUACGAACCCAUCUAAUGUUCUCACGUCUACUUCUGGACUUCCUAAUGAUGAAUCAUCAUCAUAUGAGAUAUAAUCUUGGUUUCCAUUUGCAUCAAACUCCCCAUUUUCAGAUUUCUCAUGGGCCCUGCUAUUUGUAUGCCCAUGUUCCGCGCUAGAAUUAGGGGUUUCCUGGGUGGGAUCCUGCACAGAAAUCUACCCAGACACUUCAUUAGUGAUAAGAUAAUUACAGGUAACUUCAAAAUAUCCGCAAGACAAAUCAAAGUAAUAGCACACCUGUAUCACAACAUCAGAAUUCCAACUACGUGGAUGCCUGCUAUCAAAAGAUGGUUGGCGUUCAACAAUACUAUCUUCUAUCUGAAUUGUGUUUCCUAUGGGCUGAAACAAUCAAAAGCCAACAUAUUAUCUCACACCAAGUAUCUGAAUACACUACUGUGUGGGAAUAAUAUAAAAGUAUAUCGUAUUACAAAAGAGGAGAAAGGUAGAUCAACUAAAUCUGAUAUACCAGUUGUAACUGUCUUACUCUGCAAUCAGAAACUGUUGAUGAUGGAGGAGCAUAUGUCCAUGAUCCAGCAUAAUUCACUCCUGUAGACAUAAUUUCCUGGGCGAAUAUGCCAUGCUCAGAUCCAGCUUCAUUAGCCUAUUUAUACAGGAAUGACACAAUUGGAGAUGUCAAUACCAAAAACAUACAAUGGUUGUGGUUAUAUGAUAAGACUCCAAAAAGAAUCAAACAGACCUGAUAAAAUUUUGAAGAGCCAGGCGUGCCAUACUGCAUGGAUUUGACCCGCCGAAGUUGUUGCUGCUAUCAUUUAAGCAUUAGGGUUCAAUUCAAUGAAGUGCAGUAUUGCAGAAAAGCAGUAACAACGAGUUGCCAUAAGGCCAGAGCAUUUAUAGCAUACCCACAAGUUUCUCUCUAUAAAAAGUUUAGGAAUUUUUUAUUUUUCAACCUGCCAGAAUACCCAAACGUGAGAUUUAAGCAUCAAAUCAGCACUACUUCACUUACCAGGGAUUUACAGUACUCUUUCCAGCUGUCCUCAUUCAAAUCAAAAUUGAAGUAAUCUGUUAAAUCAACUCCAGGAUACCUCCAUGACUUCUCCUCAAACGAUUCAAUAUCCACGUCCAGUAUUGUCCUGUAAGAAAUGUCAUGCCUUUGGUCAAACUUUAACACAGUACUAUUCAAAAUCAUUUUAUGCUCUACAGGGGGCUAAUAUUUUUUGGUUGAGUUAAUGUCUAUUUUGAUACAUACUUCCAUGGAACUCAACAAAUUGAAAGUGAACAACUGAAGAAAUUGGGCCUUGUGCAGAAUUAAAAUUUCAGACGCAUGUACUAACCUAUACCAAGGAAGUCGAAAACCAAAUCUGUUUCGAGUCACCACUGGAUUAGGUGUAUCACGAACACAACUGAUCUGAGAGUGGUCUCCUCCGAACGGCAUGGAAGACACCAAAUCCACAGAUUCAUUGCCUCUUCCAUUGCUUGCACAAGCCGAUCCUUGAGUCCAUACAUACUACACAAAACCACCAUACCAUCUCUCAUUUAGGAACUUAGCAAAGCUAAAAACAAAAAAAACACAACAAGGUAGUCCUUCACAUGAAAAUCACCAAUUCGAAAUUGAAAUGCUUAAAACACCAAGAAUACUAAUAUAAUCCAAAUUCAGUUCUAUCAUCAUAAAAGUCUCUAAAACCACACAUUGAAAACUACAGCCUCCAAAUUCAUUAACAAAAAAAACUAAUACAAUACCUUGGAAUCUUUGAUAGCCACAAAAGCAUCAUCAUCCUCAUCAUCACAAUCAUCAAUCCUCAUGCUCCCACCACCCGAAAUCGGAAAGGGAAUACCUUUACAGCCCUCAUCAUUCAAAACUAUAUUGAGAUCAUCCUCACUGUCACUAUCACUGUACUCCUCAUUCGAUUCGGAACCCGAAACUUUACCGCCCAAUUCCUCAGACACAGAACUGAGUUGCUUAGAAUCGGAGACCAAACCCUCGCCGCCGUUCUUUUUAUCGUUAUUACUAUCAUUUCUAUCUUCUCCUUCUUCUUCUUCGGGUUGAGUAUAGAACUGAGUGAAGUUGGAGACGCCAUUGAUGGCUGAAGAGGCCUGGGUAUCAACUUCAGUGUAGAUGUCUCCGAAAUCGUCGUCCAAAUCUGCCAUGGAUAAUUAAACCCAGGAAUUGAAGAUGGGGAAUUUUUUUUUGUAGGGUUGAGGGUUUAGGGGUGAGAGAAAAGCUCCAUGGAUAGGAAUGAGAGCGCUGCGGAAAUGCUAACCCCCCUUAAACCCCUUUCGACUGUUCUAAAGGGCCUAAAACCCUACUCCACUGCCACAGUGACCAUAACGGCGUUAACUACGGAGCUUUCUUUAACGGAUUUUUCUUUUUUUUAUAAAGGGUAAAAUGUGAGGAAGCAAAUAGAUAUAUAUAUUUUUUUUUUAUCACGCGAGCCAGUGACAUAGCAAGUUUUCUCGUUUAUGUUAGUAAAUUAAUAACACACCCAUCUAUAGACUGAGAUUCAUAAGAGUAUCUCAACAAAGUCAAACUAAUCUUCUGUUGUGAAAUGUGAAGACAUGAACCCAAAUGUUUUUUAAAUAAAUUAACAUUUUGUCUUUUAUUGCAGAGGACAAACCUAAAGACCCUUUUAAUCCGUCGCAAGAGAGAAACCUAAAGAGUAAAGACCCUUUUAAUCCGUCGCAAUUGUAAGUGAAGAAUUAGACUUAUUGGUUUUGACAACUAUUCAUGGGACUUGAUCAACGUGAAUUAUUCACACAAUUCAUAACUCAAGUACUCAACUGAUAUUCACACAACCAUUCAUGCAUGAAUUGGAGGGCGUUUUUUUUCUUCUUCUUUUGUUACACUUUUUCUUAAAGUGUGCCACUUCAUGGAAUUAUGGUUUAACAAUAUCACUGAGCUGCUUAAUCUAUGGUCUGACGAGUGUUUGCUCUAACAUUUGAUCUAAUAGAAAGCUAUUCUUCGUAGAGGUUGCGAAGUUCAACUCCUCACUCUCCGGUUUGCCCGUGAAACAUUAAUCACACUUCAAUGCACGAGUAAUCUCCCAUGAGGUUCCCUCAGUUUCUAGCACAAGAGCAUCGCCAGAUCCAGAACCUUCUCUAUUGCAAUUAACAAUUGCCACCUUGAACCUCUCAUUAUGUAAUGAAGAGGGAUACAUAAAUUGUUCUUCCUGCAUUAAAAACGAAAAACGCAAGUAAGAAUGAGAACCAGUUGACCAAAAACAGAAGCUAAAAUCAUCAGUAUAAUGUUGGUGACUUGUAACAUAACCUGUUAGGACAAUUCUCAAGUUGCACACUGUCAACAUUCAGUUCAACCUUACAGAAACAGUAAAUGUCAUUUUGGGUUAUAGUAUAUUACCUCAGGUAGUUUGAAGAAUUCGUCAGGAGAGAUUUGCAGGAUCUCUGUAGCAGUAUGGCCAGUACACCAUGCUAAAACUUUCCCACUCUUAUCAGCAAGGGUCACUUUCAGGUGGAAAGUGCGAACUACUUCAUCACAAUUCUCAUUACAGAAGCUGCAUUCAGAAACUCCCAUGGGUUGCUCAGUAACCAAAUGACCACAUACAGCAUGUGAAAACCUUGUACUGAGAUGAAAUUGAGCCAUUUCUAGCCGAAUGUGAACUAUCUGCCCACAUGAUAAAAGAUAAUCUAUGUCUUAAUAGAGAAUAGAAAGCAUACUACCUUUUGCAACAAACAGAAAACACCCCUUCAUGCAGGACAAAAUUUGAUGACAAACUCAUACCUGAGUACAGGUAGUCUGGCUGGAGAGAUCAGAGAGCUUUGUUAGUUUAUGAAGACAGGAUGAGUUUAGCAACGCUGGCAAGCAACUGAGGUUGAAGAAAGAAGCUCCACCAGUAUUCUCGGACCAUAUUGCUUCUAGACUGUUGUGGCAUCUGUUUAGCUGGAACCUAAACAUAACAAGAAUAAAUUCAAAAUCAUGGUUGCAAAACUAUUUAGGAACAACUGGAAAGUGUGUAAACUAUAACUGAGAGUGACUAAUUGCAAAGUUUGGAGCUAGUUUUAACCAGCCUGUAUAUUCACUACUGAUGACAAUUGUAACUGAGCUUACCCCUUCCGCUUCGUCAUAGAGCAUGUCAGACCUGAUAUGUAGACUGUGUGGCCAAGGCUUAAUCUUCCCAGUGACCUAUAUAAUACAUGUUUUGAAGUGAAAAGCACAUCAAAAUGUGGAAAAAAUUGGGGAGGGGGCUGUAAAACCAGUAAUAUCAAUAUAACUAACUUAUAAGAUCCAUACCAGUAUUUCACAAAAUGUAAUCUAGUCCAAAUUGCUCCACUGGUAUCUUCGAUUUUCAAUGAGAAGAUAGCUUCUGUGGUACAUCUUUCUUUGAUGAUACUUGUAACAACACCAUAAAGGCUGACGCCUGUCAUCUUGUCACGAAGAUCGGAAACAUAGGACUGCAAAACUUCACACAGGUAAGAUAUGUUAAUAACAAAUUAGAUUAGAAGACUGAGCAAUGCCAAUUUCAAGUAUAAAGCAUUUGGGCAGUUAAUUUCAAACAACUUGCCCACAUAGCAUGGCAAGUAAACAAGCACAUGGAGAGAAUAAUUGAAAGAGAAAAAUGAUGAUUUUUGAAGAAAAACAACAAUAAUAACCCACCCACCAUACCCAACUUGAAUAGAGUACAAGUUGAAAAGGUUCAAGCAACUGCGGUUUCAUGAAUUAGUAAUAAUGCAUCCUUUUAGCAGCAUUGUGCUCAUAGCUUCUAAGAGCAAUUUGAUUGGACAUAAUGGAAUUCAAUUAAGAUGAGGAAACGUAAAGGAAGUAAACUCACUUGAAAAGGAUAACUACUGAAAUCAAUAGACCCAUGUGAAUCACAGGGCAAGGAAACUUGAGAAACUUGUGUACUCUGACUAGGAUCUAUUGUGCUUAGCAGUCUUGAUCCUUGACGGCGAUUUGGUCUCAGUGCUAUACAUAACUGAGUAAUACAAAAUUUUAGCAUCCACCUUAAAUGAUAGCUCAUUAUACAGAUGACUGAGCAUUACUUACUUGUUCCUUGUGUUGAACAACAGGGACCAAAAACAAUUGUGUUGCACUACCGAAUUCAAGGGAAACUUCAGCACUUGUUCCAGCAGCAUUGUCUGCUGAACUUGCAAUAUAUGGUUUAUCCAGUGCAAGCAUACUUCCCAAGCUGGGGAAACUCAAUCAUGAGCAUAUAUAGGAUGAAAGCAUCAGAAAAUGUCAUUGGAUGCAAGAGUUUACCUCAAAAGAUUUGUCAGGACAACCUGUUCACCCCACAGCACAAACUGUAACUUGGUACCAUCGUCAUCUACCAGAGUGAUUUGUUUCCUUUGUAAAGUUCCAGACUCUCCUAGAACUUCCAGGGGGCCAAUGUGCUCAAUUCUGCACAGAAAUAGGAAAGCAUGUUACACGAUUGCUGACUAGUAACAUGUCAACAGAUCAAUUAGAAAUGGUCUAGGUCAUGAGAUUAUAAUUUCAGUAUAGCAUUAGCUCAUAUUUAUAAAGGCUAUUUGAUUAUAAGUCCCAAGUCCUCAUUAGAAUAUCUGAUACUCAAAUCUACUCAAAAUUGAUUAUUAAAUCAAAGCCUAGAUAGCAUAAGGCUGAGCUUAUGGAUAUAUAUCAGCAAUUUUAGCUUACCUUGCGUACAAUGAAUAAUAAACAUUUUUACUAAAUGCAUCAAGAGAAACUGAAGAGAAUGUAUCUGAACAAAACUGAGCUGCUAGCAGCAUUGCAUCAGCAUCAUCAUCCUACAUUGAUGAAAGCAGCUAAAUGUAAGACGACGAAAAAAAAAAUUCCAAACACAAGUCGUUGUCUCAAGCUUCCCAGGUCGUCAAAGUUGAAUAUUACCUCAUCUAACAAUACUACAAGAUAUUCUGUUGGCAACAACCGCGGACAGCGAGACCCUCCUCCAGAAGCACGAAGAUAGCACCCUGUGAGGAAGAUCUGCCUUCCUUUGUUGAGAAUCCCAUUAGUGGGAUUUAUCAAGUCAUAGUACCUGUACAGACAAAUACCAAUCAUAAAAUCUCCAACGACUAUGUAUAUGCACAUGUAAAAGUAACACAAGCCUAUAAUAACAACACCCUACAUAUACAUCUGCUUAUUUGUUUGAGCAGCGCUCAUCGGGUUCCUUAAAAUCAGAAAUAUAAAAGGCAUACCGACUCAUACGCAAUACAUCAUUAAAGUAAAAAUAUUUUACUUUUGGUGGAGAUAAAGAUCAAUGGUAUUGGUGCUCCAAAAAUCCCCCAGGGAAAGCAUAUAAAUCUUGGUGCCUAAAACAAAACGAGUAGCAAUGUCAAUGAAACAACAUAUCAACAUCACAUUAAAGACUAAAGCAAAAACUUCAGAAACUAACAAAUUACCGGGGAGAACAUAAACGUCGACAAUAACCGCCUCCAAAACACUUUUCAAUGACAAGAAAUUCUUCUCAUAAAUGGAAUCAAUAGUCACAGUAUUCGGAAGCUUCCUCCGCUUAUGCUUCUUUCGCAACUCCCUCACGCAUUCUGGCAUCUUCUUCAUCGGCCGGUCCCUAUUUUGCUCAUGCCAUGCCUAAUCAAAUCAAACACAAUCCCAAUCAUUCCAAAUCCCUAACAUCUCAUCACCAACCAAAACACAAACCGAAAACCAAAACCCAAUCCGGCUAAAAACCCAUACCUGGGAGAGAUCGGAGAGCAGAAUCGCGGCCGUAACGCCGCUAGAGUAGGCGCUGCAGGUCUUGAGAAUCCGAGAAACGAUCCAAUUCCAGCUGGGCCGGGCGGUCUCCGAUCCGUUUCCGUUCGGAUCCGGAUCUUCGUCGGCUUCAGGGGAGAGAGCAGACCUGGCAUAGUCGAUGAAUUUGAGGAGUGAGUCAUCUUGUGGUUGCGGAUCGACUGAGUUCAUUUUCCGCCGAGCUUACUGUAAAACCCUACUGAACUCAACUCGGGGUUAUGUAAGGGAGGGAAGAGACACUCGUUCGGCGUUUUGGCGCGGGUUUUGAAAAUUGUGCUGGGCCGGCCCAUACAUGGUUUCGGGUCGACAAAAAGAACCGGCCCACAUAUAACGACCAAUGGGCUGAACUUUUCGAUUAUUUAUUUUAUUAUUAGCAUUUUUCAGUUCAAUUCAUAAAAAUUAGAAGCACCUCGUUGCUGAAUUUAAAGCGAAAAAAUUGGGGGCAAUAGUAGAUUUGAUGUACUGUAGGGCGUAGGCUAUGCCUUGAUUUAGUUUUCAAUUACCAUGAAAAGAAUGAAUCAGAGAAAAUCAAAAAAGAACACAACAAUUACUACAAUAGAUGUGUACAUAUCAAAUUAGCUGCAUUGUCGUAUUUUUGUCCACCGCUGAUAUGGUGCCUAUGCACCAUAGUAGAUUUGAUGUACUGUAGGGCGUAGGCUAUGCCUUGAUUUAGUUUUCAAUUACCAUGAAAAGAAUGAAUCAGAGAAAAUCAAAAAAGAACACAACAAUUACUACAAUAGAUGUGUACAUAUCAAAUUAGCUGCAUUGUCGUAUUUUUGUCCACCGCUGAUAUGGUGCCUAUGCCUAAAGAAGUUAUCUCCCCUUCCCCACUGCAAAUCACAAACAAAACUCGGAAGGAGAAGUAGAGAAAAUUUCAAGGGGAUCACUGAGAAAGAGAAAUCUAAAAGAUAUACUGUAGCAGUGUCACAAAAGUAAGUCUCAGCUAGAAGAUACUUGAACCAGCACUCUGUCGUGCAGGAAAGGACCACAUUAGACUUGAAUUGUCCUUAUAUCUCGCGUUUUAGAGUCACGCUGGUGAUCCCUACUGGAGAUUUAGGCCGAUAAUGUUCAUCUGUAUCAACCUCUUCAAUUUCCUGAUGGGCACACCGUAUCAAAAGGUUAAACAUGAGAAAACCAAGCCUAGACGUGAUAAAAGGUUACUCAAGAAGCUCAAAUUUUUUACCUGCACCACAUCCUCUCCUUUGACGACACGUCCAAACACAAUAAGCUUGUCAUUUAAAUCAGGUAUAGGUGCCGUCGUGAUAACAAGCUCAAAUCCUUUGUUCUCUAGUUUAUUCUUUGUAGUUCCAAGCAUAAAUGCUUCAUGCUUUGGACUGUGUGUUCACAGGGUAAGAUUACGCCAUCAGCUUGGGACAAAGAGCAACAUACCAGCCAAACAAAGAUCAUUCAAAAAACAAACCUUGUCACAAGUUGACUACGAAGCUUCCCUUUUGAUAUCCAAUCUUCAGCUACUCCAAGUCCUUGGGAAUCUCCUCCCUUAAUUACGUAGUGUUUAAUGACAUGACUGAAGAGCAUCCCUUUGAAGUGUCCCUUUUGACUGAAUACUAAGGUGUUAGAAGUGUCUUGAAGGUGUACUAUAUAUCAUAACAUUAUUAUUACAACACAGAAAUCAAACAAGCUUAGUAAUAAAACAAUGCUAAAUGAUUCAGUUAAUGAAGUUAUGAUUUUACUUAUAUUUAAUAUUUGAGACCUAAGGUAGCCUAGAAUUAAGUCAAUUUGGUAUCUGCACCAGUAACUUUUCAGAUAAAGCAGAAUACUCUAAGCAACAGUGUACGUUUCACGAUUCACAANNNNNNNNNNNNNNNNNNNNAUUUUUUUUUUUUUUUUCUAUUUUUUGUUUUGUUCAAGGAGUCUUUUGCUUCACCAGGAAAUUCAAGAAUAAAGUAAAUAUAAGUAUGAAUGUUUAUAGGUCAAGUAGUUCCAGACAUUGUUAAGGCUAUGCACUAAGUUCCACUCUCUGUUAUUUUCAAGUUACAUACACUCACUCUAUUGGCAAACUACUAGGAAGAUUUUUGAUAGCUAAAUUGCACAUGAUCCAAAUAAAGAUGAACUUUAAUAGGUUCAAGUAGUUCCAGAUAUUGUUGAGGCAAUGCACCAAGUUCCACUCUCCGUUAUUUUGAACUCACAUACUCUCACUCUAUUGGUAAACUAAGCCUCAAACAGGUUUGUUUGUGAUAACUAAACUGCAUAUGUAUCAAAGUAAAGAUUAAGGGUCUAUGCAUUAUUGGAUACUUACCAUAAGUCAAGAAAUCUAUCCACAACCUCUGGAGAACCAUCCUUGUAAAGUUCCACUGUGAUAUAACCUUUUGAUGUGUUUAAAAUCUGAAACAAAAUGAGGUAUGAAAAGGGAGGAAGUUAGUGACAACAUCCAAAAGCAGAUACACUUGUCUAUGUUACACCAAAUCAAACAGCCAAACCUAAUAUAUCAGCAGCAGAACCGGAAAUGAAAUGCUCUAAAGAAAUCAAUCCAGAAAUCGCCUGUGUCUUAAAGUUUUGCACUUUCCUACAAAACUAUAACUGAAUGUAUCUUAUCUUUCCACUUUCCUGUAAGUCUAUAACUGAAUGAGUAACGUUGCAUUGUAGCACACAUGUCAACAACAUUGAAAUUGGCAUUCAAAACUUGCUUGUUAUUACAUUCACUGAUUUCAAUACUAAUUGCUUAGUUACCAUUUCAUCCAAACUUCCAAAUACAAUAAAUUUUGUUUACACGUGACGAGCAAUCCUAAAAUAUUCAUCUAGAACUGAAAAUCAAUAGAGAAGCACUGAUAUAACACAAAAAAACAGCGAGUAGGGGAAUCAAAUGUGUAGAAAACUUACAGCGUAACCAGGAAGAUCAUCCUUCUUGGCAAACGCAUCCAUUUCCUGGGCGGAACACAAAUCAAUAAAACUCAGUCAAAAGCACAAAUCUAGCAGUAACAAUAGCAACAAGAGAAAGGUAAUUACCCCUGAAGCAGAAAAGUCCGACCCGGAAUGGUCCAGUGACCUAAAAAUCAGUAAGCACAAACCAAUUGUCAGUAGCUGAAACUAUCAAUCUCAACAAAAUCAAAUCACGCAGAAAUCGGAAGUGAUUUGACCUUCUGGACCAGUAGCGGUAAGUGGCGACCAAGGACAAGGCGAUCAAAGCGAUUAUAAGAUUGCACAUAACUAUGGUAGCGACACUGAUUCGAGUCGGCCCCUUCUUCUUCUUGCUCUGAAGUAGCAGCGCCUGCGGCUUUAUCCGAGCCAUCAACUUUGACUUUAACUCUACACAACAAUUAUCAAAUCCAAAUGAGUUCAACCCUAGAAUUUCAGAAGAGUGGAAAUUGGAGAAGGAAUUUUACCUGGGGGAUUUGGGUGUUUCGGAGAUGGAUGGGUUUGGGUUUGGCGUUUGGGUUUGGUGGGUGAUUUCAGAUUCCUCACCCGGUUUUAUCUAUUCGAUCUUCUUCUUUUUUAGCUUCUUGUUUGUCAUGUAUUUCAAAUUUGACGAAAUGGUGGAGCCCACCACCACCUCAGAUUGUUCUUUUCUCGGGGCUCCGGUUCGUUUUGGGGUACCAGUUCUGGGUUUGGAUCUGUCAAUUUUUCGGUUUCUUUUUUUAAAUUUCUUUUCUUGGGGUUGGACCAAAGAAAUUUCUUUUUUUAGAUUUUUCUAAGACAAUCUAGAAAAUAAGAAGACAUUAAGAAGCAUAGCACGCGACAUUAUGAGGUGGAUACGACAUAGAUGAUAGAUUAUUAUAUAUUUUAUUUUGUAGUCGUAACUCAGAGUUAAACUGACUGUAUUAUAUUAAAACCAAUGACGGAAUCAGAAUUUACAUUUUAAGGGGGUCUAAAGUUAAAAGGAAAAAUAACUUGGUGUUAAAAAGAAAAAAUUAAUCAAAAGCAUCAACAAUAGACUUAGCAAUAAAGCCCUACGUUCAAAAGUUUUAGCCAUUUUUCUUUAAACUAAUUACUUGUCAAAUGCAUUUGCCAUUAUCAUGAUGAUUUUUUUCAUGUACAAAUCGAACAAAACAUUAAAAAUUGAUACAAGUUCAAUCGAAAAUACAAUAAGAUCAAAGAAAUCUGAUUAUAGCUUUAAUUAGAUAUUGCAGGAAGAGAAGUGUUGAAGAAAUCUUGAUAGAAGCUACUGAGGGUUUCAACAAUAAUUUGUUAUCCCUUCAGUAUUUUGACUUUUGUUAAUUGUUAUUUGAUUGAUAUACUUAUUUUAAUUAAUUAGUUAUUUGUUUUACAUGUAUUCUUAUUUCUAUACAGCUCUUACUAUACAACUUUUUAUAAUCAGUUUAUGCAUCAAAAUAGGUAAUCAUGUGGGUUUGGGAUGGGCUGGGGAGGUCCAAUACAAGAAUGGAAGGUAUUUCGUUGAGUUUAUGGGUGGUUUAUGAACAACAUGCAUGUAAAUUAGCGUGUCAGUCAGAUUGCUGGCAGGGGUUCGAACCCCACCAGACCGUAACACUCCGCCCCUGAAUUUAGAACCAUUCAUUUGGUUACCAAUAUAAAAGUUGAGAUUAGAUGAAAGUGAUAGUAUUUUGAUUGUUUAAGUAAAAUCAUUGAGUUCCAACUUAAUGGUAGGUGUCUAGGUGAUCAUAAAUUUCUUAAUCAGCAUACGAUUAAAGGAACAUUACUCAAUGACAACGAUGUUAUGUACAGUAACAUUACUCAAGCUGCCAUUCACUUAUUUGGGUGUUCCGAUUUUCAUUGGUCGACCGAAGAGACGUUAUUUUCAGGGGCUUGCUGAUAGAGUCAAAAGUCGAUUCUCACAAUGGCGUGAAAGCUCCCUUUUUAUGGCUGGUCGAGUGGUUCUGGUUAACUCGGUGAUUACUAGUAUGCUCUCUCAUAGUUUUUUUGUCUAUUCUUGGCCUCAAACAGUGUUAUCUGAUUUACGAAGGUGGGUAAAGAAUUUUGUCUGGACAGGAAAUCUACUUUCUUGUGGAUAUUCUACUGUUGCAUGGGCGAAAUGUUGUUCCCCAAUCAGUAAAGGGGGGCUUGGUCUCAAAAAUUUUCCAGUUCUUAAUAGAGCGUUUCUUCUGAAAAUUUUUUAGGAUAUUCUUACUUCUUCUUCCAUGGCUUCUACCUUCUUUCGACGACGUUUUUUAAAUAAGUUUGAACAGCCAUGCACUUACUACAAGCGUUCUUCUAUCUGCCUGGUUUUCGUCCUCUCUUCCAAGAUAUUUUGGAUGGUUCACAAUGGAUUAUAGGCUCUAAUACAACCCUUGACUUCUGGCAUCAUAAUUGGUUGGGUUCUUCAGUCAUUGAGCGCUUGAAUAUUCCAGUUUCAGUAGCUAAUACUCUACAAUUGAAGUUGUCGAAUUUUCUUAAUAAUAGUUGCUGGGUUUGUCCCAUUAACUUACAUUCAUUGUGUGCGCCUUUUUGGGAAGAUAUCAUCAAGAUUACUCUCCUUUUCAAAGAUGGUUGCAUAGACAGGUUGGUUUGGAAGUCUGCAAAGGAUGGUAAGCUAGCAGUAGCUCUUGCUUAUGAUUUACAAACGUCCUCAUCUUCCUAGAGUUCCUUGGGCUCGGUUUGUUUGGCAUUUAUGUUUUCGUGCUAGGAACUCAGUAGUUUUGUGGAAAUACAUGCAUGGAAAGUUACUUACUGAUGAUAUUCGACAACUUCGUGGCUGCCAUUUGUCUUCAGUUUGCUCCCUUUGUCAUAAUAAUGUUAAGACUGCAGAGCACCUCUUUUUGCAUUGUUCUUUUGCAACUAAUAUCUGGGGGAAUCUUCUAGAUUUGUUUCAGGUUUAGGGUGUCUUCAAUGAUAUUAUUUCUUUCUUUACCUACCAAGUACGUCAUGGUUAUAGCUCUCAGUUGACUUUGUUAUGGUGGGGAAUGAUUGGAGCUGGUUUUUAUGCUAUUUGGCAUGCAAGGAAUGCUCUUCGCUUUCAAGAGUUAUUCAUAUUGUCACGUUCCUUACUCUAUUCUAUUAAGAUGCAACUUCAUGAGAUUAAUUUUUUGAGUAAGGGCACAAUGAAGAAUAUUGUAGGUGAGCUUUGCAUUUUACAUCGCAUUGGUAUUAAGGGUAGGCCAUCUAAAGCUUCGAAAAUUGUUGAAGUUAUGUGGCAUGUUCCCUCUAUUUAUCAAGUCAAGCUUAACACUGAUGGUGCGGCUCGUGGCUCUCCUGGUAUGGCAGGUUUUGGUGGCAUUUUUCGAGAUCAUUUGGGUCAGGUUUUAGGUUGUUUUUCAGGAAAUCUUGGCAUUGCUACUGCAUUAGAAGCUGAGCUGCAGGCGGUCAUUCACGCCAUUCAAAUGGCUUCGCAGAGAGGUUGGCAUUCUCUUUGGAUUGAAAGUGAUUCUACUUUAGUGAUUCAUUUUCUUUCUUCAUUUCAAGUAGAUGUUCCUUGGCAUUUCACUACUAAAUGGUUUAACUGUCGGACUAUUCUUACUACUAUGACUGUUAAAGUAUCUCAUAUUUAUCGGGAGGGUAACAGCGUUAUCGACUGCUUAGCAAAUUUUGGUGCGGAUAAUGCGGGAGUUCAUUGGUGGGAUUCAUGUCCAUCUUGUGCAAUUACAACUUAUUCACGUGAUUUAGCAGGCUUUCCCAACUAUCGUUUUAGUUUCUGAUCUUAUAUUGGUUUUUUUAUUUAUAAUUCUUUAGGCAACAGCAUCAACGAAUUUGUUCUUCGUUGUUCUUUGUCCUUAGUAGAUCACGUACAGGUUUUUGUGUUGUUCUUCUUUUUUCGGGAGGGGUUUUGGUCUAUGUCCCCCUCUCCUUUUAUGUACUCUUUUGUUUCUUUUUUUUUAAUAAAAUAACUGAAACCGGGCGUAGGGCUGAGCCUCCCAGCUUGACUGGUUCCAAACCCUUAUAAAAAAAUAAAAUAAAAACAUACUCUUAUGAUUAGCAGAUACAUGUACUCCCUCGUCUUGCCUCCUCGCAUGUGAAGACUACAUAUUCUUAUAGCCCUUGGCAUGCAUGUUGCCAACAACUUCAAUGGUUUGGAACAUGUAUUUGAUCUAGUUCAUCAUCUGACACUCAAACCAUAUCAAAAUCCAUUUAUUACACACAGAGAGGCAUGCUGGUGGUUCUUGAAGUCGUUGACCUGCUCGAUCUCGUGGCGCUGAUAGUUCCAGAACAUCUGGAGCUGCUGCUGCUGGGCUGGAGGAGGUGGUGGAAGGGCAGCGCCACGACGGAGGACUGCGGCGGAGGGGGCUGGGUGGGUGGGUAGGUGGCGGUCUAGGCGGUGGUGGCGGCGACGACGGCGUUGGAGUUGGAGUUGUUGGUGUUGUUUUUCAUUGAUAGUGUUGAAGAUAGGUCUGCUGCAGUGUGGAAUGCUUUGGGACUUGAUUAAGAUGAAGGUGUUCUUCCAGUGACUUGGUCCAUGGCAUAGUUAGCUAGCUAUAGCUACUUUAGUAGCGUAUGAGUAUGAGAUGAGAUGGAGGAGGAGGAAGAAGAUAUGGAUUUGGUAUGAGAUGAGACGGCGGAGGAGGAAGAAGACGGAGACAAGAUUGGGUAAGGAAUAGCAGGAUACUUGCUUUAAUUGAUUUGGUACACUAUCCAUUGGAUCAACUCACUUAAGAUGUAACGGUCAUCACAAUUUCAUCCUGUUUUGUCCCUUAAAAAUUGGUCCGCAGGUGAGCAGCCCUGCAGAGAGAGGUCCAGCCUCCUCUUGUAAAGUAUGGUCUGGGUGGCACCAUCACCAGGUGUGCCCUGCUGGAGGAGCAGGAGGAUCCUAUGAUUUACGUCACCACCCCAAUCAGUGGCUCAUAUAUGGAAAAGAACUCCUGUUGCUUAUCUUCCGCGAACCAAAACGAAUCCUUUAGUCAAAUGUGUGAUUUUGCUUUCCUUUCUGUUUUUUACAAGCAUGAUCAGUAUAUCAAAGACUACAUCAAUCAAAAACUAUUUUAAACCAAAUCACAAGUUCAUUUAGAAAACAAUGGGGGACUCAAGUCAUCAAAAUCAAAUAGGACAUACAGAAAAAUAGAAGUGGGAUAGCCUGGAUCAUGAUACCUUCCAUUUUUAAUGGGAGAAGAUGACUAGGAGAAAGAAAAUUCACCAAUAAUCAAGUACUUAGGGUCUUUAUUUAUUAAAUUGCUACAACACCACUGGUCAAAGGAGAAUCAGUGAAUCACAGUCACUCUCCAUAUCAACCUUUACAACUGGAAAAGGAAGCCAUGCUCGUACAAGAGCAGCAAACACAAUCAGAUUAUUAUUAGCCAAUUCAAACACAUCCAAAACCCAAACAUCAAUCCCUCUCUUAAAGUUCACAAACAGAAAAACUUGGAUCCUGAAAUCAAUUUGGUAUCCUUAGAGAAACCACUGGUGUACAGCAACUCCUAUAUCCCUUAGCCUUCCAUGUAGAGCAACACACUCCCAAUAAGCUCUCUUGCUCUUAUCACUAUUUCCAUUCUGCCACCAUUCAUUGUUACACUCCAAAAACAACUCAUCCACCAGACAGAUUGUACUCUUCUGCAUCAUAUCCACAACUACUUCUGCUUCUGCUUUCAUCACAACAUAGUCCUCUUCCUUCACAUUCUCCUUUAGCCAACCCGAAACAUCCUUCUGCGGCUUGCUUGAGGCUUCUUCUGCUUCAGCUUCUACUUCAAGGUUGUGUACUUCAAAUUCCGUAUUCAUUUUCGGAUAGUUUUGAUGAAACCAUUCAACUGUGCCACUAUUUUGCUCAUUCAAGUCCACAUUAACAAACAGACGGCGCUCGUAAUUUUCAAGAGAAUUCCCCAACAGGUCAGGAAGGAACUUCAUCUUCUUCAAGUACUGGCUUGAUUUUGCCAAUGCACGUCUUGGCGGCUCAAGCAAAACAUCUUCAAGACCCUGUAGGACGGCCUCCUUGGCCUCACUUCCGAAUUGGCAAAGCCGCCGGCGGUCUGGACUCUCCAGCUGCUGCUCACCAGCCGCACCGGUCUUCCUCAUUGCCACAAAAGUUGAACUGUAUCGGCGAAGAUACACAAUCUUGUAAUUGGAUUUUUUGCUAAAAGCAUUUGAAGGGUCAUUGCUUAGAGGAACAGCAACAAUGCCACCAACUUUCAAGACGCGAUCCACAAAUUUAGCGUCAACUAAAUCAAACGCGAACACAAAAUCCACCGACUGGUUCUCGAACGAGCUCUUCCUCUCCGAAUCCAUAACAACUUCAAAUCCAUUAUCAACAACAUUCAAAAUAUCAAGAGCAUGAAUGAUACCAACACUGCCAGGACUCACAAUGAGAGACCUGUCACUCUCUCCGCGGAGGCCUUCGCCAGCCAAGUCAUUGAAAAGCAAACCCAAUUGCUCAAAUUUGAAAGUUUCAUACCCAUGACUGGUUUCCAAUUCAGAAACACUCACACCCUUUAUAAUAGACUUAAUACAGGGCAGUGUGAGCAUAACCAAAGCAAGAAAAACUGACCGAGAAACAACACGCAUUACCUUCUUAUCAGGCAGCUUGAUCACCAAAAUCUCGCCGGAACCCAAUCCGCCGGCCCUGAAAUGUCCGUGGUGCUUGGCCUUGAAACCACCGCCCAAUUCCAUCUUUAUACUACUCAAAACAGCGAGAUCAAUCGGAUCUGCAGAAGAAAACUAGCUCGAACAGAGCAAGCUUUUCGAACAAACGCAAAAAAGGGCUUUGUAGAUUGCAAAUGUGAUGCAAUGUGUUACAGAAAAUCGAGAGGGAAAACAGCAACGGAGGACAUGAUUUGGUUUAGCGGGCACAAAAUCUGGCGGAGGUGUGAUUUGCACCCACGAGAGCUACGAAUUUGGUUGCGCUCCAAAGAAGAGAUAACUGCCUAAUCCUCUCAACCUCCAUUAUCACCCUAUGCUUGACAAUCAUGCAAAAUCGCUCUCAAUCUAUCUCCCUUUCAAUGAAAUAGUCUAUCUCUCACAAGAUUGACGCUUCAGAGUCGUCAGCCGGCUACAGGGCCGUAACGGGUGGUCAUCUGAAACGCAACCACCGGAGAGAGAGAGAGAGAGAGGAGGGACUUUGGAGGAGGAAAGAGAGGGACUUUGAAAUGUGGGGAAGAAAGGGCGAGAGAGAGGAGGAGAGUUUUAUACGGAGGAGAGAGAGAGAGUCCGAGAUUUGCGAGAGGCACGUGAAAGCGCGUGAAGGAGGAGGAGGACAAAGCAUUGGCUGGGGUUUGCUUCCGGUUGGCUUCGGUGGGAGUUGGGCUUUUUGGGCCUAACAACUACGUAACAGAAAGAAGCGUGGAGAUAAAGAUUGCCAGAAAUGGAGCUGGUUGGGGAAGCUAUAUAUAGGUUUGGUUUGUUUUUUUUUAAUUCAGAGGAGUUUGGUACCUUUCACUUUCUUCCUCCCUCAGAUUGGUCGGAAUGACUUAAAAAGGUCGGUAAUCAAAGAUUCGGAGUUGACCUUCCGGUGGUGGGUACGGCUGCAUGAAUGCAGGUGAAAGCUGGGGUACAUAGAUAAGUAUGUUCCUCAUUGAUUUGGGGUGAAUACACUUUGGAAAACAGAGGAAAUCAUCUUGUUACUACUGCACCCUUUUUCUUUUUCUUUUUUCCUGCUAGCUGCACAUAGAUUCAGUAAAUUUUGAAUCUUCUGCACUAUUUAACACAAACCCUAAGAACAAUGCUGUAAUCCCAAAGAAACAAGAGAGUAAAGUGGACAACUAAGUUAACUAGUUAAGUAAAGCAAGUGACAAUUUGUUAUGAAGGUUCAUUCACUCAUAAGUCAUAACAACGGAAAUGAGUAAGAAUAUGUGUUGUACAUGGUGUUGUGAUAUGAAUUGGUCAUUUCAAUGCGUUGUAAUCUUUUUUGGUGUGAAGCCUUCGUUCAAGUUGAUGUCUUGAUCUUACAUAUGUAAGGUACCAGCAUAACAACAUGAUCAAAAUUCUAUUUAAUAAAAUAGGACAGUACUUACAAUUAACCAGCUGGUUGGAACUCUCAAAUUAUGAAUAAAAUAGAACCAGGGAGGUUUUACUGUUUCUGGCUAGCACCGGUGAAAACGGUGCUGUGUUCCAUAUAUAAAAGCCAUGAAGUCCUUCAUAUUCACCACAGACUCACUGAGAGCUCCGAUGUACGAUUUGCCCUUCCAAAUGUUGAAUGUGUCGAACGCGACCCCUUUCACCUCAAGAUAUUUGACCGAUUGCUUCUGUAAAUUAGCCAAGUACCUGUGAAAAUAAAUAUAUAAGAUCACAUAAUCAAAUUCUAAACAUGAAGAAUGAAGCUUUCACGUUCUUACUUGCCGCGGGUUUUGGUGACAUGAUCACGGUUGGAAUGCCCUGGUUUUUUAUUGAAAAGUGGUAGACCCGAAUCUCAUUGUCCUCAGUUACAUGCAAGUCCAAGUCCAGUUGUUGUCAGUGGAAAAUGCUCACUUUCAAUCGAAUACCAGAGUAUUUAUCAUUUUUAUACUUAAGAUCGUACACAGUUCUGAUUCGGGUAAUUUCAUCAUCAAGUUCUCUUUUAAGAUCAGUAUCGACGUUUGUACUGUCUCUGUCUAUGAUAUGAAAAUAAGAAAACUCUUUUGAACCGUCCACUGGCUAUAAAAUAAAAUGUGAAAUUAAAAUGAUCAAUACCAUUUGGAAAAACAUAAAAAGAAACAAAAAUAGAAACAAUUGGAUACUCACAAGAUGACAAGAUCAGAUGAUUCUAUGUACUCCUGAAUAGCUGUGAUCUCAGACUUGAGCCCUUUAAUGAGAUCCUGUGUGGCAUUGAGUUUUGGAGAUGAUGGAGAUGUCAACUUAGCACACACCCUUCACACUUGCGGAGGAUCUGAUGGAGCAGAGCACGGGAAGGGAAACUAUGGAUGCCGCCGGCAGCUUGCGAGACCCGGAAGAAGAAGAAGAGAACAAAGCAUCCAUCUGCUACUGAGCGUGGCGCGCAGCAGCGUAACCAUUUUCUCCAUUUCUAGCUUAAUGAAUUAGGGUUUUGAUGGAGACAGCUUCAGAUAGGGUUCUGGGGAUUACGAAAUGAUCAAACGUUUAGUUGACCAAAUGUUCCCUGGUCAACAAACGGGACUGUUGACAUUUAAAUAGGAUAUUAAUUUUGAGAUCAAAUUACAAAGAUCAAGAUUAAUAUCCUUUAUACUGCACUGCAGUAUCAAUAUUGACACAAGAAAUGAAUAUGAAAAUGCUUUAUUCAUGUCAUUCCCAACAAAAAUAGGAAAUAAAACCAUCCAUAUAAGAAGCUCGUGUUAUAGACUUAUAGUAGAGACGGUAUGAUUUUUCUGAGUACCUGUUGAAUUGGUGCUGAGCAUUGUAAUUUGCACAUAACUCUUUAUCAGAGAAUGAAGAUUAAUUCAUGCAAUAUAUGAGGAAAAUCGACGAAAUGAGAAGUGCUCAAUUUGAACUGAGUGUGUACUCACUCAAGUUGCCAAAACGAACAAGUUCAAUGACCUCUAGUGAGACGAAUAUAUGUUUGUGGGUGUUGUGAUACCAAUUUGUCAUUUCAAUGCAUUUUGUUAUCUUGUUUGGUUUUCAAUGAAAAGAAGUCUUGGUUAUUAGCAAUCUACAACAGUAUUUCUAUUUCGAAAGAAAAAUUCUAAAAUUAGCUACUUUUGAUGUAAAUAAGCUUUAACUUUCUAUUGGGUUCGAUAUUAGCAUUUAGCAAUGCUUUUGGGUUUCCUACUAUAUAUCUUUUCCAUCACUGCAAAUACUGAAAUACACCUCAGUAUAAAAUGGGGUUCGUCAUGCAUUAUCUUGCUCUGAAACUCCAUUUUGCUAGUUUGAUCUGAAGUGCAUGCAAUGGACCAAUUUUGGAGCGUGAGGCUUUUACCCUUUCAAAUUCAAUGGAUGACCCAGUGAAGCUACGCUCUCACUCCCAGGAUAACCGAAGUUUUCAGCCCAUAGAAACCCAAGAACAGUUGUAAGAGCUAAAGUUUUGAUCUUCCUUUUCAAUCAGACUAUGUCAGUAUGUCUUGUUUCUUUUUUCCUUCUUGUUCCUUUCUUUUUGGCUAACUGAAGCAUUAUAUUCAUAUGAGAACCAUUUAAAUCGUUGAUGUGAACAUGAAUAGAUUCUCUGAUUCUGUAUAUAUUCCUGUCAGGCUAUUAUUUUGUGCUGGAGCUAAUGGGUUAGCGAAGGUAGGGUAGUAGUAGUACUAGCAUAUGAUAUCAUUGCUGUAUAUUCAAUUAGGGGAAUCACCUGAAUGUGAAUUUGUGAGGUUUGGGAUUGUACAGAUGUGCUCAAAAUAACCUGAUUCACAAAUUGAAAAUAACUCUCUAGAAUUCUCUGGCAGUGAUUUAAAUUUUUGGUCUUCGAUUUGUGGCUACAGUUCAAGGCAGUGUGUCAGUGUGUGAUUUAUACUCAUUAUCUUGUUGAAAUCUUGAGUAAUAAUUCUCGCGGUUUCAGUUCAUAGUACCACACAAUUCAGAAAAUAAUUACACGAUCAAUAAUAGCAUUGGCAGUUUCCGUAGCAGUAGUUUCUUUCUAGUCUGUUAACAGACAGUUAAUCUUGAGUAUGAACAUUCCUUCUUUUCUUGUCAACAUGAAUUUUUCUCUUUUUAUUAGGCAACUAAGGUUAAUGUUAGCAGCUAAGGUAAAAGGACAUUGAGUGACAUUGAUUGCACAGGACAAUAUGUAACAUCAUUUGUGUGAAGACUAGUUUCCAAGAACAGCUAGGAUCUGAUCUCUGAAGGACUGAAAGUAGCAAAUUAGCACAGACAAGUAUACGGUAUACCUCAAUGAUUGUUGGUAUUUUGUUCCUGACCACCAGUUCACAUGGCCGGUCUGAUCUACAUAGGCUUGCUUUUUUGGUUCACCAAAUAAAUUGGUACGAAAGAAAUGGUAGCCGAGAAUAAUUUCUAUAACAGAAAAAAUUACAGAAUCAGUAACAUAUAUGGAUGAGUCAGUUGAUGGUUCUUUUCUUUCUUGAUGGUAUACAGCAAGGUGUGCAUAAUGUUCUUGCAGGAACAGGUUCUUCAGUUUUACUCCGUUAGCCUUCAAAGAUACCAAACUUCAUCAUCUUGCUUUCGGUACCUCCAACAAACUAGUAUUAUACCUUCAACAUCAGUUUUCAUUAUCAAUUUUGUGUUCUCUCAUGCAUUUUUCAAAUUCAGUGACAUAAAAACACCAAAUAUAGAAAUGAUUGCAAAUACCAUGGAUUACAUGCUAUUAAUAUAUGCCGACUUUUAUUGAGUUGAUACGGUCCUUAUGAGGCAUUAGACUACUAAGAGUUAUCUUUCUCUUUAUAUAUUAUAUUCAAUGCAUGAGCUACACAACACCAUUUCAAGGAUAAGAAAGAGCAAAACCAUAUGAUCCAUAGAGGGUCAGGGACCUAUUACAUUCAAUUCAUGCAUCUAGUUCUGGUCUGAUUCUGAUAAUGUUGUACUGAAGUAACAAACAAAACAAGGGGUAGUGAUAGAUCAAAUCAAAAGGAAACAAGCACAAAAAUAAAUAAAAAGGGUCGUUAUAGUAUAAAAGAAUGCAAUAGAGGCACUUGUGGCAGCUCCCCCAUUAUUUGAAUUUUUUCGCUUCAUACCUGUUAAUCAAUUCACUUCUUUUAGAAGAGAAAUAAUAUGGUUGACAAGGCAGUGAACAAGGUUCUUAUAAGGGAGUUCAAUGCAGACACUGAUAUUGAAGUGGUGGGGAAGCUCGAGAGGAACUGUGAGCUAGAGUCUAAAAGGGGGGUCUCCAUUUUCACUAACAUGAUGUGUGACCCUUUAUGUAGGAUUAGGUUCUACCCCCUUCAUAUUAUGCUGGUGGGUUCAUUGCUGUGACUUCUUCCCUCUUAUCUUGCGAUUAAAAGCAAACAGGGAAAUAUUUUUCAUGAUUCAUACCUCAUAAUCAUUUUUGUGUCUCCUCUAAUAAGCAUUUGCAUGAUUUACUGCUUUUAUAAUAUGGAAGUCAUUGCCCCUCCAAGACCUUAUAGAUGUGAAUCAUUGCAUUGCUCGAACACUAAUAUGUUUGGAAAUUGCCAGCAGGUAGCACAGCUGCUCGAAAAUGAGGAGCUUGUCGGAGUGGUUAGAGGAUGCAUCAAGCAUGUGGGGACUGGUUUUGGGGGACAUGUUAUCGGUUGCAUACUAGGCCUUCGAGUCUCUCCCACACACAGGUAUCAUCCACUUUUUCUUCUUAUUGAGUUCUACUUCUAAGAGUCUUCUUCUCUAAACAAUACAUUGUUAGUUCUCAAUCAGCCAUACAGUCUCUUGAUAUUCAAUAUUGAAUCUCCAGCUUUUCCGUUACUGAGGUACAGCAUAUUGAAAAGCUAGAUCACCUAGAAGCCUCUUUUGGAAUCAUCCAUAUAUGCUUGAUAACUUGUCAUGUUAUAGAGGUGGUGUACUAAAGUGUUUGAUUGAUAUUUAAGUUUGUGUGUUGCUUGAUUUAGGCGGAUGGGAAUUGGAUUCCAAUUGAUGAACUCCGUGGAGGAGUGGCUACUGAGACAUGGAGUGCAGUACACAUUCCUGGCCACCGAGAAGAGCAAUACUGCCUCUACAAAUCUCUUCACUUCCAAAUGCAAUUACAUGAACAUCAGCUCACUAGUCAUAUUCGCGCAACCAAUUUGUUCCUCUGAAAAAUAUAUGCUUCCCCAGAACAUUAAAAUAGAGAAGUUGCAUGUAGACCAGGCAAUUUCUUUGUAUGAAAACAAGCUAACAGGCAAAGACAUGUUUCCUACAGACAUGGAUGUGAUCUUAAAGGAAAAGCUCAGCCUGGGAACAUGGGUGUGUUAUUUUGAAGAACAGGGUUGGAUCAACUUGGACAGUGAGGAAAACAACCACGGAACAAUCACCAAAACUCAUGGCUCUUGGGUCAUCUUUAGCAUAUGGAAUACUUGUGAAGCUUACAAGCUUCAUAUACAAAAGUCACAACCUCUCAGGUAUUUUCAUGAUACCCUGAUCCAUGCAAAAGAGAAAAUCUUCUCCUGGUUGAAAAUGCCUCAGAGUAAUGUCUCAGUUGAAAGCUCCUUCGGCUUUCUCUUCCUCUAUGGGAUUCAUGGGGAGGGAGAGCAGCUUGGUGAGCUCAUGAAACCUGUUUGGAACUUUGCAUUAGGGUUGGGGCAGAAUGCGAAGGGCAGUAAGAUUAUAACUGAGAUGGGGCUAUGUGAUCCUCUCCUUAAGCAUGUCCCAGACAAUCCCAGCAUUUCACGUAUCCAUGAUAUCUGGUAUGCAAAAAGUCUGAGCAGCCACCACCCUGAUGAACAAGAUGCUCUGCUAAUGGAGGGACAUCUGGGAAAUGUGUUUGUUGAUCCAAGGGAAUUCUAGGCUUAGCUAGUUUUCCUUCCCCUCAUCUUCCCGAACACCCAGAACUAGUCACAGAUGGUAAUGUAUUUCUUCCUUCUAUUUGGUUGCUUGAUAUUGUUGGAUACAAAAAAUGGCCAUCAUAACGCAAUGGUGUAAUGUAAUGUAGUAGUCGUUUGUAUGAUAUAUUUGUUAUGUAAUUCAUGAACGAAAUAUUUGGGGAGUCAUCAUGUAAUUCGUUUUGGUUUCCAGAGUAAUGUAGGAUCUGUCAUCAAAUUCCAAAGUCGCGUUACCAAAUAAGCAUAACUGUUAACAUUGAAACAUCAAGGAUUGAUUCAGCUGUGCCAAACUACAAGGACAAUUAUCGGAUUACCUCCCGCUAGGGUUAGUUGUUAGGAAACUACAGAGAUCAGUAUAACUGUAGGCAAAUGAAACUUUUCUGUUUUCUACAUUUCCAAUCAUAACUUCCUUCAAAUGACAAGAUGUUUGUAGGGAAUGUAUUCUGAUUAUGCAACUCAAACAAAAUAGUGGACCAAGAAAAAGGAAAAGGAAGCAAUUCCCAAAAAUAUCCCCGACUUCUGAGAUAUCAUAAGGGGAACUCAAAAUCCAAAAUAUCUCUAUGUUAACCCAUGUAAAUGCUCCAACCAUCACGACCUGCUCAGUCAUCUUUUCUCUUGCCGGUGGUGCCAGCAUGAUUGUUUUGAUCAGUAAGGAUCUUUAGAACAGUGACCAAUGCUCGCAACCGGUCCCAAAUGUUCAGGCCAUAGAGUGCUUCAACAAGUGACUCCUGGAACUCGAAACCAUUCUCUCCAAUAGGAUACUACAGUUGGCCAAGAAAGAAAGCCAGUCAGAUUUUAGUUUUAAUUUCGCUGAGAAGAAGAUAGGGGAGAAGUUCAACCCAUUAUAUUUUAGAUUGACAUCUGACCUGAAUAGGCUUUGGUAUCUUGGUUUUGAUAUAGGGCCACCAUCUAUCCUCGACAACUGAUUUUACAAGACAACAUGCUCGCAAUCCUUCAACACCAGCAAAUCUUCCAAAUCCACUGUCUUUUACACCACCAAAUGGCAGGGACUGGAAAUCCAGGAGACAACAUUAGUUCAUUGGAUUAACAAUCAUGAAUAGUAUAUAAAUCUUCUUAUUAGUAGGACACUUGCACCCCAAUUGUCCAAUCUAAUAUAUGAUAGCCCUACAUUUGAAUAUAAGUACAAAGCCUGGCUUUAUGCUAUCUUAUAAAGCAGGAAACCAUAUCUAGGCAAUUAUUGAAAGAAGAAAAGCACUGCCAGAUAUUGUACUCAGUAAAGUCUCUAGCUCGAGUAAAAAAAAUAAUAAAACACAAGACAUGUUACUAUACUAACAACUUGAAUAUAUAUUACCUGACACAUGUAAUUUGAUGCAAAAUCAUUAAUUGCAGCAACUCCACAUUGUAUCUGGGAAGUUAUCUCUCUAGCGCGACGCUGGCUGCCGGAAAAAACAGCACAACCAAGACCGUAUUUUGAGUCAUUGGCUAGUUUGACAGCCUCUUCAUCGGUGCUAAACUUCAUUAUUGGCAUGAUUGGUCCAAAUGCCUACAAAAAUGUAAAAAAGCAUUUAGCUAUAUUAACUAAACUAAAGAUUAAAAGAAUGUAUCAAAAUGCUAUUUACAACACAGUAUGACUUUGGAUACCUCCUCUUGCAUCAACUUCAUCGUGUGAUUUACAUUUUCAAUCACAGUGGGCGGAAAAAAGUGAUCAACUGCAUCUUCACCUAUGUGGCCAAAACUUCCCCUCACAACAAGUUUUGCACCUUUGUCUAAGGCAUCAUUUACAAGGUUUUGAAGCCUUUCAGAGUGCUCUUGCAUACAUAUAGCACCCAUAUCAUACUUUCCAGCAAGUGGUGGGCCCUAGACAAGAUCAAUCAACAGAAUCAUGAGUUUUAACUUCUAACAUAAAGCACUUCAACUCGACAGUUUUUGUAAAAUACAUGUAUCAAGCACAAAUUGUACAACAGCUGAAACAGAUUUCGGCUUGGAAACUUCAUUCAGAGGGACAUACUUACAGAUGAAACAGAUUUCACAAUCUUAGACACUUGAUUGACGAAUGAAGAGUAAAUGUCCUUGUGAACAUAGAAUCUCUCAGCCCCAGCACAGUUCUGUCCACUUGACUGAAGAACAGCUCUCACAGCAAUUUGGGCAACCUAAAUAGAGUAAUUUACUCCAAUUAGGACACAUAGUACUUGAAAAUAAAAGGACCAAAUAGAUGAAGCAGAAAUUCAGAAUGCCACUGUAAUGUCCAAGCUUAAUAGACAUAUAAAUACCAGUAAAGGUCGGAAAUUUCAUACAUGUUCCACAUCUACAUCUUCACAUACGAUAAAAGCAUCUUUUCCACCCAGUUCAAGUGUAACUGGUGUAAGUGUAUCAGCAGCAUUUCUCAUUAUCUGCAGAAAUAGCAGAAGCAAAAAUCAAUAAGCAUUCCAGUAGAUUGCAGUGAUUUCUUCAUUAUAACAGCAGCAACAAACCUUAGGGCAAGACAAGUACAAUUAACUAUGUCAAGUCCUUGGGUUCUCUUAAUAUACAACAAUUGCAAUAACCAGACUACGUAUUAGAAUUUACUAUGUAUCAAAGCUACUGGGUUACUGGCUAAUUGAUCAGAUAAAGAAAAUUCAAAUAAAAUCAUCUCUGAUGUAUCAGUUGACCUGUUUACUAUACACUUAACAAAACUUCAUAAAGUAAAAAAUUUAUAUGCUUCCAGAAAAGUUAAGUUCUGCUGAGGUUAGAACACUGUUAAGAAGCCACUGAUGAAUGCUUAAUUUUUUUUUUUUUUUACCAAAGACGCAUAAUAACGAUUUGACGACUUUCAAAAAAAAAAAACCAUUUGAGGUCAUGAAAGGAUUGAAAAUUUGUAGCCGAGAAGCCUGUUUCAGAAAUUAAACUUGAAAUCAAUAAGUUAUUCAACUAACCAAAAGAAGAACAUACCAUCUUACCCACACCCGGUGAUCCAACAAAAAUUAACUUGUCAACAGAAGACACAAGUGCUUCGCCAGUUUCAGAAAACCUAGUGGGGCAAAUAAAAAAGUUUGAUUAUAGAUAGAUAAAUUCAUGAGCCUAGAAAGAAAGUCCUCCUUCCCACCCAAUCCAAAAAACUACAGUACCCUGUUAUGACGUCAACUAGAUUUUCAGGAGCUCCUACGGCAGCAAGGGCAGAUUGGAUUAUGCGAAAGUAGAAGCAUCCAGACCAGCUUGCAUGUUCUGAAACCUACAAUGACAAGCAUGAUAACCAGUAACUGCAAAUACUUUGAAGAUUUCUAUAUGUGAAGUGAAAAAAAGAUUUAGUGAUGUCUAGUUUGAAAACCAUGAAACCAACAAUUAUCGAUACUGACACAGGAAAUUAUAGAUCCUCUGAAUUGCUUGCUAUAUAUGGAAACAGAGACAACUGCAGCAGUGUUCCAGUGAAUAUUUAAAGGUGCACAGAGUGAUUAAAGAAAUUACGAGCAUUCCACAAUUAAUUACCUUAAUCACAAUGCCAUUUCCCGAAAAAACUGCUGCCAGCAUUGGAUUAAAGAUAUUGUGAAAAGGGUAAUUCCAUGAUACAAUGGCACCAACAACUCCAAGAGGGUGGAAUUCAACUUUAGAUCUCUUGUGAAUCAUUGAUCUUCCACAAGAUCUGCAAUUUUUUCAUGAAUAACAAAUUAUAAUACAGAACAUAGAUAUGGCUACAGAUGGAAGUAAAUGUUUAGUCUACAAAAGUAAGGAAAAAAUAAAGAUAAAGAAUGACAAACACUCUUUGCAAACAAAUACCAAAUAAUUCGACUAGAUAGUGGAAACCGAAGUAGAAUGAGGCAAAUCUUAAAUCAUUAAAGUAGAGGAUCCCAUGCAACAUAUAAUAUCUAAAUUACCAGUGACUGAGGUAAUAUAUCAUUCAGUUCCAAUAACCAAAAAGAGUUAAAAUUUGUGAAAUAUACAUCCUUGAUAAUUGCACCAAACAUUGUUGGAAUAUUACACAGCACGUUAGUAAAAUGAUAUAGAACAUUGGAUGCAGACAAUGUAAUGAGAAGAAAGGUAUACCGGUAUUCAGGCUUUAGCCACCGUUCACCCUCUGAAAGAAGCCAAGUGAUCUUCUCACAUGUUGUCAUUAUCUCCCCUAAAGACGCAUCCACCAUUGUCUUCCCCGUAUCACGUGAAGAUAUCCUGAUCAAAGUGAUAUAUGAUAUGAGUCGGUAUAUAUGGAGUAAAGUCAACCGCAGGAGAAACAGUAACUGUGAUGCUUGUAGAUUACCAAAAAUAAUAACAACAUCCCGGGAACAAAACAUGGCUUGGGAUUUAAGUAUGCCUACCUAAUACAUUUUCUUUUUCUGGCAAUACCUACGUAGUAACUCAGACAACGAUGCACACAGAGAGAGGGAGAGUUUGAAUAGGGCACUUACUCACAUAUAAGAUCUUGGUGCUCUAUUAUAUACUUGAGAAGAAUCCGAAGAAACAGACGUCUUUGCUUGAAGCUACUCUUCGCCCAUGUUUUCUGCGCCUUCCUUGCUAGCGAUACCCGCUCCUUGACCUGAAAUGAAGAUUUACACCAUGAAUUCCCCAAUAAUUGUGAUAUUCUGAGUUCCCUCUCUUCUACCAUCUAAACUCGUGUGUAUGAAAUCAAUUUGAGCGAACAAGCACUCCAUUUUCAUUUAAAAUAUAUAGCAAAGACAUCUUUAAAGUAGACAACAAGCUAACCUCAUCAGUUGUCAAUGCAGGGUAAUAUCCCAAGUACUUCAUGGUUGCGGGUUCAUAGCACUGAACCUUGGUCUCCGACUGCGCUGUCCUUCCCCUUGGAGGUACCUGAGCAGCAAACAUCAUAAACACCAUCAGAAGCGAACGAAUUCGAAACAUUUUCUUCAUCUCCUAUCUCUCUCUCUCUUUUUAUUUCUUUUCUCUUUCUCAUUUACACUAACAACAUUUAGCAUGUAUAAACAAUUUUCCAAGUCCUUCCAAACGCAAUCAAUUCAGUUUCAUUCCGUUGUGAUUAGCCAAAGAUCUCAACAUAAGAAAUCAAAACUCACAUAGAUGAAGCUGUUCUCCUGCGUCUGAUUCCCGUCGUCCAACACUGACAUUCAUCAAACCGCGCAAAUCAAUCAACCAAACCAAAACAAAGCACGAGAAACGAUGAGGUCUAAGAGAGAGCGGUUACCGUCAGAAGCGUCGACUUCAAUGGAAGGGACAUUGGGAGGGAUGAGCAUCAAGAGGAACCUACAAAUGGCGUAUGCAAAAGCGAGGACGAUCAGAGGCCACCAAAACGCCAUCGUUUUCGUCUGCGGAAGAACUAGAAGAGUUUGUUUGUUUUUGUUUCACUGAAAACAAAAACUGAUUCCCGGAGUUGGCGUCGGAUCGACGGCUACGAUGGCAUCUCGGUCUGUGACUCUGAGAUGAGGUGUAAAGUGGACAGUGAAGACUGAGAGAGAGUGUCAGAGACUCAAAGGACUGAGAGAAGAUGGACAUGUAGUUUUUCUUGAUGUUGUUUAAUUUUUCUUAAAAAAGAAAAAAAAAAUAGUGGGUAGCUAUUUAGCCUAUUUUUCUGUUUUAUGGCUAAUUCCCGUUUUACCCUCAAUCGUUAAAUAUCUUGUGUUUAUGUGUGAUUCAACGUUAUGGGUAAAAUCAGGAAUUUAAUUUUUUGGUGAACCUUUUGACACCAAAACUUGACUUCCCAUUAUAGCAGUGAGUGGAGAUGAGGAAUAGAUAACGACCAAGUGUUUACAAACAUGAGAUGAGUUCGAGUUUCUGAGUUAGAAAUACGUGAUUCAGAUUAUCUAACAUAAGUUGUACACACGGUUAACUUAACUUUUGUCACAUGUGAGGGGACAUUUUCGCCCAUAAAAUUAGAAAUUUUGACUAUUUUGAUUGAUAAGAUAUAAGAGUCUGUUAUCAUUUUCAAUCACAUCUUAUACAUGACUUAUUACGAUUGAAUUUACUUAUCAAGGUAAUCAAAAUUUCAUCAAUUGCACAAACUUUUAGAAGUCCUUGGCGGAUAUGCUGAAAAAGGAGUUUACUUAAGUAUUGAACAACAACUAACCACCUGCGGUCAAUUUGUUAAAAGUUUAGAUGUGGAACCCACAUACCCAAGUUCAAAACUCGCCAACGUUGAUUGGAGUUUAAAUCUCAAUCUAUUUUUGGUGGCUAGAGGAGAGGAAGCGUUUUGACAUGACCUCUCAUGCGCGGAUUAGUCUCUGAGCCCAUAAAAUCUUUGAAAAUACCGUCAUUGAAUAUUCAAAAAAUAAUAAUAAUAAUAAUAAUAAUAAUAUUGAACAACAACUCUCCAUCCUACUUGUAAUGGAGCAAAGAAUAAGAUGUCUUUCAAUAUGUUCACAACUGCAGCCUGAUAUCUGAAACUCACAUGACCACCAGAGGCUUUAUCAUAUUCUUAUUGCAACUAUAUGAAGAAAAGCCAAAACCAAACAGCUAGCAACGAAGUGUAGAUCAAGAUAACAGUGAACUUACUAUAUCUAGUACCUAAACUCACUUCAAAGCAAAAAAUAUCCUUAAGCUUUUCUUUUGGCACAGCCUUGCUUGUCACUGCAGGUUCUAGCUGAUUUUAAUACUGUUUGCCAAACUCUCCAAGUAAACAUUGAUUCCUAUCAGUUUUGGUCAUCUUCAAGUGUUCUCUUUGGUUCAUAACCAUUCAGAGAUCAUAUAAAUAGCUUGCUUGCUACAGAAAGAUGAUCAUCAAUUAUUUGGGUGGUUUCGACCUCCAUAUAUACAGCAAGGUACAUUCUGCUUGUACUUACUUUCCUUAGAAAUUUAUGCCAUGAAUUAGAACUCUUUCUAAGUGAAAACUGAUAAGCACAAGGCACAGAAACUCUAGCUGUGGUCUCAAUUAGCAGUUUAGCGCUAGUACUUUUACACACUUUUGUAAUGAUGGCUUGUAGCAUCUUAAUCUGCUAUUCUCACUGCUCAAGUUUUUUAUAUGAACACAAUAUUCUCAUGCUUGUCUAAAGCAUUUCUGAAAAGAUUUCAGUUAUACGUUUACCUCGUAAGCUUAGAAGGCAGGGGAAAAACAGACGAUUACCAGAUAAAUUAGAGCCUUGAUUAAGUCUAACUUUCUGAUUUCUUAUUUUUGUCUCAGCUAAUCUGUUAACAAUGCCGUACUGAGAAGUACUCCUUUUCCAUUUUUCACUGAAACUUAUGAAAUAGGAAACUCAGUCAAGCUAAGCUGUUUAGGGUCUUUAUCAAACAAAGUGAAAUCCAAAGAUAAUGGAUUUAUGAAAAGCAUGCCAUUUGCUCCUUGGUGAAGGGCUCGAAUUUUUUUUUAUCAUGAAUUUCAUUCAUAUAUGAAACUUCUGUUCAGUAGUGUUAUGUUCAUAAUAAUCUAGAGAUUAUGCAACUAAUUAAAUCCAUUGCAGGUUUUGUUGACAACUCCGAAAUGGAUCAAAUUGAGGAUUUUAAAAAGAUGGAAGACAUUAGCAGAUCAGAGGGACAGUCACAAACCAGAGACCACAUCUCUCUUGAAAUCACUUCUGAAAGUGGUGGACUUGUAUCUCAGAUCAAAGAAAAAAUGGAAAACAUUGCUGUAUCAGUAUCUAUCUUCAGAGUCCCUAACGAAAAAAAAUGUGCCCCGGAUUAUGUCUCCAUUGGCCCUUUGCACUAUAAACAGUUACGUGAUAGCAAAGUCUCGGAGGAUGAUAAGUGGCGCUACUGCUAUGCACUCCUCAAUCGAAAGCCAAAUCUAGAAGCAAGCCUCGACACCUGCGUGAAAGCCCUGAAACAAAUGGAGAACAAGGCACGAAGAUGUUACAAUGAAGACAUCAGUCUCACUAGUGAUGAAUUUGUGCAGUUGAUGCUAAUUGACACCUGCUUCAUCAUUGAGCUAUUUCUCAAGUAUUCAUACAAGAGCCUUAGGUCUCGCCGUGAUCCCAUCUUCAAUAGCCCUGGUAUGCUCAUAGAAUUGAGAUGUAACAUGGUGGUACUCGAAAACCAAAUCCCCUUCUUUGUUGUUCAAAGGUUGUUCCAAUUAGUACCACUUCCAACACAAUGUACCGAGUCCCUCAGCGAACUUGCUACACGUUUCUUCAAGUACCUUCUACCAGGAGAGUAUCGUCGUGAGCAAGAAGGGCAUCAUUUACUCGAUCUAAUUCGACACUGCAUCCUCCCAACACAUCAUAAGCUACAAUCGACAGGCAAGAAAACUCCGGACUACUUGGAUUGCGUAAAGAAGCUAAAAAGAGCAGGGGUUAAAUUCCAAUGUGCUACCGUGGUACACAGUUUCUUGGAUGUCAAGUUUACUAAUGGUGUGUUCAAAAUGCCACCUCUUUUAGUCCAUCACUGCACUGAAACACUCCUCAAGAACCUCAUUGCACUCGAGCAGCGACACAUUGGGGAUGAUCCGGUGCAGCAUAUCACAUCUUAUGCAUACUUAAUGGGGUGCCUGAUCCAGUCCGAGAAAGAUGUGAAAUUGCUGCGGAAAAAACAGAUUCUUGUGCAUGAGGAGAAGAAUGACAAGGAGGUUUUUGAAGUGUUGAAGAAGUUGUGCGAGCAGAUCGAUUUGAAGGAUUUUUACUAUGUGAGGCUUUUUGAUGAGGUGGGUGAAUUUAUGAAGAGAAAGAGCUGGCACACGAAGAAGCAAAAGUUGAAGAGUACAUACCAUCCCAAGACUCCUUCGGCCGUUGCGGUGCUUGUUGUUGCCGUUUUGGCUCUUCUUCUCACAUUUGUUGGAGCUUUCUUUUCUAUACUCACAUUCGCUCGCCACCAUAUUUAGGGAAACGGUCGAGCUAUGAGAUUGGUAAUUGCUUGCUGAACCACUUUAAUAGUCAUCUGUUUGGUUACUUGUUCAAUCUCUCAUUAUGCUUCAUUUUCUUCAUUAUCUGAUUGUAAAGGUCAGUACUUUGGUAGAUUUUCCAGCUGGGUUUGGUGAAAUUGGGUCUUUUGGGACUGUAGGAUUUUACUGCUGUUUCGUUGUAUCACAACCGUUUAGUUUUUAGAUCUGAGUGAGUGAGUUGGUCACUUUUAUACCUAUAUUGAUUCUAAUUUGAGUGUUAUAUUACAUCAAAUCAAUUUACGAAUCAAAUUUGUUCAACUUGAAUAUUACGUGUUCAUUGUUAAUAUAUUAUGAUUACUAGUACCAAACGAGGAACAAAUAAAUAAUCAAAUAAACACGUGUCAAUCAAAAUCUACAAAAGAAUCCUAGUACGAAGGUUAUUCUUUUUUUGUUUUAGCAGAUGAAGAUGAAGGUUACUUCAUUUGUACUUGAGAUCACACUCAAGAAUCACCGAGAGUGCCAUGGCAAGUUGGCAACGGCAGGUCGUCUUGAUCAAACUGGUCAGAAAUGUGAUCCAAACCCGACACAGUGACAGUACCGACGUCUGUCUCCAUUUCACUGUCUUUAUUCGGUCGUGUCUUAUUCCCUCACCUCCAGGCAAAGACAACCCUCUUCUCCCUCAACACCGUCAGAUUCUAAUCACACGUGUCCCAUAUAUCUAGUGGACAUCCCACUUGUCACUCAGUCUCAUCAUUCCAUAAAAGACCUCAACUUCCGGUGCUCCUUCCUCAUUCACUCUUUCGGAUCAAAGCACACGUCUCUCUUUCUUCCUUCCUUUCUUUCUUUCUCCAAACCAAGAAAUCCAAACACAGCUACAAAAGAUGGACGCAGAAAGAAGAAUCGGAGUAGCUGUGGAUUUCUCGCCGUGCAGCAAAAAAGCACUGAAAUGGGCCAUCGACAACGUCGCCCGCAAAGGGGAUCACCUCAUCCUCGUCAUCGUACGCCCCGCUGACGUAUACGAGCACGGCGAGAUGCAGCUCUGGGGUGUCACCGGUUCUCGUACGUCUCUCUAAUCUUCUUGUGGGGUCAAUUUUGGAUUUUGAUGAUGAGUGAUAUUGUAACAAUUUAUUUUGCAGCUUUGAUUCCUCUGCCGGAGUUUUCCGAUGCUCAUAUUAUGAACAAGUACGAAGUGAAGCCUGACGCGGAGACCGUGGACAUAGUCACCACUGCGGCUAGCCAGAAAGAGGUAAGAGUAAUUAAUUGGGAUAUUUUGGGUUAAAUUAGUGUUGUUUUGUAUUGAUUAUUAGUGUGAUUGAGAUGCUGUAUCUGGGUGUGGUGAUUUAGAUCACAGUGCUGGUGAAGAUCUACUGGGGUGAUGCCCGUGAGAAGAUUAUCGAGGCUAUUGACAAGAUUCCCUUGAGCUUCCUUGUGAUGGGGAACAGAGGGCUUGGCACGCUUAAGAGGUAGAGAUGAGAUCUAACAUGCAUUGCUUGAAUAUUUCUGAAUUUGAAUCUGUGUUUGUAGGUUAUGAUUUAAUGUGUAUGUAUGUAUGUAUUUGAGUUUGGUUGGGGCUUUUGUCAAACUUCCAUGUUUGAAAUGAAGCUAUUAUUUACUUCUUGAGAGCUAGCAUAGACUUUCUUGACAUUAUGCUGUUAGGAUUUAGUAGCUCAAAUAGAUAAGACUUGCAUAUCAUCGUGAUCUUUUGAGAUGAGAGGGGAUAUAUGAUCACCUGAAGGUCAAUAAGUUUGUGGGUUUAUAAAUACAAAGAGGGGGGGUUUGGUGACCAUGUGAACUUGAACAUGAACCUGAAUACUUUAUGCAGACUUAAUAAUUUCUGCAACCAUCAUAUGGAAAGUUUUCUAAUUAGGAACAUGUGAAGGGAAGUAAAAUAAUAUCCGAGGCACCUGUUGUUGACUGGGUUGUUUUGUUGGAUUUUGAUUGCAUUUGUUGUUGUUUUCUUCAGGGUUAUUAUGGGCAGUGUGAGCAAUUUUGUGGUAAACAAUGCGCGUUGUCCAGUUACUGUAGUCAAGAGUGAGACCUAAACCUUUUGGCGUGAUGACCGCUAGGUAAAUAAGUGCAAAUGCUGCCUCUGGUAUGAUUGCUUCCUUUCGCAACCACCUUUUAGUCUGUAUAAGAACUACUGGUCUUCUCCUUUGUUUGAAGUAAUAGAAUUUUGUUUUCAACUCUUUGUUGUAUGUUGAAGUCGGGUAGAUUUCAUGGAUGUAGAUGUUGGAAUUUGUUUGUGCAACAUUGUAUCAUGUGAGUUUAACUUGUAGCUGAUUCUGUUGAUUUUCAUUCCAGAAUUCAGUAGUUAAUAAAAUUGUAUAGAUGUUUAUUCAUCUUGGUGCUUGUUAUCUUUUUUCUUUUCUUUUUUUUAAAGCAAAGUACUUUUAGUUGAUAUAAGAGAAGCCUGGGAUAGUAUAACAUAACUUAUUGCACAUCUUGGAUUUUAAUUAACAUUGUAAUAGUCUCUUCUCCAUGCUUGUUCACCUAGGUUUUUUUUUUUACUCUGUUGUGCACAACUAUUAUUGGAUAUAAAUUUAAUGGGAGAAUAAUUCUGUAGUUGAAAUGUGUUUAUUUAGUUCAUUAUUUUGCACCACUGGAUUUACAUUUAAAGAUAGUUUUAGCACAACUGAGUAAACAAUUAAACUGAGCAGGUGAACGGAACUGCUCUCUUCUAAUCUUCAUUUGUCGAGACUUGAAAUGGAUUGGAAGAAGGUGAUAAACAAGACUCCUUUGCCUGGUGUUAUUUGUCAUGAGAAAAUACAUUUUAUGUCAUACACCGAAUUCAGUUAGCCCCAUGUAUAGGAAGAAAGAAGUGGAUGAUAAAAGAAAAUCGAUCAACUAUUUUACAGUUGAAGCUAAAUACCAAAAAUAGCUACAAAAUCCACAAUUUAAGGCUGGUUCAUGAUCUAGGGCGGCUAGCAUUGCAUGAAUUACCAACCAAACGAACUCCUCAAUCAUUACUUUACCAUGCUCCUUCAGCUUUCUUCUUCUUCUUUGAUUUUUCCCAUUCUGCAAACAAUUCUAAGGAAGGAAUGGAUCCCCUCAAUAACUAUGGUCAAAUACCUCUCAUCAUUAUUUUGUUCUUCCUCUUUUGCUUCCGGUAUGCAGAAGUUGAAUGCCUGCCAAAUGGUCCAUACUUGACUCAUCCUACGGCGUCCCUAUGGCUCCGGCAACUCUUUCCUUCAACUCUUAAACAACCUGUGGCCUCCCAUCAGCCUCAAAACUCUGCCCCUACAGCCGAUUCUCCCUCACCAUCAUCCUUGUCAUCAUCAUUUUUCCCUCCUCUUUUAACUGGUUCCUCCAGAACAAACCCACAGAGAAACCUCUUUAUGCAAUCACUCCAGCCGACUGCAGCCCCAUCGCCACCACCAGCUGCCGUGGAUCCAGUUGUUAAACAGCUAUGUAACAACACCAACCACUCGGAUCUUUGCAUUUCAUCCCUCAUCCCUUUCCUUUCAGCACAAGGAAAGACAUCUCUAGAUGCCGUAACCGUACUCAAAAUGUUGAUAAAGGCUUGUUCCAUACAGGCAGAGCUGGCCCUGGCAGUGGCAUCAAAACUCUCCACAGAGCCGAAGAAUGCGCACCCGACGGCCAUGGCCAUCAUGGAUUGCAAGGAUAUGUAUAGCGAUGUGUUGGACGGCCUUCAAACCGCAACGGAUGCAAUUGCGAAAAAAGACAUGAGCACUGUUAAGAGUAUGCUUACCGGGGUAAUUAGUGAUGCUGUGACAUGUGAGGAUGGUUUUGCAGGACAAAAAUCACCACUUGGUGAUUUUGAUGAUAAACUUCGUAAGAUGGGCGACAAUUGCCUUGCCGUUGCUUUUUGGAUAAAGUGGUGAUCAUAUUAAGCUCCUUCAAUUUUGCUUUGUGCCGCAAAGGAAAAUGAAAAAAGAGUAGAUGUACAUGUAGCUAUUAUAUAAGGAGAUUUUCUUUGUAACAUAGCUUUGUUUGUUUGACUUGAGAAACUUGGUAAUAGGAAUUACUUGUGAUUCUAACAAUUCCGGUGUAUAAAUUUCCGAUUUUAUGAACACUUGGAUAUUGGGUUUGGAACACUAAUAUGGAAUUAAACUUUACAGUAGAAUUUUCUUAAGAUUUGGGGUCAAAAUGUGAGCUAAGGUGGAUUUCAAGGAGAGAGAUAAGGAGAAGGAAAUGGUGUGUGAGUUCCAUAUGAACAAAGACCUAUGUGCACAUUAUGAGCCAUUUCAAGUUAACAGAAUGAUUUUCCAUGAUUUUGUUCAAUACAAUUCAUGAGCCACUUAGAACAAGUCCACUCGUUGGGUCUUUGUUAGAAAUGUUGGGUCUUUGUUAGGAAUGUCUGGGUCGUGGUUGAGACUUAAGUCGUCACAUGACAGUGAAAUUAGACUGCAGUUUCCACCCACGGUUUCUGUUUCUGGGUCGUCACGUAAUAAUGACUGUUUAUUAAAUUUUAUAAUAAGUAUUUUGAGUGUGAAUAAUGAUUUUAUAUGUUAAUAAAAUUAUGAUUAAAUAAACAAAAUGACAUAUUGAAAUUAAAAUAUUUAUUCCAUGACAUUAAUUAACAAAAAAUGCCUAGAAAAAGAUAUAUACAACGAUUUAAAAUCUAAUUAAAACACACAAACAUAAUAAAUUAGGAAAUUUUUUGCGUCGGAUGAUGCAAAAACAUGCUGGUAACAUGUUUUUAUUGCAUACAUUUUAAAAUAGUUUUCCUUAACCUUAUUUUGUUUUCCUAUUAUAGGUCUUAUUAAUUUCUUUCCAAUUAAUACUAUUGCCAUUAAAUGGUAACAAACUAGCUAAUAUACAAGCCGUUGGAUCCUGUUGACCAAUUAUAUAUAAGUCGUUGAAUGAGUUUUCCAAUUUACUUCAGACGCGUGUGAGCCCAUCAUCCUUGCACAAGAUGACAAAAGCGUGGUAUCACGCUAUAAUGGGUGGACGAUGUCCUUUCGUGUCUUACACACGAUACGCAAACGCGUUAUCUCUCCUCUCUCUGCGUCAACGCAUGUGGCAGGCCCCAUACCUAGGGUUGAGUUGGCACGGGAAGGUCCGGGCCUUUAAAAUUGUGACUUAGGUCAUGGGUCUGACCUAAAUGAAGACCAAAUGAAGACCUAAGUGAAGACUCAACGAAGGCCUGGGGUUAAAAAAAAAAUUGUGGGUGGACUUGCUUUUUUUUGCUGUGUCUUCUUUUGACAUGAAUGAAGGCCUCAGUCAUGCUUUUAAACUAUGGGUGGAUUUGCUUUGCUCUUAGACCAUUUCUGUAGCCAAAAAAAAACAGAGCAAAUUGACUAUAAUGGAUGAUACAUUAAUGUACGUUGUAUGAACAACGAUACUAUACUUACAUGAUUAAUAGGUUUCUUCGCUAAUUAUACUUUUCAUUUAUUAAUAAGUAACAUUACUUCAUGACAAUCGAAUCAACAUAUUAUAAUCAAUUAUGAAAACCGAAUAUCACAUGUUUCUUAUCUAACAAUAGUCUUUACUCUUUACUAACUAAAAAUCAUUUAUAAUUACGAACAACACCAGGAAUACUAAAUUUGGGGAUUACAUAACUCUUUUAUUUUAGACAAUAUCUAAUUGUCAAGAGAAAUUUUAAAUACACACUCUUAAUCUCUUAAUACACACAUCUAUUAUAUUAUGUUUCUAUUAAGAUUUUAUAGAUAAGUUAAAUGUACAAAACAAACAUCUCUUAUUAAAAAAAAAAAAUCGCGCUAGAAGUAUUCUUUUCAACAUCUUCUACUCUAAAAUCAUUGAAAAUACGUCUUCUCCCAUAACCCCAACUCUUCUCCACAAUUCAUUUGAGUCGUCUUUUCUUUCUUUUCUUUUUCUUCUUCUUCUUUUUUUUUAUCUGUAUCAGCUUUAGUUUGAUCUUGCAUAUCAUAUUCUCAAGUACUGCAUCUUUAUCAUGACAUGUUUUAUCGAAUAACUAGAUAUCUAUGUUUAAUAGCUACUGUAUUUCUACACUUCUACUAUCUUGUGAAUUUUGAAAACUUGUAUUGAUGAUUUAGAGUUGGGAUAUAACAAUAAUCAUUUGAUUAUAAAUUGAACAAUGAUAAUAAAAAAUUUCUAACAAAAAUUAGACCAAAUAAUAUGUAAAAAGAAGUACAAAAUAGUAAAUAUAGAUUAAUUAUAUUAAAUAAUGAAAUAUUUCAUAAAUUAAGGGUAUUUUAGGCAGUUUGGGAUGUGUAUUAAGAGCAUCUCCAACAGUUUCCCCAUUUUCUUGAAAUUCUCCAUUUUGGGAAAUAUAAAGCUAUUUUUAGGUCCAACAGCUUCCUCAUCAUAUUCCCCAAAAUGGGGAUGAAGAAGAAAAAGAAGCCUCCAUUCCUCAAAUUUGCAGCAAAGUUUUCCUUCCCUAAAAUUAAAUUCUUCACGUGCUCCAACGAAUUUAAGACAACAAUAAAAUAUUUUAUUGGGUAGUUUAUUGUUACAAUGAAAUAUUUAAUAUUUUUUUGUUAUAAUUAAUGAUGAUAUAUUAUAUUUUAUUGUUAUAUUAAAUGCUGCAAUCUCCAAAAUGGAGAAGCUGCUGGAUUUUGAUCAUAAUUUUUUUGGAGAUUUUAGUUUUUGUUUUCCUAUUUUAGAGAAAUUUUGAGGAAGCUGUUGGAGAUGCUCUAAGUAUAAUACUGAAAUGAAAAACUUGAUACGUGGUGUAUUAAGUAAGGGGUGUGUAUUAAGAUAUUAAGGAUGUGUAUUUAAAAUUUCUGAAUUGUCAAAUACUACAUUCUAAUCAAUGUAAGAAAAAAAAAAAAAAAAAAAAAAGACAGGUGAGGGGUCUUUCUCCCUCGUUGGGCUUGGGCUCUGUAGGUCAGAGGUCCAUGCCCUGGUUUCAUGCACAUCAAUAAUGGCUGUCGCAUAAAAAGCUGUGCUAAAUGAAGGAACAGAAUAAAGUCUGGAGGAAAAUGUAGCAGAUAAUAGAGAGCUCCAUUCCCAUGCUUUACCCAAAACUAGUCCAAACUUCCCCAAACCCCUCUCACCAGCAUUUACUUCAGCUACCCUCUUCACCCACCUAGUAACCCUAGCUCCCUCCACCUCCAGGCUUCACAGCCCGUCUCCAGCUUCAUCAAGGUAAACCACUUUCUGAUUUCUGAUGUUAUAAUGCUCUGUUUGUCUCUCAUAAUAUGAUUCCAAAGUAAAAUCUGACACACCCAACUGAAGAGAAUAAGCUUAAUGUAGAGAGAGACAGGUCUUUUCAUUUCUUUAAGCUUUUAAGGAAUAGUCAGUGAGUUCAAGAAAAUGAAAGGACAAGAGAAGAUUGGUUUCUUUCAGUUCGUUUUCAUUGUAGUUUAUUGCUUGUACGUAUAUUUAGUAUUGUUUGGUGGCUGCUUUGUUUCAAUAAUGUUGGUAUAUAGAGCUUGGUAGUGUCUUUAAUGCCCUUGAUUUUGCAUUGUCGUAUAGAAAUUCUCCUAAAAGUAUGGGUUUUCUUUUGUUUUUCUUGAUUUCUUACCGACCCGAAAGUGGGCAUCUAUUUCUUUCCUGUAAUUCAGAAAUUUCAAAGUGAUCAUACUCAUAUAGGUUAUUAGUUGGCUUGAAUUCUUGCAUACAGCUUGUAGUGGGAUUACAUUUAUGGGAUCACAUUAGCUUAGUUUUUAUCUUCAGGAGCAAUGCGGUGUUCUUAAUGACUUGUAUUGGACUUCAUCCCUUUGUUUAUUGAAAUUGGAGGUUGGAUCAGAGACCUGCGGUCGUUUUAGUAUUAAUGGAAAGCUUAGGUGGCUGUGGGUUUUCUGUUGGAGGAUGUGUUGUGAGGAAGAAAAGGAGUGUUGUAUCGCAUAAGCCUCGCUUGGAUCCACUCACAUUUUCUGAGAGGUCGAAUAUCUUGCUACCAAUUGUACAUCCCAUUGGCAAUGAAAGCCCUGAUAAGAAGCAUAAUAGCAAAGAGAAACUAUUACAUUCUGAUGGACUGCAAAGUGAGAAAAAGCCGAAGAAGUUAAAGCUUAAGCUUCGAGGUGUUACUCAUACAAUCCAAACAAAGUAUACAGUUGAUUCAUGCCCGUCCAAUGACCUCAUACCCCAACCGAAGCCACUUCUCCAGGUACCUACAGUGAUGGAAUAACUAAUAGGUCAUAUUUGUACCACCACUGCAGAUUAAAUUUAUUUUGUCUACCUGCCUGAUUAAAACCAAAGGUUUUAAAUAGUUUUCUCCAUGUGCAAUCACAACUGCAAUGACAAAAACAACAAGUUACCUUACACUCUUACAGGAUGAAAUACUCUCUGUUUUUGGAAAAAAUUGUGUACUUGUUACGUUAAAGAAGUUGUGUGUUUGACUUGUUAGUUUUUCAUUAACCAUGUCGUCAGAUAAUGAUGUUUUGCUGUUUAAAUUUGUUGAUCCAUGUGAGUUUUUAUUUAUUAAAUUACUGUUGCAGGAUGGCAAACCCAUAUGUUCUUCUGAUCAGGGUAAAGGCAUUGGAGUUAAACGAAAAUACUCCUUGAAAUUUGACUCUGCUUUGAGAAAGGAGUAUCCUUCGAAAGGUGAAAUCUCUGGGGAAAGUGUUCCUGAGGAUGGAAAACCAGCUCGUAAGAGCAAGCGGAUUCAUGAGAGACGUGUCUUGGAUGUGGGACUUAGUGAAGAUGGUAAUGAAGAUGAUGAAAUUCGAUUUCUUGAAAGACUAAAUGCUUCAAAGGUUGCUCUUUCAAAGAGAAGUCAAAUGGAUGGCGCUCAUGGAGGUGAUAUUGGAAACAGAAAAUUACCAAGGCUGCAGAAACAUGGUGGAAAAAAGUUAAGAUCAGAAAAAAAGUAUGAGGAUAAAGACUAUUUGGGAGAAGAAGAAGACGAAGAAGAAGAAGAAGAACUGACAUCUGAUGAUGAACUUCAAUCUAAUAGGAAGACGCUGAAAAGAGGAUCUCUUAGUUUACUUCUUGAAGGGCCACAAAAGUCCACGCCCACCACACGUAAUCGGGCCCUUCAGUCUGGGAUAGAUGUCUUAACUGGCUCCGGUUCAAGCGUUGUUAACCUUGCAAAUCAUUUGCUUCCUGCCUCAUCUAAAAGUGCGCAUCCUCUUCUUCCAUAUUUGCAUUGUGAUUGUGUUUCUACACGUCAAAGAUAUGUUUGUAUAUGCAUACUAACUUGUUUGCAGUUGUUUUACUGGCUGGUUGACCACAGAAAAGGAGAAAAUCUCUGAAGAGGAUAAGCAAUCAAAGAAAGCCGAGGCUGCACAGAGACGUAAAAUACAAACAGAAAAGAUAGCUAGAGAAGCUGAGGUUUGGUCUUUUUUAUCAUGUUUUAUAUUAUGUUCUCAGCUGGUAGUCAUAGGAAACGGUCUCACUUGGUAUAUUCUAGGCUGAGGCAAUCAGAAAGAUACUUGGUCAAGAUUCGAAGAAGAAGAAGCGGGAAGAAGAACUAAAGCAGAAGAGGGAUGAAUUGUCACAGGUCCUUUAAGCUAGAGCAUUGGUUAUUCUUAUAUUUCUCAUGGUUAUUCGCAUCGUUCUGAUUCAGUAUCUACUGAUAUUAUGCAGGGGAGGAAUGCCAGUGCUGUCACACUGGCACCAAACACUGUCCGAUGGGUGAAUGGCCCCAAUGGGACGGUCGUUACAUUCUCUGGCGACAUCGGUCUUCCUAACAUUUUCAGUCCAGUGCCGUGCAGGUAAAGCAUUUGCUUUCUUUUUCCAACCCAGUUUCUCCUUUGAUCUCAAAUUCUUGUAAUCUCAUAUGGCUUUCUGGUCUUGUGGGCUGUUAUUUAGCUAUCCUCCCCCACGUGAAAAAUGUGCUGGUCCAAAUUGUACAAAUGCAUACAAGUAUCGGGAUUCUAAGUCCAAGCUCCCCCUUUGCAGUCUCCAUUGCUACAGGGCGUUGAACGGAAAGACACAGCCUCUAACUGCUUGUUGAUACAGUCCUAAUGGGCACACCAAUUUAGUAGAGCCAAUUGACUGAUUUUGUUGGAAUGUGGAAAGACUAUCUUGUAGUCAUGCAUCCUGAACUGAUCACGGAAUAGUGAAUUCUGACCCCUGAUAUUGUCAGUAUUUUGUAGAACAAUCAAGUAUAAUGAUCGGCGUAAUUGUAAAAGCGAUGUUUUGCAAUGUCACUGUGCCACUUUCAAACAUUGCAAACUUGUCUGUAAAGAAUUUUAGAGAACUUGCUAACUUGGGAUGAAAUGCCAUUUAUGUCUUCCACAAUCCUACAUUCCUACUCGAGGGAAAGUCUGCAUCAGUUUUUCUUGGUACUUCUCAAACUGCUUAGUCUCACAGACUAGACAACUUUCAAUUUAGCUUGUGUGGUUACAUGUAUUGUCCAAAAAAAUCUGUAACCAAUUAGGUUGCUGGAUAACCAGAUUGAUCGGAUGCAGCAGAAAAAUCAAAAACUGUUACUUACAAUUGUGUACAUUAAGCGGUAAGAUUGUCAAAUAGAUUACAGAUUCUUCAAAUAUAUUAUAUAUAUGGAAAACUUUAAACAGACGUUUCUCACUACAACAGACAAUAAGCCAAGGCAUCUUGAACUUCCAUGCUAGUAGGAAAUCAUUGCUAAGUCUAAGACUCGUCCAUAAACACGGCACCAUAUCCGCUAGAUUUCAUGAACUUCUUCAAUAGAAGAACAAAAAUGGCAAUGGUUAGUCCAACGGCAGCCAAUGUGAACAACCGAUCUUCAUUUGGUUUUUGAACUCUCAUUUCUGGCUUUUGUACAACCCGAGUUGAUCCGCCGGAAGGAGCUUCAUUCAACACCCUUGGUAUUUCGGGGGUGGGGUUAGCAUUCUGAGGGGCUUCCUGUACUUCUUCAACAAUCCUAUCAUCUGCUCCCGGGUUUGGGAGCUCUUCCCCAGUGAGUGUGGCUCCAGCAUUUUGUGUAGUCCCAUCAACUUCACCUUCCCUGCUUGAAGGAUGCUCUUUGGAGGCUGGUGUGGGGUUUAUUUCAGGAACAGUUGGUGCCUUGCUUAGCAUAUAUUCAUGAAUCUGCAAAAUUAUUAUACAUGAAAAGUUGUAAUCGAAAAAAACUGUAAAAGUACAAUGUUGAUACAAGACUCUCAGUAGCUAUGUACCUCAUCAAUGAUCUUCUGACGUUCAGGAGUUCCGAAUCUUGGGGCUGUCUCACGAGAUUUGACAGCCAAAGUACGCCUUUCUUCCUUUUUGUAUUCCAGUGAACCCAAUGCACCAUUUGGGUGGGUGGGCAUGAAUGCAAUAAGAGCAACUAGAGCAGUCCGCACUGCAAGCAGCAAUAGCAUACAGGCAAGAUGAGAAGCGUGUGGUGGCCUAAAGAUGUCUGAGAACAUGUAUGCAUGUGAUAUAAGCGAAUUCCCUUACAAGUAAGGACAAUAACAAUGCAGAAAGCUAUUGCUAGACAAGUCACUUCCUAAACCAGAACUAUUUUAGGUUCGCAAAAUUUCCCCACAUGAUUCGACAUGCACCAAGUUAGUCCAUCUGUCGUUUUCAAACCACAUUCUCAAUACCAUAUUGUAAAUAACUGAAAACCAAAAACCAAAAAAACAGAACCUUGGAUAAAUCAGUCUAGGUGAUCAAACUAAGAAACAUGGAUGCUCCUCACAAAAUGCAUAUAGGAAUAUAAGCAAAACCACAAUGACACUAGAAUUUUCGGCUGUCUUUUUCUAACAGACAUUUUCAAUCCCAUGUAGAUAUCAAACACCAAAUUAAUAUACAGUAGCAAUGUGAGCAACUCGAAAACAAGCACUUGACCAAGAACCUUGGCAUAGCAAUGCGGCCAUUGAACUAAGAUGUUCAGUUCCAAGUAACCUCCAAUUCAACCUCACCAUGCUUUAGUAUAUAUGAUCACAACGAAUGAAUAAGCUCCUUCCACAUUCGAGCAACCUAGUAAAUCUUUCAACACAUUUCAAUCCCUAACUCUCACGAAAAACAAAAACUCACCGCUCCAGGACGGCUGCCAGUGCUCAGGAUGAUGAUUUGAAAUGCUCAAGCAAAUCUUGGUUUGCGUCUCGAACCGGCCAUUCGGCUGGAAAAAGCAACACAAAUCAGUCAUAAACCAAAACGAAAACCUAACGCGACCAUAACAAAACAGCCAGCAAGGCAAGAGCAAACUACCGUCAACAGCAUGAACGACGGAGGCUUAAACGGAUACUCCGCCGGCAACUGAAUCCUGCCGUGGUAAAUGCCGCCCUCGAAUUCCGUAUCCCGAGGGCCGCGAAUCGCAAAUUGCCAGUCAAAUAUAUUCUCCUGUUCAAAAUCCCCAAUUUUCAACAUCUCAACACAAAACACAAUUCAUUCAAAAUUAACCAUAAAAUCAAAGCUAAUUAGGUUAAGAUUGAAGCUAAUACAAAUCGGAAAGGUGUUAACCUCGAGAGGGAGGCUCAUGAAAUCGUCGGAGGGAUUGGAUUGCAUCUCCUUGACCUCCUGCAGGAUUCGCUUCACGGCCGGGUUCUUCCGGUUGUACUUGUCCUCCGCCAUGGCCGUGAUUCUUCCGAUUCGAAUAAUUCCCGUCUGGAGCGACCCGAUCCGAUCCGAUCCGAUUCAGAUGAGCUUCGUUUUUCCGAUAUUCAAGAUAUGAAUCCGAAAUGGAAGAAAGCUCGGUGGUUUUAUAGGUCAGUGGGUUUGAUCUGUUGGUUGCUUGCCACGUCAUUUUAUUUGGGAUUGAUCACGUGGCAAGUGCUCAUUCGGGACUGUGACUUCAACUCCUCAAGAGUGAAAUAUCUGUUUGGUAAACGGAUGGCUCAUGGGCUAAAAUGGCCUUAACAAACUUUAUAAUAUCGAAAAAAAAAUACAACAAACCGCAUAUUUGACUACUAACAUUAAGAGUUUAAGACUAUUUAGUUGAAAAGCAGGAAAACAUGAGCUAGGCAAGCAGUUGAGCCAUUUCUUGAGAGUAACAAGGCCGUGACCAAUGGAGGCAACGACGUCAACAAGGACGUUGGCCUCUCGGAAGACAUGGAUGAAGAAAAUACUCUCAAACUGUCUUGCAUCAAACAAUAUGUCUAAUGAGGGACUCAAUGUGCAAGGGUGGGUAACUAUUUUCAUUGAUGCGGUUGAUAUUUAGACUUGAGUCACCUUCCACUUCAAGCUUAAGAAGAUUGAAAUUGUGAGCUGCAUGAAUGCAUCUUUAAGCAUAGCACACUCAGCCACAGGAACAAAAACAUCACUAAGACUUCUAGCACUUGCCACCAACGGAAGGAUCAAACGAACUAGAUCCAGUAUAGGAUCAAAGGUUUAAGCUAAGCUUCAUCGAUAUAUUUACAAAGAACAAAUGUUUCAUAAUUUUAUUGCGGAUGAUACUAUGUUGAUUGAUCGACGUUUUUCAUGUGUCCUCGAACUAAUAAUUUGUUUUAGAUGAUCAAUUAAUUAUAUGAGCUACCAUUCUAGUUUACAUACAAUGAUAAAAACAUAAGACAUUUAGAAUAUUCGUUGCUUUCCAACUGAUUAACUGACCACCAAAACAAAUUCCACAAUUUAAAUAUCUUUAAUAUAGUCCAAGUUAGAACCGAAAAUUAAAUGUUACUUUUCUAAGAUUAAAAGAAGAGUAAUGAUAAUUAGAAUUUCUACCAGGCUCAAUAUGAUUUGUAAGGUUCAUGACUGUGUAGGAGAUGCAACGGAUUAUCAACCAUGACAGUAAAUAUCGCUUUGUAAUUGGGUGCAUGACUGACAUCACACGUAUUCAGCUUAAAUUGGUAAGACCCAAUGUAUGAAACAUUCUAUGUUCGAAUCUCGCAAUGUUGAUCGGAGAUAAAUCUUGAUUUAUUCUCGCUUGUUAAACAGGAGACGGCGUGCGUUCUGACAUAAAAACUAAGUGAUUUUGAUAUUAAAAAAAAUAAAAAAUAAAAUUCAAGUUUACAUCAUUACGCGGUCUAGCUAUACUGGUGUAAGCACACGUCGAUGUUCCUUUUAUCGACACGGAUAGUGCCGUAGUGGUGCUUGUACAUCUAAAGCCUGCCUGCAUGAUUCCCACGUGUUGGUGUCAACAAGAACAAUGCCAUUUUUGGGUCUACUGGCCAGUCCAACACAAGUGACAAUCACCUCCAAGUCUCCCACCAACUCUGCGAGCUUGAGAUCGAAGCUGACCAACAAAAAUGGACGUAGUCCCACCCAAGCCCGGGAUGAUCGACACGUGGCUCAAGAAGCACACUCUGAUCCACACCGGCGCCACCCGGCACCCUUUCAUCCUCGCCAUCCGCGACGGCACCGUCGACAUCUCCGCCUUCAAGCGCUGGCUGGUACCAAACGCCGUCGUUUAUGUCCUCACCAAAUUCUUUACCUUUUUUCUACAGUAGUUAUAAUUGGAUUAUGGAUUGGUUUGCAGAGCCAGGAUUAUAUAUUUGUUCGAGCGUUUGUGCCGUUUGCGGCGAGUUUGGUGGUGAAAGGUUGGAAGAAUUCUGAUGAUAGUGACGGUGACGUGGAAGUCAUACUGAGUGGGCUUGCUGCUUUGAACGAUGAGAUUGACUGGUUCAAGAAACAAGCCUCCAAAUGGGGUGUUGAUCUUUCUGUUGUUGCUCCUCAGCAGCCUGCUCUAGAUUACUGCAGGUACCCAAUAUUACAUGCCAAUCAUUCAUUUUUUCGAUUGAAAUUUGGGUGUGAUUGGACCAAAGAAAUAGAAUUUUGUGUUGGUACCUCUAGGAUUACUCCAUGGCAGUAGUGCUUGGAGUGGUAUAGCAGGUUGAUGUUGAUAUACUUACACAAUGUGUAUAGAGUUCCAAGAUAGUAUUCUUAAUCUUAAGACUUCAAACAUCUGGUGUAAGCCAUUGGAAGUAAAAGGGUUUAAAAGGAUACGGCUGCAAUAAAAACUAGAUAUGCGGAGGAGUUUGAUUAAAGAUUUAGGAUUUUGGUUUGAUUUGGUUUGGUGCUUGUAGCCAUGGUGUAAUUGGUUAAACCCCAAGUGGAAACAAUUAUAUAGUCACCAAAGAUUUGCUGAAGUUUAUACACCAGUUUGUGUAAAAAGUUGAUGAGAAUGGAUAAGAAGUUUACAAGUUAUGUUGGUACCUUCAGCAUUACUUUCAUGAUAAUCAAGUACUAAUUGGAAUGGUGUUACAGAUUUCUGGAGAAUUUGACAAGUCCUGAGGUCGAGUACACAGUGGCCAUGACGGCCUAUUGGGCCAUUGAAGCUGUGUACCAGGAGAGCUUUGCCCAUUGCUUGGAGGAGGGAUUCAAAACCCGACCGGAACUACAGGAGGUUUGUCACAGAUGGGGCAAUGAUGGCUUUGGUAGCUACUGUUCUGCUAUCCGAAGCAUUGCUGACCGGCUAUUGUUGAAGGCUUCAGAUGAUGAGGUGCGAAAAGCAGAAGUGACAUUCCUGCGUGUUCUUGAAUAUGAGGUUGAAUUCUGGAACAUGAGCCGGGGGAUUCCUAGGUACUAAGUCAUGAGGUUGAAUUGAUCACCACUCUCCUUAUAAAUACUUAAAAGUAUCAUGUCAUGUUCAAGUUGCACCUUUGGACAAGCAAGCUAAUGUUAAUAGAGUAUUGAAAGUUCAAACUAAUAUGCGUAGCAAAGUUGAUCUUGCAGUAAUUUGUAACCAUAUGGUUGUAUGAGGUCGUUGAAUUCGAUUAGCUUUAUGGGGAUGAAUUUGGUGACGAUAAACACUGGACAUCAAGAGCUGUAUAGCAACAGUUGCCAAAGGUGCAUGAAUUGUUGUGUCUCAGACUGAAGUGUCUCUGUUACUGUUCAUGGUUGCUCACAGAUCAGCUAGGUUUGCUCUGCCACUUCUCAAUAUGGUAUUCUGCUGAUUUGCUGGGCUUUUCAAAGCCAUAACAUGUUCGAGUUGGGGUUCUUUCUGUGGCAUUGAGCCUUCCUUGUAACAAAGGGAAUGAGAAGAAAAAGAAACACAAUUCACAUCAAUCCUUCUGUAACUUCAAAAGACGAGGGAAUAACUUUUUUCUUUUUGUCUUUUCUUUCCUCUCCGUGGAUUCAAAGAGCUUAGCAUCUUCUUGAGGUUUGAUUGUGCAGAUAUAUGGAUGAGAAGAAUCAUAUUCUAUCCAUGUAUCCUAAGAACAACAUACUUUGAUGCUCCAUUCCGCCACUUAGGUUCCUUUUCCCUUGGAUUAUAUAUACAGGGACAAAGUUCAUCAGAACGUAUCAAAACUGGAAAAUGGCAUCAGGCCAGCUCUUUCUUAAGCCUCAGAAGCAAGAAGAUUAUAAUAAAUCUAAAGUCAUGAACAUCGAGCAUGAAAAUGUCAAGGCCUCGGCACCACCACAGCCUGCUUCUAAGAACGGCAGAGGUGAACAAAAGAAGAAGGGCAAUAAGAAAAAGAAAGGCAGAGGGAGCGGUGAUGUUUUCAGGGUUCAGGGCAACACCAUCAAUGGAGGCAAAGCCGACAAGUGUGGAGUUUUCGGAUUUGGUAACAAGUAUGUUGGCCGCAAGAAACCAAAAGAAGACGAGUCCGAAGAAAGUGACUCCAGUGAUGAAGACGAAGAGUGAAACUUAUGCAUAUGUAUAUGGCAUGGUUUUAGGACCUUAAGUUAAAUAAAGCCUUGUUGUGCUGGCUGCCUCAACCUUAGAACUGGAUUAAUAAAAGGUCCCUAAAUAAAUCGUUAUGUUGGUCUCUUUCUUAUUUUAUACAUACGUAAUUACGUAUUAACAACAAGAGAAAUUGUCUUGUUUUUUUUUUCUUUUCUGUUUCUAACAAGGAUUGACAAUGGGGGAAUCGCAGUUGGGACUUCUACCAACAUUUGUUUCAGACAUAAUUGGCUAGAACUGGUAUUUUCCUUCAGAUAAAUGCUAUAUGAUCCGAAUACAUGUCCUGCCGUGCCUUUGACUAUGGCUUGGUGUGGUUUGCCUUGCAUUCCCCUUCUUUCUUUCCACAUUGAAUUGCAUGAGCUGCUUUGCCUUGCAGUAGUCGUGCUGGUAAUUACCACUGGUGACAUACAUCUUUCUAUGUGUCAAAGAGACUAAGAGCUAUAGAGGCUAUAUGUGCAGCCAUUCAGGUGCGACAAUAUAAAGAUUUUCUAACGAAUUUGGGGUGAUGGUUCUAAGCUAGGUUGGACGUGCCUUGCCUUCUCCCAUAUGGCUGUAAACCUAGCUAAACCUAAAUGAAUUGUUGGAGGCUUGGUGCCUGAAAUGAAAAUAAGUAUAUAAUUCCACAAAACUAUUUUGACAAGCAACGGCUAGGUGCUAAAAUAGCAUAUACUUCAGAAAAAGAAAAAAAGAAAAAAAUUAAUGGUAUUGAAUGUUUCCCAGGCUUACCCCUAAUGUAAAUCCAUCUCCUUUGCAUAUAUAUAGCAGCAGUUAGCAUUCAUCAACAUUUUGCCUUUGCAUAUAUAUGAUAAAAUUUUCACAAGGAUAUCAACCUCAAAUUAAAAAGAGUUACAGUGACAUGAAUUAAGGUAACAAAUCUAAAGACAGAAGCAUGAUAAUAAAGAUUUAACAAGAAUUUUAAAACGUCCACCUGGUAUGUGAGACUUGGAAGAUGCUAUACAACUCGAUCUUGGGAUAAAAUUGGAUGCUUAUAUCUAUCAUGAUAAUAAUUCCAUUCUUUUUCUUUGUGAAUCCAUUCGCCUCUCCACUUAUAGUGGAGAACAGAAUAUUUAUCUUCUUCUACAUGAACGCCUAAUUAACCAUUUCAUAUCACGAAUUCAGGAUCCUUGUAUAUAUAGACGCACUUGAUGAAUACCCUUUAUAUCUAGACACUCGAUUACUCAUAUAGCUUCCUCAAGCUAUUAUUUUUCUGAGCGUCUUUGCCAUAAUAAUACAUCAAUCCAUUCUACCUUCGAUCACUGAUUAAGUGAUUAUUCGAACACAGUGAGUGCUUAUUGCAUGCAGCAUAUGGAAACNUNNNNNNNNNNNNNNNNNNNNUUUUUUUUUUCUGUUUUGUUUUCCAUAUAGAAUUUUCAAUCGAUAGUAUACAACUCGAACCCUACGUUCUUUAACAUCAAUAUGAACCGCAGAGUUCUAUGGAAGCAGAGAAGAAACCGUUGAAGGUUGGGCCGUUUGGUUCAGACAGUGGAGGAGAUCGUUUUGAUGAUGGAGUUCACUCCUCUGUGAGGCAACUAGUGAUAUGUUAUAGUCCAUCGUCAAUUCGCUACAUCCAGAUUGAAUAUGAUGACAACGGAAAAUCAUAUUGGUCGCAGAAGCACGGUUAUAGCAGCUCCCUGAGUCUUGACAAAAUAGAGUCGGUACGUAAUAAUCUCUGCAUAUAUAUUUAAGUUAAGAGUUAGAAUAAUCCCAAGGACUGUACUUCUGUUUCAAUUGAUGCAGAUCAAGCUUGAUUAUCCAGAAGAAUAUUUGACUUCAAUUCACGGAUAUUACAAAAGUACUUGGUACUUACCUACCUACAUUAGCUCACUCACUUUCACUAGCAACAGAAAAGUGUACGGACCAUUUGGAGAUUAUGAAAAUGAGGGAAGAAAAUACUUCACAAUCCAAGUCUCUGGAAGUAAGAUCGUUGGGUUCCAUGGCAAGUCAGAUGAGUGGUUUGAUCUUCGUGCAUUAGGAGCUUACCUUAAGCCUCUGGUUCAUACACCACAAUAUUCCAACAAUAAUAUUAGUCUUGCACCAGUUGCUCAUAUUGGUUAUCCAGCUGCGCAUGAUUAUACGCCGCCUCUUCAGGCUCGUCCUCCUCCUCCAUAUUAUGGUAGUUACUAUACUAACCCUAACCACCCACCACAGGCUGCUCCGACUCCAUAUCCAUAUGGCUAUUAUGUUCCUCCUCCAGGUCCUCCUCCAUAUAAUAAUGGAUACUAUGACUAUCAAAUGUCACAGGCACCACCGCUGCCGCAGCCUGCUGCUCUUGGACGUCCUCGUAAGCCGAAAAGUGCUCCUGGUAAGCCCAAGGCUGCUAAAAAUAAUGACCCUAAAAACGUAUCUUAUAGGGUUUUGGGGAAUGAAGUCAGUGGAAACACAGGAGAUCAUAAUGGAGUUUUCAGCGUUGGCAACAAGAAUACUGGUCUCCACAAGGAAGAUGAUGAAGAAGACGAAGAAUGGUGAAUGAAGGACCUAGAUUUGGAAACUGCGUACCGGUACCCUGCAGUUUGUAAUAGUUCCGAAUUUCUGAAGGCCAUAAUAAGUUUAUACGUACCAAUUGUUAUUAGUCUCUCUGCUGCUCUUCUUAUAGCUAAGAUAUAUGUACUACAACGUUUCAAAUGAAACUCUGAUGAAUGUACGUACUGAAUAUAUGAGGAAAUAGAAGGCAUGAAAUCCACGCUCUUGUCUGAGACUUUCGAAGAAGAAAAGACCACCUGCUACAAGGGGAAAAAAAAAACUACUAAUGGAAAUUGAAACUAAAAGCUUAGAGAAGAAGAAAGCGAUACAGAAGAUAAGGAAACUGUGAUUCUGAUUAAUUGAAGAAAGAGAGAAGCUACAGCAAAUAUAUGAUGUCUUAAGACAUCACAGAGACCAACCACGUGUCCCUUAUUUACAGCUCAGUAUGAGCUUAAGCUAGCUAAUUAACUAACAGCUAAACACUCUUACUUACUACUAAUUGGAUACAAUUAGUACUUAAUAUCCUAACAUCCUCCCUCAGCUUGAUGGUGAUUGUGAAGCAUCAAGCUGGAACAUAAGAACUGAUGUUGUGGAGAGCACAAGCCUUUGGUAAACAAAUCUGCAAGUUGAUGUUUAGAAGGAACAAACUGCAGCUUAAGAAAACCAGCCUUCACCUGAUUGCGAGUGAAAUGCACAUCCACUUCAAUGUGCUUUAACUUUGAAUGAUAUACUGGAUUAGUAGCCAAUGCUAAAGCUGAAAUGUUGUCACAAUGAAGAACUGGAACUUCAGAAAGUUGAACAUGUAAAUCCUUCAGUAAGAGCAGAAGUCACAUGAGUUCAGAAGUUGUAUCUGCCAUACUUCUAUACUCAGCUUCAGUGGAGGAUCUAGACACUGCACGUUGCUUUUUACUACACCAGGACACAGGAGUAUCAUUGAGUAAAAUCACAAAACCAGUAGUAGAUUUCCUAUCAUCAGGAUCACCUGCCCAGUCUGCAUCACAAAAGGCUUUAAGAGCAAGAGCUGAUGUGGAAAAAUUGGUUGCAGAAUAACCUCUCUUGAAGAAAACACCUUGAGACAUUGUGCCUCUAAUGUAUUUUAGAAUCCUUUGAGUAGCAAGGAGAUGAACAUGUGUUGGAGCAUGAAGGNNNNNNNNNNNNNNNNNNNNNNNNNNNNNNNNNNNNNNNNNNNNNNNNNNNNNNNNNNNNNNNNNNNNNNNNNNNNNNNNNNNNNNNNNNNNNNNNNNNNNNNNNNNNNNNNNNNNNNNNNNNNNNNNNNNNNNNNNNNNNNNNNNNNNNNNNNNNNNNNNNNNNNNNNNNNNNNNNNNNNNNNNNNNNNNNNNNNNNNNNNNNNNNNNNNNNNNNNNNNNNNNNNNNNNNNNNNNNNNNNNNNNNNNNNNNNNNNNNNNNNNNNNNNNNNNNNNNNNNNNNNNNNNNNNNNNNNNNNNNNNNNNNNNNNNNNNNNNNNNNNNNNNNNNNNNNNNNNNNNNNNNNNNNNNNNNNNNNNNNNNNNNNNNNNNNNNNNNNNNNNNNNNNNNNNNNNNNNNNNNNNNNNNNNNNNNNNNNNNNNNNNNNNNNNNNNNNNNNNNNNNNNNNNNNNNNNNNNNNNNNNNNNNNNNNNNNNNNNNNNNNNNNNNNNNNNNNNNNNNNNNNNNNNNNNNNNNNNNNNNNNNNNNNNNNNNNNNNNNNNNNNNNNNNNNNNNNNNNNNNNNNNNNNNNNNNNNNNNNNNNNNNNNNNNNNNNNNNNNNNNNNNNNNNNNNNNNNNNNNNNNNNNNNNNNNNNNNNNNNNNNNNNNNNNNNNNNNNNNNNNNNNNNNNNNNNNNNNNNNNNNNNNNNNNNNNNNNNNNNNNNNNNNNNNNNNNNNNNNNNNNNNNNNNNNNNNNNNNNNNNNNNNNNNNNNNNNNNNNNNNNNNNNNNNNNNNNNNNNNNNNNNNNNNNNNNNNNNNNNNNNNNNNNNNNNNNNNNNNNNNNNNNNNNNNNNNNNNNNNNNNNNNNNNNNNNNNNNNNNNNNNNNNNNNNNNNNNNNNNNNNNNNNNNNNNNNNNNNNNNNNNNNNNNNNNNNNNNNNNNNNNNNNNNNNNNNNNNNNNNNNNNNNNNNNNNNNNNNNNNNNNNNNNNNNNNNNNNNNNNNNNNNNNNNNNNNNNNNNNNNNNNNNNNNNNNNNNNNNNNNNNNNNNNNNNNNNNNNNNNNNNNNNNNNNNNNNNNNNNNNNNNNNNNNNNNNNNNNNNNNNNNNNNNNNNNNNNNNNNNNNNNNNNNNNNNNNNNNNNNNNNNNNNNNNNNNNNNNNNNNNNNNNNNNNNNNNNNNNNNNNNNNNNNNNNNNNNNNNNNNNNNNNNNNNNNNNNNNNNNNNNNNNNNNNNNNNNNNNNNNNNNNNNNNNNNNNNNNNNNNNNNNNNNNNNNNNNNNNNNNNNNNNNNNNNNNNNNNNNNNNNNNNNNNNNNNNNNNNNNNNNNNNNNNNNNNNNNNNNNNNNNNNNNNNNNNNNNNNNNNNNNNNNNNNNNNNNNNNNNNNNNNNNNNNNNNNNNNNNNNNNNNNNNNNNNNNNNNNNNNNNNNNNNNNNNNNNNNNNNNNNNNNNNNNNNNNNNNNNNNNNNNNNNNNNNNNNNNNNNNNNNNNNNNNNNNNNNNNNNNNNNNNNNNNNNNNNNNNNNNNNNNNNNNNNNNNNNNNNNNNNNNNNNNNNNNNNNNNNNNNNNNNNNNNNNNNNNNNNNNNNNNNNNNNNNNNNNNNNNNNNNNNNNNNNNNNNNNNNNNNNNNNNNNNNNNNNNNNNNNNNNNNNNNNNNNNNNNNNNNNNNNNNNNNNNNNNNNNNNNNNNNNNNNNNNNNNNNNNNNNNNNNNNNNNNNNNNNNNNNNNNNNNNNNNNNNNNNNNNNNNNNNNNNNNNNNNNNNNNNNNNNNNNNNNNNNNNNNNNNNNNNNNNNNNNNNNNNNNNNNNNNNNNNNNNNNNNNNNNNNNNNNNNNNNNNNNNNNNNNNNNNNNNNNNNNNNNNNNNNNNNNNNNNNNNNNNNNNNNNNNNNNNNNNNNNNNNNNNNNNNNNNNNNNNNNNNNNNNNNNNNNNNNNNNNNNNNNNNNNNNNNNNNNNNNNNNNNNNNNNNNNNNNNNNNNNNNNNNNNNNNNNNNNNNNNNNNNNNNNNNNNNNNNNNNNNNNNNNNNNNNNNNNNNNNNNNNNNNNNNNNNNNNNNNNNNNNNNNNNNNNNNNNNNNNNNNNNNNNNNNNNNNNNNNNNNNNNNNNNNNNNNNNNNNNNNNNNNNNNNNNNNNNNNNNNNNNNNNNNNNNNNNNNNNNNNNNNNNNNNNNNNNNNNNNNNNNNNNNNNNNNNNNNNNNNNNNNNNNNNNNNNNNNNNNNNNNNNNNNNNNNNNNNNNNNNNNNNNNNNNNNNNNNNNNNNNNNNNNNNNNNNNNNNNNNNNNNNNNNNNNNNNNNNNNNNNNNNNNNNNNNNNNNNNNNNNNNNNNNNNNNNNNNNNNNNNNNNNNNNNNNNNNNNNNNNNNNNNNNNNNNNNNNNNNNNNNNNNNNNNNNNNNNNNNNNNNNNNNNNNNNNNNNNNNNNNNNNNNNNNNNNNNNNNNNNNNNNNNNNNNNNNNNNNNNNNNNNNNNNNNNNNNNNNNNNNNNNNNNNNNNNNNNNNNNNNNNNNNNNNNNNNNNNNNNNNNNNNNNNNNNNNNNNNNNNNNNNNNNNNNNNNNNNNNNNNNNNNNNNNNNNNNNNNNNNNNNNNNNNNNNNNNNNNNNNNNNNNNNNNNNNNNNNNNNNNNNNNNNNNNNNNNNNNNNNNNNNNNNNNCCAAAUGAUCCUCUUCCACCAUUAUUACCACCAUUAUUCAUGCCAAAUUGACCUCUGCCAGCCCCGCUUCCAGCAUACAUCCCUGUCAUUGGCAUGUAUUGAGGAUACAUGGGAAAAGAAGGAGCUUGAAAAGCAAAUGACUGAGAGCCAUAAGGCACUGCUGAAUAUGAAGGAAAUGAAGUUUGAGUGGAAAUUGGAUAAGUGGGCUGAGCUGCAACAAUAGGUGACAUAGGAGGUUGGGAAACAACAGAAGAAGUUGUGAAACCAGGAGGUGCGGUAGGAGCAGAUGAAGUUCCUACAGAAGAGGAGACAAAAGGAUUUGUAGGAGCAAAGGGGUUUGUGGAGGCAAAAGGGUUUGUGGAUCCGGAAUUAUGUUGAAGAGGAACAACAUUGCUUGAUUGAGCAGGAGCACCAUUUUGAACCUGUGAAGUAGAGCUAAGAUUGCAAUUAGCAAGCAUUGCAGUCAGCAAGCUUUGAAUACUCUGAGUCUCACUAGUGAUUUCCAUUUCUGCAGCUUUAAGAAGAGAUUUCAAUUGACUCAAAGGACUACAAGUAAACUGAGCACGAAUCACAGUCUUGAUAGCAGCAUAUUCUGAUGGAAGACCAUUGAGUACAGCCAAAACAACAUCCUCAUCAUCAAUUGACACACCAACAGUGUCCAAUGCAUCCUUUGCAGCUUUAAUUCUAUCCAAGAAAGUCUCAAUAUCAUCAGAACCUUUCUUAACAUUCUGCAAAUUAGCCUUAAGUUGAAGAAUAUUCUGCUUGUUACAAUCUGCAAAUUUUGACUCGAGUCUAGUCCACAUUUCAUGAGCAGACUUACUUCCAACAGCACAGUUUCUAGCUACUGGACUAAGAGUUUGGCCAAUCAUGUUUACGAUGCUCUUAUCUUGAACUUUCCAAGCUAUGUACUCAGGAUUAGGCACAGUAGUAGUACCAUCAGAGGCACGCACAUACUGAUGUGGACAUGGAAUAGAACCAUCCACAAAACCAUACAGAUUGAGACCUCCAAGAAAGGAUUCCAUAAAGUAAAUCCAAGCAGGAUAGUUCAUCUCAUCAAGCAAGAGAUUAGGAAGGUAAACAUUGGUGGAUUUCGAAGAACUAGGGUUUAAGGAAUCAGAAUUUGAAGGCAAAGACAUGAUUUAAGGACUGAAAAGACUAUGGAAGCAAAGCUAGAGUAGCUAGGGUUUGAGCAACAAACGAAGAGAUCUAGAAUUUCAAACAAGAUUUCUGGAAACAAAAACAACAGGAAUCGAAUCACAGUAGAAAACCUAAGCUUCGAUCACAAAAUUGGAAUCAACAAGCAAGAUCUUUUGCUGCAACGAUAUCAAUGUUUUUCUUACGGAAAUACAAAGAUAACAAUGGAAAAUUAGUCAUCUUUCUUCUCCUAAAACGAUCGAGUUGAUUUGAAUAUGAGUCUGCCCGAAUUAGAACUCUUUAUUGUUUUACCAUCUGAAAUUUGAUUCAUGUCAAACAAAAAUUGAUAUAUUCUCUUGUCCUAUGGAUAUAUAUAGUUUGAGACUUUGAGUUCUCACAACACAAUGUUAGACUGCGUUUGCCGUAAAAUUCUACAAUGUAUUAAUGCAUAACAUGCAUCAACUUUGUUCUAAAAUUAUAAAAUAAUUCUUCAAAGUAGUAAUAUUAGUCUUCAAAACUAUAACAUGAGUCUUUAAAGUUGUAAAUUUUUUAUUACAUCAUUAGUCUUCAAGUGGUAAAAUAUGUGCUUAAAGUGGUACGUAAUUGAGUCCUCAAAGUGAUAUUUACAACUUUAUAGACUCAUAUUACCACUUUAAGGACUAAUGUGGUAGUUGAUAAUAUUUACAACUUUAACGACUCGUAUUACCACUUUGAGGACUCAAUUUACAACUUUAGGACAAAGUUGAUGCAUAGCAUGCAUCAACACACCCUACACUUCCGCGUUGUCCCGCAAACAAACUUAUAACUCAAAGUUUAAAUAUCACUCAUGCAAACUAACCGUGCAAACUUGAAAUGUGAUUAGCCUUCCAAUUCAUGGAAUGCUACUUGGUUCUGGAAACUAUCGUCAACCCUAGCAGAACACACGCGCGAUCGAUAUUGGAAAAACCAUAACGAUUUGCUAUAAAAUAAUUCUAACCAUGGUGAGCAAAAACGACGUACAUGGUUUGAGACGUGUGUAUCAACAAGAUAUGGUGCAAUACAUGCAGUAGUCCUUUGGAUCAACAUGAUGAAAAGGUCACCAGGUCAUAUGCUUCAUUGCUUAAGCUCUUUCAAAACUUUUAGGGUAACUCGCGCGAGAUCGUAAUCCAAAAGAGUUGAGAUAAGAUUGGCCGGCUCAACAAAGUGGAAAAGAUAAGAUACCGUUUCUAGAGUUCAAUCGAGAGAAUCUCGAUCAUAUAGGAUUUGGAUAUGUUAGAUGUUAGAAUAUUCUUGUUCCUUGAAUCCGUUCACUUCAUAUAUAGUGGAAUACAGAAUUAGCUUCUUCUAGAUACAUGAUCUUGGAAAGCUUUUACACGACGAAAAGAAUGGAUUCAAACAAAUAAGAAUCAAAUGUCCAAAUCAAUUAAGUAAGCAAAUAAGCUAGACUACCAAGUAGCAAUUAUAUAUAAAAGGAUUCAUUUCAACUUUUGCUAAAGUUUGCCAUACUUAUCCUUCAAUACUUCUAAAACUUGUUCCUCGCAGAUUAGUUUUUCUCUUGUAGUGAUUACUAUAAUUAAGAAUCAGCCGUACGUAGUAACCCUAGUUAAACUUAACCCAUGUUAAACUUGUAAUGCAUGCAGAACUUAACAUUAUGGAUAUAUAUAGACCGGAUAUACUUAAGCACUCCCCAUUUAGUAUGAGGAUUCAAUAUCGAACUGUCGCUAUAUAUACCAAUAGCUGAGCUAUCACACAGGAGGUGGAUCUGGAGCCAUUAUCGAAGGAAUAUUUGCUAAUUAAUUAGUAAUUAGUACUACAAGCAUAUCAUUAGCUUGGUAAUUAAGCUAUAGCUAGCUCAGGCCCCAUGUUAUUCCUUCAUAUCUCCCUUAUACGUAUACACUUAGCAGCUUAGCAUAUAUAGCAUCUGUGAAGGGACACAACGCAAACCAAAACCAAAGCCAAAGCCUUCCAUCACACAAAGGAACAAGAUGAAUCUCACGCAUCCAAUAUACGAGUCUGCUAUUCCAUCCCCUAAUAAUCCCUAUUUGGUUUAUCCUCAUUCUCCAGCUCCUGCUCAUCCUGCUACUCCAUGUGGAUCAUCAUCGUCCUCGUACUAUCGCGAUCCGUAUUAUGCAGCUCCAGCUCCUGUACAGCUUGCUCCUGCUCCACCUAGUAAAAGCAAGAUCAAGAGAAUCAAAAGUGUAGGCAAAAUAACGUCUUACACAGUCACCGGUAAUCGAGUUAACCAGAACUCAGGUGACAAUCAUCGGAUUUUCAAUAUUGGCGAUCGCACUAGUUAAGCAAUGGGGACUGGGGAGCAUGAAGAAGGGAAUCCGUUGAUGCAUGAAUCAAAAGCAACAAUGCAAGUUACGUAUGUAUUGGCAGUGAUUUCUGUAAAAGUUGAUGUGUGCUAAUUGAAUAAAAGUUGAAGCCUAAAUAAUUGUAUUUGUAUAUUAUUUUUCUAUCUAAAUCCAAUGCUUAAAUUUGUAUGAAUGCGCGAUAGUACGUAUAUAUUAAGAUAAAGUCGCCAAUUUCUCCAUGAUGCAUCUUUCAGGUUCAUGAUAUCUUCUUCUGAAAAAAACAAAAAAUAUGGCGAAAUAGCUUUCACUAUCUAUAAUGUUAACAGAAAAUUUAAUCUAAUCACUAAUUAAUUACCGGCCUUUGGGUCAUUAUGCAAAUUUUUUACUGAGGAAGAUAUGAGAAUUCGAAGGAAUCAAAUUCAGAGGUUUUGGGGUGCUAUAGGUUUCAAGCUAGCUAGCUAGCUCUAAGCAUGUCCUUUCUGAUUCUUAGCACCGGAUUGUCCCCCAUGGAGUCCAGGACAGCUACUAUUCUUCUUCCAUGCAUGGUUGUGUCACCAUCGUCGAAGAUUGCUCAUUUCUUUAGUAUUGUUUCUUUCGUUUCAGACUGUUUUCAAUUUAUGAAAUACAGUUUUCAUGGAAUUAUGCUUCAACUUGUAUUGCAUCUCAAUGUCUUAUUUGUGAUUUGUUACAAUAAAACCUUAGUGCAACUUGUUUGCUAGCCUAAUUACGAGUGAUUUGAAAUUUCAAUUACUCAUUAUGAUUUUGUUAAUUUAGGCAAAUUAAGAUAAUGGUUGAGAGCUUAAACAACAUUUAGAAGUAAGCAAUCAUUAUGGACAAAGCUUGUCAUGAGUAGAUGCAAGUUUUAAGGUAAUUGGUAUACAAAUUUCAUAACUUCCUGAUUACUUUAGGUUGGAUUAGGGAGAUCGAAGGAACAAUAGUAAAUAAAAUAAUUAUAAUAAAUAAAAUAAAAGAGAGGUUAAUUUGGGUUCUGGGAGCAGAACCUAGCCAGCUUAAUUCUGCAGAUGAGGCACUAACUAGCAUAUGAUGCGAUACAGAUCGACGUUGAUAGAAAGUUAGAAACGUCUAGGAAUUCGAAUAUUCCUAGCUAUUCUUAUCUCACUACGGCGAGGUUCUAUAAAUACUUGGUCUGUGCAAAGUGGAAGAAUUCAAACUUGCAAAACUAGCUAGUAUUCCUCCCAAUAUAUAUAGAUUAGUGUUUCACGAUUCCAGUCAAUCGAUAUCGAACACAAUAAUGUCACAUUAUCCCCAGAUGAUGAACCCUGGCGCCAUGUUCGCCAAUGGUUCGGAUCCGAAUAAGCCUUCAAACAAUCCCAACUUUGGGGCUCCUGCAUCAUUUGCUCAUAAUGGAUAUCCAAGUUAUAAUAAUUAUGCCCUUCCUCCUCAAUUUCAUGGUUACUAUAACAACCAAUACCCAUCACAGUCAGAUCCUGCUCAUCCAGCUGGUCAUGCUGAUCUCUAUGGUGGAUAUUGCAACCAUGUCGCUCCUCCUCCUCCUCCAUCUUACUAUGAUCCAGUGUCACAGGCACCUGUUGCCCCUCAGUAUCCUAGUAAGCCAAAGAGAGGCAAAGGUAGCAAAAGAACAUCUUACAAUGUUUCUGGGAAUCGAAUCAGCGGAAACAAAGGAGACCACAAUGGAGUUUUCAAUGUUGGCAACAAGAAUACUCGUUACAACGAUGAAGAAGAUUGAUCAAGUGAACGUAAAUUAGGCUGCAGUAUUUGUAGUCGAUCUAGAAGGCAUGCAUCAUGGAUAAUAUCUAGCUGUUAUAUACAAAUAAUACAAUAUAUAUAUAUAUAUAUAUAUAUAUAUAUAGUGUGUGUGUNNNNNNNNNNNNNNNNNNNNAAAAGUUAUAUUUUUUAUGGCACAUGAUAACCAUUCNUAAAAAGCAAUCACCCGACAUAAAAUUACUCGACAUAAAAACCUUUAACUUUAUUGAAUAGCAAAAGCAAAUGCACACCACACAACACAAUAAAGCAAAAGCAAAAGCAAAAGCAAAAGCAAAAGCAAAAGCUCUCUGCACACCACAUAACACAAGAAAGCAAAAGCAAAAGUAAAAGCUCUCUGCACACCACAGAACACAAGAAAGCAAAAGCAAAAGCAAAAGCAAAUGCACACCACACCACACAACAGAAGCAAAAACAAAGGCCAUGAGAAACCGGCAACUUAUUGAAAGCAAUAAAUUUAAAGCUCAUCAUUGGUCAUUCUCAUCAGCUUGCAGCUUCAUGCUCCACAGGUGAUCAACUAGAUCAUCCUGGAGGUUUUUAUUCAUCACUGGACAUCGUACCUCCCUAUAGCGACGCAUGAAUUGAUUUAGCCGGUUCGGAUUGCGAUCAACAGAGGUGUCUUGAUUAGGGAUUCUGUCAUAUAUGUGUGCCUUUUUUGGUAUGGUGGGAAUGUCAUUCGGAUCAAAUGGCUCAGCUGCAUCUUCAUCAUGCUCAUCUUCAACAAUCAUAUUAUGCAAGAUAAUGCACGUCAUCAUGAUGAACUGAAGAUUCUUCUUACUCCAUCCACGAGCUGGCCCUCUUAUGAUUGCCCAACGAGCUUGAAGAAUACCAGAAUCUCUCUCCACAUCUUUUCUGUAUGCUUCUUGCAUCCUUGUGAAAUGUUUUGUCUGCGACGUCCUCGGGUUUUUGAUUGCUUAAACAAAUGAGGCCCAUUUUGGGUAAAUGCCAUCAACAAGAUAAUAACAUUGCGCAUAAUGCCUAUUUUGUACUUCAUAGCUCACCUAAGGAGUUUCACCACGAGCCACAUCAUUAAACAAAGAUGAUUGUCCAAGGACAUUAAUAUCGUUUAGGGAACCUGGAAGGCCGAAGAAGGCGUGCCAAAUCCAAGUAUCGUAGGAUGCCACUGCCUCCAAGAUGAUUGUUGGUUUCCCCUUAUAGCCAGUAUUCUGGCCUCCCCAUCCGGUGGGACAAUUUUUUCACUGCCGGUGCAUACAAUCGAGGCUCCCGAUCAUUCUAGGAAAUCCUCUUUCUGCUGCCUUGUCGAGAAGUCGUCGCAGAUCAGCCGGUGUUGGUCGGCGGAGAUAAUGCUCAUGGUACACAUUCCAUAUUGCUCUGGUGAAGUGUUCCAAAAUCUCGAUGGCAGUGGAUUCUGCAAUAUCCAUGUAAUCAUCAAAGAAGUCGGCUAUGACCCCAUAUGCGAGUUGUCUCAUGGUGCAUGUAAGCUUUUGUUCAGUGGAUAGGCCGACUCUCCCAGUCGCAUCUCUUCCUUGAACAAAAUAUGGAUCGUAGUUGGCCACGUCGUGCAUCAUCCUGUCAAAUACCCAAGGUUGCAUUCUGUAUCGCCUACGAAAUAUAUUUGGUUCGUACCUGCAUGGAUCCGUGAAGUAUAAAGCUUUCAGACGUUGAUCCAUGAUCUCUCUGCUUCUGGCAGUAUACGAACGACCUUUCGAAGAACCACCCCAUUGUGAAUCCUCUUCUUCCAGAUCUUGGAUUUGCAAGGCAGCAGCAGACAUCAUCAUGGAUCUUCGUUGGUUUCUCGUAACGGUCUCUUCUUGAUCUUUCAUAAACCAUUUUGUCAAAUGAUUCAUUGUAGAAAAACAGUUUUUCACAAAAUCAAAAGGAAACAAUAUGAAGCUUUUGAGAUGAGAAGAGUGUUGUGAAUUUGUGAGGAAUGAGGAUGACAAUGACCUCAUAUUUAUGGACAAUUUGAGAUGAUAUCAACAGAUAAGAUAUGACAUGUGUCGGACAAAUAUAACUCGUAAUCUAGAAAGCCAAUUAGUGUUUGACAUGUGGAGACGAUAAUCACAUCCNNNNNNNNNNNNNNNNNNNNNNNNNNNNNNNNNNNNNNNNNNNNNNNNNNNNNNNNNNNNNNNNNNNNNNNNNNNNNNNNNNNNNNNNNNNNNNNNNNNNNNNNNNNNNNNNNNNNNNNNNNNNNNNNNNNNNNNNNNNNNNNNNNNNNNNNNNNNNNNNNNNNNNNNNNNNNNNNNNNNNNNNNNNNNNNNNNNNNNNNNNNNNNNNNNNNNNNNNNNNNNNNNNNNNNNNNNNNNNNNNNNNNNNNNNNNNNNNNNNNNNNNNNNNNNNNNNNNNNNNNNNNNNNNNNNNNNNNNNNNNNNNNNNNNNNNNNNNNNNNNNNNNNNNNNNNNNNNNNNNNNNNNNNNNNNNNNNNNNNNNNNNNNNNNNNNNNNNNNNNNNNNNNNNNNNNNNNNNNNNNNNNNNNNNNNNNNNNNNNNNNNNNNNNNNNNNNNNNNNNNNNNNNNNNNNNNNNNNNNNNNNNNNNNNNNNNNNNNNNNNNNNNNNNNNNNNNNNNNNNNNNNNNNNNNNNNNNNNNNNNNNNNCGUGUGUGUGUGUGUAUAUAUAUAUAUAUAUAUAUAUAUAUAUAAACUGAGAUCAAUACAGGCGCGGAUGUAGGUGCAAGCUUGGUAUGGCUCAAGCCCAACCAAGAUCUAUCGGAUAAAUAUUUUAGCACAUGAGAAGUAUGCACAUUAGGUGAUGUAGGAGGCUUGGUAUUCUUUUUUAGCUAACAUCAAGCCCAUCGUAGUUGGAUUCACCUCCACAACAGUCUUUUCAUUUUUGCAUUCCUAUUUUCUUCUAGAACAUAGUGGGCACAAAUUGGAUAAUGAGUUUCAUUUGUUCAAUCUGCUGGGUUAUUUAUUAUUCUAAUCUUCUUACAUCUCUAAAAAUCCUUAAGUAUAAUUCUUUUAAUCUUCUUCUUACUGCACUUGGCAUGGUUAGACUGGAAAAAUAAAAAAAUAAAAAAUAUUUUGCCUUCGGCCAAAGCUGAAGCCCACCCAGUGUUCAAAUCCUAGUUCCGUCACUGAAUUGAUAUAUACAUGAAUUUUUGUGAUAUGUAUUUUGAUACCUAAUUCAACAGUCCCCUUCAAGAGAGGGAUCCCUCUUUAAAAUUAAAGUGAGGGAUUCCUUAUUUCGCUCACCUUCAGGUCGUAUUUCCACAUCUCAACCGUACAAUGUCUAAAACACAGUGUGUAGAUCAUUCCUACAAAGUUUCAUCAAAUUUGAAAAUCAUUUAGGCUUCCGUAAUCAUAAUUUACACGAACGGUUCAGUUUGGACAACUUUUGUUCUGUUGAUUUAUUUAAACUAAUUCGGUACCCAAAUGAUCUUCAAAUUUGAUGAAACUUUGCAGGAAUGAUCUACACACUGUGUUUUAGACAUUGUACGGUUGAGAUGUGGAAAUACGACCUGAAAGUGAGCGAAAUAAGGAGUCUCUUACUUUAAUUUCAAAGAGGGAUCCCUCUCCGGAAGGGGACUGCCUAAUUCAAUUCAGAGGGACAGAGGAUAUAUUUGUUCACUUUAUAACGGAGAUUCUUCAGUCCACAUAGUGGGCUGUCACCAACGGUCAGCUAACGGAAGCGUGCAGUACACGCGCUGUUAGUCCAGUUUCAAACAAUAGACAGUAAAAACUGAAUUACCAUCCUUUCUUUCUCUUUGUUUAGUUGGGUCUUAUCCCUUCGACCUGCAAACCCAACAAACCUAUACCCCUUCUCCUUCAUUGGUUCAUUACAAAGCCUCGUCUAUUUCCCGAUUUCCAAGUCAAGCUCGGUGAGAGACUCCGGGAAGGAACCAUUGAGGAGAUUUAAGGACAAGUCGAGGUAGCGGAGGUUCUAGAGGAGUCGGAUCUGGGCCGGAGAGUGGGAGAGGUCGAGGGCAAUGAGGGUGGUGGCGUUGAAGAGGUGGGCGUAGAGAAGAGAGAAGAAGAAUGGUAUGGGUUCUUGAAAAUUCUCACUUAAUCAAUAUCUGGAAAACCCCAUAUAAACAAUGAAGCUUUGGGUUCAUCCUUCUGGUUUUAAACUGGAGAAUUGAGAAUUUGAGAUGAUUUUUUUGAAAAGAAAUUUGAGAUGAUUGUGAUGAUGGAAAGAUAAGAAUAUUAGAAUGUAAAACCGAUAAAAGAGGAGGGCGAGCAAUCGGUUACCAUUACUUGGGUCUCGAUCUAGUGGAUACUACUUUCGAAUGGAAUGAAGAAACUCAUACCCAGUGGUUGACAAAGUCAGUUAAAUGUGGCAGUGCUGUUCUUGGACGAGUGUGGAGGGGAGGCGGCCAAAUGGGUUGUUUCUAAGGUCAAACCCUUCCCACAAGUCCACAACCCAUCUCCUUCUAUUUUUCUUCUUCUUUUUUUCAAAAGGAAACGACACUGUUUGAAUAUUAUUAAUGUUGUCUUUUUCAACAUGAUAAAUUUUAGUAUUUGGUAUUUUUGUAAGAGGAACACCAUUGACGAGUGUGAAUUAGGAGAAUCCAACCGUUGGAUGAGAUGGGAGUGAUACCAUAAACUUAGGGUAAAAAAUUUAUGAAAUUUCCUGACUUUUCGACUUUAAUCUUUACGGUCAAACUGUUGAAUGUUUAUAAACUAAUAGGUUAACCAAAGUAGAAUAUAUUAGAUCGAGACCCAAACAAUGACAAAAAUAGGUGAAUUUUCUACCAUAACCGUGUUUCAGUAUGCCGAUCGCAUCAUACGGUGGAUCAAAAAAAAAUGUUGUUUUAUCGAUAUAGUUGGUUUACAAAGAUGUAGACUUACAUAUAACCCACCAAAUAAGAUAUAUCAUAUUAGUAAGCAUGUGUGGUUCCAACGAGUAGAAUUCACAAAAUUAAAAUUCGACCGUCUGAUGUGAUUAUUACACUUGAAUAUGUUUAUGAAAAAAAACACCUAUUUUUAGUAACGUAUGGGCCUCGAUCAACGCGGUCAACUAUAAAUUUACGUUACUUAUUACACGAAAACGCUCUUACCUAUCCUUCGUGAAUUAUUUUGGUCGAUUCUUCCACCUACUCACUCUCACAUAGAUGAGAAGUAGCAACCAAUAUAAAAAUUUAGAGAAAUUUGCAUCCCAACGAUAGGGUUUCCCAUAAAAAGCAUAAGCGUAGAAAGCGUUGACCGCCUUGAUCGGGGUUCAAAUAUUAUUGAAAAUGUUUGAAUCUUUCACCAUAGUCGUAUUUCACUAUACCUAUCACAUCCUAUGACCGAUUUUUCAAAAUUCUAUUAUCUAGAUAUAGUUGGUUUAUAAAGAUGUAAACUUACAUAUAAUCCACUAAACAAGUUAUACCACAUUAGUAGGGACGUUGUGGUUCCUAUGACUAAAUUCACGAAAUGAAAAUUCAACCGUCUGAUAUGAUAAGUAUACUUAAAUAUGGAUAUGAAAAAAAAUUCACUUAUUUUCGAUAACGUUUGGGUCUUGAUCGAGGCGGUCAACCAUAAAUUUAUGUCACUUAUUACACGAAAAUGCUCCUACAUAUCCUCUUGUGACUUAUUUUGGUUGAUUUUUCAACCUACAAACUCUCACAUAUAUGUGAUGUAGUAGCCCAUAUAAAAAUUUAGAGAAAUUUACCUCCCGACGAUAGGGUUCCUCAUAAGGAAGCAUAAACGUAGAAAGAGUUGACCGCCUUGAUCGGGAUCUAAAUAUUAUCGAAAAUAUUUGAAUUUUUCACCAUAUCUGUAUUUCACUAUAACGAUCACAUCCUACGGCCUAUUUUAUAAAAUUUUAUUCUCUAGAUAUAGUUGGUUUAUAAAGAUAUAGACUUACAUAUAACCCACUAAACAAGUUACACCAUAUUAGUAGGCAUGUUAUAGUUCUUAUGACUAAAUUCACGAAAUAAAAAUUUGGCCGUCCUGAUGUGAUAAGUAUACUUAAAUAUGGAUAUGAAAAAAAAUUCACUUAUUUUCGAUAAUGGUUGGGUCUCGAUCGAGGCGGUCAACCAUAAAUUUAUGUCACUUAUUACACGAAAAUGCUCCUACAUAUCCCCUUGUGACUUAUUUUGGUUGUUUUUUCAACCUACAAACUCUCACAUAUAUGUGAUGUAGUAUCCCAUAUAAUAAUUUAGGGAAAUUUACCUCCCGCUGAUAGGGUUCCUCAUAAGGAAGCAUAAACGUAGAAAGAGUUGACCGCCUUGAUCGGAGUCCAAAUAUUAUCGAAAAUAUUUGAAUUUUUCACCAUAGCCGUAUUUCACUAUAAGGAUCACAUCUUACAGCCUAUUUUACAAUUUUUUUUUCUCUAGAUAUAGUUGGUUUAUAAAGAUAUAGACUUGCAUAUAACCCACUAAAUAAGUUAUACUACAUUAGUAGGCAUGUUGUGGUUCCCAUGACUAAAUUCAUGAAAUAAAAAUUCAACCGUCUGAUGUGAUAAAUAUACUUAAAUAUGGAUAUAAAAAAAAUUCACUUAUUUUUGGUAAAGUUUGGGUCUUGAUCGAGGCGGUCAACCAUAAAUUUAUGUCACUUAUUACACGAAAAUGCUCCUACAUAUCCUCUUGUGACUUAUUUUGGUUAAUUUUUCAACCUAAAAACUCUCACAUAUAUGUGAUGUAGUAGCCCAUGUAAAAAUUUAAGGAAAUUUACCUCCCGACAAUAGGGUUUCUCAUAAGGAAGCAUAAACGUAGAAAGAGUUGACCGCCUUGAUCAGGGUCCAAAUAUUAUCUAAAAUAUUUGAAUUUUUCACCAUAGCCGUAUUUCACUAUACCGAUCACAUCCUACGGCCGAUUUUACAAAAUUUUGUACAUUUACAUAUAAUCCACUAAACAAGUUAUACUAGGAAUAUAGAAAAAAAUUCACUUAUUUUUAAUAACUUUUAUCCACUGUUUCUAUCCUAACCAUUGAGUUUCAAGUUGAGUUCCGAACUUAUUUCAAAACGUUAGUUAAGAUUGUAAUUAAAAAUAAAUUUACAUAUGAUAAACAAAAAAAGAACAAAGAACAAAUAGAUAACCCUAGUAGUAUAUUGUUUUGACGUAACUAUCCCUUAUAUAAACACUAGGAAAACCAUAUCAUCUGGAAUGGGUAAAGAAGUAAAAUUACAAUUAAGAGAAAUAGUCAUUUUCUCAUGUCGCCGGCCAGCUCCAAUACAUUCUCAUAUUCCAAACAUCUGCAGGAAGAAGUCCACCUCUUUCAAGUUCCAAAGUAAUUUUACAGUCAGAAUUACAAUUUUGAAAUUCGGAGGCAAAGAACCAAGCUCGUAGAUUUGCUUCUGAAGUUCGAGGGCUGAGUAGUUGAGUGGGCAGUCGAGGGCUGACCGGAUAGAGGUGGAGAUCAGCCCCGCCAUGUCGAACUGGAGAUCGUCGGAGACGCGGCGGCGGCGGCGGUCUUCUCCGGCGAGAAGAAGCUGGAGAGCAAGUCGUUGUGGGAGAAGGGCUCCCUCAGACGGCGAGCCGUCGCAGUAGAGAGACUCGGAUUAAAACAGAUGAUUUCCUCACCGGAGAGGAUUGAGGUUUUUGGUUUACAUUUAACCCAGCUAGGCAGAAGGAUUUUACCCCCUUCUUUCUACCUUUCACUCAUCAAUUUCAAAGUUCCAAAAAAACGUUAAGGGAGGAAUGCUAAGGUUAGUCAAAAGUCGGUCUAAACUAAAGCUUGUGCUUGUGCUUGUGCCACGUCAGUUGGUGAAUUAUAAUUCCAAAAAGCUGGUCCAAGAUAAAAGGCUCUUCUGCGGUCUGCGGAGAAUACUGAAAGAUAUUGGAAACUUUAUGUCUUUUUUUUUUAUAUUGUAAAGUAGAUCCAUAUUCCUCCAUAAUGUUCAAAAGAGAAAGAAUCAUUCCGCCGCAUACAGUGGAGCUAGCUAGAACAGAAUAUUUAGGCUUUCUUCAUCCAGUCACUUAGUACAGUAUCUCUUAGCAUAUAUCUGUCCAAAAGCUUCGUACAUAUAUACUCACUUGUUAGUGCGCAACAUACUGUAUUUCCUUCACUCAGUUGCUCAUGACUUAUUCUAACCUUACGUGCCUCUAUCUUUCAAGAAUCAAGAAGCUAAUAAUACAAGAAUCUAUUCUGGAUAAUAUCGAUCGUAUACUAUCAUGGGGAGAUUUCAAUAUUAUCAUUAUUAUUAUUCUUCUGAGCUUGCCUAUUAGUAUUUUAGCGCAAGACAGAGUACUUGGCUUCAUCCAAAUAACGUAUGAUACAGAAGUUUCUCUGACUACCUAGCUAGACUUUUGCUGAUAUAUAUUUGAAACAAAAUUAAUGUUCUACAGCCCUCUACCGGAUCCGGAUAUCCGGAUAUCCUUUACAUAAAUUAUAUUCAUAAAUUAGUAUGAUAUAUAGCACGUACUGUGUAUGAUAGCACGUAUUGUAUGAUAGUGUAUACAUAUCUUGGCGAAAAACCUCACCAAUAUACGAAUUUAUCGAUUUUGUUUAUUCUCCAAUAUGCAGAAUUUAGUUCUCAACAAACUGAAGACUGGAGAGAAUAUAUGUCACUGGAUAACAACGAAUAAUAACCCUAAGCCCCUCUUCGUAGCUAGCACAUGAUGCUACACAUUUUUUAGUUUUCAGCUAAGAUGCUAUACACACAUUGAUAGAAAUGUUUUACGAAUAUUCAAAUUACAUGUUUACCACAUUUUAAGUGACUGAACCGUCCAUCAAUAUCCUAGAAACAUAUUCAGUUAUCAUUCUGGCCAUGGUUGUUCUAUAUAUAUCUAUCUAACCUAGAAUGUUCUGCCUUGGAAAUUAAACCCAUAUUAGCUAAUUACGCUAGCAACAUAUCAAUUAAGAUUUUUGCUAGCCUUCAGCUAACACAAUGUCAUAUUAUAGCAAUCAGAUGAACCCAGGCGCCAUGUUCUCAAACGGUUCUGAUCCAAAUCAGCCUUCGUACAAUACCAACUCAGGCCCUCAAGCUCAAGCUCAACCUCCAGCUAAUAAUGGAUAUCCAGGUUAUGCUCCUCCUCCUCCUGCGUCUUAUGGAUACUAUAACCCUAACCAUCCACCACAGGGCGGUUCGGCUGCUCCGCCUCCUCAUGCCCCAUAUGGCUAUUACCCUCCUCCUCUUCCGUCUUAUAACAAUGGACACUAUGACCCUCGAUUCUAUCAGGCGCCAGUUCGACGUUCUGCCAAGCCGAAGACGCCUUCUAAGCCCAAGGCUGCAAGGAGCGGUCCUAAGAACGUGUCGUACAAAGUUGCAGGGAAUCGGGUCAGUGGCAACACCGGGGACCAUAAUGGGGUUUUCAACGUUGGCAACAAGAAUUCCGGUCGCUGCGUCGAUGACGACGACGAUGAAGAUGAAUACUAAACGAAGGAGUUACGGAUAUUACGAAUGCUAAGGUUGUGUUUUAGCACUAUAAAUAUUUACUAUAUACUAAAGCUGGGUUACUGUAGUUAAGGGCCGAGCAGUUACAACUUUGUCCCUUCUUUUUCCUUUUUGACCAGGCUGCCCCUAGCCUUAGUAUAUAGUGGUUCGAGAGUGCUGCUGCAGUCAUUUUUUCCAUUUUGUUUCUUCUACGGUCUCUCUCUACCUCUCUUCCGAUCUACCUGAAGAAGAUGUGCAUGCCAAGAUCGGCAGUUGCAUGUUGUUUUUUUGGUGAUCGAAGAUCAGCAACUUAUUGAUUGUGGAUAAACUGAGAGAAAAAUGUUGAUACAUGCAAUUAUUUUGUGGGCAUAUGAGUUUCGGAUCCUUAAAUUUGGUAGAUUUCGAUUUAGAUCGGGUCUUUUUCUCAAUCCCCCUCUUCCUUUGCAUUCUGGUUUCACGAAUUUGGGUAAUUUACUUUGUGCAUGUCGUGAUCAUGUUUGCUUUUCUUCGAUUUAGGAUUUAUUUGCUGGGUAUUCUGAAAGAGUUUCUUGAGUUUACUUUCAAUCUUUGUAUGUCAAUGAUUUGUGGUUUCAAUGAUGCAGGGGUUUAAGGUGUAAUAUUGGGUUUGUCAUCAGCAAGGACAAGGGAGGUGGUUCUGGGUUUUUGGGUUUUUGAUGUGAGGAGGAGGAGCAUCGGUCAUAAUCAGGGUUGGAAUUUACGCCAAACUUUUCGUCUUCCAGAAAUUCAACUUCAGGUGAGUUCCUGAUUCAAUCAAUUGAUGUUUCGGCCCUUAUCUCUAUGAGAAGCUUCUAUUUCACUUAGUAUUUGUAUGUAUAGGAAUUUCAGUAUUUUCAGUAUUUGGCUUUGCUAUUUCUGUAUUUGGGUUCUGAGGAAAUUUGGGAUGUUUNNNNNNNNNNNNNNNNNNNNNNNNNNNNNNNNNNNNNNNNNNNNNNNNNNNNNNNNNNNNNNNNNNNNNNNNNNNNNNNNNNNNNNNNNNNNNNNNNNNNNNNNNNNNNNNNNNNNNNNNNNNNNNNNNNNNNNNNNNNNNNNNNNNNNNNNNNNNNNNNNNNNNNNNNNNNNNNNNNNNNNNNNNNNNNNNNNNNNNNNNNNNNNNNNNNNNNNNNNNNNNNNNNNNNNNNNNNNNNNNNNNNNNNNNNNNNNNNNNNNNNNNNNNNNNNNNNNNNNNNNNNNNNNNNNNNNNNNNNNNNNNNNNNNNNNNNNNNNNNNNNNNNNNNNNNNNNNNNNNNNNNNNNNNNNNNNNNNNNNNNNNNNNNNNNNNNNNNNNNNNNNNNNNNNNNNNNNNNNNNNNNNNNNNNNNNNNNNNNNNNNNNNNNNNNNNNNNNNNNNNNNNNNNNNNNNNNNNNNNNNNNNNNNNNNNNNNNNNNNNNNNNNNNNNNNNNNNNNNNNNNNNNNNNNNNNNNNNNNNNNNNNNNNNNNNNNNNNNNNNNNNNNNNNNNNNNNNNNNNNNNNNNNNNNNNNNNNNNNNNNNNNNNNNNNNNNNNNNNNNNNNNNNNNNNNNNNNNNNNNNNNNNNNNNNNNNNNNNNNNNNNNNNNNNNNNNNNNNNNNNNNNNNNNNNNNNNNNNNNNNNNNNNNNNNNNNNNNNNNNNNNNNNNNNNNNNNNNNNNNNNNNNNNNNNNNNNNNNNNNNNNNNNNNNNNNNNNNNNNNNNNNNNNNNNNNNNNNNNNNNNNNNNNNNNNNNNNNNNNNNNNNNNNNNNNNNNNNNNNNNNNNNNNNNNNNNNNNNNNNNNNNNNNNNNNNNNNNNNNNNNNNNNNNNNNNNNNNNNNNNNNNNNNNNNNNNNNNNNNNNNNNNNNNNNNNNNNNNNNNNNNNNNNNNNNNNNNNNNNNNNNNNNNNNNNNNNNNNNNNNNNNNNNNNNNNNNNNNNNNNNNNNNNNNNNNNNNNNNNNNNNNNNNNNNNNNNNNNNNNNNNNNNNNNNNNNNNNNNNNNNNNNNNNNNNNNNNNNNNNNNNNNNNNNNNNNNNNNNNNNNNNNNNNNNNNNNNNNNNNNNNNNNNNNNNNNNNNNNNNNNNNNNNNNNNNNNNNNNNNNNNNNNNNNNNNNNNNNNNNNNNNNNNNNNNNNNNNNNNNNNNNNNNNNNNNNNNNNNNNNNNNNNNNNNNNNNNNNNNNNNNNNNNNNNNNNNNNNNNNNNNNNNNNNNNNNNNNNNNNNNNNNNNNNNNNNNNNNNNNNNNNNNNNNNNNNNNNNNNNNNNNNNNNNNNNNNNNNNNNNNNNNNNNNNNNNNNNNNNNNNNNNNNNNNNNNNNNNNNNNNNNNNNNNNNNNNNNNNNNNNNNNNNNNNNNNNNNNNNNNNNNNNNNNNNNNNNNNNNNNNNNNNNNNNNNNNNNNNNNNNNNNNNNNNNNNNNNNNNNNNNNNNNNNNNNNNNNNNNNNNNNNNNNNNNNNNNNNNNNNNNNNNNNNNNNNNNNNNNNNNNNNNNNNNNNNNNNNNNNNNNNNNNNNNNNNNNNNNNNNNNNNNNNNNNNNNNNNNNNNNNNNNNNNNNNNNNNNNNNNNNNNNNNNNNNNNNNNNNNNNNNNNNNNNNNNNNNNNNNNNNNNNNNNNNNNNNNNNNNNNNNNNNNNNNNNNNNNNNNNNNNNNNNNNNNNNNNNNNNNNNNNNNNNNNNNNNNNNNNNNNNNNNNNNNNNNNNNNNNNNNNNNNNNNNNNNNNNNNNNNNNNNNNNNNNNNNNNNNNNNNNNNNNNNNNNNNNNNNNNNNNNNNNNNNNNNNNNNNNNNNNNNNNNNNNNNNNNNNNNNNNNNNNNNNNNNNNNNNNNNNNNNNNNNNNNNNNNNNNNNNNNNNNNNNNNNNNNNNNNNNNNNNNNNNNNNNNNNNNNNNNNNNNNNNNNNNNNNNNNNNNNNNNNNNNNNNNNNNNNNNNNNNNNNNNNNNNNNNNNNNNNNNNNNNNNNNNNNNNNNNNNNNNNNNNNNNNNNNNNNNNNNNNNNNNNNNNNNNNNNNNNNNNNNNNNNNNNNNNNNNNNNNNNNNNNNNNNNNNNNNNNNNNNNNNNNNNNNNNNNNNNNNNNNNNNNNNNNNNNNNNNNNNNNNNNNNNNNNNNNNNNNNNNNNNNNNNNNNNNNNNNNNNNNNNNNNNNNNNNNNNNNNNNNNNNNNNNNNNNNNNNNNNNNNNNNNNNNNNNNNNNNNNNNNNNNNNNNNNNNNNNNNNNNNNNNNNNNNNNNNNNNNNNNNNNNNNNNNNNNNNNNNNNNNNNNNNNNNNNNNNNNNNNNNNNNNNNNNNNNNNNNNNNNNNNNNNNNNNNNNNNNNNNNNNNNNNNNNNNNNNNNNNNNNNNNNNNNNNNNNNNNNNNNNNNNNNNNNNNNNNNNNNNNNNNNNNNNNNNNNNNNNNNNNNNNNNNNNNNNNNNNNNNNNNNNNNNNNNNNNNNNNNNNNNNNNNNNNNNNNNNNNNNNNNNNNNNNNNNNNNNNNNNNNNNNNNNNNNNNNNNNNNNNNNNNNNNNNNNNNNNNNNNNNNNNNNNNNNNNNNNNNNNNNNNNNNNNNNNNNNNNNNNNNNNNNNNNNNNNNNNNNNNNNNNNNNNNNNNNNNNNNNNNNNNNNNNNNNNNNNNNNNNNNNNNNNNNNNNNNNNNNNNNNNNNNNNNNNNNNNNNNNNNNNNNNNNNNNNNNNNNNNNNNNNNNNNNNNNNNNNNNNNNNNNNNNNNNNNNNNNNNNNNNNNNNNNNNNNNNNNNNNNNNNNNNNNNNNNNNNNNNNNNNNNNNNNNNNNNNNNNNNNNNNNNNNNNNNNNNNNNNNNNNNNNNNNNNNNNNNNNNNNNNNNNNNNNNNNNNNNNNNNNNNNNNNNNNNNNNNNNNNNNNNNNNNNNNNNNNNNNNNNNNNNNNNNNNNNNNNNNNNNNNNNNNNNNNNNNNNNNNNNNNNNNNNNNNNNNNNNNNNNNNNNNNNNNNNNNNNNNNNNNNNNNNNNNNNNNNNNNNNNNNNNNNNNNNNNNNNNNNNNNNNNNNNNNNNNNNNNNNNNNNNNNNNNNNNNNNNNNNNNNNNNNNNNNNNNNNNNNNNNNNNNNNNNNNNNNNNNNNNNNNNNNNNNNNNNNNNNNNNNNNNNNNNNNNNNNNNNNNNNNNNNNNNNNNNNNNNNNNNNNNNNNNNNNNNNNNNNNNNNNNNNNNNNNNNNNNNNNNNNNNNNNNNNNNNNNNNNNNNNNNNNNNNNNNNNNNNNNNNNNNNNNNNNNNNNNNNNNNNNNNNNNNNNNNNNNNNNNNNNNNNNNNNNNNNNNNNNNNNNNNNNNNNNNNNNNNNNNNNNNNNNNNNNNNNNNNNNNNNNNNNNNNNNNNNNNNNNNNNNNNNNNNNNNNNNNNNNNNNNNNNNNNNNNNNNNNNNNNNNNNNNNNNNNNNNNNNNNNNNNNNNNNNNNNNNNNNNNNNNNNNNNNNNNNNNNNNNNNNNAAUAUAACAUGAGCUGAAGCAAGCAAAUUUCUCUACAAUAAGUAUGGCGAUAUAUCUUUUGCAACCUGCUCCAUCAGCUUAACUAGCUAAUACCCAUGUCUUGAACAAUUAUAAAGUCUGCUUAAUAGACUAUGUACAAUAAUCUUUUGUUGUGAGUUGCAUUCUGUAUAUAAAUUGUAUUCAAACACCCGCAUCGAUUAUGGAAAUUUUUGAAUAUACGACGAGCUCUAGAUAGGAUUCAGUAAGGGAUACAAGUAAUGAAAUGAAUCUGAAAAUCGAGUUGCAAACAGGAAAAAAAAAACCGCGGCAACGCGCGGGGAGUCUUGCUAGUAUAUAUAUAUAUAGCAGUUCCAUAAGGCCAUGACUUAAUACUAAUUACAUCCGAUGUUCCUUGUCAUAGACUGAUAGUAUGUUAUGAAUAAAGAAAACGUACGUACAUUUUUACUGCUCAUGCACUGGAGGACAAAACGUACAUGUUCGAUCUCUUAUUAAAUUCAAGGAACACACACACUUAAUUUGGAUAUUGGGUAACCACAAAUGCUAUUACGUAUCACUCUUGAGAGAAGUGGUAACAUUAUACUCAGCAGAAUUACUAGUUUCCAAUCUUCCUCCGCCGAAACCACCGAGCUGAUACUUUGGCUGUUUAUUAGGGUAGAAAACGCCAAAGUGUUUCUCCAGCUCUGGACUUUUCUGGUUUUCAUCAAACAAGGCAAACAAGUAAGUCUCUAUGGCUUUAUUAGGCCUCUUUGGGGUUCCACCUUUCACAUGCUGAAUCAAUUUGGAGUAAUAAGUCUGAGCAUUCUCAGGAGAUGUUCCAAAGCCACCUGCCGAUGGCCACCCGCUUUCGGACACAACAACCUCCAAAGAACCACCCCAGGCUCCCUCUAGAGCCGAGUACAAACCAUCCAGCAUCGCGUCGAACAGGUUUUGGUAUCCUUUAUCACCAUCCCAAGCAACAACCGAAGGCGAAGUGAACAAGGCAUAAGGAAGAGAGAUGUCUCUAGGGUUUCCAGCGUAACUAAAAUAUGUGUAGAUGUUAGCUAGUAAUGGUGCUUGAGCAUAAACCAAGUAGCCGAUAAUUGGGUCCAAAUAGCCUCUCACGUCACCGCGAAAUGCGCCUUGCGAUGGAGGGUACGAGACUCCUAUUAAGGUGGUGUCGAUGGCGGUAGAGACCUUGAUUAGGUCAUGUAGGUUGGCUGCUCUGACGGCCUGGUACACAUGCUGCAUGGCGGGGAGGAGGAACUGUGCCAGAGAUGUGUCUCCAUUGACGGGGCUUACUUCAUUUCCAACGGCAAUGUACUUGAUUCUGACGCUAGGGUAGAAGUUGAGGACAUUUGUUUGUACCCAAUUUUGGGCAUUGGAAGGGUUGGCGGCGAAGUCCUGAAGGAGUGAGUUUGGGACACCGAGGAUGAGUUCGAUGUUGGAGCCUCGGAGAGCUUCAAGAGCACCGUGGUUUGGUUCAUAGAGUCUCGUCCGAUCAAUAUUGUUUGAUUUGAGGAGAGAUAUGACUUCCGAGUGAGAAGGGAGGUUGUUGCCCAUCAUUCCAUAACAAACACCUACGGAUGAUUGUGCACCUGCAUCAUACAUAGAGUUAAAUUAGCCAGCUGAAUAUCUCAAAUAACUUUAAUUUCUACAAAUUUUAACUUAUAACUUCAACAUACAGGAGCCUUGAUGUACGUGUUUCAAUUAUACAUUUAGUUCUACUACUCGCUUAUAAUUCAUUGUUGGAUGUAUAUUAUAGAUGUAACUUAAACUGCUAAUUAAAAACAUAAGCUCAAUACAGAGAGAGAGAGAGAGAGAGAGAGAGAGAGAGAGAGAGAGAGAGAGAGAGAGAGAGAGAGAGAGAGAGAGANANNNNNNNNNNNNNNNNNNNNNNNNNNNNNNNNNNNNNNNNNNNNNNNNNNNNNNNNNNNNNNNNNNNNNNNNNNNNNNNNNNNNNNNNNNNNNNNNNNNNNNNNNNNNNNNNNNNNNNNNNNNNNNNNNNNNNNNNNNNNNNNNNNNNNNNNNNNNNNNNNNNNNNNNNNNNNNNNNNNNNNNNNNNNNNNNNNNNNNNNNNNNNNNNNNNNNNNNNNNNNNNNNNNNNNNNNNNNNNNNNNNNNNGAGAGAGAGAGAGUUUCACCUGGUAUAUAAAGGAUUCCGACCAGGAGUCCCAAAAGAAACAUGAUGCUAGUCGUGAAUGGAAGAGAUAUAGUAGCCAUGGCCAUAGAGAAGAAUAGCUAGCUAGCUGCUGGUUUGAUUUUUAUCAUGUUAUCAAAUUGGGUUCUAUUUAUAGACAUGUAGAUUGAUUAAGUUUCAAUGCAUGCAUGGCCUAUAAUGUGAAUAAUAAACUUAUAUUAAUCCAAGGCGGCCUAUAUGUAUAUUAAUCCACGGAUGAGGUCGCGCGAGGUAAAGCAAGAGUGUCAUUACAAAAAUUGAUAAUAAAAGGAAAAGCAAACAACUUUUUGGCCACCAAAUAUUGACAAUAUAUUUUGACAAUUAAGCAAUCAUUUUUUGGAGUUGAAUAUUGAUCGGGUGAGUUAGGCAGUAGUGUAUGUGAGGAAAUAUCAGAAUCCAGAAACAUGCAUCGAACUAGCUAGCUAGCUCCAAUUUGGAUUUAGCUAAUUAUAGUUUCGUAUCUAUUCUAAUCAAUCCAACUGACUUUAGCUAAUUAUCUAUAUACAUACCCGGCGGCUUUAGCUCUCCUCCAUUAAUUGAAUUACGAAAGAAACAUGCAUCAGACCAGAAAUCUGCAGUGGAAGUUUACCAAACUUGGUGAUAAAAGCUAAAUCAUAGUUCUUGACUCUUUUGACCAAGUAGUGUCCAUAAUUGAACGAGUGCAUGCGUAUAUAUGAAUAUGAUGGAUGAACUCGAUCGCAGCUAGCUAGGAUAUCUAUAUUAGACUUGUGCUAUGAUUAAUGCAUGUUUUGUUGAUAGAUUGAACCCGAAGUUACCAAGCCAUUUGCAUAUAUAAAACAUACAUACAUAGUGAUUGACGGCACUGCAACACCAAUUAAUUAGUGAUUACUAGUUUAGGAUCCUUGUAACAUUAUUUCUCAGCAGAACCAGUUACUACCUUGUAACAUUAUUCUUUAAGUCUUUGUUAGGGUAGGGAACCAUAGAGAAGAUUAUCCAUCUUUGGGUUCUCGUCAAACAUGGCAAACAAGCAAGAGGGCCGGUUGCCUAACGAGCUUCUUGUUUAUCCUUUAAAAAGAAAGAAGGAAAAAAAAAAAAAAAACCUCCCUAGUGCUUUGACAGUUUUGUUAAAUGAUAGGGCCCGAAUCAGCCAGAUUUAUGAGCGAAAGGGUGUUGGGCUAGGGAUCAUCAAAAAGCCCGCCCGGCCCGGUCUUACCCAAGCCCUACGGACUCGGGUCAGACCGGGUAGGGCCUCAAUCAUGUUUUUUUAAAUUUUAGGGCCUGGCCGGGCUGGGUUAUUCAAAAAAUAAAAACCCACGGGCCCCGGCCUUACGGGCUUAUUAGGGCUGGGCUGGGUAGUUAUUCAAAAAAAUCAAAGCCCACGGCCUCGGGCCUUAUGGGCUUAUUAGGGCCGGACCGGGUUUUUUAGAUGGGUCGGGUCGGGCCGGGCAUAUUAUAUACAUAUAUCUAAUAAAAUUUUGUCAAAUAAAAAACUAAUAAAAAAAAGUUAAGAUUUGUUAAUGAUUGAACUAAAUGUAAUAAAAAAUACAAAAUAAAAUAUGACUUGAUGCAUUAAUUAGUUCACACAUAUAUAUAUAUAUAUUUUGGAUUAAAUUAGUUCACAUAUUUAAUUAGUAACUCCAUAAAAAAUAUUUAUAAAACAAUUGAUAGGGUUUUAGGGAGGGCUUUUUAAGGCCGGGCUGGGGCUUUGAUGGACAUGUAACGGGCUGGCCAAGGCUUUGAACCCUUCGCCCUAGCCCGGCCUCAUGCCCUACGGGCCAGGCCGAGAUGGGCUUUCCUAUGGGCCAGGCCGGGCUUUGGCCCUUUGGGCUGACGGGCCUCUCACUGGCUUUUAGGCCCACGGGCCAAAUGAUGACCCCUAUGUUGGGCGAAGUAUGCUCUUGUUGGUCUUGGUGGCUGGACGAGUGGGGGAAUUUUGAGGUAGUAGUUGCAUGGUGCAUGUAGUCUAAAGCUAGUAUUUGCAUUAAAUCCCCCCUUAAGUAAUCGUGUAUUAUGAUAGGACUUUGAUGGUUGGGAGUCUGCUCUUGAGGUGUCUAAUUGUUUUGUCGACUAUGGUGGAGCACAAAAAGUUCGUGUUGGCGGUUCUGUAGGGGUGGAGGCAACUCCGAUGACGACAGGGGUUGUUAGAUUUAGGGUGCGGCGGCAUGAUCUAUGUUGACAUUGGUAUGAUAGGAAGAUACUGAUCGAUACUAUAUUUUCGGUCGUUGUCAACAACAUAUGGGGAGGUUCCCUGUACAUUCUGGAUCCUAGGCGCAUACAUGUUGCUAUGCCCACCUUGGGUAGCCAUAGCUAUUGAGGAUGAGCUCACAUUUGCGCCUGGGAUUCAAGGCCUUUGGUUCUUGUUUCUAGGUGUCGGUCUAACCAUGUUUGCAACAACCCUUUGAUUUGAAAGAGGUCAUAGCCUGCUUGGGAAGACACUCGCGUAGUGUCUUGUUAUGUUUUGAAUAAGCUUGGAGAGAUUUGGAUGUUUUAUUCCGGUUUAUCUUUUCUAGUAUUGCCAAGGAGCUAGUAUCUCUAUAUGUAUUUUCUUUACUUUUCAUUUUGAUGAAUUGUUUCGACAUAAGUGACAUUGUUUAGCUUGCAAUGUGGUUUUAUGCCAAUAUGGUUACCUAAGAAUGACUCAAUCUUGUCAUAACCAUCUUGGGGUGAGCUAUGUAGUUUGUAACGAUUUAAACUUUUAAUGGCUCGACACUCAACUCCCUUCAAAAAAAGAAUAUAUAUCAUAUAAUUAAGAAUGUCUUCAAAAUCCGAUUCAAUGUUGUUUCUGACUAUGCAAACAUAAAUCCUCUUGAGCCACUACUAGCAUAUGCCUCAUAGGGUACUUUCUUUUUUCUGUAUCUUUUGCUCUAGAAGAUAUGGAUAAGCGUAUCUAAAAGUUAUCAAGUAUGGUGCAGCCACGGAAUAAAAAAGGGUAUUCUCUGUUGCAGUCUCUACUGAACAAAAGCCACGCUUUUAGCUUUGGUGUCUCAGUUUUUCAAUUUAUUUUAAAUGUUCUAUUUAUUUAUUUUUCUCUCUCAUAAUUUUCUUUUAGUUUCUAUUUUAGUGGGGCCCACCUUAAUUAUCAUUUUCCUCUUUUAUAUUUUUCUUAUAUUUGUUUCAUUAUUUAAGAUUAAUUGUAUUAUUUCAGUCAAAAUAUAUUUAUUUAUUUUUGUAUAAUUUUAUUUUCGUUUGAACAAGCUGCCGGCACCGGAGUUCCGCCGUCUCUCUUUCUUCAUCCUUUCUCUUCUUCUUCUCUCUCUUCUUUAACCUCCAGACAGUUUAUGACCCUCCACCAGACAAUCUCCUCGGCCGAACGUACGUACCCAACCUACUUGGUUGACAUNNNNNNNNNNNNNNNNNNNNUCAAACCUUUAAUUAAUUACGAUUUACCAUCUUUAAUAAGUUUACAAUUAAUUGAAUAAAAAUCCUCAAUUUAAAUAAUUUCAAAUGUUAAAUGCAAAUAUUAAUUGCCUGCUAUGAUGAAUGGUGUUAAUUAAUGAUUUAAUAUUUAUAAAUAUUAUAUUUUUGUUCUAAUUCAAAAGAGUAGUCCAAAAUCAAAAGUUAUGGAAAAUAUGUUAAUUUUAUUUUUUCUUUCAAUAAAACGGAUAUCCAUAUGUAAAAUCUCAUAUUAUUGUUCUUUUUAGUUUUGAAAGAAAAUGAUGAAUAAAUUAUAAAUUUAAAAAGUUAAUAAAUUAUCAGAUAAUAUUACUUCACACCCUUAACCGUAUCUAUAUAAUAUACUUAUUUGAAUAUUUGGUAUAAAACAUAAAUUUGAAAUUCUUUUUAGCAAUGGAUACGGAUUUUUGUCUUUAAUAACUAUAUUAAAUUAUCUUAUUGACUAUUUUUUUUCUUUGGAUACGGUUAUCAGUUUCUAUAAUGUAAAGAAUACUGAAAAUUUAAAAGGGUGUCAUUUGCUCUACUCAAACGAUACAGUUAAAAAAGUGUAUCCAAAGAGGGUAGCUAAUUAGGAUAUAGCCUGUAUGUAAUUAAACUUAAUUUACAACGUACGUUUAUAUGUAAGAAGUUACCUAGGGCAUGUCUAUCUUUUCCUACAUGUAUGUAACCUGAAGGUAAGUGUAAGUACAUAUUAUAUCACCGAGUAACCGCCCCCAAGUUUGUUAAUGCAAUAAAUUAUUGUCUUAUAUACAAAUUUCCAUUAAUAUCAUAAGGGUAUACCGUAUACCUCUAUCAUCCAAUCACGACAUGUACUAUUCCAUUUUCACUACUAUUGCACGAUCCUACUAGCUAGUCUCAGUUAUACUUGCAACUCAAACCAAAUCAAAGAUUCACCUUUGGGCCUUUGGGCUCAAACACAUUUUUCACUAAUAAAAAUUUCAUGCAAACUCCAAAACAAAAGGCUAAACCAAGUGAGACUGAAUGUCAAUCAAGUUUUUUUUUUUGUUGGAAAGGACGUUGAGCUUGGUGAGAUGCCCUAAGUGCAGUCGUGCAUGGCUUAUACCAGUGAAAAAGUACGAAAAAUAAUCAUCCAUUAAGCUAAAAAAGUACAAACAAACCCAAAAAAAAAAAAAAAANNNNNNNNNNNNNNNNNNNNAAAAAAAAAAAAAACAACCCGAGAAAAAAUAAAAAGGGCCACCGAAACGACGUCGUUAGGUUGUAAUUUAACCCCAAAUUGUGGAUAGGUCCACUAAUCUAGGUCACCAAUACGGCACCGUUUGGCUGCUUCACAACUUAUUUUAUAGUUUCCUUGGAGCAAUCUACAGUAGAAGCAUAAAGGUUAAAAACGCAUCGUUCAACCUGCCCUGUAUCUUCUUUCUUUCUUCUCAGAGAGACAGAGAGAGAGAGAGAGACUAGAAAUCCCAAGCAGUAAAGAGAGCUCCCUCCUGACAAUCUCAAAGCGCGUGAGCCACACUCUCUAAUACCCUCUCUCCGUUUCUUGGAGAAUUUUUCUUUUUGUUUUUGGUUUUUUGGGUCUGAAUUCUGGUAUUGCAAGGAUCCCCACAAUGGCUUCUUGAAGGUACUAACAGAAAGCCAAUUCCUUUUUCAAAUUUGGGUUCUUGAAUUUUUAGAAUUUUGUUUGAAUUAGGGCUCUGCGUUUUGUUUUUUUUUUUGUUUAGGGAUUUGUGCCCAGAAUGGGUUUGAUGUGUUUGCCUGCUUGUGUGGAUUGGAUUGUGUUCUUAGUGCAAAUGGGAUUGGAUUUUUAGUGUUUUUUUUAGAGGAAUGCGUGAUGGAUUGUGGAAUGUAUGGGUUUGUUGAGUUUAGAGAGGAGUUUUGUGUAAUUCAGGGUUAAAGCAAGCAUAUGAAUCAUUGAACAUGUAAUUCAGGGUUGUUUGUUAUAAUGAGAUUCAAUUUAGAAGUGAUGAAUCGGUAUUGCAUAUUCUUAUGAUCUUAUUUAUCUAGUCUAGGUACUGCAUGAGUAGGAUGCUGUGUGUGUCGCAAUGGUUUAAGGAAGCAGGACUCACAUUGCGUUUUACAUUCUUGUUUAGUUUAGGGUUUUGGAGUUUGAGGCUUUAGAAGUGUGGUUAGGCCAGAGGCUCUUUGCUAUACUCUUAGGAAAACUUUUCACUGUUUACAGAAGGAGUAGAAUCGUGGGGUUGCUACUGAAAAUCGUAGGAGGGGUGUGUGGGAAAAGAGAACAUUUGGAGGUUAACGUUAUCAGCUUAUUCAGGUUCCAAGUUGUUGCACUAUGGCUAUACAGAUCACUCUAAACUGAGAAAUUGAAUUUGUGAUUCUGUGUGACAGAGAGUGAGGCAGGGGGUGUGUUGCUUCUAAUUUAUGAUCAAAUUAAGACUUGCAACUUUAUACCUUUACCAUCUUUCUUUUCUGCAUUUGUUUCUAACGUGGAUGAUUAUAAAGUCAGUUUCUGGCUCUUUUAUGCAGGUUUUACAGGAGCUAUGGCUCUUCAAAAGUUUCCUUGUGGCGAUGCUCCUUCUGUUAGCAUGAAACACUUGAACUUUCUCAGUAAAGUGCAUGAAAACACUCUACAUGAGGAUGUAGAGCCAAAUCAUGCCAGGGAACAAGAUGUGGAUGUUGACCUCAGAGAAGUGUAUUUCCUCAUUAUGCAUUUUCUUUCAGCUGGACCAUGUCGUAAAACUUGUGUACAGUUCUGGAACGAACUUCUUGAACAUCAACUUUUACCUAGAAGAUAUCACGCUUGGUAUUCAAGGAAAGGGUUGCAUAGUGGGGAUGAGAAUGAUGAUGGGCAAUCAUUCCCCUUGAAUUACAAUAUGUUGGUGCCAAGGUAUAUGCAUAUCUUUUCUUGCUUUGCAACAAGUCACCUUUAAUAAUGUAAUUUAGGUCAGCUUCUCUGACCUUUCUGCCACUUAAAAGACUUAAUAAUAAGUGGCAUCAAUUUAUUACUUCUUGAAAUAAGUGAUAACAUUUAUUGCGCUCCUUGGUGUGACAUGUAUAUGGGAGUUCUGGGCUUUUGUUACAGUUGUAUAGUGGUUUUCUGGUUCUUCGUUGUGUUUUUAUAAGCAUAUAGUACAGUCUGAAACACUAUUCCUCAUCGUAGCAUUUGAACUUUGGUGUUUGGAGGGAAAUAAAUUUGCACCUUUUGAUUUAGGGGGCCAAUUACUGAUAGAAUGUAAUGAAUCUUAAAUAAUGGUAAUUAUCUGAUAAUUUUUUGUUUAAAGACAAUAUUGAUAAGUUAUCCCUUAUCUUAUAUUAGUCAAAUAUGAACAAAGAAAUAAUGAGAGAAAGAUCAACCAUCUCUAUCAAUUUAGGUUUCAAUGGUCUUUUAUAUAGAAUUUAAAUAGGUUUUGAUGGUAUUUUAGAGAGAAUCUGAAUCAUCUUUGAUAAUUAGAAAACAUGUCCAGGUCUUGAAUAUAUUUGAAUGGUCAAGAAUUCUGUUUGUCCUCCAUCUUAUCAGAGCCGCUUGGUGAAACUAACUUGGUUAGCACGGAGAAAUACUACACCAACAAUUCAAAAUCACGAGUUGUUUCCUUUGAGCUAAUUACAUGCACAUACAUACAUAUCACCACUUAUUCUUCUUUGUUUUUAAUUGAAAUGUUUCUGAAAAAUAAGCUGUUGGUCUGCAUAGAAUGUUUAUGGGCAUGCAUGUGCUAUUUAAUUUACAGACUACCAAUCUAGGGCCACUCUCAAUUCACUACAUAUUGCACCCGCCAUGACCUUUGAGGAUCAUGAGAAUGCUAUCUCGUUAUUUUUUGUUUCAUCUCUCUUUCCAUGGAUGUCAGUUUCACUUCUUGGUCUUCUACUGCAGGCAAUUUAGUAUGCUUGUAAAUAAUUCUUAAGUUUUUGUUUUCUUAAAUACUUGUAAUUAAUUUUCUUUCAAUUUUACACUUGCUUAGGUAUCCUCACAUUGAGCAGGAUCACUUGGUAAAGCUUUUGAAGCAAAUGAUCCUGAGUAUAGCCCCACCAUCAAGGGGUAUGACUGGUGGAAAUGCCCCUAAUGCAGCUGAUGUACCUACUCUCUUGGGAACGGGCACAUUUUCACUUCUGAGCUGUAUGUGACAUUAAUUGAGUUUUGACCAUUUCAUUUUUAGGGUUGAAUCUAUGAUUUUGUCAAUUAUGAUUGUAUCUUAGAUUAUUUUUUUGAAGUUUGGAAAUAAUAAUCAUGCAUGCAUUGGACUUUGCAAGUGUUUCCGUUCUUUUUUUGAAGUUCCUUCCAGUUGUGUGUCUGUUAGUCGCUGUCAGCAUCAUUUUCAUUUUCUCUGUAUUUUAUUAGAACAUGUCUUCUCCUUUCAGAUGAUAGGGAUCAAGAAAACAACGAAAUGAACCGACCUGCUGCUUACAUGCGUUGGCCUCACAUUAAAGCUAAUCAGGUGCAUGGGUUAGGUUUGAGGGAAAUUGGGGGAGGUUUCACCAGACAUCACCGUGCACCGUCUGUUCGUGCUGCAUCUUAUGCCAUUGCAAAACCAUCAACCAUGUUUCAGAAGAUGAAAAAUACCAAGAGAAUAAGGGGCCAUCGAAACGCUGUCUAUUGUGGUAUGUUUCCAAUCCUGAGAGUUCACCAGCUAUUACAUAGGUCCAUAUGGAAGUUUAUUCCACAUAUUAUUACCAAUAUUUAAAAUGAAUGGAAUUACUUUGCUUAAUAAGUAACCAUAUUGAUACCCCCCUUUCUCUUUUAUAUAUCUGCAUCAUAGCUGUUGUUAUCAAGAUCAUGCUCUAGAUAGUUUGCAGUCUGUAGAUUAAGGAUUCAUGAUUAGAUAUUUAAGUGGCCGGAGAGAAUGAAAGAGAAUUUUGUAGUUUCUCUUUCAAGGGAACGUGGUUGUCCCUCCAACAGUGGAGAGAUUUGGAGGAUUUUAGGUAGUUCUACUUUUUUGUAUCCCAAAGAUUCCUAAGUGAUGGUUUCUUUCAAUUUCUAUACACUAUCAAACAAAAGUAAGUGCUGAAGUUCUGUGUCUCAUUUCGAAGUAUCUUGUGAAAUCAGAACAGGCUGGGCGGAUCUUGUAAAAAUGAAAAAAAAAAAUAUGACGUGCAAUAUAUCUUAGCUACAGUGGAGGGAUUGCGUGGUCAAACAUAAUAUCUGGUUAAUGAUUUUCUUUUCUCAGGAAUCACUUUUAAUUUCUUCUGCUCUUCUCUUCAUCUCAGUUCUAUCUCAUCUGUAAAACCUAGUUUUUUUUUUUUUUUUUUUUCUCACUCGGAUCGGGUGUUUGUCAUAAAGUGCCUGCUUUUAUUUUCUUCUGCUGUAAUAUGUUGCAAAUGCUGAAGCAUAGUAAGAUAUGGCUAUAUUCAUUUCAAAUUUGUGAACCCGCAUCACUAAGCUCUGAAUUUAGUGUUCAGUAUUCGUCUUCCACAUUAUUUUGGUUUUUUUGUCCCUGGGCCACAUCAUUUUCAGGUGUUUUUUUUGGGUACGAUUCAACCUAUGUACAUUCAUCUGAGCCCACAUAUUUUAAUGUUUUGAAUACAAUUCUUGUUUGACAUCAGUUGUCAAUUCUAUCUUCGUACAGCAUUUUGUUUUCCUACUUUUUUUCUUCCCUUUGGUGUAUUUUGAGUGUUUGUCUACUGUUUUUUCUUAUCAAGCUUGUAUAGCACACGAUGUGAUAAGUUCUCACAAUGGUUUAUUUCGACUUGAAUCAUGCAGCAACAUUUGAUCGCUCAGGUAGAUAUGUUAUCACUGGUUCAGAUGAUCGCCUGGUGAAGAUCUGGUUAAUAGAAACUGCAUUUUGUUUGGCCAGCUGCCGUGGACAUGAAGUAAGUUGUUAUGGCUCAUCAAAGACCUGCUUAUCCUUUUCUCCUCCUUACUUUCACUUAUUUUUUGCUUGAAGGGAGACAUCACUGAUUUAGCUGUGAGUUCCAACAAUACUUUGGUGGCAUCCGCAUCAAAUGAUUGUAUUAUACGAGUUGUAAGCAUUCUCUGUUGCCCAGUUACAAGUUGUGUCUCUUUUUUGCUUUAUUUUUUUUUUCGGGUAACAUAGUGCUAAUUUAAGAGAACUUUUGGUUUCCUUAGUGGCGCUUGCCAGAUGGGCUUCCAAUUUCAGUGUUGCGGGGACACACUGGAGCUGUGACUGCAAUUGCAUUUAAUCCCAGGCCUGGCUCUACAUACCACCUUCUAUCGUAAGGCCGAUUCUCUGUCACUGAAAUAAUUUUUCAUGUAAAGUCUUUUUGUUAGAAACUUAGAAUAAGUCACUCUUGACUCGACCAUUCCUAUUCUUAAGUGAUGUACUGCCGGUUUUUCUUUUUACCAACUUGCUUUGGUCAGAUAAUAUUUAGUUGAUGAUCGUAACUGAAGUCCUAAACUGGAGAAUGGCAUGGGUCACCGUUUUCUUUUCUUUUUCUCAGCUAUUGCCUAUAUUCUGUAGUCCUUUUGUUAUCAAUUUUUUAUGUUACUUUUUGUUUGUACCUUUUCAUCAAAUUUGUUUUUUUUUUUUUCUACCUUUUCAUCAAAUUUGUUUUGUAUCUUCUUCUUCUUCUUCAUCUUCUUUUUUCUUUUGUUCAAUAUCUAAUAAUGUAGGCCUGUCAAUGUAUUGCUAGAGAUAUUUUUGUCCCAAACUUUGAAGGAUUUAGUUUUGGUGGAUUUUUCUGGUAGGAGUGUACAACUAGUAUAUAACUUUUGGACAUGGGGUCGUGUAGGAAUAUGAAAUUUUACAAUAAGAUCAUAGGAAAUGGUAUGUACAGAUUAAGUUAAUUGGGCACGGAAAGAUGAGGAUGGCUGGUAUAUCAAAGGAAAUUAUAUUUUUAGACUGGUCCAUAGGGUCGCGUGGAAUAUGAAAUUUUAGGAUAAGAUUGUAGGAAAUGGUAUGUACAGAUUUAAGUUCAUUGGGGGCAGAAAGAUGAGGAAAUGGUAUGUACAGAUUUAAGUUCAUUGGGGGCAGAAAGAUGAGGAAAUGGUAUGUACAGAUUAAAUUAUUUGGGCACAUGGGGUCGUGUGGGAAUAUGAAAUUUUAUGAUAAGAUCAUAGGAAAUGGCAUGUACAGAUUAAUUUAUUUGGGCACAGAAAGAUGAGGAUGGCUGGUAUAUCAAAGGAAAAUAUAUUUUUAGACUGGUCCAUAGGGUGGUGAAGAUUAGGAGAAUGUAGUUUGCGAAUAAUAUGUGAUAAUGAUGUUAAAGAUGUGAUUCUUAUUGGAUGGAGAUUAUGUAUUUCAUUUUGGGCUGCUUUUGGUUGAGUGAUGAAAGUGGCAAUUUGUGGGUAGGCAUUUUAGCAGCCAUUUUUGUGCAGUUUGGAUGGUGAGGAAUAGGAGAACAUUUUACAACAAAUGUAGGAAGAAGGGGAUUUUGUUGUGGGAUAAUAUGAGGAUGUUUGCUUUUGGGCUUUACUAUCUACUGUUGUUUUUUUUUUUUUUUUUUUUGCAAUAUGCCACUUUCUCUAUUCAUGUAGAUUGAAGGGCUGCUCUAAGAUGUCCUUUUUUCUUUACCUAUUUAGAUGAUGGUAUAGAACUAUAGAUCACGUUCAGUUGUUCACCUCUCUCUCUCUCUUUCUCUCCCUCCCCUCCCCACCUCCCCCCCACACCCCCCUCUAUAUAUAAUUAAGUAUAUAUAAUUAAGCAAGCGAGUUUUAAUUUUGAUGCUGUUUUUCAAUGCAGAAUGCUGUUAAUUUUAAUUUUUUUAUUUUUUAUAAUUUUUGAUAUGCCGUUUUUUUUUGUGGACGAUCACUUUCUUAUGAUCUACCUUGUAUUGUUCUUUUGCCAUUGCAGUUCCUCUGAUGAUGGAACUUGUAGGAUAUGGGAUGCCAGGAAUUCUCAAGUGACUCCAAGGAUAUACAUUCCAAAACCUUCAGAUACUACAACUGGUCAGUUUCUUGUUCAGUGCAGCCAAGAUUAACCAACUUAUUAACAUGUGAAAAAACUUAGUGUUGUAUUAUAAUUGCCUGGAUGCAGGGAGAAACAGUGGUCCAUCCUCAAGCACUGUACAGAGCCAUCAGAUCUUCUGUUGUGCAUUUAAUGCUAAUGGAACAGUCUUUGUUACCGGUAGCUCAGACACUCUUGCGAGGGUAUAUUAUACUUUUGGGUCCCUAAUAUCAUUUCCACAACCUUUUUCUGUUUAGUUGUUAUCAUCGGUAUUUCAGUGAACUAGUAAAUAUAGUGCUUGCAAUGAGAAAUGGAUUGACAUAUCAAUUGUAUCACUGUGAUAAUCUAUAUCCGAAAUAAAUCUAUCUGUUUUUACUGAGAGAGAGCUAAUUGUAGGUGUGGAUUGCUUCCAAGCCAGGCUCAGAUGAGUCAGACCAACCGAAUCAUGAGAUAGAUGUGUUAUCUGGCCAUGAGAAUGAUGUCAAUUACGUACAAUUUAGGUAAAGUUGUUAUAGUAAUUUCCACAGGUACACACACGCAUAUGUAUCUAAUCUUUGCAUGAUGAUAUAUGUUUCUUCAUGCAAUGCAGUGGCUGUGCUGUAGUAUCUAGAUUUAUGGCAGCUGACACCUCAAAGGAAGAGAAUGUUCCUAAAUUUAAAAAUUCGUGGUUCGUUUCCUUUGCCUUUCUUUUUGACUCUGCUGUAAAGUUUGCUAUUAUCCUGUUGCUUUUAUUAUUUCUUCUCCCGGUGAUCUUUUAGCUGCCAUUUAAUAAUAUAUACAUUCCCCGGUGUUUCCUUCUCCCAGGUUCAAUCAUGACAAUAUAGUUACUUGCUCUCGCGAUGGGAGCGCAAUUAUCUGGAUUCCCAAAUCACGAAGAUCACAUGUAAAUUAUUUUUACUCUAAAUGAUAACUUUCAAGUUUUAACUUUCUAUUCUAUUUUAAGCUUAUCAACGGAAAAAGUUAUGCAGAAUAAAUAAGCUUUUUUCAUUUUUUAGGGAAAAUCUGGUCGUUGGACAAGAGCUUAUCAUCUGAAAGUUCCCCCUCCACCAAUGCCUCCUCAACCUUCACGUGGAGGCCCCCGCCAGAGAAUUCUUCCAACUCCUCGUGGUGUUAAUAUGAUUAUCUGGAGUCUUGACAAUCGCUUUGUUCUUGCUGCUAUCAUGGGUGAUUUGUUCAUUUCUCCUUUUGAUGUGUAUAUUAUAAGAGCUAGUGUCUUAAUACCUUUGCAUAAUAUAAAUUUAUUGGUGUGGAUGGUUUACGAACUUGAAUUGAGCAGAUUUGUUCUUGUCAAGGCCAUAAAUUCGGUAAUGUAACAAUUUGAUAUCUAUAUUUUAAUGCAGAUUGCAGAAUAUGCGUAUGGAAUGCUUCUGAUGGUAGCUUAGUGCAUUCUUUGACGGGUCACACUGAAUCUGUAAGUAGUUGAAUUUCUUCUCCAUGGAUCUGUUUCCUUUAGAAUUUUGUUAUUUGAUCUUGCAAAUAUGAUACUAAGCUCACUAGUGUGUGGGUGUAACAUUUGGAACAGAUACAUAUCUUUACUGAACACAUUUUCAAUAGGAUAUCCUUUUCAAUACCAUUUUAAUUUCUUUUGUUUACCUAGUAGUCUGUUAGUAUAGAAUGGGUUUUAGAAGAACCGACAUUCCUGGAAUCAUUUGACAUUUACAAUAUGUUUUAAUCAAUAUCCCCUGUAAUUUGUACUUGAAGUCCUUUCUUAUCUGCAUGUUUUAUUUUGUAUUUAAUAUAUAGUUUUGUGGGUACGUCGAUCCUUCUGUUGCUUUCUUGUCUGUCAUAUAGCACUUAAGUAGCUUCUUCUAGUGAGUUUUUAAUGUCCUGUGUCAUCUUUUCUCAGCUUGUGUUGCAUGCUUCUGUGUAGAUGAUUUUUAUCAUUAUAUGAAAAUACUUUAAUCCUGACCUGCAACUCCGAGGCUCCAUUGGUAACCAGUUUUGGUUACUUAAGCUGGAGGAGCAAAAGUUAAAUCACUGAUAAUAUUAAUUUGUGUUCUUGAUAGACAUAUGUUCUGGAUGUUCACCCUUUCAACCCCAGGUUGGCAAUGAGUGCUGGCUAUGACGGAAAAACAAUUGUCUGGGAUGUGAGUUUCCAGAUUCCUUAUUCUACUUGUAAUUUCUUCAAAAGAUCUCUCUUCUUGAAUGCCUUAGUUGACUUGCAAUUUCAGAUAUGGGAAGGCAUGCCUAUCUGUAUAUAUCAAACUUCACAGUUCAGAUUGGUUGACGGAAAGUUUUCGCCGUAAGUCGAGAAUAAGAAGCCUUAGUUUUGGAUUUUUUUUUUUCUUCGUAGUGGUUGUAUUGAAUUUUAAAAGUUCUGUUUUGUUUAUAAUCGUCAAUGUGAUAGUUUUCUCUUCAAAAUAUUACAUAAUUUUCUCCAGCUUUAUUUGGUACUUCAAUUUGGCCUUGUAGUACUAUGUAGGAUUCAUUGCAUACCUCUCUUGAAUCCCAACUCCCACAUUAUCAGUUGGCAAAUGACCCUAGUGGCUUUCAUGUACUUACAAAGUGUUCAUUCUCUCUACUUUAGGGACGGAACGUCGAUUAUACUAUCUGAUGAUGUUGGGCAACUCUACAUAUUGGACAGUGGCCAAGGGGAGUCCCACAAUGAUGCAAAAUAUGAUCAGGUAGAUUUUCCCCUUCUCUUUGUAUAGAAUAUAUCUUUACACUUCUGUUAACAACUGUACUUAACUUCCAUGCACUUAUCUUUCAGUUUUUUCUUGGUGAUUAUCGCCCAAUCAUUCAAGACAGCUUCGGGAAUGUUCUUGACCAGGUUAGUUGGUUUCGCUAUUAAUGAUGAGAUUUGUGGUUGAAUCCAUUCUCUUUGUCUUAAAUUUUACUGCUCAGAAUAUAAAAACAUUUUUGUAUAUUUUCAUUUGAUUUUUACUUUCUAUUAUUCUUUUCUCUCCCCAGUUCAAUUGCUGAAAUAUUUGAACAUUAGAACUUAAUGUUUGUCCUCAGUAACUGUUACACUUACAGGACCCAUUUUUAUGUUAUAUUUCCUGUGUUCUUAAAUUCACCUUCUACCCAUGCAUUCCCCUACAUGACCAAUGGACUUAUAAUUCGUUUAGUUUAUAUACUUUUAUUUCUGUUAGUUAUUUAUACCAUGGGGUCUCACUGGUGAUUUUGACUGAUUGAUAGCUGUUUGGCAUAGUGCGACCAAAAUUCAAUUUUCUUUUAGGAGUUGAGAUGUUAAAGUCAGAGCUAAAAUCCGAUGCCGUGCUAUAUUUAGCAUGAUGUUGCCCCUACCUUUUAGAAAUCAAUUAAUAGUAUGGAUGUGUAUGAUUUGACUUAGCACAAGUCAAUUCUAAUUAUAUCUCUGUGUGUAGUGCUUUUAUGCUGCGUUUGAUUCUUUGAUCCCUUAAGAUGUUAUCUGCAACAUUUGUUUCAGGAAACUCAGAUUCCAGCAUACCGACGGAAUAUGCAGGAUCUACUUUGUGAUUCAGGUUUCUCUCUAGUCCAUUUCCCUUAUGGAACUAUCCUUAUCUGGAUUUUCAAUUUUCUGAAGCACUGGUUAUUGUGAAAACACUAGGCAUGAUACCAUAUCCGGAACCCUACCAGAGUGCGUACCAGAAGAGACGAUUAGGAGCCCUGGGUUCUGAGUGGCGUCCUUCAUCGUUAAGACUUGCUGUUGGGCCUGACUUCAGUUUAGAUCCAGAUUUCCAAAUGCUACCUUUGGCAGACUUGGAUAUGUUAUUGACCGAGCCGCUACCAGAGUUUGUAGAUGCCAUGGAUUGGGAACCAGAAAAUGAAAUGCAAAGUGAUGAUGCUGAUUCAGAGUACAAUAUCACUGAAGAUUAUUCUACUGGAGGGGAGCAAGGAAGUUUAAGUUCAAACCCUUCUGUUGAUCCAGAGUGCAGUGAAGAAGAUAGUGACGAGGAUGCUCAACUGGAUGGACUACGAAGAUCAAGAAGGAAAAAACAAAAGGCUGAUGUGAGUUCCCUCUCAAUAACAAAUAACUUUUAGAAUCUUGUUAGAUGUUGCUUGACUGUGUUCCCUUUCUCUUUUCUUCAGAUUGAAGUCAUGACGUCUUCUGGAAGGUGUAUUAAAAGGAGGAACUUGGAUGACCGUGAUGAUCACUCAUUCAGAAGUAAUAGAAAAAGGAAAUCAAGGCAUGGCCGAAAAUCUUCAAAAAAGAAAUGCUCCACAUCGAAGUCACUGAGACCUCAAAGAGUUGCUGCACGCAAUGCCCUUACACUAUUUUCUAAGAUAACGGGACGACAUACAGACGGGGAAGAUGAAGAUGGAUCGGAAGGAGAAAUUUCAGGAAGUGAAUCAACGCUGCAAGAUUCAAAUGUUGAGAGUGAUGGAUCCGAUAGAGAAAAUCACCUAAGCAACCAUAUGAAAGGAAAACAGGUUUUACUCAAUGAAUCUGAGGACCCGGUCAAAUCUCAUGAACUUCCUGAACUUCAAAGGAACUCUGGGAACAGGAGGAGAUUAGUGCUAAAACUGCCAAGACGGCCGUCAAAUACAAAUACGAUUGUGGAUACAGAAAGCACAAUACAUAAGUGCGAAAAUCCGGCUUAUCUGGUUGACCAAUCUUGCAAUCACAAAGCCAGUGAAGCAAAUGAGAAUCACAUGAACUCUCAGGAUCUAAGGACCUCUCCUGGUCAGGAAAAUUGCAGCAUGUUUGAAAGAGCAGUGGGAGGGAAAUCAUACGAAGUUGAGAAUUAUUUGGACUUGACUGAGAAUUAUAAAGUUGGAAGUAUAAGAUGGGGAGGGUCCAGAGCUCGAACAUCAAAGCGGCUGAGAGUGGGAGAAGCCACAUCACUGGAUGCACUUGCCAGUACCAGUCUAGCUGUUGUUGGUCACGGUGGAAACACAGAAUCUGAAAAGGAUGGUCGAAACUUGUCCCCUCAAUUAGAAAGCCCAAGGAAUGGGGAUAUGAUGGAUGGAGUGGUUAUGACAAAUGAGAGAACUAUUGGGACUAGUACCUCUGAGGACCUUAAUGGUAAAGCUGAGGUUAAUGAGAACUCGGGUUUUAGUGAAUGCAAGGAUCAUGACCAAUCACCUAAGUCUGUUCACAUGGCUCAUUGGGAUGCAAGCACUUCCUCUGACCUCAACAAGGAUGGGAGUGUUUUCUCUUCUGAACAAAAUGAGAAGCUUACACCAGCCUCAACGAAAUUAAGGUUGCGGAAGAUUCCGAGGGGCCCUGAAUGUCCUAGUGAACAGGUUAUGAGCUCUGUAGUAGAGAAUUUGGAAAGAGGUAGAUGUAACACAUUGCCUGAAAGCCUUCCAACAAUAGAUCACGAUUCAAUUGUGCCAGAGGAUAAUGGCUCCAAAAAAUUUAACUCAGAUCAAAGAUGCAGCGGCUCACGAGAAUCAGACAUUCAAAUUGAAUCAGUCGAGUCCCAUGUAAAUAGAAACAAAAUGUUUAGUGCUGUUUAUAGGCGGGUGAAAUCACAUAGGGGUCGGAGUAAUUUGGAAGGUGAAAGUAGUGGGAAGGGAGAAGGCACUUCACAAAUUUCCAACACUAGCGACCAAAAUGUCAUUGCUGCAGUAGACUGCCGUGACGAUUCAAUUGAUGGAGCUCGUAGGACACGGUCAAUGGGGUUGAAGGCAUCUACACGUGAUCCAAGUAGUGUGGAUCAAGAUCACAAGUUAAGUCAAGGCCAUGAGCCUAGGUAUACAUUCAGAAGUGCCCAGAACAACACGGUGCACAAAUGUCAACUUCCGAAUGAAGAACGGGGAUCAAGUUCAAGGACAGCAGUUGGGUUGAGAUCAACUAGAAACAGAAGGAGUUAUUAUGAUCAUGAUGUGGAUCCAAUAGAUAACAGGAAGUCACAUCAAUCAAUGAGGAAAGGAACAUGGUUGAUGCUGUCGGCACAUGAGGAGAGCUCACGAUAUAUUCCCCAGUUAGGGGAUGAAGUUGUCUAUUUGAGACAGGUUUCUACUUUUAUUGCUCCUGCCUUUUUGUUCUUUUUACUUUUUUUAUUCUUGGGAUUCUUGGAAUGGGGUGUUUGGUUUUAUGAGCUACGAAGACAGCCUCCCUUUUUAUUGUUUUUGUUUGGAUUUUAGCAUAUGAAGGCCAUUGUUCACUAAACUUUUAUAAUUUUUUUAUUUCUCAGGGGCAUCAGGAGUAUUUUGAUCUUGGUAGGUUGAGAGAAGACCCGCCUUGGGCAUUUAUAAAGCAGAGAAUAAGAGCUGUGGAGUUUUGUAUAGUUCAAGACCUAGAAUAUUCUUUACUUCCAGGAUCUGGGGAUAGCUGCUGUAAAUUGACCCUUGAAUUUGUAGAUCCUUCAUCUGAUGUGUACUGCAAGUCUUUCAGAAUGACUCUGCCUGAAGUUACUGGUUUCCCUGAUUACAUUGUUGAAAAAACUCGCUAUGUUGCUGCAAUAGAGAAAAAAUGGUCAUGUAGGGAUAAGUGCAAAGUCUGGUGGAAAAAUGAUGGUGACGACGAUGGUAGUUGGUGGGAUGGUCGGGUUGUGCAAAUUCAGCCCAAAUCUCCUGAGUUUCCUGACAGUCCAUGGGAAAUGUGUAUGGUUAUGUACAAGUCUGUUCCUAAAGAGACACAGCUACAUAGUCCUUGGGAGCUUUUUGAUACCGCUACUGAAUGGGUGCAGCCCCAGAUUGAUGAUAAGAGCAAAAACAAGCUGCAUUCCGCCUUUGCCCAACUAGUGAAAUCAUCCCACAGUCGUCAGGUAGUAAGGCAAACCCUUUAUUGUUUUUUGUUUUACAAAAUGAAAUCUUGGUUAUAGCUGCAUUUCGGCAAAUUAGUUCAAGACUUGGUUUUUCAUAUGUUUGUACAUUUCAGGAUUCGUUAGGGAUUAAUAAAUUGAAGCAGCUUCAGGAGAAGCCGAAGUUCAGAAAUUGGUAUGUGUUCAUACCCUUGUACCUUACAUUGCACUCGAAUCUCUAUCAAGGAAAACUGAUAGAUAUCUUUGGUACCAUAUGGGGUUUUGAAAUGUAUUUGCCUUUUGGAAUUGUCUCAGGUGUGCGGUUCCAAUAUCUCUUGACUUGAUAGAGAGUAGGUUAGAAAACGACUAUUACCGAAGUUUGGAAGCACUGAAACAUGACUUUAAGGUAAUGCUGUUAAAUGCGCAAGCCUAUGUAGAAAGCCAUGCGGAGUCUUCAGGGAAAAUGAAACGGACAGCAGAUAAAGAAUUUCUAGAGAAACUGCAUUGUCUAUCUGGCUGGUUUACAGAGACAAUUUCGUCCUUGUAGCCGACCAUCUGGCUCUUCUAAUUUUUAUAUUUUUUUUAUUUUUGUAGAUAUUUUACCUUCAUAUGUUUAGAGGGUUUUCCUUAUGAUACCCUAGGUUCAUUUUUGGAAAUGGAUUAAUCCUUUGGAUAUCCUUAGAAGCAAGUGUAAAUUUUCCAGAGAAAUCAUUUUUGUACAGAUGAUAUUGUUAAUAACAACGAAGGAAAAACACCAUUUUCAUCUGACUUCCAAGCAUCUGGGCGCCAGGACGUUGAGAGAUUUUCAUACUCCCCCGUUUCACUCUUGAAGACUGUUUUUCAUCCUCCAUUUAUCUACUUUGAGAAAUUCUUCAACAACAGUAUAAUAGGAUAUCCAUUGUACCACCAAGGGAGCUGAACUUUCUAAACCCUCAGGACACUCGAUUAAGGUCGUUGUCAAAGCUACAUUUCUCCAUUUCCCUCUCGAAAAAAAAAAAAAAAAACACUUAUUUUGCCAGCCUCAAAAUUACAUCCUUGAGAGUUGAGAUCAAGAGACAAACUCUGGUUGGGAAGUCGGAAAGGCUUGCUCUAAUUCUUUUCUGUUUAUUUAUGCAGCCGGAGUUCUUAAAAGGUUUGGGAGAAGAACAAAAAUCAGAUCCAUUCUCACAUGCACUGAAUAUCUUCUUUUUGAAUAAUAGAUAUAAGGUAGAAUUAGAAGUUUGAAGAUAAAAACUUGAGAGCGGGGACUACAUUGAGAUAUUUGCUGGGUCUAUCUAUUUAAAGUCUCCCUGCUACAAACAUAAAUAGUUUUUGCUUCACACUGAACAAGAAGUCCACAGUCUAUUCCAUGGCUCCAAGCUAUAUAAACUUACAAACCAACAGAUUUUACAAAAUGGUUAAUGUUUCUAAAGAGACCUAAAGACCCUAAACCAACAAGCAUGACAUACAUGAAGUUCUGUGGUGACCUAACUAGGCAGACAAGCUAGUAGGUGCACCCGUUCCAUAUCAUCCGAGGGAGACAAGUUGCUAUGCUUAUAUGUGCAGAGCUAGCACCUUACAUUGAGACACAUUUUGGGGUGAAACCUCAAGAAUAAAACCGUAAGGGCCGGUGGGCCUUAAGCGGACAAUAUUUCAAUGGUAGAGACUGGGUUGUUAUAGAUGGUAUCACAGCCUGUCCCCGGCCGGAAGUGUGCCGACAUGGACGUUGGGCCCUAAAGGGGGGUGGAUUGUGGUGACCUAACUAGGCAGGCAAGUUAGUAGGUGCACCCGUCCCACAUCGCCUGGAGACAAGUUGCUAUGCUUAUAUGUGCAAAGCUAGCACCUUACAUUGAACGCGUUUUGGUUUGAAACUUCAAAAACAAAACCGUGAGGGCCGGUGGGCCCAAAGCGGACAAUAUCUCAAUGGUAAAAACUGGGCUAUUACAAGUAACUUCCUGAGGAGUCCAUAACGUCUUUACUGCCUGUCAAAGGAAGAAAAACAGUAAUAUACAUGGAAUCUCUGUAUGUUCCCUUGUUUACUGAUUUGUGUGUAUACACUCUUUUAUCUCUAUGACUAUAUAUAAAGGGAAGCAUGAAUCAAUCUAUACCAAUAUUUGAAAUGGCUAAUAAAACAUUAAAACUCAAAAUAUAAUCACCUGCCAGGGAUAUUAGGGUGACUAGCUCACAAGGAAACUUUCACAUCAUACCUCCCUUCACCAACAUUUUUAUAUAUAUGCAUCGCAGGAAUAUGAGGCUGGUACAUAUGUAAAAGGAAGAGAAAUUGACAAUAAUUGUUGGUUCUUACCGUUCAGCAGAUGGAUGCACCAACAGAGAUCUGAGUUCGUGCAACACUUUCUCCAAGUCAUACAAUGUAACCUGAUAUGAAAUGCAAUGGAAACUAUAUAAUCCGGAGAAUUCAAUUUUGUGCACAUUUGAUAUUUUAUCAUUUAAUAACAAAGGGAAAACACCAGUUUCAUCUCUCUUUCAAGCAUCUGGGCUGCAGGAUAGAGAUUUUCAUACUCCCUUCAUCAGUUUCACUCUUCUUUUUAACAUGAGAUCAUGUUUUUACAUUGGUAACGUUGAAGACUCUUGUUCAUUCUCCAUUCUAAAUACUUCGAGAAUUCUUCUGAUUUGUUGCCGUUUAUUCUCGAUCUUUGAUUUCAGAUCGAGCUGUUAGAUUUAUGCUCUUUAAUUAUUACCUCUCAUUGAUCAUCUUCAAACUAUCUCAGUUGAAGGUUAGCUCAUUCCCGAUUGUAUUGAUCUCACCAAAUUAUUUGUUCGGAAAAUAAGAAACGAACAAAGAACUACGUGGGAGCGAAAUAGAUUCUAACAAGCUAUGGCCCUAGAAGAUAAUAGCAGAGGGCAAGCAGGCAGGGAUUCUACAGGUCUGGCACUGGCAGUUAUAAGAAGUUCACAACUGAACUAUCAUAUUGACAAACCAAAUAGUUGGGAAAUCAGGAUACUGCUAUUCUGGCAAAAUGAAAGUGCCUGUUAAUGUCAAUUGAUGGUCCAUACACAUGAAAACCUACACUAGGGAUCAAAAUUCUGGUGUCUGAAAUGAAGGAGUAUCUCGGGGCUCAUACAGGACCGCUUAAAAGAGUCUGCUACACAAUUAAUAAACCUUAAUCCAAUUUCAUAAGUACACCAGAACUAAUUCUGAGCACAACUAGAUUUGAUUAGAUGAAACUUGAGCAUAUUAGUCCCUCCACCUGUAACCACAGUUUGGGUUGCAGCAAACAAAGAACAACGUCAUCCCUUCCUCUCCUCUAGCAGUUGCCUGCACAUAUAUAAGAACUUGCACAUUAGAAUUACCUCUUACAUUUUAAACAUCUUGAACAAGAAAAGAUGGUUUAAGAUAGCUAUGAACUUUAUAUAUAAUAACUCAAGGAGUGGAAUCAUGUGGAGUGAAAAGCUAUCUAAAAGUACAAUCUGACUAUUCGCUUAGAUGUUUAUACCAUAUUUCUGGACAUGAAAGGCUGGGAUACAAACCCAAAAAGAAGAAGAAUGAUAAACAGAUGUGACUUUCCUAUGUUAUAGUGGUGACAACUACAACUACUCAAAGAUGUUUCAAUGCCAAGUGAUCACAUAAACCACUGAUCCCUAACAUUCAGUUGAACCAAACAGGCAAAGUGAUAUGAUGUAUUGAAAAAGAACCAUAACUUUGUCAAAGAUAAGCUUUGAUGCAUUACUAAAUCAUGGAUUGCUUAAAGGUUAUACCUGUAAAAUGUCUUUCCAGAUGCAUUACUAAAAGAUACAUUGUUAACAGGUUAUAUCUAUUCUUUUCCAGAUGCAUUACAAAAGUAGCUAGAACGGCCCUCAUGUGGAAUACUUAGUAAUUGUAUAUCAUAUUCUAAGUUGCAUGGAAAUCCAUGGUAAAGACUUGAAGCAUCAAAGAGUUGGAAUUUCAACUGAAAGGCUUAGACAGAUGUCAUGUGUCUUAUUAACAGAAACUUGAACAUCCAGUCUCUUUGUAUUUAACCAAGAACUAAGUUAACUGAAAAGGCACAUGUAAAAGUACACAACUUCAUCCAAAGAAUGAGCAUUUCACCUGAAAGAAGACAGCUUCUCCGUGCUUGCACUGAGCACAGCGCACAGCUUUUGUGCGAGGUAGAGUUGGAUCUGCAGCUACAUCUUGCAAGAUUUGAGUGCGUUCCCCAACUGAGUGGUGUAUCUCAUUUCUGUAGACGCAGUUGUUAUCAGCAACCUCCUGCAAAACAACACGUACUCUAAUAAGAAAAUGUACAAAAUGGUUGAGCUAUAGACCUUUAAUCAGAAAUGAUAAAAUCCUUCAACGUAGAAAAUAGCGGGAGCAAAUAGUAACAAUAAGCUGAAAGCUGAAUUUAGAAGGUAACUCCAUAUGAGAGACAUCAAGCAUGUUCUUCAGGUGUUAACUGAAGUGACAAUUGAGCUUGUAAACUGAGCCUAGAAAUAUUUACAAAUUUUGCAAACCCCGUAAAGAAAAAAAAAAAUGAUUAGCAGCAAACUGAAGUGACCCUCUAAGAAAAAGUUUAACGUCCAAAGUAGUGCAGAUGAAGAAUUUCCAAGCAUAUCACCAAAAACAUGAAGAAAACCCUCUAUUGAAAGAACUCCAGUAAAAGCUAGAGCCUUGGGUUAUGUCAAGUAAUUAUGUCAAUCCAAAAAGAGUAACGCCAACUGAAACUAGCUUCUCAAAAGUAACUCUUCAACCAUCUUCCCGGUGGUGGCAAUCGAUCUUAUGAACUAAGCCAAGAAACCUAUUUGCAAAUUAUCAACAUGACCCAAAAAGCAGAAAAUGAUGGCAAGCAAACCCAAUGACCCUUCAGCAGAAUAUGGGCACAGAUAAAAAAAAAGGGUAAUUUUCAAUGCAAUUCACAAAAACCAUUCUUUGAGAAAACUUAGAGUCAAAGUUACAACCUUUAGUUCAUUCUAGAACUUAAUUCAAUAAUGGGAUUAGGGUUCUUGCAAUUCUCAACAAAAUAACACACACCAACCAAAAACUACCAAAAUCAAAAGAGCAAAUAGAGAGAAGGAGCGACCUGGUGAUCGCAAUUGCGGCACGCAUAGAGGAGAAUCUUGUCUUCCUUGUUCUCCUUUGGGUACAGAAUGUUGUUGCUGCAAAAAUGCGAAAACCCAUAUUUACAAAUUAGAAUUAAACUUCACAACUAAAGAUGAGGAAAGAGAAAGCGAAUGUGUUACUGACCAUUCGCGGCAAAACUUCAUGGUACUCAUCUUGGUAAAGCUUGGGUCUUUUGAGAAGCUCUGUUCUGGUUGGGACUAAAGCUCUCUCUGCUCUUGCUUCACUGCACACUCUCAAUAGUUUCCAGGGUUGAGACUCGCAAGAAUACAUUUUUGAAGGGCUUUCCCCAGGCCCUUAUUUGAUAAUUGUUGCAAUUUCAAGGGUAUUCCCCGAAAAUGUUAAUAUUUUGGUCAUGUAUUUAGGGCAAGUGCUGGACUACGCCAUAAAGUACGGUACGUUGAAGUGGGGUCAGCCAUGUGGCAUAAUAACGUCCACAAUUCUUGAAUUCCAAAGGCAACUAGGUAGUUUACAAUUUAACUUUCGUUAAUAGUAAAACAACCCCGUUAUGGUGAAAAUUUAAGAACAUUUAAGUCAACGGUAAUUCUAGCAUAUCGAUCUCUUUAAUGUUUGCUGGGUGGUGGUGCGAGCUCGAGAAACAUAGAGGUGAGAGAGCAAAAGAGUAAUAGGCCUAAUGUUUAAAGAGAAACCAUGGUCAUUACUCAUCAGCAUGAUCAACCGCCAUCAUCCUCUUCUUUAAAGAUUAGGAUGAGACGAUGUCGAUCGAUGGUGUGAAAAAACAAAAACCAGCGAGAGGUUCCCUAUUCUUCUCUGCUCCAUCUCCGCAGACCAUGUCGUCCCCGAUCGUGAUCUCCAAGGUCGACGAUCUGAUAAACUGGGUUCACCGCAGCUCCAUUUGGCCCAUGACCUUCAGCCUCGCUUGUUGCGCCGUCUAGAUGGUGCACACCGGAGCUGCUCGCUACGAUUUGAAGCGCGGUAUCAUUUUCCGGCACAGCCCACGCUAGCCGAUUGCCUGAUCGUCGUCACCGGUAUUCUCACCGAUUAGGUGUUGGUGAUGGGAGACAGUCACAUUACAGGAUGAUAUUGAGACGAUGAUUGGGAAAGCGAUAAGGAAGCAAAAGCCAGAAAGAAUUAGAGUUGAGCUCAUGGGACUUAUGGUUUGGGGUUGACAUAAACACCCUCAUUAUUUUUCUUUUACAAGUGAUUUUUACUGUUAAUGGAGUUAAAUCUGAAAUUUACUUAUAUACCCUUCGAAUUCCAAUUUUGUGGGCAGUAUUACACCAUGUGUCAUGUCUUUCUUCAGCGUACAGUAUGCUGACGUAAUCCAGCGCUUUCCUGUAAUUAGCAAAAGAUUUUGGUUAUUUCAGUAUUUUGCAUCGCUCAUUGGGCUUAUAUUCCGAACAAAAAAAAAAAACAUGUGUCUGAUCGAGUAUAAGUGUAGAGACAAAAAGAUUAGUAAAAGAAUAGAUAAUCAUUAUCUUAUUCAUUGAUAUAAGUCAUUUAUAUAGGGAAUUACAAAGUAUCAAUAUGGUAAUGAUAAUGAAUACAGUCAUAUUCCAACUACAUAUCCUGAUAGCAUAAGACCAAUGCACACAUAUGGAAUAUCCUAGAACACUCUCCCUUGUGCCGCGUGUCGGUAUGCCGGUGGUGCUGAUAUGUCGCCUCAUUAAAAACCUCGUCAAAAAACAAAAAUCCUGUGGGAGAAAAACUAAACCUUAAUCAUAUGAGAAAAAGAAUACAAUGCACCCUUCACAUUUGAUAGUGACAUGUAUGUAUGUGCUAGACUCCCCUUGAAGUUCGCACCUCCCUCUGAUCUUUACAUCAAUCAUAGGGCUCUUCCUGAUUUUUACUAAUCAUGGAAGUUUCAACAACUUAUCAUUAACAUGUCUUCAAAUGUGGCAUUGGGCAAUGAUUAACUAGAUCAUGUCGUAUAGUCCUCAAACAUGAUCUUUCACACUUAGAUCUUGAGGAGAAGGCCGUUUGUGAACUCAAAACAUAAGUUUGUGCACGAAAUCAGAUUUCAGCGCAGCAUGACCUUCAAUUACUAAAACAACUGUAACUUCCUCUAGGAAAUACGUAUGAACGAACCGUAAACGGUUUUGGAAACUAGACUCAUUUAGUUUUCCAACCAUAUAAUACACACAUUCUGGUUCGUCAGGAGCUGUUCACAAAGUCCUGUCAAAGUUGACUGUUUUGGCAAAAUCAGAUUCUCGGACAGAUUUGUCAUACUUUACGAAAAUUGCCAUAACUCACUCAAUAUGAUAGAUAUGAUCAAAUGGUUCAUGUCCCUGGAAAGUAGACACAUAGAUCUUUCCAAUGGUACCAAUUUCACCAUUUUUCGGUGAGUGAGAUUUCUUGUAGGUCCCGUGGAAUUUGACCUACGAAGCUUGAUAGAUUCUGAUUUUGCUUUUGAUGUGUCUUUCUUAUGUAGGGAUAGAAUAAGCCUCAACCUUUCAUACCAUUAAGUAUUGAAAAAAGAGUUACUGCCAUUAUAUUAGCAUUACGUGGAGGCAUAGCUACACUUAGCUUUACAACUUUUCAUAGCGAAUGAGAUGUCAAGUCUUUCGUAUUGUGUUGAGUACAUUGAUGCGUCUUAUUGUACUUAGAUAGGAACUCCAUCUCUUAACACAUAUUUGUCAUCUUGCUUUAGGCAAAAUAACGGAUCUUUCUUUAGAGUAAAGACUCUGACUAAUCAUGGGGUAUAUGUAGGCCUCACUAGUUAUAGAGCGUCUAAGCCAAUUGAUGAAAAAUCAUCAUCAAUACAGUCAUCGAGUGCCUUAUCGAGAUCGUGUCUUCCCAAGAUCUUGUUCAUUCUAAUUUCGGAUGUUGAUACAUAUUGGCAUCUCUUGAUCCAUCAAGAGUCCAUGUAAAUCCGGAAUGAACACGCAAAGGCAUAAUUCACCAUAUCCAUUCUAAAUCAAGUAGAGUCCAUGUGCGUUUCAAUACCCUUAGCAAACGCGUGCUCCUGUGGUCUGGAGCUACUUGAUUCGAAUUAAUGAAGUUCGUUUAAGACCUUCAUGUAUAUCCCUGAUCCCAUACAGAUGUUAUUAUGACCACAUUCAUAGGUUGCAUGUUCAGUUAUUCGGAAACUACCAAACUGACAAAGUAGUGAAGUUCAACGACAUCCAUUACAAGAGCAUAUCUCAUCGUAGUCGAUCACAGUGCGUGUUAGUGAGAGACCUUGCUCCAUAAGGUGAGUCUAAGCUCUUGUUCCCACUACGCUAUUUAACAAAGACAUAGUUGAUAGAGUUUAGCUUGUGGUGUCGGCAUCACCUGCCCAAGGACCUAUCUCUUUGUUAAUGUUGGAUCGCAUCUUUCCAUUAGGCCAAUCAACUAAGUUAAGUUGAUAUCCAUCAACGAAGGGUGGUUCGAUAGUAGACUCAUUAUCCCACAUCCUCAUGUACACUAAUGUAAUACUUGUAGAGAUCUCUAUAUGGAUUGGAUUUGACAUUGAGGCGUCUCCCAACGAUAAUCACAAUUCAGACUUCAUGAGAUAGAUUUGAGUAUCACUGAUUAAUGGAUUAGGUUGUGCCAAGCUCGCUUUCUUCCUAGUGCGAGAAAAUAUCAAACCUAAGGGCCUCCCUCCUUUUGGGGAGUCACACGGCCUUGUGACACUAAUUUUGCCACUAAAUGGUGUCACCAUAUCACCAUCCAUGGUGAUGGCGUCAAGACCAACUCAUUUUGGUCGCGCCAUGUCCUCUUGAUAGGACAUCAAUCUUUGCAGACAUAUUUGUAGCAUGCGAUCUCGUCACUUUAACACUUUAUGCAUUUGGGAUCAAGAUGAGACUUAGUGGGGACAAACCACGACAAUUCACGUCGUUCCACUUGAACACUUGUGUUCUUAUCUCCCCCUAACGGCGGGAAUAUUGUCUCAUCAAAGUGACAAUCCAUAAUUUAGUGGUGAAUAAGAUCGUCUGACAAAGUUUCUACAUAAGCAGAUUAUAGGUGGAGGUUCAUAUCCAACUUAAACUUAUUCAACUCAAAUGACCCAUCAUUGUGCGCAGUGGCAUUGUAAUUUGGCACCUAAAAAUAACAACUAGCCGAGCUCAAGGAUUGGAGAUCCAUUUCAAUCCUGCCGAGCUCAAGGAUUACAAUUUCGUGUCAAUCCUUGUACACAGUCACGAGCUGUAGUAUAAAAAUAUUCAAUGAUGGUGGGUCGUAGAUGAAUAGUAAAGUUGUAUGCAAGCAUGCAAAUAUUGUAUAGCCCCAAGAUGAAAUAGAAAGAUGAGUGCGCAUCAAUAAUGAGCGACAAGCUAAAGUUUCUUGGUCAUAGCCUCGGUGAGACCGUAUUGCGUGUGAACAUGGGGUACAUGACAUUUCAACUUAUAUCCCGAUAAACUUCUUUAAAGAAUAGGUAGUGAGCCUGUAGAAGUAUAAGCAACAUAAGCAGUAGAUAAUAAUGUAACACGUGACCAGUGUGUUAACACCUCAACCAACACCAUAAAGCAAAAAAAGGUGUUUGCAAGUUGGUUGUAUCUAUUUACAUAGUUUGAUGUAAGAAUGGAAUGUUCACUUUUGUGUCAUUUAGCGUAGGAGAGUAUCACUCCUAAUUUAGCUAAAGAAUAGGCUUUCAAAAAGAGCAAUGAGCAUUGCAAGGGACCAAUGAGACAUCGAGGGAAUGCCGGUGCACCUCAAUUGCUUGAGGAAUUGUCCGGACGACCUCCGGGAAGUUGGAGCCGUGUUCGGGUGACGUCAAUGUCCCUAGGGUGCCGCUAUUUACAACCAUGGCGUCACCAUCAUGCUUCAUGGAGAAACUAGAUCUUGAAUGUCUUCGUUUUGAGAGGAAGAAUGGAUAUCCAUGAGAAUUUCUCAAAAUUUGGACCAUUAUAUCUCUUCUAGGAUGACCGAUCUGGUCAAACCAAAGCCUAUAUGAGUCGGUGUCCCAAAUAUCAUGUUUGGCGACAACAUGUGAUUCGAUAUUCGAAUCAUAGUGACAUACAGUCCGCUAGAUUGACUCGUAAACUUCUCUAAGAUGCAUUUCAGUCUGCAUUCAUGAGAAAGUAUACACAAAAGAACUCUUGUUCAUUCUCACAAUGUGUUUUCAAAUGAAAACUAUUAGCAGGAAUGUCUUUAAAACGCAACAUGGUUCGGUUGCCUCUCAAUGCAUAGAGGGCAUCUGUGACAUUGAUUAUGGUGAUAUGAGGCAUCAAGAUUCAAACUAAACCGCGUCCCUAAAUUAUCAGUAUGAUUCAAGUAUUGUAGUCACAGAAAAUUUACAAGACACAAAAUCCAGAGAUAAUUGUCGGUUCCUUAGAAUGUUGUGGGUAAUUCCACUAUCUGCGAGACACUCAUUGUCUCUAUAAGACAUAUCUACAAAAAGGGUAGAUAGACGAGUAAAUAGUUUCACUUUAACCAUUUAGAAGAAUUGAAAGAAGCUACAAAAAGCUGCAAUCCCGAGAGUGUAUAAAAAUUUCCGAGCAGAAUGACCUUUGCGCACUAAAACAGCCAUAACUUCUUCGUUAAAAUAGAUAUGGACAAACCGUAAAAAUUUCUAAAAACUAGACUUGUAGAGCUUUCCAAUGAUAUAAUGCUCACUGUCUGGUUCGUCCGGAUCUGUUCACAAAGCUCAAAUAAAGUUGACUGUCCAGAAGGGACAGAUUGCUGUUUUUCGCAAAUUUGGCAUUGGCAAAGCUUUGAAACUUGCGGAUGGCAUGUGGGCAUAAGCCGAAGCCAAAAUAAUGUUUAUAUGAUCAAAAUCAAGUCCUUUUGGUCGUUCUAAGGUCGUAAACUCCAUGACUAGUUAGCAAAAGCUCCCUGACAUGAACAUAUAAUAACUCAGAGAACCUAGAGGAUUCGAUCAUGAUGAUGAUUGUCCGAUUUUGAUAAGUCUUUAACGUCUAUUGCAAGACCGAAAUUUAAUAGCGUAGGGGGAUCCAAAAUCAAAAGCUUUUAGUAACUCCAAGUUAGUAUGAUCAGUCAUGUCCGUGGAGGGUCGGUAGUGCGAGGCACACUUAAACCACUAUCUCUUUAAUUUCGGACAAUUAUAAGACAUCACACUGAGCUUGGAUAAGCCUAGUUGAACAGUUGAUGAUGGAAAAUCCAUUAUAGGAUAGAAGACUUAACUAGAAAACAUGUGGGCGAUCCUCCUUGAGGAUGCGGUGCCGUGAGUCACCUUCAAAGGAAAGGACCAAAAUCGGCACAAUAUGCCAUGUUUCUAAGGACGAUGUAAGAAUAUACAUCUUUUUUUGUAAAUAAAUACGAACCAUGAGAGGAGAAUAAUUUCAUAAUUUCGAAAAAAUUCUCAGGACAUUCAUUAUUGCUAAUGUGAGUGUAUAUCGAGGUCUCGAAUAAACAAAGGACAUCGAUACGACGUCUUAUUAUAUAUAGCUUGGAAAGAAAAUCAAUGUCUAGCCAAUGACGUCAAAGUCAUGGGUAGCUAGAGCAAGAUCCGAAUCUUUGAAAUCUGCGAUCAUGAGGAUGACGUUAUUGUCCUCAUAUUGAUUUUUCGUACCUUUUUUUGUAUGCAUUCACGAUUUGAGGAUGAACUUGAUAAUCUUGAACCAGUGAUCUAGAGAUCCACAACGGUUGCAUUGUCAUGAGUUGGCAUGAGUUGUUUUGAUAGAUUGGUGUCUAGACCGGGAGUGUCACCAUUAGGGCCGGCGACACCUCCCCCUCUUUUCUAGACAUCGACACGGCGUUUUCUGCUGUUGCCGUGACCCAUAUUGUUGUCCUCACAUUAGGGGACAAUCCUAAAUACGUUUAUCGUAUUAGCGUAUAUACAAUUCUCGUUUGUAAUUGUAUGAUCAAAAUCAAGUCUCGUUGGUAAUUCCAAACCAACUUGGAGGGCCUACAGAACUUGAUGAUGAUCGAAUCUGCUAAAGAUUAUGGAUCAGGAUGCCAUGGAAUAUCAUCGACGAUAUGUAGUCAAAUAAGGUGGUAAGCAAUCCACUUGACUUAAUAACUCAACAAGUUGAGUUAGAUGGACGUUUCAAGAAACAUUCCAUAAGUGCAUUCUACAGUACUAUGUGGUCAUUACUUUUUAUACAGAUUGUCGUUGAAGGCUUGUUGUUGCAUGUCGAUGUGGCGUCUCAAAACUUUGAGCUCGAGAGAUGUGAAAUCUUGGCAUCUAGGCUUGUUAGCCUGGGGGUCAAAACAUGUGAUUUAAUCCAUUCCAAUGAAUAGUUCCACAGAUACCUAGCGAAGAUUCGCCUUAGGCAUUGAGUAUGUCAAAACUCAAAUGAGCAGAAUGUUGUUUUGCUCUUGCAUACAAAACCAAGCAGUUAUGAGACUCGAUAUAGGUCAUAAAUGAUGCUUUUAAUGGUUUUUCAUACAGAUUGAUCACACACAAUCCUGAAAAAGCCACGAAUUAAUCAAACACAAUUCAGAAAAAGGCCUCGGAUUGAUCAAACACAAUCUGGAAAAAGAUCGGGGUUGAUCACACACAACCCGGACAAAGAAACAAGAGUAAUCAAAUACACAUUUGACCCGCGAAUAAAAUUUCGGGAUUUUUACCUGCACGCACAAAAUCCCAAGCAUAGAAUGGAAAUGAAGAAGGAGAAGGGAGGAAAUGAUUUUAUCCUCCCCAAGUUAUUGAACUUGGAAAAGUUUAGGGUUUCAAAACAUACCUUUCGAAACUUUAAACACUUGAAGAAGUCAAAAAUUGUAGUCGGAGGAAACCAAAAAUCGUCGGCGGGCGGCGGCCAAGGAAUUGGCAGCCGGUGAUGUCGGACGGUGGCCGGGAAAACGGGCAGCGGCGGUAGUCAGACAAAGGAGCCGAAAAACACUUUUUUUAGGGUUUUAGAAAACAAAUAGUGAGCUAUUAGUUCUAGGGUUAGAACAAAAUGCAUUAUAACAUGAUCGAAUAUAAAGUGUAGAGACAAAGAGAUCUAGUAAGAGAAUAGAGAAUCAUCAUCUUUUUCAUUGAUAGGAGCCUUUUAUAUAGGGAAUUACAAAAUAUCAAUAUUGUAAUGAUAAUGAAUACAUAAUCAUAUUCCAACUACAUAUCAUGAUGACAUAAGGCCAAGACACACAUAUAGAAUAUCCUAGAACAAUGUCUUGUAUGUGUAAUGUUGUGCUCAUUGAAACAUAAUUGAUAUGAUACCCAUUUUUCCGAUUUAUAAUGUGAAACUAAUCAAUAAACAUACCUAUAUGUUUAAUAACCUAAUCAUAUGGCCACAUUAUUAAAAGAAAAAAAAAGUGAAUAUAUAGAAAACAUGAGAUGUUAGAAAAAAUUAAAUAUGACAAAUGUAAACAGUAUGGAGUAUACAAUUUAGGGAAAAUGCCUAAAUGCACAAAAACAGGGAUUUUAAUGCCCACUUCAAUGUAAAUCUUUUCUCUUAGCUCAUUUCAAUGAUUCUUAUGCAAAAAACAUUAUUACCCUCUAUAGAAUUAAACCCACACAAAUCUCAUCUCUUUCUCUUUCUAUUCUCUCUCUCUCCUUCUCCUCUCGAUCUGCUCUCUCUCUCUCUCNNNNNNNNNNNNNNNNNNNNNNNNNNNNNNNNNNNNNNNNNNNNNNNNNNNNNNNNNNNNNNNNNNNNNNNNNNNNNNNNNNNNNNNNNNNNNNNNNNNNNNNNNNNNNNNNNNNNNNNNNNNNNNNNNNNNNNNNNNNNNNNNNNNNNNNNNNNNNNNNNNNNNNNNNGAGUCACCGAGACCGCGCUCGUCGUCGUGAUCCUCCUCAACGGCGACAUCGAUUCCGGCGGCACCUCCUGGAGAUGAUCCUCAUCUGCCAGAACCUUCCCAACAAUCUCUAGAGCCUUAACAAGCACAUCCGGGGCGUCACGCUCCAGUUCCUCUGCUGGUUGAGCAAGUCGGAGAUUGUCCAGCUGUUGAUUUCAUCAAUUCUGGCCAAUCUAGUCAGAGAUUGAGGUCUGCAAACAUGGAUAACGUUCUUCUUCUUCUUUUUUGAUCGGAGAUCAUCUUUUUGUUUUUAUUUUGGUCAGAGAGAUCUGGUUUUUUUCCUUUUUUUUUUCAAUAUAAUGGUUAUUAAAUGAUAAUAUCUUGAUUAUUGGAGUAAUUAGUCUAUUAUUGGGAGGUAAUAAGUAUUUAGCGGAGGUCAAUUAACAUUUAUUGCGGGUAGUAAACUUAUAUCAACAUUUAUUGACCCAAUAUUGCUUCUAUAAUUUUUUUUGAGAUGUAGGGAUUUGCCUUAGAGGUAAAAGCUUCCUUUCUAACUCGAUUACUAGGGAUCAGUAACUGAUUAUUGGGGUUCAGUAACUGAUUAUUUGGGGCCAGUAACUAAGUUAUUGGGGGUCAGUAAUUGAUUAUUAGGGGUCAGUAACUGAUUAUUAGGGUUCAGUAACUGAUUAUUGGGGGUCAAUGACUGAUUAUUGGGGGUCAGUAACCCAGUUAUUGGGAGUCAGUAACCGAGUUACUGGUGACCGGAAUCCGACGACCGGAAAAAAUCCGAGUUACUGGGGGUCAGUAACUGAGUUACCGGUGAUCGAAAUCCGGCCACUAGAGAAAAUAUGAGUUACUAGGGGUCAAUAAUGGCGACCGAAGAAAUUUCCGGCAUCCGGUGACCGGAGUCCGGCAGCGGGUGACCGGAGUCCGGUGAGGUUCCGGCUAAAUUAUUCUUUCUCUUCUAGUUUCUCUCUCUAUACAUGUUGAAGUGGUGAGGGUAAAAUUGUCUUAAAAAUAUAUAAAAAUUAUUUUUUAUUAUGACAUUAAUAAAGAUUUGUGUAUUUGAGCAUAAAAAAAGUUACCUUAUAUUGGAAUAGGCACAUGAAAAAGAUUAUCAUUAGAAUAGAGAAUGAGAUGUUAAAAUUAGUAUUAAAUGGGUAUUUUUCCUAUAAUAUUCUUCAUGCAACAAUUGAUAUUGGACGACCAAAUAUAUGAGUUGUUAAUUUAGGAAGUGUUAUAGUUAUGAGGAUUAGAACAGAUGUGUAUAUUAGUUUUGCUUUCAAAACAUGUGAUGUUGUUGCGCAUACUUGGUCUGCAUGAUACUCCUCCCAUCAUUGGUUGGAGAUAUUCAUCAUCUACAUUCUAGCUAUCCUUCUAAAUGUUCACUGUUAAGCGUGGAGCUAAUUUCCUCACUAAUGCUUUAACUAAAUACGGUCGUUCAUCUCAAACACAAAAUUGGAGUUAUACUCUUCCCCAUUCGGCUCGACAUGCUCAUUUGUUUGACUUUCUCAUCAAUUUUGGGUGUUAUAGAUGCUGCGUGUUGUAAUGUUUUCUUUUUUCCAAAAAGAAAUGUUGAUGUGCAUAGAUUAGAUAUUCUUGCCUUUGAAUACAAUUGUCAUGCCUGUUCAAAAAAAAAAGAAUACAAUUGCCAUGCAUUUUAGUUUAUGUUUUUUUAGUUAUUUAGACCUACAUUUGUUCGAUGAGUAAAGUUUUAUACACUACCAUGGAAAAAAAAUGUGAGGAGGUGUAAAUGUCAAGGAAAUCCUAAAAAAAAUAAGGGAAAGCCAAACCCUGUUCCUCCAAAAUCCCAAAUCUCUCUCUUCUCUUCAAGCUCCCGCACAUAAACCCAACCAAUAUCUCCAUCAUUCCCUUCCCUCAAAACCCCAAAUUGACGGGCCCUCUUCUUCGUCUUCAAGCUCCGGCACACAAACCCAACCAAGGUAUCUUCACUAUCCAUCAUUCUUUUCCUCAAUCAAUAAUUUCUGAGUAGAUCGGCCGCGCAAGAAGGCCCAUAUGAUUUUAAUUCCAUCGCUUUUAGGGUUAUCGAUUAUACGUGAAUUGAAAUCUUGGGUCUUUUGAUUUGGAUAUAUGUUCUUUAGCUUAAUUUUAGUUUCGAUUGAAACUAAUGCUGCACAGGGAACAAUUGAGUUGAAAGACAAGUUCUUGAUGUGCUAAAUUUGUUGUUAGUUUACUUUAGGUCGAUUUCAGCUUGAAAUUUUAAUACCCUGAAUGUGUAUGGUGGCAUGAUUCCUGUUUUUCGAACAAUACUAGCUUUAGUUUUAUGUUAGAGACUACGACAUGGUUUUGGUUCAUGCGGGUUGAGUUAGCAGUUUGAUACUUGUUCCGGCUGUUACUUCAACCUAAUUAAUUUGAAAUCUGCUACUCUUGUGCCUCUUUCUUCCUGAUUCAUUCUUGAUGAUCUUGUUAUGUUUGGUUUCAUGAUCUUAUUGGCCACAUAUGGUGAUAGUAGAUGAAUGUGGAUGAUCUAAUUACUGUUUAAAUGCAGGGUGUUAAGAACAUUUGGGGACUGUGUUCGGGGAUAGUUUCUCCGAAGUUGGGAUUGGUCUUCGAGGGGAAGGCAGUUCUGCUUGUUCUGAUUUGAACAUGUCGAGUAAGAAAGAAGAGAAGGCUCAGGCUGCAGCAGAAAGGAUCAAGGCUCAGGCCUUGAGUGCUGCAAAAGGUCUUAGUCGAGCUCAGGCUGAAAGGGCGGCUGCUGCUGCUGCACGAAAUGUUAACGCUUAUGGGCAGAAGGAAGAAGGACCCAGCAGAUGGCAGGAGAAAAGGGAAGCCAAGAGACAGAUGUAUUUGAUGAGUACUGAAAAAGCAGUGAGACUGGGUGAGAGGAAAGACCUGAAGGCAAAUAUAUCUACUGUUGGUAGUGCAGCUUCACAAUGCCAGAAGUGUUUCCAACCUGGGCAUUGGACAUAUGAAUGUAAGAAUGAACGUGUUUAUAUCUCAAGGCCAUCUAGGACUCAGCAACUGAAAAAUCCUAAACUGAAGAUGAAGGUGUCACUAUCCUAUGAUCUGGAUGUUGCGGAUCCAGAUACUAAAAAGGAAGAAAAGAGUGAAAAGUCAUCGAAGAAAAGCAAGAGGAAACAUAGGGGAGGUUCUGAUUCUGGCAGUGAUAGUGAAGCUUCAGUUUUUGAGACUGAUAGUGGGGAAUCAUCAGUUACAGGUUCUGAUUAUUCUUCUGAAGGGAGUAGUUCAGAUUACAGUUCAUCAUCUGAUUCUGAGGAGGAGAGAAGGCGCAGGAGGAAGAAGAAGAAGCAAAAGAUAAGGCGUAAAAGAUACUCCUCAUCAUCUGAGUCUUCUGAUUCAGGGUCUUCUGAAUCUGAUUCUGAUGAUAGGAGAAGCCGGAAGAAGAGCAAGAGGCACAGCAGAAAGCGUUAAACUAAGGUACUUGAGCAGAAGGAGAAUGUUGGUGGAUAGUUCAAGUCUGUCGUGUAUUACCAAUCAAUUGAUGAAUGCUUUUGUAUGUUAUCAAUUUGGGGCCAACACAUCCUCGUGGAUGUUUCCCUGACAUUUAUUUCUUUUCGACUGUGUUGCUUUAUUUGAAGUUGUACUGUAAUACUUCCCAUGGUUACUUUUAUGAAUUUGAGCUUUUCUUGGUAGAUUUCCAUUGGUUUCAGUUUGAAGAGCAGUGGUAGCGUUUGAAUAUUAGGCAUAUCAUAUUAAUUUUGUGGAGAGCGUAUUCAGCGCACCCGGGUGCGCGGCGCACCCGGGUGCGCUGUAUAAUUUUCAAAUUUUGUGAUGGCGAGUUGAAUCACCUCUAACAGUGGCAUCGCCUGUGAGGCUAUGACCGAUAUGGCGAUUAAACCAAACGUUGUAUUGGCUUAUGAUUUUCAGGAGUCAACGAUGUGAAAAGAAAAAGAAAUGUUUAGAAUUAUGGGAAGUUGAAAUCCACAUUCCCUACAAUCAGAGUGCUAGAGUUUGGUUGCUGAGUAGGUUCCCAAAUAGUGGGAAGUAUGUUCACCCUUGAACCUAAUUGUACGCAUUAGAAGGGUGCUAUAUAGGUUUGACAGUUAUGGUUUAGAGGGUUCACCUUUUGUACCCUAGCUAGGUGGAAAUGGAUUGAUCCUUUGUUUUUUAUUUUAUUUUUAUUUUUUAUCACAUAUUACAACUUCGUGAGUCGAACUCAUAACCUCUCACUUAUUAAAAGAAAACUAUGCCACUAAACCAAAUGGUAUUGGGCGAUUGAUCCUUCCUUAGAAUGAAGUGUAAAUUUUCAACCAGAUAAUUCAAUUUUGUACAGAUUUGAUAGUUUGCCAUUUAAUAACAAAGAGAAAACACCAUUUUCAUCUCACUUCCAAGCAUCUGGACUCCAUGAUAGAGAUUUUCAUACUCCCCUUCAUCAGUUUCACUCUUGCACUCUUCUUUUUAACAUGAGAUUAAAUAUUUACAUUGGUAAGACUCUUUUUCAUUCUCCAUUCAUCUAGUCGGAGAACUCUUCUAAUUUGUUACCGUUUAUUUUCGAUCUUUGAUGUUAGAUCGAGCUGUCAGAUUUAUGCUCUUUAUUACUUCUUACUGAUCAUCUUCUAACUAUCUCAGUUGAGGGUUAGCUCUUUGUCCAGAACCAUAUGAUUCAACAAAAUCACCAACAUAAAUUAAAAUCAAAGUUUUAAAGUUGAACUAGAAGUCUAGAACCGUAAAAUUUCAACAAAAUGACCAACAUAAAUCAAAAUUGAAGUUCUAAAAUUGAAAAGCAUCUAAUAUUAGGGGACAACAACAAAAUUGACAAUCAAAAUAGAACUCUACAAAGAACAAGAACAAUCGUCGAACUCUAUCUCAUGCUUCAAAAUCAUCAUCUCCAUCAACUUGAGAAUUAGAAUUCUCAUCGAAAACUAGAAGAUCACAAUCCAAAUUACCACCACGGACACCAUCACUACCAUAAUCACUAUCAUCACUACUUAAAUUAGGGGAAUUGUAUCUUCGUAUCAACAUAUGCAAUAUAUAUGAAGAUGUUGCACGGAAAUGGAAACGAGUUUCGGUUUUCGAUACGCGGAAACGUCAAAAUGAAAAUAUAGUCCGAUACGAAACGUGAAGGAAACGUCAAAAUUAAAAAAAUAUAUAAUUUUAUUAUAUAAAUAAUAUAAAAUAGGUAAAAGCAACAUGAUUACUAGGAGAGGCGGGUAAGCAAUUCAUCAUUUUAAUAUUUUAUUCUUUGUGUAAAACGGAGAGGGGGCUGAAAAACCUGGUUAACUUACAUAGGCAACUAGAGCUUAAAAGGCCUGUGGGGUAUAGAGAGUGACUGAGCCCACACUAAGUAGUAGUUAUCUAACAUCAACUACUGCACAAGAGGCUGAAGCUCUUCAAAGUUUCACCAAAAAAAAAAAAGAAGGAAAUUUUUCAAAUGGUGCCUUAAGUUAAAGUCAUUUAUCAUUUUGACAUCUCAAUUUUGAAAAUUAUGAUAAUAGUACCUCAACACUUCAACCCAAUCUAACAUUAGUUCUCUCCGUGAUUGACACCGUUAAGUUGGACUUUAUCCAUAGGCAAAAUUGUCUUUUCAUGUUUUUCCUCCUUAAAUCUUUUCCCUCCACAAACAUUUCCCUCCAGAAUAAUGUCUCUUUUCCCAUCAGUAUCCGAAUUUGUGGUGAGCCAUGUGUUGGCUGCAUACAAAAAUUAGAGACAUCUAGAAAUUAUAAUACAUCAUUGGCCAUUAAUAUCCAUCAUUAAAAGUAAUUUUUGCAAUCCACCGGUGAGAGAAAGAAUCAACAUUGAUUAAAAUAUAUUUUGUAUCAAGUACAGAAGUUCAUAAAACAUAUAUACUUAAUAGAACAAUCAAAGAUAACUAGAUAAUAGAACUCACAUUCAUAGUUGAUAUCUUCAGGUCGUGAAACUCUAAUUCAAUUAAUAAGAUUUAUGGAGGGAAAACAUGAAAAGACAAUUUUUCCCAUGGACAAAGUCCAACUUAACGGUGCCAAUCACGGAAGGAACUAAUGUUGGGUUGGGAUUAAGUGUUGAGGUACCAUUAUCAUAGUUUUCAAGAUUGAGAUGUCAAAAUGAUGAAUAGACUUAACUUAUGGCACCAUUUGAAAAAUUUCCUCAAAAAAGGAGAUGCGAGAGAGCAAUUAAUACACCAAAUCCUAUCCUUAUUGCAUCAGUCUUUUUUUUUUCCUUUUUAAUUCCUUGAACGACGCCGUUUGAGGCAAUCUACAACUCGUCUUCUUCUUCUCCCUACCUAGAUUUUUGCCCUUUUACUGCCAUUGUUGCCUCUAACGAAGCUAUAUAAUCUUUUUCUUCGAAAUCGGUGCUCAGAUUCGUUUAUAGAUCUAGAUCAGACAUGAGGCUGGUGAGCUCCGCCAUCAUCCACCAGCUCCAAAUCCUCCAAUCCCUAGUCCUUCACCAACAUCGUCAUUUGCACCCACGCCGACCCAUCUCACACCCAAACGACGUUGAGUCCUUCUGAUUUCUCUCUGAUCUCCUUCUUAAUCCUCGCAACCGCCAAAGUCGGCGGCAUUCACGCGGCUGACUACAAGAGGAAACGUGUUUCCCUCACGUUUCAAAAAACAUCUUUACAGAAACGCGUCGAAACGCGUUUCAGAGACGGAAACGUUUCUGAAACGGAAACGCUUGUCUUUUGACGUUUCUGUGCAACAUAGGUCUUCAUCAUGACGCAUUGCUUGUUCCUAUUUUACAAUCCACACUCUCACAUUUCCUUUUUGGGUAAAAUUUUCACAAAAAGAUGAUAAGUGCAUUUUAUGCAACGUUCUUAAUGUAUAUUCUUUUAGUUUGAUUGAUUGUUCACCAUAGCUUUUAAUGAACUUUAGAUGACUAGAACUCACUCUUGUUGACUUUUUCUCGAAACUUAUAAUCAUAAAACGCUCUGAUUUUGGAAAGGAUAAAUGAAAAUUUUUAGGAUGAUCACAAUUGCCAAACAAGCUUGUGUCCCUAUUUGUGUGCGUUGCACACCCCUUAGUUCAAACCCGGCCAUUUGAGCCUACGUUAAGCCUUUUCUUUCAUCACCCAUGCAAUUUUUACCUUGUGCUUAGCACAAUGAUAUUUCUACCCUUGUCCUUUGGGCCUAGUAGAGCAAUUGUGAUGUAUUGUAUGAAGUGAUGAUAUGAAACAAGUGUGGGGGAGUUGAAUGUCUAUAUAAAAGAAAAGAAAAUGCUGUGAAAAGCAGAAAAGAAAACAAAAUUUCAGCAGAAAGAAAAAAAAAUGGACAAUGUCUUUGUGUUGUGAAAUGGGAGUUUUGGUUGUAAAUGGAAGGCCCAAAAACAGAAUAUUUGGCCUUUGUUCUUUUUCACAAUGUUUGAAGGUGUUUAGAAUGACGAAGAGCCCAACAAGAUGACCUUUGGCCCUUGCUUUGGUGACAUAAGGCGUGUUUGAAUGCUCUGCUAAGUCCUUAGGAAUUUUUUUGCAAUACCUACUCUGAAAUUCAUACCCCUAGCCUAGCCCCAUUAAUACCUUAUAAAGUUCCUUUUGAUCUAAAAGAUGAGUAAACCUUGAUCUGUGGAGUUUGUUCCAAGAGUUGAGCCUAUGGUGUGGUUCAUUUGCGUGAAUAAUUGAUUCUUUCAUAAGGUUUAUAUUUGCUCUAUGUGCUUUUGUUCAUAUAAAUGCAAGCUUUUUGAUUCUAUCUUGCAUACUUAUUGAGUGAUUUAGCCAGAAAAUCUGAAUGAAAAAUGAGUGCAUGCCUUGUGAGAUUGAAUCAUACUUGUUUGAAACAUGCUGAUAUUAAAUAUCACAAUUAUUCUAUCAGGUCCUACAUGUAAAUAUGUGAUCUAUACAUGAUAAUUAGCUUCUGAAACUUCAUGGAAUGAUUCUUGAUUGAGUGCUAAUUUUGAUGCCAUGAGAUUAGAGAUUUUGAGACAAUAUGUUAUGGGCAAUAGAGUUGUUUGUGUGUUGAGUUUUGUAGUUGUGUAAUUUCUGGUUUGUGUGUAUUGAGUAUUUUGUUUGAUUUUGCUAAGGGACUAGCAAAAGCUAAAUAUGGGGGAAUUUGAUAAGUGCAUUUUAUGCAACGUUCUUAAUGUAUUUACGACCCUAUUUAGCUAUGUAAUUCCUUUAACAAUAUUUAUUUUCUUUUCAAAAAAAAAACAAUAUUUAUUUUAAGGGCCAAUUACAUAGAAGUCCACUUUGAGACAUUUUAUCCUAUAUAGGUCCACCCAAACAUUUUUACCCACAUAAGUCCACCCAAGCCUAAAUAGUGUCUUAUAUUUGGUAUUAAAGUUCAACUAAAUUACAGACUGCCAUCCAACCAAAAAAUUAGAUUUUCUCUCUUAUUUUUACAAAAAUGUCACUAAUGUAAAAAGUCAACAACCACAAAAAGUCUUCGGCUAACCUCCGGCGAGGUCUCCGGCCAACCUCCGACGAAUUUUCCGGCCUGACUCCGACGAACUUUCCGGUCGACCAUCCAUGAGAAUUCUGACGACCACAAAAACUACUACCUACGAUAACAAAAGAUACUACUGCCGGCAACAAAAGCUACUAUGACCAGUAAAGAAAACUACUACCACUGACAACAAAAGAUAUUACCGAUAACAAUAAAAGCUACUGCUACCAGCAAAGAAAACUACUACCACUGACAACAAAAGAUACUACCGACAACAAUAAAAGCUACUGCCACCAGCAAAGAAAACUACUACCACUGACAACAAAAGAUACUACUAUCAGUAACAAAAGCUACUACCGCCAGCAAAAAAAUAAAAAAUUUAUCACCAGCAACAAUAACUACUGUCACCCGCAACAAAAACUACUACGGUGAGAUUUCUAACAAUAUCCGGCAAGGUCACAAAAGAUACUAUCGCUAGCAACAAAAGUUACUACCAAGCAAAACAAAAACUACUACCUAGCAUCACAAAAACUACUAUUACCAGCAACAAUAGCUACUGUCACCCGCAACAAAAACUACUACGGUGAGAUUUCUGACAAUAUCCAGCAAGGUCACAAAAGAUACUAUCGCCAGCAACAAAAGUUACUACCAAGCAAAACAAAAACUACUACCUAGCAUCACAAAAACUACUAUUACCAGCAACAAAAGCUACUACCAAGCAGAAAAAAAAAACUACUACCAAGCAGAAGAAAAACUACUACCAAGUAGAACAAAAGUUAUGAAAGCUAUUAUUAGAGACCUACAAAACUAUGAAAUGUAAACGAUACGACUAAUAAAAAUGCUAAGCGAAUAUAAUAAAUUUCAUGGUACAAAAAGUAUGAAGCCUUCUACAUUGAUAUAGUCAAGUACAAAGAUUACAUAAAACUACUAUUGUAGUUCCAGAAGUCUACUACAAUAGUUUCAUAAAGCUACUAUCAGUUUUCUAUAGAUGAUGCUCAACACUCAUAGACAUAAUUUUUCCACCUUGAGCACGAUUUUCUUGGUUGGCCCAAUGAUCUCUAUGGAGGCUUGAAUAUCCAAACUCACAUGAUUUUCGUAAUCUAUUACAACUAUGCAAAGGGAAGAAUUCUGCAAGAACAAAAAUACAACAAAAUAUUAGUAUUAAAAUAGAAAUAGGAGCUUUUGACAUCAUGUUGAAAAGAUACUAGCAUAGAGUUAGAAUGCUACUAUCACUAUGGUUAAAAGAUACUAUCAUACAACGAAUAAGCGAUUGAUAUCAUAUCGAAAAGAUACUAACACAAAUAUAAAAAGAUACUACCAGUGUAUUGAAAAUAUACUAACACAUACAUAAAAAGAUACUAUUAGAGUGCCGAAAAGAUACCAACACAUCCAUAAAAAAGGCAACAUCAGUGUGUUGAAAUAAACUGACAUAAGAUACUAUCAGUGUGUCGAAAAGAUAUUAUCAUACAACGAGAAAGUUACUAACAUGAUGUUGAAAAUAUACUAACGUAAACAUAGAAAGAUACUAUGACUAUGUUGCAAAGAUGUUGUCCGCCAAGUGAAUUUUCUUAUAGUAUACCUACACAAUCGAGAAACAUGCCAAAAUUCACACAUAAAUUAUGCUUGCAGAAUGUUGGGAAUUGUAGACCUACCAAUCUACCAUACCAAAACAUGAACUAGUAAUUAAAGAUACUACCAUAAGCACAUAAAGAUACUGCCAUAGUAGCAGAAAGAUACGACAUCAAUUAUAAAAAGCUACUAUUCAGACAAUUAUAGUUGCUAAAAAAUUAUAGGUAAUGAACAACUAUAAACUGAACUUAUAUAUACAACUCAUAUAUACAAGCGUCAUCGAUCUAAACCAUGCAAUCAAACUGAACCAUUCACGACUCAACUAAAUUAAUUUCUAAUCCUAAAUUCUCCUCUUUCCACUUCGUUCUAUGUAUCACAGAGAAGGUUGAAACAGCUAUUCAAUUUCAAACAGAGCACCAACAGAAUCAAACAAAAUCUAAGAGCAUGUAGAAUGAGAAAAUUAAACUAACGAUUGGCAAAGGUUUAACAGAGUGUGAUCUAAGUGAAGUCUAUAGGUAGAGAAGAAGAGAAGUUAGAAGUAAUUGGCUUACGUACCAGUGGAUAUGGAUCGAUGCGAGGAGAGAGACAGGCUCCGGCGAUCUGAAAGGCAUCGUCGUCGUCGACAGAAUCAAAGAUACAAUCGAGCUCGAAGUCAUCGUCGUCGAGGCGUCGUCAACUGAAACUGAGAUGCAGUGGAGGUCGAGCCGGACGGUUGCCAGCGAUGGAUCAUCUGAGGGAGAGACCUUCGACGCAGGCAGAUCUGCGAUCGCAUUUAAGAGCCAGGUUGGUGACGACCUUGAGGGAGAUGCAGUCGAGGCCAAGAUCGUCGUGCAAGCGUCAUCGACGGUCGAUCUAGAAGUCAUUGUCGAGGCUAGGCGGCGGCAUCGUCGUCGUCGGAGAAGCAAUCGAGGUUCUGCCGGAAUUCGUCUCGAAGUGGCAGCAGCGUUAGAAUCGAAGGAGAGAGAGAGAGAGAGAGAGAGAGUNUGNGAGAGGAGGAGANAGAGUUACGGUUACGGACCAGAUCUNGUCUUACUUAACAAGUAAAGGUAAGUCGGUAUAUGUAGAAAGUAAAAUUAAGGUUAGGAAGUAACGAACGUAAAGGUACGUACUUAUGAGAAAAUUAAAAAGUUAGGNGUAUUGAGGAAGGAAGUAAAUUAAGUAAAGGUCGGUUUAUUUUAGGAAAGUUUUUAAACUUUUUACUUUAAUUUUUUAAACUUUUUUAAAACGGUUUUUUAGGUUUUUAGGUUUUUUAAGGGUUUUUUAACGGGUUCCGAAUAAAAAGUAACGACGGAGGGACACAAAACGAAAAAAGGAACGAAAACGAAAAAGGGAGGAAAGUAAACCGUUAAACGGUUAAAAAAAGGGGAAAAAAGGGUUAAACCUAACCUAAAGUUUAAGGUCGGGCCCGAAACGGAAAAAACGGGGAAAAAACGUAACGUAACGUAACGGAAAACGGGUAAACCGGUACCCGGGAAACCGGUAAAGGGUUUAAACGGUUCGGUAACGGUAACCGUUAACCGUUAAACCGUUAACCGGAAACGGAAGGGGUUAAAGGUUAGGUUUUAGGGUAAGUACCGUAACGGUAACGUACCGUAACCGUAACCGAACCGGUAACCGGUAACCGGUAACGGUAAACGGUAACCGGUACGUAACGGUUACCGGUACGGUAACCGGGUACGGUAACGGUACGGUAACGGUAACGGGUUAACCGGUUACCGGGUUACGUACCGGGGUACGGGUACCGGGUACGGUACGGUACGGUACGGUCGGUACGGUACGGUACGGUACCGUACGUACGGUAGACGGUACGUACGUACGUACGGUACGUACGUACGGACGGUUACGGUACGUAGAGAGAGAGAGAGUAGAGAGAGAGAGAGAGAGAGAGAGAGAGAGAGGAUUUGCGUGAGAGGGAGGAUAGAGACGUUUUGGGAACCACAAGUCUCUGAUCUUUAACAACAAGGGUAAAAUGGUCAUGAUGAAAUAAUUGGAGUAAGCAAAGUAGACUUAUCUGGAUAAAAAAAUUAAGGUGGACUUGUGAAGGAGAAAAUGUUAAAAAUGGGACUUUUGUGAAAUUUUCUAUUAUUUUAACUUAGUUUGUGUUUUUAGGUCGCAAAUAAAGCCGAGGAGCACAAAAGAAGCAAAAGAGGAGAAAUCUUAAAGGAAAAGGAAUCCAUAUGGCGCAAGGAAAGACAUCAGGAAAUCGGCCAGGAAUUGUCAGUCAACUUCGACAGAGGAUUGUGAUCAGCUCACAGCGAUCCAGGAGAUGAACUUUAUAUCAAUGGAAAGCUAGAAGAGUCUAGUUUCCAGAACUUUUUGUGGAUUAUCAAUAGCUAUUUUGGAGAAGAAGUUAUGACUGUUUGAGUGACCAAAGGUCAGUCUGCCCGAAUUUCUGAUUUGGACUGAAAGUUUAAUUUCAAGGCCCAGACCACAUAGGCAAGCCCAUGGACGAAAAUUAGGGUUUUCUAACCCUAAUAACAGCUGCUCAUACAUAUAGGAGAAGGGGCAGACGCAAAAGAUAUCUCUUCUUGUACAUAAAAUUCAGUCCUCUCUACCGUAGCUCUGCCUCUCCAAGGAUCUCUCCUAAUUCAGAAAAUCAUCCUCCUUGCCAUGCUCUAGGACUUCUCCAAAAGCAUAGUGUUACUCUUCUUUGUGCCGAGACUAUCUCUUGUUGUUCUCCAAGCGUUCUUGAGAUCAAAAAGUGUAAUCUAUGGUUCAAACUCUUGUUUUUAGGUUUUAUAUUUGUUAUUGUCGAAUUCCCUUAGAUGAUUUUAUGCAUUGGAGUUGGAUUUUUAUUGAGAUUUAGUUAUUGCAUGAAAUUUUCAGAUUUAUAUGAUUGAGUUAUUCAUGUGUUUAUGAUAUUUGUUUAACUUAGAUCAUGCUUACUAUUGUGUUAGAAAGUCUAUGAUUCCGGUUUAAUUCAAUAUGGUAAUUCGGCCAAGUUAGCAAAGUCAUAAUUUAUGCUAAGCCUCUUCCGGUAAGUGUAGAUUAACAAGUGGUAAAAAUUGGGAUUCAUGUGAUAUGGGUUUCGAUUAAGAACAUAGAUUGUAUGUUAGGUUGUUAAGCCUCUUCCGGUAAACAAAUCUAAUAUGUUCGAGUUCUUCUUUUAUGCUGAAUAAUUCAUGUAGUGUGUUGUAUGGAUGCAUUUUGUAUUAACAUGAUACAUUGUAUGGAAUAUUCUAUGUGUUAGGACUUUUCCAACGUAGGAGACUUGAGAAGAUUAUAUGGGCCGGGAUGCAUGACCUCUUUCGGCUUGUGUUUCGAAUUCGUUUCUUGCACUUAGUUGGCAUGGUUUUAGGUUUUAUGAAUUGAAAUAGCUUGGAUACUUGGUGGUAUGACUCUUGGUUGUGUUUGAAGUUGAUCACAUGUAUAUAGUAGCUUAGGUUUUUGUUUUUUUAUAGUUUAGGAUUUUCAUCACUCUUCUGUCCCCUAUUUUGUUUUGUUUUAUUUUCGUAUCAAAUGAUCUCCGAUCCCCCUGAAAUUUUGGACAAUAGUUCCUCUGUGUGUCUAGUAGGUCUCUGUAAAUUGUCAUAUUUUUCUGAGUAGUUUAGGUUAGGUUUUUAAUUAGGUUUUCGACUGCUGUUCGUUAGGAAUAAUGGUUACUUUUGUAAAUUGUUUAAAGGUUUUAUUACUUGUUAAUGUUAGUUGUGUUUUACUAACAUUUUGUUUUGCAAGGUACCCUCAAUCCCCGGCCCAAUACGAUACCCUACUUACUCAAUGCUGCUAACGAUAAGGGUUUAUUUGAUGCAGGUUUUGCACCCGUUAAAAGACAAAAUACAUGUCACUAAAGACAAGAAUUAAAUUACCAAAAGUGAAAAGUGGAAGUGUGGAUUGUAAAAUUAGGAGUGUAAAUUUCAGUUCCCUAAAAAAACCUACAAGAACAGAGACUUUUCUUCAUAACUUAGUUGAACUUAUCGUCUGACUGAAAAUUUAUUUUGUUUGCGCCUUUGGCCUCUUUGUACGACCGCUUUCACGCCUCAUCGUCUCUGCACCUAAACUCAGUCAAUCUAUGAACAAACUUUCCGCUUAUAGAUCCUUAGGAAGCACGCUUUUUGAGACAUUGCAUGGCAUACUCUUGUCUGAAUGGAAUACUCCCCCAUUUGUGAAUAGAACCAAGUUAUUUCCCAGUUACAAGUUGGCCCCAAGGCACUACUAACAAGUACACGAUGUAGAAAUAUUUGUUAAAGGGUAAAAUAUUGUAUAGUCCUCGUGGUUUGAAGUCGACAUCUGUUUAGUCCUUAUAAUUUUAUUUUAAUCUGUAUAGCCUUUAAAGUCAGGAUUUUUUAUCCAAAUAGUCCUUAUGGUUUUAUUUUAAUCUGAAUCGUCAUUAAAGUUAUGAUUUUUCAUCAAAAUAGUCCUUAUGGCCUUUAACUGAGAAAAUUCUUGGAAGUGUUGUGGGAGAAAUAAACUGAGAGAGAGAUUUGGGGAGAAUAAUCGUUCUUAUUUCAUUCAUAGAAUAAGCCUCUAUAUAUAGAGGAUACAAUACAUAAAAAAAGUACAUAUAUUCCUAUUACAACAUUGAUAUCGAAUCCUAUUCUGAUUCUACUUUGACGGCACACACAAUAAAUCAUAUUUUCUUAAACACUCCCCUUUGUGCCGUGUCAAACUGAUAUGAUACAUUAAGAUGCAUUCCUUGUUGCCUCGUUAAGAACCUUGUCAAGUAACAAUAAAACCUCAUGGGAAAAAUAACCUUGGUCAAAGGAACAAAAAGAGUACAACGCAUCAUUCACAUUUGAAAGUGACAUGUAUGUGCCAGACUCCCCCUGAUGUCUACACCUCCCCCUAAUUCUUACAAUCAUAAGAGCGUUAGAGAAAUUAAGCAUACCAAUGCUUUAGACAUGUUUUUCAACUGCGACCAUAGGCAGUGAUCUAAUAAAAAGAUAUGCCAUAUUAUCCUCAUAUCUAACUUGUUUCACUUUGAUCAUGAGGAAAACUCAUUCUUUGCUAAUCACGUACAUGAUAUAUACUUGGUGUUGUCGCUUUUGGUAAAACAUUGCUUCAUAUGUCGAAUGCAAGCAUCAUUAACCUCAUAAAAGUAUGUAGGUUCAUUUGUGGUAAACAUUAAACCAUUUGCUCUUAGAAUAUGUGUAAUUAUAGGCUUCAACCAUAUACACUCACGAACAAUUUCGUGUAGAGCAAUCAUCUAGACAUCAUUCAAAGAUGUAGCGACAAAACUCUGUUUAGUUCACCAAGAUAUCACGUUGUUUCCCAAUACAUAGCUCACAUGGAAACAACUUUUAUGUGGGUUAAAGAGAUACCCAAUAUCAGCAAAUCACACCAAAACAUCACAAAUAUUUCGUAGAAUGAGUAGAAGGCUGCCCCAGAACUCCAAAUAAGAAUAUGCGUCGAAAAUUAGAUUCACGCGUGGCAUGACCUUCGUAUACUAAAUCAGUCAUAACUUCCUGCUCAAAAUAUAUAUGGACGAACUGUAAAAAGUUCUGGAAACUACACAUCCGUAGCUUUCCAACCAUAUAUUACUCACCUGAGUUGAUCACAGAGCUCUGUCGAAGUUGACUGAUCUGUAAAAACAGAUUUUCUGAUUUCGCCUUUAAUGUGUUUUUCUUCACGCAUGGCUUGCAGCGAUGGCUAUGUGAUGCAAUCCAUCAUGUCAUAUACUCUCUUCUUUUUAUAGGGAUAGAAUAAGCCCAAAAGUAUCAUAAGUAUCCAAAGAUUAAUCUUAUGCCAAUCCAUAGGUAAUGCGUGGGCGCAUAGUUGCAUCUAGCUAACAAGUUCACAAUAUGGAUGAGAUGUCGUGUCUUGUAUAUCUUUGCUCGGUACAAUAAUGCGUUUAAUGUACUUAUAUUAGGCAUUCAGCCUUUAAAACGUGUUCGCCAUCAUCCCUUGGACGAAACAUAUCCCUUUAAGGGUCAAAACUUCGAACGAUCAUUGGAAUACUUAUAGGCCUCACUCUAUCAUCAUUAGAGUGCCUUAAUAUCUCAUAAUAUAAGCCGAUUGAUGGACAAUACCAUCAUUAUGGUGCUCGAGUUCCAAUUCGAGACAAAACCAUAUAUUCCCAAGAUCUUUAUCUCAAAAUUCGGAUUUCAAAUCCAUAGCGGUAUCUCUUAGUUCAUCAAGAGUCAAUUAAAAUUCAUAUCAUCGACAUAAACCGCAAUAAUGAAAAUCUGGAACUUGUCAUUUUUAAUAAACACGCAUGGGCAUAAUUCAUCAUAUCCCUUCCCAAUCAAGUUGUCACUUAGGGAACGUUUCAACCUUAUUGUAAAUGUGCUCUGUGGUCUAGAGCCACUUGAUUUGGGUAAAUGAAGUCAACCUUGGACAUUCAUGUAUAUCUCUUAACUUAGAUCCCUAUAGAGAUAUGUUGUGACCACUUUCAUAAGCUGCAUGUCAAGAGAGUGAAUGAACAAUGGAUGAACAUAAUUUUGUCAAUUUGGUUACUAUGGAUGACCACCUUCAUAAGCUUCAUAUGUUGUGACCACCUUCAGCCAAUUUGGUUAUCAUUAAGACACUCAAACUCGAUUAAACCAAUGGAUGAACAUAAUUCUGUCGAACUUGAACCGUUCAUGUUUAUAACAGAAAAACGUAGUUUUUAGUGCCUUAAUGACAACCAAAUUUGCUGAAAUUUUACAGAGAUGAUCUAUACAUUAGUAUCUAAAUACUAGACGGUGGAGAUGUGAAAAUUUGAUUGAAAAGUGAGUGUAAAGUGGAAAUCCGCACCGUAAGAAUAAAUGCGGACGUCCGCAACUGAGAAGCUCUGUAUAUAUAUAUAUAUACAUACACAAUCUGUUCCUAGUGCGGACGUCCGUACGGGUUUUCCGUAUGAAUUUCCGUCGUUUCUCCACCAUUCCAGCGCUGGCGACGCCGUUUUUUUCUCCCCGGCGUGAUCUCAGACCUCCCCCGACAGUGUUGGAAUGAAGAAGAAGUCCGGAGAGAUCGCGAUCGGAGCUCUAUGCAGCAAUCUCACUCAGAACUUCACAACCGAAGGCCGGAGAGAUCGCAAUCGGNNNNNNNNNNNNNNNNNNNNCCAGUUUUCCGGCGAGAAUGAUCUUGUUUGAAGUUUUGGGUGAUCUCGCCGAAAGCCUGGAAAAGAACGGACUCACCGAGGAGGAAAAGUAGUCGGAGACGCUAGCUGGAGUCUUACUGGGGUGGAGGCACUCCAUCGUCGGCGUCGGAGGGUGGAGAACGGACGGACGUCCGCAACUUUAAGCCGAGUGCAGACGUCCGUUUCUGAACAGCUCCGUAUAUNNNNNNNNNNNNNNNNNNNNNNNNNNNNNNNNNNNNNNNNNNNNNNNNNNNNNNNNNNNNNNNNNNNNNNNNNNNNNNNNNNNNNNNNNNNNNNNNNNNNNNNNNNNNNNNNNNNNNNNNNNNNNNNNNNNNNNNNNNNNNNNNNNNNNNNNNNNNNNNNNNNNNNNNNNNNNNNNNNNNNNNNNNNNNNNNNNNNNNNNNNNNNNNNNNNNNNNAUAUAUAUAUAUAUAUAUAUAUAUAUAUAUAUUAUUCUAUGAAAAUGGAAUAAGAGCCAACUCAACGCUCUUAUCCUAAAUUUAAAAAAAGAAAAGAAAAUACAAAGAAGGGGGACAAGACCAAAACCUUGCCUACAUAGAGUACAACCUAACAGGAACAAACAACAAUUUCAAGUUGAAAGAAUAGCACAACCAAUUUGAAUAGCAAAAAGAGAAAAUAAAUAACAAUCGAAAGGACUAGCCUCUACGAUAAGCAUAUCUAGAAGAAGCAUAAAAAUGAGUGACUCACGCAAGAAUCGAGGGGCAACAUCCCACCAAAAGUCUCGGUUGUUGUCCCCAUAAUUUGCCAAAAUAUCUGCAACAACGUUACCUUCACGAUAAAUGUAGACUAAUGGACUUUCAGUAAUGGACUUUCAGUAAUGGACUUACUAGGUGUAGCAAACACUACAAUGAGUCAAUGAUGUUAUUACAAUACGACAACGAAAAAUCAACAUUGAAAGUACUACUCCGGAAAAAUGCGUCUGAGUAACCGAUAUUGUUAGUUAAUAACCAAUUACUUGACAUAUUGCUAUGACUAGAUAUUUGGCUCAAUUCUAGAGCUCUCGUGUGUGAAGUUGUUUUUCAUUAACCAACCUAAAUAUGAGUAACUACCUUGUUACCUUCAUCAGGCUAUUAUCUUUGCCAACCUUUUUUAUUAGAGGAGGUUGAAAACAUAUAUUAAAAUAUAACUUAUAAGUAUAUAGAGCGAUACAAAAGCAUAAAAAAUCAAUAACAAUUGUAAUAUAACGUGAUAAGAUGCACAAAUACAACAUUGAUAGUGAAAGAGCAUUAGACUAGCUAGAUGCAUCACGACGCUCAAAUACAUCUUUUAAAUGAAAGGUGACCAUAGCGAAAGAGCAAUAAAUGAUAAUAAGACUCACAAGUACACCUAAAACCAUGAGACUUGAUGCAUAGCGACCUCAAUACGCUGCAUAUGUCACAAAAGUUGUAUUGAAGUGGUAAUAGCAACCGCAACGAGAAUUGUAACAGUAACCAACAAGAUAGCAGUAUACUGCUAGCAGAGUGAGAUGUCCGAGAAGCGAAAGCGUCGACCAAAUAAGGUGUAAAAAAACUCGGACAUUAGCUAUCGAGCUCCUAAGAACAAGAAUUUAUUUUUGCCAAUUAUGUUUGCUUAGACGAAUAAUCCAGGUAACAAGAUCUUAUCCAUCAAACGGAAUCUACAAAUUUCAUAAUAUCCAACACAUGAAUAGCUAGGCUGUUCAUGAACAAAAAACAAAACUAGUUCUAAAAUAAACGGAUCGUAUCCUUUUGACACCGCGAAGUCAUGGAUAACAAUAACAAAAAUUCGAAGGUUGAUCACGGCACUCCAAAAAAAACCAGUGUUGGAGAUGCCUUAUCAAAGGGGCACAUGCACACAUCAUAUAAAGGACGAAUGAGAUAUCAAGUUAAUGAAAUCAACCGGGCAAAACCUACAUAUUCUUCACACUCGUGGAAAUGUUAAUCAAAGAAGAAUAAACUUCAAAUAUCAACAGUGUUCUAACAA